This 233483-nucleotide long non-coding RNA is filed under the name Glycine max (soybean). RNAcentral's name for it is "long non-coding RNA (GMAX_LNC004074)". Lineage: Eukaryota; Viridiplantae; Streptophyta; Magnoliopsida; Fabales; Fabaceae. The record is from RNAcentral.
AGUUUUGUCAGAUAACUUCCUUCAUUCAGGUGUAUAAGCUAGAACCUUUAAGUGACGAAAAAUCUUUGGAAUUGUUAUGAUGUGGAAAGGCAUUUUUUUCGGGUUUUGGUGGAUGCUGUACAAAAGAAUAUGAAGACGUAGGUCUUGAAAUGGUUAGAAAGUGUGAACGUUUACCUCUAGCAAUUGUUGCAUUGGUGGUCUUUUAUAUAGCAAAUGUCAAAGUGCACUUGAAUGGACAGGUUUAGUCAAAAUCUAUGUUCGGAGUUGAAGAGGAAUUCUGAGUUAAUUAGUAUUUAAAAAGAAAAAUUGGUUUGAGUUAUGAUGAUUUUCUGUUCAAUCUCAGAUCAUGUUUAUUGUAUUUUAGAAUGUAUCCGGAAGACUAUGAAGUUAAAUCUGGAAGAUUGAUUACGCAGUGGAUAGCUGAAGGGUUUGUCAAACAUGAAAAUGGAAGAACUUUAGAAGAAGUUGCACAACAACAUUUAAUGGAGUUGAUCACUACAAGUUUGGUGCAAGUAUCUUCAUUUACUAUAGAUGACAAAGUUAAAGGAUGUCGUGUUCAUGACUUAAUACAUGAAAUGAUCCUUGGAAAUAUCAAGGAUACAUGGAUUUGUCUGUAUAUUGAUGAGCAUAAUCAAUUGGUGUCAAGUGCGAUCGUUAGACGCUUAACAAUAGGAUCAGAUUCCAAUGAUUUAAUUGAAAAUACUGAAAGAUCACGCAUUCGGUCAGUUCUAAUUUUCACAAAGCAAAAGUUACCCGAAUACUUAAUCAGUGGAAUACUUGAAAAAUACAUACCAUUGAAGGUACUUGAUUUUGAAGAUGCUAUACUAUAUCAUCUUCCUGAAAAUUGGGGGAAUUUAAUCCACUUGAAGUAUCUGAGCUUCAUGGUAUACACAGAUAGAAAGUCUUCCAAAAUCCAUUGGUAAGCUCCAGAACUUGGAGACCUUGGAUGUAAGACAAACAGAAGUGUUUCAGAUACCAAAGGAGAUUAGCAAGCUUUUAAAGCUACGUCAUCUUCUGGCUAACGAAAUUGUUAGAUUUCAUCUCAAAACCAAUUGGCAUUAAGUGAAGUUGCCCAACAGAUAUAUAAGCUGCACUCCAAGGAUUGAGGCAGCCGAUGUGGGACUUGGCUAUUUCCCAAUAGAAAUAUCUUCAAUUGCAGUGAAGGAUAGCAUUGGAGGCAUGACAUCUCUACAAAAUAUAUGCCUUCUGUAAGGAUUAUAGCGACUAAGGUCAAGAGAUUUCCUCUUUCGCCUACAGUGUUCAAUUAUUCUAUAAAUUAUUACACCUUUUAAUUUUAAAAAUUUGUAAAGUAAAGCCGAGACUCAUAUAUUUGCUUCCAUAUACUCCUUUCAUUCUCUUCCAAGUAAAUUAAACUAACAAUUUCCUUUUGAUGUUGGAAAGGGGAACCAUUUAUACAAACUUGGAAGAAUUCAUUAUCAACUUCACUCAACUCCAACAGCUUAGUAAGGUGUGCAAGGGAAAUAAUGGAAAAUUUACUUGGUUUGCAACUGUUUGAAGUUUGAAGAACUAGGCUUUUUCGAAAAGGGUUAUAAUUAUAAUUUUCCACCAGUCCUAAGCCCUGACUAUGUCUCCAUUUUACUUCAAAUUGCUUGUGGUUGAUGCGUUCAAAUUGCUUGAUGAGUUCUUCACAAGUCCUAAGCACCUCUACUUGGUUGAUGCUCGAAUCCGUGGAUGCAAGUGAUGAUAUAUGUGGUUGCAUGUUGAUUUUGGAGGAUCCGUUCGCAUGCACGGAGAAAUUUGGCCCUGUUCUGAUUUUUGGUGUUUUGAUCUGAUCUUGGAUGCAUCUUGUGUUAUUAAAAAGGAUAUUUGGUUGAAGGAAAUGUGAUGUCUAUAUCAUUGUGAAGCUUAAAUGGUACACACAUUUUGGUAAAAAGUGAUAGGUGCUCACUUAGGUUUGAGUAUUCUCUGUUUUCUAUCCAUACUGUUUUAUUUUAUUUAAUGUGUUCUGGAAUGUUAAAAAUAAAAAAAGGUAGUUGAUUUAUGUUGAUAUAUGGGUUGGUAGUAUCCUAUAAAAUUUUCAGAAUUUUUUAUGAUAAUAUUGUUGGAAGAAUAUGGAUUGAACCCUAUGUUCAUUCUCUGCAUUUCCAGUGAGGAUGUUCGUGCUCUGGAUCAAUCAUUAUUUUUCUCUGACAAUUUUUGGAGAGAUAAUUAAUUUUUGUGUUCUUAAGAUCAUAAGGAGUAUGUCCAAAUAUUUUUGUGUGAAAAUAUUAAUGUCAACAAUUUUAAUAAAAUCUAGAAAAGGAUGAAUGUUCUUUGAUGUUCUGGGUUUUUCUGGGUGAAUGUUGAUACGGUUCUUCACUUACUAGGAUGAAUCUCUGUUGAAUUUUGGGGAAAAAAAUAUUAGGAUGUUUCUGUAUUUGUUUGAUGCAGCUGUAUAAAGCAAUAAAGAAAUAAUAGCUCAAGCUUUUGCUAUAAAUGUGUGGCAGGAAUUGAUCCUACACAUACGAGUUCCUCUAUGCUGUUCUUUUAUUUCCUCUUGUCUAACUUCAUAUAAAGAAUUUUGUAGUCCUUCGGAAUUCCAGUGAAAAGAAGUUGGGAAUGGAGAACAUCUAACUUUCAUCAAUGCUUCCAUCCGAAAAUUACCACACUCAACGUAAUCUACCACCUAUGCUCAAUAACUUGGGGUAUUCAUGAGUGUAAUUGCUGCCUAGAUUAUUUUAACUUUUGAGUUCUGGUGGACACUGCAGUGAGGAACAAUUCAUUUGAUGAGAUGUUCCUGCUGGUGGGAUUGGUACUCUAGAUGAGGUGUUUAAGAUACAGGCAUGCACUGAUUCAGCUUGAAUGGAUUGGACCAGAGCUCUUUGUGUUCUCUUCUAGAAGAAGUGUUUGAGAUACAGGCACUGAUUCAGCUUGAAAUGAAUUGGAGUAUGCCUUAUUUCUCUUUGUCUACAUCACACUGAUAGGUGUUAGACAUAAAAUUAUGGCUAAAUUACUAUGUUGGUCUUGUAUCUCUAUUUUAUAUUGUAAUUUAAGCUUCUAUUUGUUAAAAGUUACAAAAUGAUAUUUUAUUCAUUAAAAGUUGUAAAAUGGUUCCUUACAUAAUUUAUUUAUUGUAUCUUUACUUCUGAAGUAAUGUCUUUUCCAGUUGUUUUGGAUAAGUAAAAAAUAAUUAUUUUAAGUUAUAAUUAAUAUUCACACACUGGUAGACCCAAAGAUAGCAGAGACAAUAAUGUGUUUUAGGUGGCAUCUUCAAUUUGCAAGACAGCUAGAUUGAGAAAGGAUAAAACAAGGCAAGAAGCCAUGUGCAAAGGACUGUUAGAUGAUUAUUGAUUGCAUUGUAUUGAGGAAUUCUUUUGAUUAGUAUGAUCUAUUUUUCACAGGCUGAGAUGACAACAAACUUUCAUCUCAAGUUUGGCACCUUGUUUCCCAUGAUAUAUUUAAUUUCCUCAAACUUUUUUUUUUUGCAGUAUUACAUCUAAUAUUCUAGUUUAUAUAUAUAUAUAUAUAUAUAUAUAUAUAUAUAUAUAUAUAUAUAUAUAUAUAUAUAUUAUAGUUUAAAAAGCUCUUUUUGAUCUCCUAAUAUAUAAAUUUCGUGUAUGAUACGACUGAUUGUUGUGUUCAUUCUAACAUGAAUUUAUUCAUUUAUAUGCAAAUUAAAAUAGAUGAAAAGGAUAAAACAUUGGACACGGAAAAGUUUAGGAAUGUUGAUCGGUGGUAAGAUAAUUUAAGGAUCAAAAUCAUAAAUUAUAAGAAAUUUAAGGAUAAAAAAUAUUUUAUCAAAAAAAAAUUAUAAGGACAAAAAGUCAAUUUUUUUAUUAAAGAUUAAAUACAAAAUUAAAAAAAGUUAAGGGCCAAAAGUAUAUUAUGUCUGUCAAAAAUACUAAUUAUUCAUCUCACGUCCACCAAAUUUUCUUUUUUUUUAUUUUGCUCCUUUCUUUUUAAUAUAUUACUUAUCACUUAUAUCACUUUGUCUCUGUAUCUUUUUUCUUUUCUCUUUCAUCUUUCCAUCUCAAUUCAUCCUAAAACGGGGUAGAAGAAUAUCAUAGUUCUAUUUCUUUUCUUUUGUUAGAACAAGACCUAAUGAAUGAAGGAAGACUUGGCUGCAGGGGUAAACAUGCAUGUUAUAUCCAUCAAAUGAAUUUUUUAAUAUACCAAAAAAAUGUUAGUGAAAAUAAAAUAACAUUACUAAAAAGAAAAGAAAAGAUUAUAUAUAUUAGACCAUGAAAAAAUGAAUAUAUUGAAUUAGAGUUAGAGAUAUUCGAAAUCAAGCAAAAGAAAAAUACUCCGACGAUAGAAUAAAUCUUCAAGACUUGGGUAUAUUUCUUUUUCUUGGAAGCAGAGUCUAAUGACAAAGAAAAUACAAAAUGACUAACGGAGUGAAGUCAGUUGCUGAAUUAACAUACAACGGAAGAGAUAGAAGCUGGGGCAAUAUAAAAAAAUUAAAAAUAAUAAAUAAAUAAAUUGGAAAAUAAAAAUGUGGCCACUUUAUCUCUUCUUUCAUGUUUGACCAAAAAGAAGACAUAUCUUUUUUCCAUAUGGUUUAACAUUUUUUUUUUCUCACACUAGCAUAUUAAUAAGUUGCUCGAUCUGUUUUUUAGACACGUUAAAAAAGUCUCAUUUUUUUUAAAAAUCAUCUGUAUACAAUUAUUAGCGGCAAAGCUAGCAUAUAUAUACGAACUCUUAGGGGCGAAAAGUGGUUUACAAAAAUAUGAGCCUUAAGUGCUAAAUGAAAAAUCAAAAUGAAAUUAUUCCUUUAAAACAAAUAAUCUGAUAAUCACAUUUUGACAUUAGCUGGACCACAAUAUCACAACUUGCUCGCAAAAGAGACGCUGCAAAGCUCAAAGUCUUCGUCUCCGCGUACACAGUGCACUAAGUUACAAAAUAUCAUCUCAGUAUGAUAUAGAUAAAAAGAAUUUAUAAAAAAAAAUCUGAUAACCGACACCUGUUAAUCAUGACUAUAGAACUUAUAAAUAGAGAAUCCUGUUAAUUUUAAAAUUUUAUUGAAAUUAUAUGGUUAAGAUAUUAUCAUAAACAGUGUCCGUGUCAUUGUUUGGCUAAGUACAUUUAUUGGCUAUAUAACGUUGCAGAACAUCAAGUUUUGCACUCACAACAAACCAAAAAACAGAGCUAGCUAGCAAGACUAAAAUGGCAGAAACUGCAGUGUCCUUGGCAGGUCAGCAGGCGCUUCCAAAAAUAUUGGAAGCUGUCAAAAUGUUGAGAGAUCUCCCAAAAGAAGUUAGAGACAUUACAGAUGAACUUGAAAGCUUUCAAGAUUUCAUCAAUGAUGCUGAUAAAGUGACUGAAGCCGAAGAAGAUGAUGGAAGGCGUCAUAGAAUAAAAGAAAGGGUGAUGCGGCUGAGAGAAGCAGCUUUUCGCAUGGAAGAUGUCAUCGAUGAAUAUAACAUCUCCUGUCAGGAUAAGCAACCUGAUGAUCCUCGAUGUGCAGCUUUACUAUGUGAGGCUGUUGCCUUCAUCAAAACUCAAAUCCUUCUCCUUCAAAGUGCGUAUAAGAUUCAGGAUGUUAAAUCCCUUAUUCGUGCUGAAAGAGAUGGUUUCCAAAGCCAUUUUCCUUUAGAGCAAAGACAAACCAGUUCUAGAGGAAAUCAAGAUAUCACAUCGCAGAAACUUAGAAGGGAUCCUCUCUUUAUUGAGGAAGAUGAGGUUGUGGGGCUUGAUGGCCCUAGAGGUAUAUUGAAAAAUUGGUUGACAAAGGGAAGAGAAAAACGCACUGUCAUCUCUGUGGUGGGAAUUGCAGGGGUGGGAAAAACAACUCUUGCCAAGCAAGUUUAUGACCAGGUGCGUAACAAUUUCGAGUGCCAUGCGUUGAUCACAGUUUCUCAAUCCUUCUCUGCUGAAGGAUUGCUGAGGCAUAUGUUGAAUGAGCUUUGCAAAGAAAAAAAGGAGGACCCUCCCAAGGAUGUUUCUACCAUCGAAUCGUUGACAGAAGAAGUCAGAAACCGCUUGCGCAACAAGAGGUAUGUUGUCUUGUUUGAUGACAUAUGGAAUGAAAAAUUUUGGGAUCACAUUGAAUCUGCUGUAAUUGAUAAUAAAAAUGGAAGUAGGAUAUUAAUCACAACCAGGGAUGAGAAGGUUGCAGAAUAUUGUAGGAAAUCAUCAUUUGUUGAGGUGCAUAAGCUAGAAAAACCUUUAACUGAAGAAGAAUCUUUGAAAUUGUUCUGUAUGAAGGCAUUUCAGUAUAGUUCCGAUGGAGAUUGUCCAGAAGAACUUAAAGAUGUAUCUCUUGAAAUUGUUAGAAAGUGUAAAGGUUUACCUCUAGCAAUAGUGGCCAUUGGUUGUCUUUUGUCUCAAAAAGAUGAAAGUGCACCCGAAUGGAAACAGUUUAGUGAAAAUCUUUGUUUAGACCAGUUGGAGAGGAAUUCUGAGUUAAAUAGUAUAACAAAAAUUUUAGGUCUAAGUUAUGAUGAUUUGCCGAUCAAUCUCAGAUCAUGUUUGUUGUAUUUCGGAAUGUAUCCGGAGGACUAUGAAAUUAAAUCUGAUAGAUUGAUUAGACAGUGGAUAGCUGAAGGGUUUGUCAAACAUGAAACCGGAAAAACAUUAGAAGAAGUUGGGCAACAAUAUUUAUCAGGGUUGGUCCGUAGAAGCUUGGUGCAAGUAUCCUCAUUUAAAAUUCAUGGCAAAGUUAAAAGGUGUCAUGUUCAUGACUUAAUACACGACAUGAUCCUUAGAAAAGUCAAGGAUACAGGAUUUUGUCAGUAUAUUGACGGGCCUGAUCAAUCUGUAUCAAGUAAGAUUGUUCGACGCCUGACAAUUGCAACCGAUGAUUUUAGUGGAAGUAUAGGAAGCUCACCCAUUCGGUCAAUUCUUAUCAUGACAGGAAAGUAUGAAAAAUUAUCUCAAGACUUGGUAAACAAAUUCCCUACAAAUUACAUGGUACUGAAGGUACUUGAUUUUGAAGGUUCUGGUUUACGUUAUGUUCCUGAAAAUUUGGGGAAUUUAUGCUACUUGAAGUAUUUAAGCUUCCGGUAUACAUGGAUAACAAGUCUACCAAAAUCCAUUGGCAAGCUCCAGAAUUUGGAGACCUUGGAUAUAAGAGACACAAGUGUGUCUGAGAUGCCAGAGGAGAUUAGUAAGCUUAAAAAGCUACGUCAUCUUCUGGCUGAUUAUAGGUGUUCAAUUCAAUGGAAGGAUAUUGGAGGCAUGACAUCCCUAGAAGAGAUACCUCCAGUGUUUAUAGAUGAUGAUGGAGUGGUCAUUAGAGAGGUAGGAAAGCUAAAGCAGUUAAGGGAACUGUGGGUGGUAAAAUUUAGGGGAAAACCCGAAAAGACUUUGUGUUCCGUAAUAAAUGAGAUGCCACUCUUGGAGAAACUACAUAUUUAUACAGCUGAUUGGAGGGAAGUAAUUGACUUGUACAUUACGUCACCUAUGUCUACACUUUGGCAGCUUGUCCUAUGGGGGACGUUAACAAGGUUGCCAAAUUGGAUUUUACAGUUCCCAAAUCUUGUGCAACUGUCUUUGGUGAGCUCCAGGUUGACUAAUGAUCCAUUGAAUUCACUAAAAAAUAUGCCAAGGUUGUUGUUCCUCGAUUUAAGUAACAAUGCUUAUGAAGGUGAAACUUUGAAUUUUCAAAGUGGAGGGUUUCAGAAACUAAAGCGACUGGAACUCAGAUAUUUGGAUCAAUUGAAGUGCAUCCUUAUCGACAGAGGAGCACUGUGUUCUGUGGAAGAAAUUGUUUUACAAGACCUCUCCCAACUCAAAACAGUUCCCUCGGGAAUUCAACACUUGGAGAAGCUUAAAGAUCUCUAUAUCAACUACAUGCCAACUGAAUUGGUGCAGCGCAUUGCUCCUGAUGGAGGAGAAGACCACUGGAUCAUCCAAGAUGUGCCCCAUGUACGUAUUUGGAGCAGGGGUGCUGAAGAACCUUCGCAUAUAUUCGGCAGAAGUCAUCAUUAAGAUGCGUCCAAAUUUGAAAAUAGAAGGUGCGUCUUUUUCACAUCUAUAACUUUGUAGAAUGACAUUCGUGGCCUUUUUCUUUUCUUCAAUAAAAAAUGCAACCAUUAUCUAAUUCCUAAAAUAAUUACUUUUGCCUCAUUUUCUCUUCUAGUAUUUGCUUCAUUUUUCUUUCUCUACAACAUCUCACGUACAAGUUAGGGAUAGAAUUGUCUGACAAGUAUAUGCCUACACCAACCAAAGUUAACGUUUCUUCAUUAUAAGAUUCUCACCAUUAUAAUCCUUUCUAUUAUUGUGCUCAGAAUUGGUAGAUGUUGACCUCAACUGGAUUGAGUUUUUUAUUUCCAUGUUGAUAAAUACUUGAAAAUUUUCAUUGUAUCAUUUUAAGAAGAAAUUAACUUGGUGUUUUUAUAGGGUCGUAAGCAUAUACUUCGUGUAAAUGUUAUGGGUUUUUAAAGUUCCAUUACGAUUGAAGCCCAAUGUGGAUUUUUUUCAUAAAUUAGAUUGUGUUAAAUGUUCCUAAUUUUGAUGCUUUGAAGUUUGACCUACUUUGUACAACCAUGAAUUUUAGGAAAGCAAUGAGGGAAGAUUGUAAGAGGUGUUCCAAAUUCAAUGUUUUCGACGUUCCAAUCAUGUGGUUUUUUGAGUGUUAAUUAUUGCGCUUAUGUUAGCGUUAUUAACACCAACACAAUACGAAGAAGCUAAAAAUAGUGUUCCUACAAAGGCAGACAAUUUUUGACAACCGGAAAACUCAAGAUUCCCUCAAGUUCUUUCUUUUGCGGCCCGUGAAAUGGUGGAUGCAUGAGUGGAUUUGAGGCAUCAAAUUGAUUUUUUAAGCUUCCUUCUUCUCUUUCUCUUGUUUCCCUUUUUUUCUAAAAUGUGUACUCAAAUUUUUGUUAACUUGAUGUAAUUUGAAUUCUUACCUAUAAUUCAAGUUCAUUUCUUUUAAAUUGAUUAUUUGUCUUUGUUUUAAUUUAAUGCCUUUAUAAAUUGGCAUUUGGUCACUUAUAGUGCGUUGAUCGUAUAUUCCUAUCGACAACUGUGAAAUUGAAAUAAGGAUUGAAUUUAAGAUAAAAUGCAACAAGGUUGGAGAUUCUAUAUAUAGGAAUAAAUAUCAACAAUUACGAUAAUUUAGAUAUUCUUAAACCUAAUGAUUGUCCUAAUUGAGUAAUUCUAAAGAUUUAAAAUUUCAAUUGCAGAAAAGAGUUUUUGAGUUAAGAUAUAUUCACCUUCAAUUACAGUAGUAAAAAAUAAAUUCAGUUUCUCAUUAUGCUUCUAGAACUUGAAUUGGAGUGAAAAUUUGGGUUGUACGUGUUAAGCUUGGGGUGAACUCGUAUUGUAACAAGACAUGUUUGAUUUUGUCUUAGCACUUUAAUACUCUUAGCACAGUACGUACUUCAGCAAUUUUGGUACCCAAACUUUUAUGUUCAGGUUUGAUCCCAUAUUUUUCAAAAACAAUUUAAUACUCGAAUAUAUAUUAUUAAAAUCAAGUUAUAUAUCACUUAUUUGGAGUUAGAUAAAUUUUUCAAGGCUUAAUUUUAUCUUUUUGUGUCAUUCAUUAUUUAUUUUAUUUAAUUUCUUCCUCCUAAUAAUAAAAUCUUUAAUUUAAUCGCUUAAUUCACUUGACAUUGUUUAUUAAUAGUGGGAUGAGAUUGAAUCAAACAAAGGAACAAAUUAAAUUGUUUAUUAAAAUUUAAAAAACAAACAGUGUGAACAAGAAGUUUAUUGAGGGGUCAAGUUGCACCGUUUGAAAAUUAAAGCACUAAAUUAAAUUGUUGAUUAAUAGAGGACCAAUGCUAAAUAAAGAAAUAGCACGACAAAAAAGUAAUGUUUUUUUUUACUUUUAAAAAUUUUGAAAAUUUUAUUGAAUUCUAAAAUAUUCAAUUAACUUGCCUAAUUUUUUGUUUAUUCACUCUUUUUUUUCCUUUUAAUCCUUGAUGUUUGAAAACUUCAAAACUCUUUUUGAUCACAAACAUAUUUUAACUCUCAUAAAACAACACAACAAUGUUUCUAAAAUCGGACUUUUAUAAGUUAUUGAUAAAUCACUUUGUGAGUGAUAUUUUGUACAAACUUUUAUGUUAUUUUGUAUGCAUUUUCUUGAUAGAAUUUACAAUUGGACACUAGUUUUGUAUUCCAAAAGUAUAACCACUCAAUUGAGUGAAAGAGUAGGAAAUUAUACAAAUUUAUGAAAAUUUAAGAACUUUACAUAACUUGAUUACUAUCGUGGUACAUUGAUCACGGUCGUGGUAAUCAGCAUGAUCACAAUAAAGUGAUAAGAGUCCUCCCAAACAGCGUCAAGAUCCAACAAUAGCCAUGGUAAAUUGACCACGAUCAUGGUAAAUCAAGAGGCUUAUAGUCAAUUUAUAAUGGUUCAAGGCUUCAGCGUCACUUCUAACCACGAUUGUAGUGCUCCUUUUCAAACAAAUAUCUUGAGGAAGCUAUAUAUAGGUUUCUAGACUAUGUAAAAAUCAUUUUUCAAUUAUUUUUAGUUUUAUUCUUAUCUUUUACAAAUUUGAGACAAUCUUGAAAGCUUUUAAGAGCCGAAGAACUUAAACAACAUCGCUAGAAUGGAUUAUGAUCAUUGUUCCUACUUAUUGGUAUGUUUAUGUUUAUUUUAUCUAGGAUUGCUAGUGCUGUUCUGAUCAUGAGGAGCUACUCCUCCUAGUCCGAAGAUUAUUAGAUAACUUUUCAUUUGUACCAUUCUCCUCAUUUUAAUGAAAUUUCUCAUUGAUUUUAUUUAAAUUAGUUCUCUUGCUUUUACUGUUUAUUUGAAACCAAUCAUUUUAAUACUUAAUCAAUUGCAUAAUACUAAUCAUGUAAUUGGUAGAUUUUGGUAGAGUGUUUUAUGUCAAAUUGCAUGAUCAAACUCUUUGGGUAAUCUCCAAUACAUUAGUUAAUCUUUAAUUAAUUUUUCCUAUAAUUGAUUUUCUUUUGACUUAAAUUGAUAGAACCAAUGAUCAUUGGGGUAUUGAUUUAGGCAAGAAGCAUCUUCUAACCUGGAUCAUAGACUUUAGUUGAUUUUGUGAAUGAGUAAUUAACUAGAGAAAGCAUUUUAUUACAACUAGGGUUGAAGGAAAAUUAGUACUAGUAAGUCAUAACCCCUAAUCACUCUUAUCAUCAAUGAACUCUUUCUUUAUAUUCGUAUAUUUGUUUACUUAUAAAUCCAAAACCAUAAAAAUAUUUAAAUUAUCUUUUUAAUUACUUCAACUGUUAAUUUAAUAAACUUGACUAAUUGAGAAUACAACUCGUCAUUUGGGUUUGAUAUCCAUACUUUCGAAACCACUAUUAUGAUUGCGUAAGGUACACUUGAGGUAUGACAAACAUAUUGGACAUACAACGAUGGCAACAUAUGAGUGUGUUUGGAUGAGGGAAUUUAAAAUUCUGAGGAAUUUUAAAUUCUAAGAAUUUCAAAUACCUCAAUUGAAAUUCUUUUAUUUUCAAAAUUUUGUGUUUAUAUAAAAAAAUUAAAAUUGAGGGUGAAAGAAAAUGAGUCACGAGUUCAAGAAUACGAUUUCGGAAUUUUAGGUGGAAAAUAGGAUGAAAGUUAUAAAAGAAAUGCGCGAAUUUUUUGGAAAGUUCUAAUGUAAGAAGAGAAUUUCAAUUUUUCACCUUUUAGAAGGAAGUUAAAAUUCCACAUUUUUAGUGGUUUAAAAUUAUGUUUUAAAAUUCCAAAAAUUUAAAUUCUUCAAAAAAAACAUCCAAACAAUAAAUUUUAUAUUAAAGAAAUUUAAAUUUUCUGAUAAAUUACUUUCCUUAGUUAAAAUUCUAUAUUAAAGAUAUAUUGAUAAAGAAAACUGGAUUCGAGGCCAGCCUCCAAACAAGGCAAGAAAGAAAGCAAACUUAGCUUUUUUCAUAUCAUGUCUGCCUUACAAUUGCUUUAUUUAUACUAAUUCCUUGCUAACAGAAUUUGUCAUUUUGUGUCAAGGAAUAUUUUAGGAAAUCAUUGGCUAGCAAUUUACGAUUACGCUUGUCUCCCUAAGGCCAACCAGCCAUCAUCUAGCAAUUCUUCAUUCCAGGUCAGCUUCCUUUCUCGCUUUUCUUUCUCAUGUGUAGUCUAUGAGGUAAGAGGGCUUUGUGAUGGCCCUCUUUACUUUCUUGCUAUCUGUACCCUUGGUUUCUGUGUUUGUACCUCUAUUUUGUGUUCUCUGUUAACUGCCCCAGCUUUUGUAUCAUUCGUCGGCCCUUGUAAAACUACCUUGUCCUCAAGGUGAUAAUCCUCACAUAAUUGAUCCCAAUUCUCCCACGAGGUGUCAUCUGGGGAUAGCCCUUCCCAUUGCACCAACACUUCCCAAGGCCCUUGUUCUAAAGCUCGCUGAUAAUCUAAUAUGGCUAGCUAAGGGAGUAAUGAUUGGUUGGUGUUGAACAAAUUGUUUUGGAAAGUGAACUUCCUGAAUAUGUUCUGGGGAGCCUUUGAAUGCUUUCAACUGGGAGCGGUGAAAAACAGGAUGUAUGCGAACUUCUUCCGGCAAUUUGAAGCGGUAUGCCACAGGUCCUAUGCGUUCCAGAACUUGAAAUGGUCCGUAGAAUCUCUUAGCAGACUUGCCCAUGAUUGCUUGUGGUCCCUUAGCGGAGACUUUUUGGUGGGGCCUUAAUUUAAGCAUAACCCAAUCUCCUGGUUGGUGGAUCACCUCUCUUUGUUUAGCAUCUGCAGUUAUCUUCAUACAGUCUUGUGCUUUGAGAAGCUUCUUGCGAAUGGCCUGAAAUGUUUCUUCUCUGUUGGUCAACAUUUUGUCAACUGCAUCCAGAGCUGAAGAACCCGCGAUAUAAUCUGGAAAAUUAAAGGAUUUGCGCCCAAAUGUGAUCUCAUAUGGAGUGGUGCCUGUUGCCGCAUUCCAUGAAGUGUUAUGAGACCACUCCACCCAGAGAAGAAACUUGCCCCAUUCCCUUGGCUGAUGAUGAACAAAUGUGCCUAGACAUUGCUCUAUGACCCUAUUUAGCACCUCCGUUUGACCAUCACUUUGUGGGUGAUAAGCGGAGCUUAUCCUUAGCUGUGUGCCACUCCGACGAAACAACUAUUGCCAGAAUUUGCUAACAAAUAGGGGGUCGCAGUCGGAGACCAGGCUGCAAGGGAGACCGUGAAUCUUGUCCAUGAUUUCCAUGAACAACGAGGCUACCGCAUGGGCUGUGUGUGUCGCUAAAAGCAUGCCAAGAUGAACGCCUUUUGAAAAUCGAUCAACCACUACUAGUAUUAACUGUGUUGUUGUGAUAUGGUGGGAGCCUAGUGAUGAAGUCCAGGGAUAAGUCUUCCCAAGGUCGAUGGGGAACUGGCAGAAGACAUAGUAAUCAUGCUGCUCUUUUUGUCUCGUACUUAGCAUGCUGACAAUAAUACAUUGCGAGACAAACUUCGUGACAUCUUCUCAAAGUCCUGACCAUUCAAAGUUUUCCGUCAAGCGAGUUAUCAUUUUCGCAAUCCCCAUGUGGCCUCCCAAGGGUGUUGUAUGAUACUCCACCAGUAAUGUGGGAAUUAGGGGCAAGUCCUUUGGUAGCCAAAUUUGUCCCUUCCAGAGGAUCAAGUUAUGAACAAGAGUGAAUCCAGAGUGCUUGUCGGGGUCCGCCAUGAUUGCUUGUUGGAGAUGCCGAUACUCAAGAUGAUCCUCCCAUUGGUGGCGCAAUUCUUCAAAGAAAAGAGGGUAAGGGACAAAAAGGCUCAUGUAGAAUGCAUUGGAACCACGCGAGCGCCCUGCCUUCCAUGUAGAAUGAAACUAUGGUAAGUCUUUCAUUCUUUGGUGUGCCAUGGUAUUCGAAGAAUUGGUUGAUUUUGAAAAUCCAACCAAGUGGUUCGGUGCCAUCAAAACGAGGCACAUCUAAUUUCAUUCGGUGAUUGUUUGCAGGUACCGAUGGUGAUGGUGGAGGUGUUGGAGAAGAAGAUGACGAGAGGAUGAGAGUGACACGAUUAAGGAGUUCAUCAAUUUUCUGAGUGAGUAAGUGCAUGGAUUCGCCGAGGGAUAGUUGAUGAUUGGUGAGUUUGAGUAAAACUUCAUCAAGCUUAUCAAAGGUACCCAUGGUGCGGACUGGAUGGAACGAUAGCACCAAAAUUGAUAGAGAAAACUUGAAAGAAAACUGGAUUCGAGGCCAGUACCUCCAGACAAGGCAAGAAAGAAAGGAAACUUAGCUUUUUUCAUAUCAUGUGUGCCUUACAAUUUCUUUAUUUAUACUAAUUCCUUGCUAACAGAAUUUGUCAUUUUGUGCCAAGGAAUAUUUUAGGAAAUCAUUGCCUAACAAUUUAUGGUUACGCUUGUCUCCCUAAGGCCAACCAGCCAUCAUCUACAAAGGCAGACAAUUUUUGACAACGGAAAACUCAAGAUUCCCUCAAGUUCUUUCUUUUGCGGCCCGUGAAAUGGUGGAUGAGUGGAUUUGAGUCAUCAAAGGGCAAGAUUCAUCAAAUUGAUUUUUUAAGCGAUAUAUAUGUAAUUUAGAUAUCUUCUCGAUUUUCCUAUAAUGGAAAACAUGAAUAAACUAAUAGGAAAUUGUAAUUCUACCUUAAUUAGUGAUUUUGAAUGAGAUUUGAUUAAGUAGUUAUGUUACAUAUUUGGAAAACUCUAUUUAUUGUACAUAAUAAUUAUAUUGGGUUCAAAGAGAUUAUUUUUAAUGGAAAAUAUCUUUUCUUUGUUGAAUUAAGGCAUUUUUCUUCACUUCUCCCUUAAAAAAAUUGAAAGAAAAAAAAAAGUGCAUCCCCUUCGGCGUCCCCUGUCCCCUGCAGGAGACAAUCAUAGAAGAAAGUCGAGCCACCUCUCUCUCUCUCUCUCUCUCUCUCUCUCUCUCUGGCGGCAAUAUAUAACAAUUAAAAGGAAAAUAUAAGCCAUUAGUAUUAUUCAGUAACAACAAGAAUCAUUGAACCAGUCAACGCUUACAUUCGAAUAUAAUAUAUAUUGUGUGUAUUGUGUUGCAUAUUUUAUAACACAUCUUCAAUUAUUUACAUAUAAUAUCAUUCCUGUCUAAAGUCUUCUAUAGCACAUGAUGAUUAAAAAAAUGUCCGAGACUCACCCUAUAACAAUACUCAUAAUUUCCGUUGACAUUUCACAUACUCAACUCAUAGAUUAAAGGAGAGGAGAUGUAUGGUGAAAUUGAAAGGUUCAUCAAAGUAUGGAUUUCAGCCAUCUUAGGUUUAUGUUAUUGUUAUUACAUAGCUGCAAGAAUACCAAAGGGCUUCUUGAGACUUCUCUCCCUUCUCCCUAUUCUCUACCUCUUCAUCAUCCUUCCCUUGAACAUCUCUUCACCUAACUUAGUUGGAUACACUUCCUUCUUCCUUGUUCAACUUGGCAUUUUCAAGCUUCUACUUUUUUCCUUCAACAAAGGCCCUCUUGCCCUAUCACCCCCAAAUAUUGUCCAUUUCAUUUCCAUAGCUUCCCUCCCCAUCACCCCAAAACAACAUCCACCAACCAAUAAAAAUAACACCACCAACACCCAAAAGCCAAAAUGGCUAUUGCCCUUAAAAUUGCUUAUUUUUGCAAUGAUCGCACGUUUUUAUGAGUACAAUGAAUACUUCCACCCUCAUUUCAUAUUAGUCCUCUAUUGUCUUCACUUGUACCUUAGCUUAGAGCUUGUUUUUGCUCUUAUUGCAACCCCGGUUCAAACCCUUUUUGGCUUAGAGAUAGAACCACACUUCAACGAACCCUACCUUUCAUCCUCACUUCAAGAUUUUUGGGGUCAUAGAUGGAACCUUAUGGUUAGACAUGACAAGAAAACUCAUACCGGUGGGUAUCCGCCCGAAUCCAUCCUGACUUUAAUGGAUAAUACCCGAGUUAACCGGAUAUAGGUUCGGGUUCGGGUUCGGGUUUGAGUUCGGGUUUUCCCCGAUAAUCAAAGGUUGGGUACGGAUACGGGUAUGAGAUUACUAGAUCUGUCCCGAACCCGAACCCCUCCCGCCACUUAAAAUCUUUAAAACUUUUGCAUAAUUUAAUCAAAAGACAUAGAAUUUUUAUUACUCGUUAAUUUUAUUUUAGAAUUUUUACAUAAUUUAAUAUUAUUUUCUUAACGAUUUUUAUAAACACAUGCGCUAUGAUAAAUUUAUAGAUAUAUAAGUGGUUAAAAAUAAAUGUUUAACAAUCAAUUUAUUUUUUCUAAAAUCAAAUUUUUAAUAUUUUUUUACAAAAAAAAAAUUAUUUUUCUAUUUUGAAUUGGGUAUGGGACGGAGUCAGGGAUACCCGAUACCCGACAGGUACCCAAUGGGUACGGGGAUGGGAUAAUAAACUUUAACCCGUCGGGUAUCGGGUACGGGUAUGGGGAUAUGUUAGGGAGUCGGGAUAAGGGAUUGUGGAGACAAUAUCCGUACUCGCCCCACCCCAUUGUCAUGUCUACUUAUUGUUUCUCGUCUUCUACGCUUUACAGUAUACAACCAUGUAAGCUGUACGAUUACGGGUUUAGUGGGUCCCUCAUGUGCCACGUCAGCUGCCAUGUUGGCCACGUUCCUUGUGUUUGGGCUUGUGCAUGACUUAAUCUAUUAUCAUGUUACAUGUGUACCUCCCACGUGGGAAAUUAUGUGUUUUUUUGUGCUUCACGGUGUGUGCACGGUGGCCGAGGUGGCUGUUAAGAAGGUGGUUCUCCGUUGUGGAUGGUGGCUGCACCGUGCCGUGUCAGGGCCACUCGUGGUGGCAUUCUUGGCUAUCUCAGUAAAUUGGCUGUUUUUUCCUCAAUUGUUGAGGAAUGAAAUGGAUAGGAAGUCCAGUGAAGAGUAUGUAAUUUUGGUGGAUUUUGUUAAGUCUAAGAUAUACCAUUGAGAAUGUUUAACUCUUGAGAGUAAACGUUAAAGGAUGAGAGAGACUUAUAAUUGUAAUAUUUACCUUAAAGGGUAAAACAUUUCGUUUUUUUUUUAAGAAUUAUUUAAUUGUGAAUAAGGCAUAUAUGUUGAAUAUGUUGAAAAAUGAUGAGUGUGACUCAACAGCUAACAUCUGAAAAUGUGCAAGUCUAAAAAUAUUAAAGUAUUUUAUGUUUUUAUUGGAUUUACGUGGGUGUAUAAAAAAAUAUAUGGGUGUAUGAGUUUAGGUUUGAAGGCAAAAAAAUCUUUAUUUAAAUAUUUGAAAAAAAAAGAAACUUAAUUGCACAUAGUGUUUCAAAUGAAAGACACACAUACGUGGUUUAAAAAAAAAUACCAUCUCUAUCUUGGAUUAAUGCAUUGUUCUUUCUUACAAAAUUGGAAAAAAAAAAAAAAAAAGGAAAAGUGUGUCCCCCCUUGCAGCAAUAACAAUUAGAAAAAUAUCAUCCAUUAGGAGAUUUAUAAUUAAAGUGUGUCCCCCCUUGUAGCAAUAACAACUAGUUAGUAAUAAAUGAUUGAACUACUGUUACAGCUGGCUAAGUUUCCUUCUAGAUUAGUCAAAGGCAAGAUCGAGAGGCACAGAAGCGUGGCAAUUAAUUUGGGUAGCUAUAAUCUGCUGCCUGUAGAACUUCAGAAAUAAAAUUGUCUUUGGAAGUGGUAAUUUGUCGUUUGAUGACUUGCUUGGAAUCUGUAAGAUUUAGAACAUGAUCUUGGUUGCACGCCAGAAUAUUUAAAGGCUUCAGUUAUUCCUUGUUUGAGUGGUUAAACAGCCCAAUGAUGACUAUAAUGGUUUUUUUAUUAUUAAAAUGGAUUAAAAAUUAAAAUUAUCAUAAUGGAUUCAUCAAGAAAGUAUUUAUGAAAAUAGAUGAUUUUUGUCACAUAGGAUUAUAAAAAUGACACCUUAUGUUUUUUGUGUAUUUUAUAGCAUUUUUGUCAAUGCUAAAUUCUCGUAUACUCCAUUUUUGUCAAUGCUAAAUUCAUAUUUAACGAUUAGAUCUUAUGUCACAGUUUUACUCAAUUUAAUGAUGAUCAAGCUAAUAUAAAAUACUUAUAAAAUUAAACUCUUGUCUUUACAACAAUUUAAAAUAAAUAUAAAUGUAUAAUUAAUUAUAAAAAAAAAAAGAUACGUAAGCUUAGUAACGAAGAAUAAAGUAAUAAGAGUAUGUAUUUGUAUUUCUUUUGAUAAUGAAGAAUAUUUUUUUGAGACAAAAUAAGACGUAUAAAUUUCAAUUUUUGUAUAUAUAAUUUUUUGGUUGAGUGUCUUUCAGUAAACGACAUCAUGUUUUAAGAUUUUAGUGUCAGCCUCAACUUUUUGGCAUCUAGAGUUGAAUGGGAACAUUCUUUAGUUGUUAUCACUUUGUCCUGAUUGUUUUCUGCUAGCAAAAUAAAUUUUCAGAAAGUCUGUUGAAAGUCAUUCUAAUUAUCUAGAAUCAUGAGAUGCUCUUCAUCCUGAAGUAGUUAAUUGGUCAAGAUAUAUGCGGGGUGUUGAACAUGUACUGAUUUUCGUUGGCUUGAGAAGUUCUACUGUUUCAUUCACACAAAAAGCUCAUAGAUUCUAGUGGGGAUUCAAAGGAGGCUUUUAUGGGGAGGGGGAAAUGAGAAUAAAAAAAUAGCAUGGGUUAAGUGGGGGGAUAUUUGCAAGGAGUAGAGUGAGAGUGGGCUAGGAGUAAAUGAUAUAAGGUCAUUUAACGAGGCUUUGUUGAGAAAUGGAGAUGAAAUUUAUUCCAUGGUGAGGGGAGGGAGUUUUGGCAAGAAGUGUUAAUUUUGAAGUAUGGUGGUUGGAGGGGCAUUCUAAAUGAGGGAGAACAAAUUCAUGAGUCAUGGUGGUGGAGGGAUUUAAAGAGAGUUUGUGGAGGAAAAAAUGAGGUGAAAUGGUUGAAUGGGUUUUGUUGAUGGGUUUAAAACAAGGUUUUGGUUGAAUGAUUGGGUGGAUAGACAAAGUUUAGCUAAUAUUUUCCCUAGACUUUUUUACUAUCUCCGACCAAUAGGAGGAAGUGAUUGUUAAGAUGGGUUCAUGGAGAGAUGGUUCUUGGCGGUGGGAGGUGAAGUGGAGGAGGAACCCUUUUGUAUGGGAGACUAAACUUAUACAACAGCUUCAUCAAUUACUGGAAGGGGUCCAACUACAAAUUUCAGGAGAAGACAGAUAGUUUUGGAAGCAAUGCCCCUCAGGGCAGUUUUCAACUUCAUCGGCCUAUCACUUUAUUCAACAACUUGGAGGGGCGGGAGAAACUUGACAACUUUUUGAGCAGAUAUGGAAAAUUAAAAUUCCACCUAAAGCUAAAAUUCUUAUGUGGAGAAUUUUCAGAGAUAGAAUGCCAACUCUUGAUAACUUGGUAAAGAGAAAUGCCAUUGAUAGGUAUUGUGAUCAAAUGUGUCCUCUCUGUUUGGGUCAUCAAGAAUCUGCUCAACAUCUUUUCAUCUCUUCUAAUGCCAUUCAAGAUGUUUGGUUGGAAUGCAUCUCAUGGAAAUCUCUUUCUCUUGCACAGCCAAGUAGUUUGGAAGUUCAUUUCAGGUAAUUUGCAGGUUUAGGAGGUUCUAGAAUUGAGUCAGAAUUUUGGCAAGCAACAUGGGGAGCAGUGGUCUUUUGUGUGUAGAAAUUGAGGAACGCAGUUGUUUUUAGACAACAGUUAGUGGACAGAAAGAAAUUGAUAGAGGAAGUUAAAUUCCUUAUCUGGUCAUGGUUACAUAAUCUGGAUUCUGGUUUUAAUUUUUCAUUUGUUCAAUGGUCAUCUAAUCCAGCAGUUUGCGUACAUGGAUGGUUUGGCAGGACAUUAUGUAUGUGGCAAGUAGCUGAGUGCAGGAAAUUCGAUAAAAAAUGUGCAGGAAAGGGUAUGUGUAGCAUUGUGGAAUCUGUCAGGUGGAAAUGCUAAUUAUGGAGGUGAGUUCAUUAAUCUAUUUUGCCACAUACAUGCGAAGAACUUGCACUGUGUUAUUAUUAAGAAAACUUCUCUGCAUGAUAUAUGGCUUUUGGCAGUGGGGUAACUUCCACAUGACUUUGUUUUGCAUAAUUUUAUCCAGCAAAGACAUGUUAUAGCUGGUUAGUGGUGGGAUACUAUACUAUGAGAGGAAAUGAGUGAAUUACAAUACUCUGGUAUGUUGUGGAGCUUUGAACGGUUAUUUUUUAUUUAUGCAAUCAUCGCCUAAAUAUAUUGUAACUGCUGUCAUGAGCUGAUAGGGAAGUUCUAUGAACUUUUUGUAUUUACCUCUGGUACCCUUCUUUAUUACAUAUAUAUAACUUUUGCUGAUUAAAAAAAUGUUUUUUCGAUUUCUUGCUGACACUGUAAAAGAUAGUCAUUGAAGUUUAUUGUUUGUAUACUAGAAAUGGUAUAUUUUAGUUGAAUAAAUCAGAAAUAAUAAUAAAACAGAUAAUGUGUUUUGAGGUGCAAUAAACAGGCUCAAAUCAUUAAUAAUAAUAUUAAGAAUAUGUUGCUAUAAAGAUCUGCUGCAAAUCUUGGGUAACGUAAAACCAUUUUUUUUUUUUAAAUUAACGGGUAUUGCUUUCUAACUCAAAUCAUUUUAGCACCAUAUACUGCUGCCUUUUGGUUGACAUGCAAAUGAGGCAAGCUGAAGAUGCCAUAUUUGAAAUAGAAACCACGGAUAAAGAACAUACAAAUAUAAGAUUGGCCUAGUGGUUAGGAAAGAAGGACUUAAGGGUGAAGGAAGAAAGGAGGGAAGAGAGGUCAUAAGUUUGAAUCUCCACACUGAUAUUUUUAACGAAACUAACAUUUGCCCAUACAAAAAAUCACAUAAAGAACAUUGUGUAAUCAACAUGCUAUGAUUUAGCACAUUCCAUGUUACAAUGUGUCUCACCCUUAUAUUAUUUCUAAAAGUUUCCAUAAAGACUACAAGAAAGCUACAAAGAAGGCAAAAGAAAGGUGCAUAUGCUAUACACCUUAACCUUAUAUUAAUGAUGCAUAAAAAGCAAUAUACCCUUCUCAAUGAGAUGUAGGAAUUAUACCCUGGUUGCGUACACUUGUUUUCUUGGACAUGGGAUAUGCAAGUGCAGAUCGUUGCUUGGUUAACCCUUCAAUGAUAAAAGAAAGUGCCCCAUAAGCAAUGCAGCUCUGUAGAAGUGAUUGGGGUGUACCUGGAGAAUCCUAAAGGAUGAGUCAUAAUAACAAUAAAAACGUACAAGAGAAGAAAAUUAAAUACAUAUUUUUCUUUUUGGUGAAUAAAUUACAUACAUAUAGAGAUAGACUUAUACAAAAGAAUUGAUUGAAAUGCCUGAGUCACUAAAGCAGCUUUUUGUUUUGUUUUGUUAGACCAUUCAACAUAGUAAUAAACCUCAACCUUUCCCCAGCCACCAAUUGGAGACAAAAUUGUCUCAAGUGUUUGGCAUGAAGGAUCAUGUUUAUUCAUAGAUUUCAACAAUGAAAGACAAAUUAAAAUUCAUACCUUUGAGAAAAAAGGUUUGGUCAAAAUAGGUAAGAUUACGGUGACCUUUAUCCUUAAUUUCAAUUGGUGCAGAGACCAACAAGUUACUAAAAAUUUCAAGUAAAGGAUGAUAGUUCAUCAAUUAUUAAAAGAAGGGAUAUACCAGGAAAACUUGUAGCAAGACCAGCGCAGCAUCCAGCUACCCCAGCAUUAAUGGCUGCAGAUGUGAAAGGAAUCACAUUAUCAGUGAGAGAACAUUAUAUUGGCGAGGCUUUUUUAAGUUGGCUUCUAACAUAUUUGGCUGAAUUAGAAGUUUGUUUGCCAAAUUAAACCUCUUUGCCAAAGGAACAUAUUUUUAUGAGUGUUUUUGUAACACUUUUCAUGUAGCAUCUGAACACUACCUUAUCAUAAUUCCUUCUUUCUUUUCAUUAAUAGUUUCCAACUAACUUUUUAGCUUCCAACUAACUUAUAUGUUAAGUUUUGUCAAACACAUCAUUGAAAUUAAAUAUUUUAUACCAUCAUCCUUUCCUCGAAGUCUUCCCAAUAUGCAGACAACCAAACUAUCAACUCCGGAUAAAAUUGCAAAUGUCUAAUGAAAACGAAGACAAAAAAUGAAGAUUAUUAAUGAAUGGACAUGUUCAAAUAGGUAUUAAGUUUGCAAAGUAAAAAGCCGGGCAGAAAAUAAACAACAUUGAUCUCUGGUAUACCUUAGCAUUAGAUCCUGCUUCUAUAAAGGAUCCUUUAAAGCCUUUCUUCUUAAUCAAUCCAGCACCUGAAAACAGACCCAUUGAAAGCAUCCUUGAGCACGAACAGAAAUAUCGACCAACUAUCAAACUCUAAGAAUUUGAAUUUCUUGAUCAUAAUCCUCUGCCAGCAUUUCGAAGAUAGCAUAGAUACACAAAUAUUACCUAUGAUUGAAUAAAGCAGAAAAUUUAGUUCAAAAUCCAUUUCUCUAGUUACUUGUUAGGAAAAUAUUAUAUAGAUUCAAAAUUUUAAGUGAUGUUACACACUCACUCCUCUCCAUCUUCACUCAAAGGUAAUAAAUAACUAAUAACAGAAAAGAUUUGAAGGUGAAAUUAUCUACCAAUAGAUUCCUCUUUAAGUUGUGUACAGGAUAUAAACAAAACGGCAUAUACUCCCAAAUUACAAAUUUCUCAGAGGAUGCUAUAAAUUCAAGAAAGAAAAAACAAUUUCAAAUUGCAAAUUCCGUGUAGCCUAUUUGAUUAAGAAUAAAUCUUAGAUUUAGUUGCAAUUAAUUAAGUGCCUUUAGAGUUAUUCUCCUGUCAGAAAUGGAGAUUUACUUUCUAAAUCUUUAAUACAAAUCUUUAUUAUGUGAAUUACAAGUGAAACUCCAAUUAUGAUUGAAAAACAACAUUAAAAGUACCUAAGGUACUGCUUCUAAGAAAUUUAAAAUACCAGAAACAAGAGAAUGACGAAGAAAAACAGAAAAAAUAAAUGGUAACAUCACAAAAAGUAAACAUAAAGCACAUGCAAGUCCAAGUCAGAGAGAGGACCAUAGCCGAAAAGGGAGCCGGUGAGGGCGCCACAAGCAGUGCUAGUGGCGGCAGGGAGAAGAAGGGAAGCCGUGAGCGACGGAGUAGAGGAAGGACCUACAGAUUUUGUAUGAUUGGGAGCAUUGUUCACAUCACUAACCGAAUUAACUGUUACAUCCGAUGCCAUCACUUUUGAGUUUUGACGAUGUGGUUACCCUGCUCUUGACUUGAAUUUAUUCCACACUAACAACAUUACCUCUUUCAACAAUAAACUAAUCAACACUGCUAUUCACAAUUAUUAAUUAGCUAAGUAAAUAUUUAGGAACACAAGGUCCUUCUCUGACUAUGUCAGUUAUGCAAUCCUCAUUGUUAUUAACGAUAAUCAAAUUCUUUGAAGUAUGAAAACAAAGUUCUGUAUAGAAACCAACGAAAUGGGAUAUUUUUUCUUCCUUUUUUAUUUUAAAAAAAAAUCUCGCAAAGUAUAUAGAGUAAACCAAGCAGAUACACAAGAUAUCACCAUUUUAGUCCUAACCAUGAUUUGCAGAUCCUAAAUGACGACGCAAAUCUGCUAAGAGGCAUCCACAAAGUGAAAACGUUGGCUUAUAUGAAUCACUGGCUUAUAUCAAUCGAAUUGAAUCAUAGUGUUAAAUGAAAGGGAAAGUGCAAGUGCAUGAGCUAGUCCUGGUGCAUUACCAUCAACUACAACUGUCCACUCUUGUUCACUCUUGCUUUAAAUGAUUAAUUUUAUUCCAUUGAAGCUCAAUAUUCAUUUCAAAUGAUGAUUACAUGCUCUUUAAAUGAAUUACUGCAUUAACUUUUGACCACAAAACAUAACCAACUAUGAGCGUGAAAGCACACAUCCAAUUACAUGUUAUCUACUCAUGCAUUAUACAGUACAAACCAAAAAAGCCUACUAUUUUCAACAAUGUUUUAGGUGUGAUUGGUUUGAGGGUGAAACCAACCGAAAUGUAUCAACUGUAAGCUUUUCUUGAGGUAAUAAUCAAUGAUUAUUUUGGCUCCAUAAACUACUCGUUUUCAUUGUGUUUGAUACAGGUACAGGGUAUGAAGAAGAAGGUACCGAGGAAGAAGAAGAUAAGAGUUCAGCUCAAAAGAAGAAUGAGGGGGUGCAGGGAGAAGAAAAGCCCAAAAGAAGGAUUACUAAACCCAGCUACUUAAAGGACUACGUUUAGAAAGAAUUACAUAGCAGCCUCACACACUCAGCCUCAUACUUAAUAGGAAAUUGUUAAGAGAAAUACAUAACCAAUUCUGUUAUUCUAUAUUCUAGAAUGAUUCCUACUUAGCCAGCUCAGCACUAUUCUGUUAGGAAACCAUCUAUAUAAUACCAUGUAAUAAUAAUUACGAGGCAAUGAGAAUAUUCAAGCAUUUCCUUACCUUCUUAUCUUCUCUUCUUAAGGAGGAUUCUGGACCUCGAAUUCCAGAGUUAUCAGUGUUCCUAUUGGUAUUGAAGCUAUUAGUUUCAGGCUAUAAUAAAUUGUAGUAGCUGAAUGCGAUUGUUAGGGAAACAAACCCUUUUAACUACAAUGAACAUCAAAGACAGAACACACUAACAACACCACCAUAAAAAAGAAAUAUGGGAAGAACACAUCAAAGGAUAAAAAACACUAACUGCAACUCCAUAAAAUAGAAAUAGUAGAACAACACAAAUUUAACAUUUUCAGUACUUCUUGCUUAUGUCCACAAAAAUAUCUUAAUAAAUAUUCAUUAUCUCAAAUAAGUUUGGUUUAGGCUUACUAAUAUGUUGGGCCCGGCCCUGAGGAAUGGUCAACCAACAUAAUAUAAUUAAGUCCAUGCAUUCUUAAAUUUUAAGGGACGUACAGGUAUGAUAUAUGCAUGGUGCGAUUCUUGACAGUGGGUGUCUCUCGCCGAUAAUGACAUAAUUACGUAGAUGAGGGGGUGAGUAUGUUGUGUUUGAUGGUUAGUCUUGCAUCUUCCUUUGUGUAUUUAUUCUUAUGUAGAUUAAGAUGUAAGGCGCAGUCAUUUGUUGGGUAAUGCUUUCUUUUGAGCCUUAGGGGUAGGCUAGUAGUUCUUUGCAUUCCAUGUACGGGCCAAUGCAGCCACUUGUAUUUGCACUGCUUGUGCUUCUAAUUAUUAUUAUUAUUAUAUAUAUAUAUAUAUAUAUAUUAUUUCGUCGAUAAAAAGAAAAACUUAUCGUGUGACCCUAAUAUCAAAUAAUCAAUACCAAUCCACAAAAAGAGAAAGAAAUAACCUACUAUAUAGAGUCAAACAAGUAGUAUAUAAUUUGAGUAGUUUCAUGAAAUCAUAAGUUUUAAAUGUUAAGUUUGUGUUCAUCUUCUUAAGCUAUGAUAAAUGAAAUUAUAUAUAUUGAAAUGGAUUUUAUUUAAAAAUAAAUAGAAUUUUAGAAAAACAAUGAGGUUUUUGUGAUUAAAUAAAUCAGGAGAAAUAAUUUUAUUAAUUAAAAUAAUGUUUGUAAGGUAAAUAAAAUAAAUAUAUGUCCUUAGAAAAUAAAAAGAUGUUUUAUUUAUUAAUUUCAUAUAAAUUAAAAUAGAAUUCCUUUUAAUAAAAUAAAUAUAUGCUCUUUUAAGACUUUAACAUAUUCUUUUUUUAUACACUAUUUUCUAUUAGUUGAAAUUAAUUAUUUUAUCUCCAUUUUUAUUUAUAAGACUUUUAAAAUGAUAUUUAUUCUAUUUUAUAAAACUCAAUGUAUAAUAUUUCGUAUUUAUUUAAAAAUUGGGUAGCGUGAUAUGGUAUGGAUACGGUGACAAAUAAUUAACAUUAACAAUGGCAAAUUCAGUGCUGGCAUACACGUUCAGCUUUGUCUGAAUCUAGCGCUGGUCAUAUCUAGCAUGUGUUUUUAAGACAAGUGGAUGAUACUUCAACUAGCGCUGUUCGUAUUAGUUGGUUCAACCAUAAUGGCAUAUUUCAAUACAUUGGAAUAAAUAACUACUUUAUAAAUUAACAAUACAUCCAACUUGCUGAAUCAAAGAAUAUUAAAUAUUAAUCAAUUGUCCUCCUCUUACUACGGACAUGGCUAUAUAUAAUGUUGAAGAGCAUCAAGUUUUGCACUCACAACAAACCAAAAAAACAGAGCUAGCUAGCUAGACUAAAAUGGCUGAAACUGCAGUGUCCUUGGCUGGUCAGCAUGCGCUUCCAAAAAUAUUGGAAGCUGUCAAAAUGCUGAGAGAUCUCCCAAAGGAAGUUAGAGACAUUACAGAUGAACUUGAAAGCUUUCAAGAUUUCAUCAAUGAUGCUGAUAAAGUGGCUGAAGCUGAACAAGAUGAUGGAAGGCGUCAUAGAAUAAAAGAAAGGGUGAUGCGGCUGAGAGAAGUAGCUUUUUGCAUGGAAGAUGUCAUUGAUGACUAUAACAUCUCCUGUGAGGAUAAGCAACCUGAUGAUCCUCGAUGUGCAGCUUUACUAUGUGAGGCUGUUGCCUUCAUCAAAACUCAAAUCCUUCUCCUUCAAAGUGCAUAUAAGAUUCAGGAUGUAAAAUCCCUUGUUCGUGCUGAAAGAGAUGCUUUCCAAAGCCAUUUUCCAUUAGAGCAAAGACCAACCAGUUCUAGAGGAAAUCAAGAUGGAAGAUGAGGUUGUGGGGCUUGAUGGCCCUAGAGGUAUAUUGAAAAAUUGGUUGACAAAGGGAAGAGAAAAACGCACUGUCAUAAAUUGGUUGACAAAGGGAAGAGAAAAACCACUCUUGCCAAGCAAGUUUAUGACCAGGUGCGUAACAAUUUCGAGUGCCAUGCGUUGAUCACAGUUUCUCAAUCCUUCUCUGCUGAAGGAUUGCUGAGGCAUAUGUUGAAUGAGCUUUGCAAAGAAAAAAAGGAGGACCCUCCCAAGGAUGUUUCUACCAUCGAGUCGUUGACAGAAGAAGUCAGAAACCGCUUGCACAACAAGAGGUAUGUUGUCUUGUUUGAUGACGUAUGGAAUGGAAAAUUUUGGGAUCACAUUGAAUCUGCUGUAAUUGAUAAUAAAAAUGGAAGUAGGAUAUUAAUCACAACCAGGGAUGAGAAGGUUGCAGAAUAUUGUAGGAAAUCAUCAUUUGUUGAGGUGCAUAAGCUAGAAAAACCUUUAACUGAAGAAGAAUCUUUGAAAUUGUUCUGUAAGAAGGCAUUUCAGUAUAGUUCCGAUGGAGAUUGUCCAGAAGAACUUAAAGAUAUAUCUCUUGAAAUUGUUAGAAAGUGUAAAGGUUUACCUCUAGCAAUAGUGGCCAUUGGUGGUCUUUUGUCUCAAAAAGAUGAAAGUGCACCUGAAUGGGGACAGUUUAGUCGAGAUCUAAGUUUAGACUUGGAGAGGAAUUCUGAGUUAAAUAGUAUAACAAAAAUUUUAGGUUUAAGUUAUGAUGAUUUGCCGAUCAAUCUCAGAUCAUGUUUAUUGUAUUUCGGAAUGUAUCCGGAGGACUAUGAAGUUACAUCUGAUAGAUUGAUUAGACAGUGGAUAGCUGAAGGGUUUGUCAAACAUGAAACCGGAAAAACAUUGGAAGAAGUUGGGCAACAAUAUUUAUCAGGGUUGGUCCGUAGAAGUUUGGUGCAAGUAUCCUCAUUUAGAAUUGAUGGCAAAGUUAAAAGGUGUCAUGUUCAUGACUUAAUACACGACAUGAUCCUUAGAAAAGUCAAGGAUACAGGAUUUUGUCAGUAUAUUGACGGGCCUGAUCAAUCUGUAUCAAGUAAGAUUGUUCGACGCCUGACAAUUGCAACCGAUGAUUUUAGUGGAAGUAUAGGAAGCUCACCCAUUCGGUCAAUUCUUAUCAUGACAGGAAAGUAUGAAAAAUUAUCUCAAGACUUGGUAAACAAAUUCCCUACAAAUUACAUGGUACUGAAGGUACUUGAUUUUGAAGGUUCUGGUUUACGUUAUGUUCCUGAAAAUUUGGGGAAUUUAUGCUACUUGAAGUAUUUAAGCUUCCGGUAUACAUGGAUAACAAGUCUACCAAAAUCCAUUGGCAAGCUCCAGAAUUUGGAGACCUUGGAUAUAAGAGACACAAGGGUGUCUAAGAUGCCAGAGGAGAUUCGUAAGCUUACUAAGCUACGUCAGCUUCUGUCUUAUUAUACGGGUUUAAUUCAAUGGAAGGAUAUUGGAGGCAUGACAUCCCUACAAGAGAUACCUCCAGUGAUUAUAGAUGAUGAUGGAGUGGUCAUUGGAGAGGUAGGAAAGCUAAAGCAGUUAAGGGAACUGUUGGUGGUAAAAUUUAGGGGAAAACACGAAAAGACUUUGUGUUCCGUAAUAAAUGAGAUGCCACUCUUGGAGAAACUACAUAUUUAUACAGCUGAUUGGAGUGAAGUAAUUGACUUGUACAUUACGUCACCUAUGUCUACACUUAGGCAGCUUGUCCUAUGGGGGACGUUAACAAGGUUGCCAAAUUGGAUUUUACAGUUCCCAAAUCUUGUGCAACUGUCUUUGGUGGGCUCCAAGUUGACUAAUGAUGCAUUCAAUUCACUAAAAAAUAUGCCAAGGUUGUUGUUCCUGGAUUUAAGUUACAAUGCUUAUGAAGGUGAAACUUUGAAUUUUCAAGGUGGAGGGUUUCAGAAACUAAAGCGACUGCAACUCAGAUAUUUGGAUCAAUUGAAGUGCAUCCUUAUCGACAGAGGAGCACUGUGUUCUGUGGAAGAAAUUGUUUUACAAGACCUCUCCCAACUCAAAACAGUUCCCUCGGGAAUUCAACACUUGGAGAAGCUUAAAGAUCUCUAUAUCAACUACAUGCCAACUGAAUUGGUGCAGCGCAUUGCUCCUGAUGGAGGAGAAGACCACUGGAUCAUCCAAGAUUUGCCCCAUGUACGUAUUUGGAGCAGGGGUGCUGAAGAACCUUCGCAUAUAUUCGGCAGAAGUCAUCACUAAGAUGCGUCCAAAUUUGAAAAUUGAAGGUGCCUCUUUUUCACAUCUAUAACUUUGUAGAAUGACAUUCGUGGCCUUUUUCUUUUCUUCAAUAAAAAAUGCAACCAUUAUCUAAUUCCUAAAAGAAUUACUUUUGCCUCAUUCUCUCUUCUAGUAUUUGCUUCAUUUUUCUUUCUCUACAACAUCUCACGUACAAGUUAGGGAUAGAAUUGUCUAACAAGUAUAGGCCUACACCAACCAAAGUUAACGUUUCUUCAUUAUAAGAUUCUCACCAUUAUAAUCCUUUCUAUUAUUGUGCUCAGAAUUGGUAGAUGUUGACCUCAACUGGAUUGAGUUUUUUAUUUCCAUGUUGAUAAAUACUUGAAAAUUUUCAUUGUAUCAUUUUAAGAAGAAAUUAACUUGGUGUUUUUAUAGGGUCGUAAGCAUAUACUUCGUGUAAAUGUUGUGGGUUUUUAAAGUUUCAUUAUGAUUAAAGUCCAAUAAUGUGGAUUUUUUUCAUAAAUUAGAUUGUGUUAAAUGUUUCUAAUUUUGAUGCUUUGAAGUUUGACCCACUUUGUACAAUCAUGAAUUUAGGAAAGCACUGAGGGAAGAUUGUAAGAGGUGUUCCAAAUUCAAUGUUUCCGACGUUCCAAUCAUGUGGUUUUUGAGUGUUAAUUAUUACGUCCAUUUUAGCGUUAUUAACACCAACACAAUAUGAAGAAGCUAAAAAUAGUGUUCCUACAAAGGCAGACAAUUUUUGACAACGGGAAAACUCAAGAUUCCCUCAAGUUCUUUCUUUUCCAGCUUGUGAAAUGGUGGAUGCAUGAGUGGAUUUGAGGCAUCAAAUUGAUUUUUUAAGCUUCCUUCUUCUCUUUCUCUUGUUUCCCUUUUUUUCUAAAAUGUGUACUCAAAUUUUUGUUAACUUGAUGUAAUUUGAAUUCUUAUCUAUAAUUCAAGUUCAUUUCUUUUAAAUUGAUUGUUUGUCUUUGUUUUAAUUUAAUGCCUUUAUAAAUUGGCAUUUGGUUACUUAUAGUACCUUGAUCGCAUAUUCUUAUCUACAACUGUGAAAUUGAAAUAAAGAUUGAAUUUAAGGUAUAAUGCAACAAGAUUGGAUAUUCUAUAGUAAUAAAUAUCAACAAUUACGCUAAUUUAGGGUGUGUUUGAUUUGUAUUUUCAUUUUCUGUUUUCAUUUUCUGAAAAUUAUUUUCAUUUCCAAAAGAUUAGAAUUCUGAAAAUAUGUUUUGUUUGACUUCUUGUUUUCUGUUUUUAGGAAAUUAAAACACUGAAAAUUUAUGAUAUAUUGACUUCUUGUCUUUUUUUAUUUUUAGAUUUACUUAAAAUUACAUUUAUUGUCAUCACAUUUUUAUUUUACCCAAAAUGAGGUUCCUGUUUAUAACUGAAAACGAAAUUUUAUUGUUUUCAUUUUCUGGUUUUUUUUCUGUUUUUAUUUUCACUGGAAACGUUUUAAAAAAUUCAACCAAACACAUUUUCAUCACCAUUUUCUGUUUUCAGUGAAAAUGAAAACAGAAAACAGUCAAACCAAACACCCCCUUAGAUAUUCUUGAACCUAAUGAUUACCCUAAUUGAGAAAUUCUAAAGAUUUAGAAUUUUCAAUUGCGGAAGAGUUUUUGAAUUAAGAUAUAUUCACCUUCAAUUACAAUAGUAAAUAAUAAAUUCAGUUUCCAAUAUGCUUCUAGAACUUGAAUUGGAGUGAAAAUUUGGGUUGUACAUGUUAAGCUUGGGGUGACCUCGUACGAUAACAAGACAUGUUAGAUCCUCUUAGCAUAGUGCUUCAGCAAUUUUGGUACCCAAACUUUUAUGUUCAGGUUUGAUCCCAUAUUUUUCAAAAAAAAAAAUAAUGGUUGAAUAUAUGUUAUUAAAAUCAAUUUAUAUAUCACUUAUAUGGAGUAAGAUAAAUUUUUCAAGGCUUAAUUUUAUCUUUUUGUCUCAUUCAUUAUUUAUUUUAUUUAAUUUUAUCCUCCUAAUAAUAAAAUCGUUAAUUUGAUUGCUUAAUUUCAAAUCGAUUCAAUUUGGUCUCUUUGCUCCAAAUUCACUUGACGUUGUUUAUUAAUUGUGGGAUGGGAUUGAAUCAAAUAAAGGAACAAAUUAAAUUGUUUAUUAAAAUUGAAAAAAAAAAUGAAAAAACAGUGAGAACAAGAAGUUUAUUAAGGGGUCAAAUUGCACCGUUUUGAAAAUUAAAGUACUAAAUUAAAUUUUUUAUUAAUAAAGGACCAAUGCUAAAUAAAUAAAUAGCACGACAAAAAAGUAGGAUUUUUUUUUUACUCAGAAAAUUUGAAAAUUUUAUUGAAUUCUAAAAUAUUCAAUUAACUUGCCUAGUUUUUUGUUUAUUCACUCUCUUUUUUUCCUUUUAAUCCUUGAUGUUUGAAAACUUCAAAAUUAUUUUUGAUCACAAACAUAUUUUAACUCUCAUAAAACAACAAAACAAUGUUUUCUAAAAUGGGACAGUUAUCAGUUAUUGAUAAAUCACUUUCUGAGUGAUAUUUUGUACAAACUUUUGUAUUAUUUUAUAUGCAUUUUUUUGAUACAAUUCACAUUUGAACAUUAGUUUUGUAUUCGAGAAGUAUAACUACUCAAUUGAGUGAAAGAGUAGAAAAUUGUACAAAUUUAUGAAGAUUUAAGAACUUUACAUAACUUGAUUACUAUUGUGGUACAUUGAUUACGAUCGUGAUAAUCAACAUGAUCACAAUAAAGUGAUAACAGUCAUCCCUAAUGUUUUUAUAAUAAAAAUGUGAUAUUGAUUUAAAUGUUUAUUUAAUCUCACAAAAAUCAUUUAAAGAAAUAGUUAGACCUAAAAUCAAAAUAUAAAUAUAAUAACACCAAAAAUAAAAAUUUAAACACAUGAAUUUUUAAUAAUUAUAAAUAUAGAUUUACCUUAUGUCUUGUCGAUCUAAAAGAGUUAAAUUCACUGUAACUUUUAUUGGUACAACUAACACUACUUACAAUUACAAUAAACAUUGUUUUAUCACAUUUACACAUUAGGAAGAUCAGAAAUUCAGUUGAUGUUGUAGUAGGACAAAAAUAAGGAGACAAAAUCACUAACGUGUUCACAAAAAUAUUUAGAAUUAGCUAAGGCUUUAGUUUUUAAAUUUUUUUAAAUUUGAUUUUAAUCACUAAAUUCUUUUUUGACUAGUCAAAGUUUUUUAACUUUUAGAAAUUUUAAUUUUUAGUUCUUGAAUAAAAAAUUAAAUCUAUUAUUUUUAUUAAUUUAAUGAGUUUUUAAUAAUUAUAAAUCGAUUUUUUAAAAGUUUAGAAAUUAAAAAUCUUAAUGAAAAAAAGUCGAGAGACAUUGACCCGUCAAAUAAAAAUGUAAGAACUAAAAAUCUUGAUAAAAAAAUUGAAAGAUCUUGAUGAAUAGAAAAAAAAUUUAAAAAUUAAAAACUAAAUUUUGAAAAAGUUUAGUAAUAAUUAGCCCAAAUAUUUAAGAGAGAUGCUGGAAUCUCAAAGUCUUCCUAUCAAGUCUCAAGGUAGACGUUGCACUAACGUUUUUGUAAACACUAGCGUGGAUAAAAAAAUAUGAUGUCAAUUUGAUGUAGAUAAAAGUAUGUCGUAAUAAAAAAAUCGUAUUAAGUGUAUAUAUCAUUUUUUAAAUUAUUAUUAUAAAAGUUGAUAAUUAAAUUUAUUAUAUAUAUAUACCAUUUAUGAUUAGAUGAGAGAGUAAAGUCUUAUAUUUUCGCAUUAACUAUAUCUUGCUUCUACAAAACAUUUAUUCUUAGCCAAUUUAUCACCAGAAGACUCUUUGUAAGCAUCUUUUAGUAGUAUUAAACUCUCUAGGAAAAUCUUCAUCCAGUAUUUUAAUGACAACUAGGUGAUCCUUGAUCCUGCGAAAAAAUAGGAAAGCAAAUUUUGUUCUUCUAAAUUAAAGACCAACGAAAUAGAUCAAAAAUUUCCAUUUUUGAAAGAAAAAAGAGAGUAAAUUUUAAAGCUUAGAGUAAAACCAUAUGGAAUGAUAAGAAGGAUACACCAGCCUGUAUAUAGCUUUUGAAAGUAAAUAGAAUAGCUUAAUUACCCUCUUUCACCAAUGGUUAACCUAGUUAAAAAAAAAAAACUGUUCCUGUGGAUCAGCAUUUAAUUUCUUACUCAUCAUAUAAUAUAUUAUUAUUGCCAGCAUCGAUUAGAUCAAAUCAGAUGGCUGACCUAUUCAACGACAAUUCAUCAUCUCGGACCAGUUUAAAGAUCAAUCCUCAAAAUGAUGAAUUGUGUAAAUUAUUGGCGCAAACUAAAACACUAGAGCCAAAUGAAUAAUUAAAAUAAUAUAUAUAUAUAUAUAUAUAUAUAUAUAUAUAUAUAUAUAUAUAUAUAUAUAUAUAUAUAUAUAUAUACCUGCAAGGUAAAUACUUUGACAAGUGUAAGAUAUUUUAUUUAAAUUUUAUCCGUACAAUAACACUGACAAAUACAUCUGACAUUGUUUAAUUAAUCACAUUUAUAUACAAUUAACUAGAUAGCAAAUUCACAACUUGCUAUAGCACGACAAAAAUAAAGGGAAAAAUAUCACAACUUGUUCAUAGUAUAUUUAAGAUAGAUGAUGCUGAAAAGUUCAAAGUCUUCCUCUCGACAGAUGUGAUAAAAUUUUUAUAUAACACUUAUGGGUACAAAAUAUAUAACACUAAUAUGCUAUAGAUAAAGGAGAUGUAUUCGAGAAAACCUGAUCGCCAUAAAAGUUAAUCAUAUCUGUAUAAUUAUGCAUAGAUUAUUAUUUUACUUAAAAUUAAUUUUAUAUUUAUUGUAUUUGUACAAUUAAGAUUAAUUAAUCGUGCGUGAGACUAACAAGAGUUGACACAUUUGAUGGAGACUUUUGUCCACACUUGCUAUAACUUGACAGUCUUCCUUGACUUUACAAGAGGUGGCAUGGCUUCCCCUAUUGUAAUUUUUCACCUCAAAAAUAGGAUGAAUAGUACGUGAGAACAUCAUCUUACCUGGAUAUAAAAAGGGCAAUAUGAAAAUAUACAAGAUAUUAUAAUAAAGUUUGUGUCAAUGUGUGUCAUCGCGUGUGGCUAACAUGAAAUCAAUACAUUGAUCGAAUGGAGAAAGAAAGAUCAUAAUCAUAAUAAGAAAAAUAUUAGAGCAUGUUCUUUUAAGACUUUAACAUGGUCUUUUUUACACACUGUUUUCUAUUAGUUGAAAUUGAUUAUUCCUUUCCUGUUCCUAUUUAUAAGACUUUUAAAAUAAUGCUUAUUCUUUUUUUAUAAAAUUUAAUUUAUAAUAUUUCUUACACUCAAUUAUUUUUAAAAUAAAUAUGCAUCAUUAAAAAAAUAACAAAUAUAUCAAUAAACCAUUAGACGAGAGAAAAUUUUAAUGACAAAAAUAAUUUUAAAAAAUAUUAUAAAUGUAAGACAAACUUAUUAUUAUGAAUUAAAUUAGUCACUUUCUUUAAUCAUAAUGAAUUAGGUAAUUGCAUGGAGGGACUAAAAAUCAUAAAAUUGAAUGGAUUUCAUCAGUUCUUAUUUAAAGGACCUUACUCAUGAUUUUUCAUUUUUAACAAAUUUCAAUCAAUAAGAAAGUGUGCUAGAAAGUGUAAUGCCAACACUCAAAACUUUGUGUUGUAAUACUAAUUUAAUGUGGUUAACUAAUUUUCUUAAUUAGAACAAAUGAGUAUUUUCUUUGGUAAAUGCCAACUAGUAUCCUUAACACAUUAGGUAAAGAACUUAAAGUAGAAAUAUUUUAAUGGAAGAUAGAAAAUUACGUUGCUCAUGAUUUUUUUGAAUUCUCUUAAUCUUUACAGUGAAUAUUUUCUUCUUUUAGUUUCUUAACUAGUGUUCUUUUCUUCUUUUAGUUUCUUAACUAGUGCUCUCAGGGCACAAGUUUAGCAAGACCAUUUUUCUUAUAUUUGAGAUCCAACAGAGUAUGAACUUUACAGGUUUUUGUGCAAUUGGUCCGAAUUUAGGUUAAAUUAAGAUUAAAUCCUAAUGAGUCAUGUUGAAUAUAUUAUAUAUUGGUUAUAUUUGAUUUUUUUUAAAAUAAAUCAUUCUAUUGUCAUUUAAAAUUUUUAUCUCCAUUGAGUGUUGAUUUUUUAUUAUCUAAAACUGUAAGCAAAUGAAUAUAUUAGAGAAUCAAACAAACUGUAAUUGGAUAUUCAUAUUUGAAGUAAAAAAAAAAAAAAGAGAGAGAGAACUAAUCAAUCAAACCAAUUUGAAUCAAAAUAAUUGAUUUGAUUUAGAUUGUGAGUUUAUCAAGUCAAUUUGAUCAAUGCUCCUAAAAUAAAGAAAACAAGUGAAAAAAAGAGGGAAAAGAAGUUUAAAAUGACCCAAUUUGUUAGAUUUUCUUUUCCGUUUGUUACUAUAUUAUAGGUGUAAAAGUAAUCUAUCAACUUUGUCAAUCAAUAUUUCCGUUAGAGAAUGUGACUCGUACACCAUUAGUGAUUGUUUGUUCCUCCGUUUUCUCGGAAAAUAAACAAAGCUUGAAAGAUUGGCCGCUUGAAUUGAUAUUGCACUGUAUCUGUUUAACAAGUGGUACUUUAAACAUUAAACUGUUUUUUUAUGAUAUAUUCACAAACAUAUUUGUCUUUUUUAUUCGUUUAAACUUUGUAGUUGCAGAGUUCAGAUGUAUAUUGUUAAGCAAAUAAGCUGGUAACGGAAGCAUGAGCCUAAAGCUACAGAGCCAAUAGAACAAGCAAACAUUAAUUUAUUCCUAACAGGCAAUUAAGUUGACAAGCAGGGCCGUUUAAUUUUGUUGGUAAAACUAAUACCGACAAACAUCAUUAUUUGAAUCGAAUAAUUAGUUUUCAUACUUAUUUAAAAACUGGGUAGCGUGAUAUGGUAUGGAUACGGUAACAAUUAAACAAUUAACAUUAGCAAUGGCAAAUUCAGUGCUGGCAUGCACGUUGUGUCUGAAACUAGGGCGGGUCAUAUCUAGCAUGUGUUUUUAGAAGGAUUCCACGGAUUUGUUUCAAGGUCCCGCAAUUGAGAAAACUGCUAUCUUCCAAGCAAACUCGUUUGAUUCGAUCUAGACUAAGUUAACACAAGUUUAGUCUGCGUGUCUACUGAGUCUUGUCUCAAUAUGCUAAAAAUGAAUUUAAAUACUAUUAAUUUAACCCGCAUGAAUCAAAUAGACUAUUAAACUCAUAUGAAUAGUACGUGAAAAUAGACUUGUGAGUUAACAGAGUUUAGUUUGAGUGUCUAGUGAGUCUUGUCUCAAUAUGCUAAAAAUGAGUUUGAAUACUAUUUAACCCGCAUAAAUCAAAUAAACUAUUAAACUCACAUGAAUAGUAACUGAAAAUAUCAUCUUACAUACCACUGGUUAUAAAAAAGGUAAUAUGAAUAAUAUGUGAGAACAUCAUUUUACAUACUUAUUGGAUAUAAAAAAUAGCAAUAUGAAAAUAUACAAGAUAUUAUAAUAAAGUUUGUGACUAUGUGUGUCAUCGUGUGUGACUAACAUGCAAUCCAUCCAUUGAUCGAAUGAAGAAAAAAAAAUCAUAAUCAUAAUAAGAGAAAUAUUGACAGCGUGCUCUUUUAAGACUUUUAAAAUGAUUUUUUUUUAUAAAGCUCAAUUUACAAUGUUUUUUAGAUUAAUUAUUUUUAAACUAAAAAUAUUCAUCAUUAAAAGAAUUAAGAAAAAGAAUGUAUUUACAAAUCAGCCUUAUUCAUGAUUUUUUUUUAGUUUUAACAAAUUUCAACCAAUAAGAAAGUAUGCUAGAAAUGGCCAACAGUCAAAACUUUGUGUGGUAAUACUAAUUUUAAGGGCUAACCAUAAUUAGGUUUUCUUUAUGAGAGAAAAGUAAUACUUCCUUUAUAAGCUAAAAUUUAUUUUUUUAGUUUCAAAUAUAAGAAAUUUUCAAGUAAAUUUACUUUAUUUAAUGUUAUUAUCUCUAAAAUAUCCUUCAUUUAAUUGAGGUUUUUUUCAAUGAUUUUUUAUGUUUAAUAUGAAGUUUCAAUGAAGGAUAUGUUGAGAAAAAAAUAAUUUUUAAUUAAGAUUGAUGAAUUAAAUGUUAUUAAUUAACUUUCUUGGUUAGUACAAAAAAAUAUUUUGAGACCGAAGGGAGGGAGUAUGAAUUUUACAAGUUUUUGUGCAAUUGGUCAAAAUUUAGAGGAAAUUAAAAUUAAAUCCUAACCAGUCAUAUCCAAUUAUAUAUUGGUUAUAUUUGAAAUUUAAAAAAAAUAAAUCAAUCUAUUUUCUUUUAAGUUUUUAUCUUCACUAAGUGUUGAUUUUUAUGAUUUUAAACUUUAUGUUAAUGCAAGGCAAAAAAAGACAAAUUAGAGAAUCAAACAAAUUGUAAUUUUUUAAAGCAAAAGAAUAUAGUAGAGAAUCAAACAAACUGUAAUUGGAUAUUCAAAUUUGAAGUAAAAAAAACUAAUUAAUCGAACUAAUUUGAAUCAAAAUAAUUGGUUUUAUUUAGAAUGUUGAGUUUAUGAUCAAGUCAAUUUGAUCAAUGCUCCUAAAAUGAAGAAAAUAAAUGAAAAAUAAGAGUAAAAAAGAAGUAUAAAAUGACCUAAUUUCUUAGGUUGUUUAUGUUAUUAUAUUAUAGAUGCAAAGUAAUCUAUCAGUUUUACCAACAAAUAAUUUCUAUUAGAGAAUCUGAUUUGUUCAUCUUUAGUGAUUUUUUAUGAGAGAAAAAAUUAAAAAAAGAAUCUUUAUUUUAUAUUUAAUUAUGUAGAAAAUUUUAAAAAAAGUUAUAUAUACUCAAAAUAAGAAGUAUAUAUACUAAAAAGGAUAGUUUUAUAUCGUCCUUCUUGCAUGUUCCCUCCGUUUUCUAGGAAAAUAAACAAAGCUUGAAAGUUAGCCCGCUUGAAUUGAUAUUGCACUGUAGCUGAUUAACAAGUUGUACUUUAAACAUUAAAAUAAGAAGUAUAUUCACAGAUAUUGUCUUUUCUGUUCGUUUAAACUUUAAACAUUAAAAUGAGAAGUAUAUCAUAAAAUUGAAAAGAAGAUUCAUAAAUCUGAAUCUUAAAGUUUUAAAUUAAAAUGUGUUGUAAAGUUUUUUUAUUUGAUUUUUUAUGGUUCAUUCCUGUAAAUCUUCAAUUAUGUGAUAGCGUGAUAUGGUAUGGAUACAAUGACAAACAAUUGACAUUAACGAUGGCAAAUUCAGUGCUGACAUCCAACUGUUAUAUCUAGCAUGUGUUUAUAGGACAAGUGGAUGAUACUUUAACUUCCACAUGCCAACUAUUAUGACUUCGUAUUAAUUGGAAUAAAUAACUACUUUAUAAAUUAGCAAUACAUCCAACUUGCUGAAUAAAAUAAUAUUAAAUAUUAAUCAAUUGUCCCCCUCUUACUACGGACAUGGCUAUAUACGUUCAAGAACAUCAAGUUUUGCAAUCACAACAAACCAAAAAGCAGAGCUAACUAGCUAGACUAAAAUGGCAGAAACUGCAGUGUCCUUGGCUGGUAAGCAUGCCCUUCCAAAAAUAUUGGAAGCUAUCAAAAUGGUGAGAGAUCUCCCAAAAGAAGUUAGAGACAUUACAGAUGAACUUGAAAGGUUUCAAGAUUUCAUUAAUGAUGCUGACAAAGUGGCUGAAGCUGAACAAGAUGAUGGAAGGCGUCAUAGAAUAAAAGAAAGGGUGAUGCGGCUGAGAGAAGCAGCUUUCCGCAUGGAAGAUGUCAUCGAUGAAUAUAACAUCUCCUGUGAGGAUAAGCAACCUGAUGAUCCUCGAUGUGCAGCUUUACUAUGUGAGGCUGUUGACUUCAUCAAAACUCAAAUCCUUCGCCUUCAAAGUGCGUACAAGAUUCAGGAUGUUAAAUCGCUUGUUCGUGCUGAAAGAGAUGGUUUCCAAAGCCAUUUUCCUUUAGAACCAAGACUAACAAGUUCUAGAGGAAAUCAAGAUGUCACCUGGAAGAAACUUCGAAUGGAUCCUCUCUUUAUCGAGGAAAAUGAUGUUGUGGGGCUUGAUGGCCCUAGAGAUACAUUGAAAAAUUGGUUGACAAAGGGAAGAGAAAAACGCACUGUCAUCUCUGUGGUGGGAAUUCCUGGGGUGUGAAAAACCACUGUUGCCAAGCAAGUUUAUGACCAGGUGCGUAACAAUUUCGACUACUAUGCAUUGAUCACAGUGUCUCAAUCCUACUCUGCAGAAGGACUACUGAGGCGUUUGUUGGAUGAGCUUUGCAAAGUUAAAAAGGAGGACCCUCCCAAGGGUGUUUCUAACAUGGAGUCGUUGACCGAAGAAGUCAGAAACCGCUUGCGCAACAAGAGGUAUGUUGUCUUGUUUGAUGACGUAUGGAAUGAAACAUUUUGGGAUCACAUUGAAUCUGCUGUAAUUGAUAAUAAAAAUGGAAGUAGGAUUUUAAUCACAACCAGGGAUGUGAAGGUUGCUGGAUAUUGUAAGAAAUCAUCAUUUGUUGAGGUGCUUAAGCUAGAAGAACCUUUAACUGAAGAAGAAUCAUUGAAAUUGUUUUCUAAGAAGGCAUUUCAGUAUAGUUCCGAUGGAGAUUGUCCAGAAGAACUUAAAGAUAUGUCUCUUGAAAUUGUUAGAAAGUGUAAAGGUUUACCUCUAGCAAUUGUUGCCAUUGGUUGUCUUUUGUCUCAAAAAGAUGAAAGUGCACCCGAAUGGAAACAGUUUAGUGAAAAUCUUUGUUUAGACCAGUUGGAGAGGAAUUCUGAGUUAAAUAGUAUAACAAAAAUUUUAGGUCUAAGUUAUGAUGAUUUGCCGAUCAAUCUCAGAUCAUGUUUGUUGUAUUUCGGAAUGUAUCCGGAGGACUAUGAAAUUAAAUCUGAUAGAUUGAUUAGACAGUGGAUAGCUGAAGGGUUUGUCAAACAUGAAACCGGAAAAACAUUAGAAGAAGUUGGGCAACAAUAUUUAUCAGGGUUGGUCCGUAGAAGCUUGGUGCAAGUAUCCUCAUUUAAAAUUCAUGGCAAAGUUAAUAGGUGUCGUGUUCAUGACUUAAUACACGACAUGAUCCUUAGAAAAGUUAAGGAUACAGGGUUUUGUCAGUAUAUUGACGGGCGUGAUCAAUCUGUAUCAAGUAAGAUUGUUCGACGCCUGACAAUUGCAACCCAUGAUUUUAGUGGAAGUACAGGAAGCUCACCCAUUCGGUCAUUUUUUAUUAGCACAGGAGAAGAUGAAGUAUCUCAACACUUAGUAAACAAAAUCCCUACCAAUUACUUGCUAUUGAAGGUACUAGAUUUUGAAGGUUUUGGUUUACGUUAUGUUCCUGAAAAUUUGGGGAAUUUAUGCCACUUGAAGUAUUUAAGCUUCCGGUUUACAGGGAUAAAAAGUCUACCAAAAUCCAUUGGCAAGCUCCAGAAUUUAGAGACCUUGGAUAUAAGAGACACAAGUGUGUAUAAGAUGCCAGAGGAGAUUCGUAAGCUUACUAAGCUACGUCAUCUUCUGUCUUAUUAUAUGGGUUUAAUUCAAUUGAAGGAUAUUGGAGGCAUGACAUCCCUACAAGAGAUACCUCCAGUGAUUAUAGAAGAUGAUGGAGUGGUGGUCAUUAGAGAGGUAGGAAAGCUAAAGCAGUUAAGGGAACUGUGGGUGGUACAAUUAAGUGGAAAACACGAAAAGACUUUGUGUUCCGUAAUAAAUGAGAUGCCACACUUGGAGAAACUACGUAUUCGUACAGCUGAUGAGAGUGAAGUAAUUGACUUGUACAUUACGUCACCUAUGUCUACACUUAGGAAGCUUGACCUAAGUGGGACGUUAACAAGGUUUCCAAAUUGGAUUUCACAGUUCCCAAAUCUUGUGCAUCUGCAUUUGUGGGGCUCCAGGUUGACUAAUGAUGCAUUGAAUUCACUAAAAAAUAUGCCAAGGUUGUUGUUCCUCGAUUUAAGUUACAAUGCUUAUGAAGGUGAAACUUUGCAUUUUCAAUGUGGAGGGUUUCAGAAGAAGAAGAAGAAGACACAGAGGUAAGAAAAGGGAAAUAUCAUUUUCUCAUUCAUCCCCUUGCUUGUUAUUUACAUGGAUAUAUAUAGCAUUCCUCUUAACAAAUCUGUGCUAUUCUGCUCAAGGAAUAUUACAUCAUAACAGAAUUUGUUAUGCACGAAUCAAGCAAGAUUUUCCUAAUUACUGUAUUGCCCAUACUGCCCUCUGCUUCAAACAAAAUCACGAAGGUAUGAUGGCCCUGCUAUCCUUCUCGUGGACCUUUCUUUUUACACCUCUGGUUUGCUGAUUGUUACCAUUGCCUUCUCUGUUCCAGCUUCCUUGUUGCCUAUUUCUGGUAUCCUAUCAUUUCCCGCCCUCAUCAAAAACACCUUGUCCUCAAGGUGUUGGGCGUUCAAACUACAGCUUCCAAAAGCAAUACCGGGGUCCCAAGGUUCAUUCCGACGAACCUGCAAUUCCACUAAGUAUCCGUGAGGAAGGAACAUCACGCGAAAAAGAGUUGGAGCAGUCCAACAAGGUAAGCUCAGAGAGAUCAAUAGUGGAGGCUGGAAGAAGGUGUGGGGACUUCUCCCAACAACAAGGAGGACCUCUCGAAUGCCGGAGAGAAGGCCGGCAAGGCGCAAAAUUCCCGGUGUGAAAUCUCCCGAUAAGGAUUUCAGACCAAUUUGGGCCGGGUCCGGUUUGGGUGUGGGGUGUGCGGCCGGGUCGUGUGUGGGUUUUGGCCUUGGGUCAGGGGUGGGUUUUGGAUCUGGGUCAGGUAUGGGUUUUGGGUCAAGUCCUGUGGAUCCGGGUGUGGGUAGUUGCGGGUCAGGGUGCUUUAUAUUAGGACCCAAUGGGUCUGUGGGUUCCUCAUUCACUACGAUGAAGGGAAGAACCCUAGAGACCUCGCGACGGCCGCCAUGGAGCUUCUCCUCGCCUGUGAGGCACAGCCCGUGCUCAUGGCGCGAGGCUAACUCCUCCGGGGUGAGGCAGCUAAUGGUCGGGGCCUGUGGGGGUCGCGGCGGGGAUGGCAGCAAAGGGGGCAAGGUUGCGAUGUGAGGAGGAACCAAAGGGGCGGACGGUGGAGCUACCAGAGGUGGGGUUCGCGGCCGCGAAGACGUUUGCUGCUCCAGGAGCUUCGCGAGGCCGGCGGCCUGGUCCACAGUCGUAGGCUGAUGGGCCUGAACUGUACGGCGGAUCUCCGGUUGCAAACCUGAGAUGAAGCAAGGCAACAGGAAGGUGCCUGGCAAGCCGAUAAUUCUACUGGCUAAGGCUUCAAACUCCAGUAGGUAUGUGAGCACUGACCCCGUCUGAGUGAGUUUGAACAGGGCACCGACAGGGUCCUCAAAUGGAGAUGGUGCAAACCAGGGUGUUGCAGGAGCAAAAGUGGCUUGAUGAGGAACCGGUGGGGAUUUGGAUGUGGGGGGGAAAGGCACAGGAGCAUGGCGGGUGAAAAAUGGGUUCAGGUGGCGGUUCAUGGAGUGCAUGGCGUCGUCCAGACGAGCAAGGGCCUCGUCGAGGUUGCGGGAGGCCAUGAGGAACAAUGAUGAAAGCACCAAUUGUUAGGGUAUGAACCCUAAAGCUGGCUUCGAGGGCAGCAAACCUCCAGCAAGAAGAAGAAGACACAGAGGUAAGAAAAGGGAAAUAUCAUUUUCUCAUUCAUGCCCCUUGCUUGUUAUUUACAUGGAUAUAUAUAGCAUUCCUCUUAACAAAUCUGUGCUAUUCUGCUCAAGGAAUAUUACAUCAUAACAGAAUUUGUUAUGCACGAAUCAAGCAAGAUUUUCCUAAUUACUGUAUUGCCCAUACUGCCCUCUGCUUCAAACAAAAUCACGAAGGUAUGAUGGCCCUGCUAUCCUUCUCUUGGACCUUUCUUUUUACACCUCUGGUUUGCUGAUUGUUACCAUUGCCUUCUCUGUUCCAGCUUCCUUGUUGCCUAUUUCUGGUAUCCUAUCACAUACUCUGUAUUGUUCUGACUGUUGUCUUUAUUUUUUUCCCCUGUUCUUGUCCUUUUUUGUCUUAAGUCAUUUUAUCUACCGGGAUCAGUUGAUGCAAACGACAGGCAGAUAGAUCAGUGGAAUGUAAAGCCACCCCAGCUCUACCUUUGGACUGAUAAGCAUAAGGCCAUAGCUCGGAAACAUGGUCACUUUAUCAGCCAGCGGGGGCUGUUAAGAAUUGAAAGCUUUGAUAAAGAAAAAUCACCGGCCAGUCAUACUUUGGAUGAUAGUUAUGGUGAGAAAGGCUGAUAAGACCUCAUGGAAGAGGAAACGAACUGAGGAAAACGAUGGAAGAAGACUAGGUGUGACCUCACCACCCAAUCCAAUUGAUGGGAGACCCUAUGUCAGGGAGGAUGAGAACUACCUUAGGGAAUUAGAGACAAGGCAACAGACUCGCCAUUAUGGUAUUCAGAAUCCUAAUUCUGUAAUGAGUAAUUAUCUAUCUGUGCAUGAUCCUGCUAAUAGCCACCACAUGGGGCCAAGUUAUCCAGCCCUUGCUUUAGCAUCUGAGCCUUAUGUGAUGAAUACACCAGCCAUGCAGCGAUAUGCACCUCGCCUAGACGAAUUAAACCAUGCAAGGAUGGAUCCUUUGGGGUCUGAACCUGCUAUAGUUGGUAGAAACGGUGCUUUUGAACGUAGUGCCCUCCCACCUGGAUAUGGGAGUAGGAUGCCAGGUUUUGCAGCUGGUUCUCACCAUAUGUAUUCACGCCAGAAUUCAUCAGACCGAUUCAAUGGGUAGUUUGAAUGUCCAUCUUUUUGUUCUCCUCUUCUACUUUUGCAUAAAAUUGCUGUAUGCCUUAAUCUGCAGAAAUCAUUGGGUUUUUUUUUUUUUUUUUUGGUGUAUGCUGUAUGCUAAAUCUUCGGUCUCUAUUUCCUUCCUAAAGAACAUUUAGGUUUUUUCAUUUUUUGGUGAUCUGUAUAUGCAAGACCUUGGAGUGGGUAGAUACGUUGUACCACCUACAAGUAUAUGAUAAAUCAGAGUUCACUAUUUGAAGAAUGAGGCUUUCCCUCCUCAUUAUUCAAUUAGACACCUUUACAUUCCCUUUAAAUGUAGACUAAGACAUUCAUUCUCUUCGCCGGUCAUGGGAUAUUUUUAACAUAUCUGUUCUCUCUUUUAGAAGUGCAAUUUGCACUACUACCACAUUUAUUCUACAAGUGUUUGACAUUUUCAAACUACCUUGUUUUAUUUAUUUUCCCAACAACAUAUUUCUUAAAUUUUAUUAUUUCAUCUUUAAAUUAAAUUUUAGUGUUUUUUUAAGAAUGUCAAUAGUUAAAACAAUUUUACAUCACAAUUUAACUAAAGAAGUAAUUUAUUUUAAUUUUCAUUUAUUCAACCACCAACUCCUAACAUUUUGCACAUAUACAAGGGUUCUUCAAGUUUUUUUUUUUCAUUUUAAUUUUCAUGUAUUACAUUUUCCCACUGUUAUUUUACACUAGUCAGUAACUAGCACAGUAAAAGAAUGCCUAAAAUUUUAAGGCCACAUAAUUUUAUUCUUAAGCCAAUAAGUAUUUAUUAAGAAAAAUCAAAUUUGAUUAUAAAUAUAACUGAUCUGUAGCAUUAAUUGCUUCAUCAAUUUUAUUUGUUAUUGAAUACCCAGUCAUACUUUCUUUUGAGUCGCGACCAUAAGCUUGACGGUUGCUUAGUAGUUGUCAAUUUCAUGGAGUUAAAGCCACUAAGCCAGCAGUUGCAGAUUACGAGCAACCUUUUUAAAUAAGAAACGGGAGUUAAUAUUAAUAACCAAUAUUUUCAUCUAUUUUUAUAUUAUUAUUUAUUACAUCAAUUGCUUUUUCUUCUUAUUUGUUCUUUUUAAUUAUCACCUCUUCCUUACUCUUCUACGUACCUUCCCCAUUUUCCAAAAAGAGAAAACGAUAGCUUGAUAUAUUCUUCCGACCGAGCAAAUGAGGUAGCCGGAAAAAUAUCGAAGUUGUUACGUUUGAAAGUUACGUGGGUAACUUCUACGUGAGAGAAAGAAAGAAAGAAAGGUGAUUGGUGUAAUAAUCAUUGUAAUGGGUAAAAAAAGAGAAAAAUUUGAGGGGGAAAAUGCAAGAAAAUUAAAAUAUUAAAUACUGCAACUAAUAUAUUUUUAGAGCUACACUACUAAAUAAAUAAUAAAUAAAAAUUGCCAUGUGACAUAGGAUUCAUGAAAAAAACAAAUAAAUAAUAGUUUAAGCAGCAUGCCCCACUUGCAUCCAAAAGUCUCUUUUAUCACCUAUGAUCGAAAAGAAAAGAGUGAAUUAUAAAAGACUAACGAAGGGGGAAGAGUUUAAAUUAAGUGGACUUAACAUGGAUGAACCAAUACCUAACCAGGAGUAAUAGAUUUCAAGAGCUUAGCAAGAGACUAAAUUCUCUUAUGGAGGAAAGAGAAGGAGAAGUGAAAUAUAUUUAUUUUAGUCAACUUUUAGAAUAAGAUUUAUUUUCAUUUUUUAUUACAUUCAUGGGUCUAUUUUUGGACUUGUAAUGAGCUGCUAGCUUUUUUAUUGUUAUUUCUAAGUCUUUUAAUUAUUAGAUUAAUUAUUGGGCCUUGGGCAUAAUUUAGGAUUAUUUGUAGGAGUUAUAAAAAGACUCUCACCUUGUUGGCAAUUUUGAUGAAAACUUCAUAUUAGACACAAUUAAAAGAGUGUCUAUCUUGGUUCUUAUGUGAAAUAUUAAGUUCUUAUAAAAAAAUUAUUAUUUAUGACGAAUCAUCUUCAGCUUAUCAAUCACUCAAGAUUGUGGUGUUGUUCUUUCCAUCUCUUUCUUUAAGUCUGCUUUAUCCUUUUAUUUUCCCCAAUUUCGUAGAGCUCCAAAUUGGUUAUCCAGUUUGUUGAUGCUAAAAAUUGGAUUCGUCAAUCAGGGUUCCAUCAAAAUUACAAUUCCCUUUUUUGUAUUUCACCUUUGAGAGAUCCUUAGAUCCACCAACAUUAGUCAUCAUUUUCCUUGACAUUUCUUACACCUACAACCACCUAGAUUCAAGGAAGAAAAAGAGAAAGAGAAAAGGGGAAGAAAAUAAAAUCAAUCAUGGAUGGUGAAGUUGAGAGGUUCAUCAAGGUAUGGCUCACAACCAUCUCAUGUCUAUGCUAUUGUUAUUACAUAGCUUCUAGAAUACCAAAAGGCUUCAUGAGGCUUCUCUUCCUCCUCCCUAUUCUCAACCUCUUCCCCACCCUUCCCUUCAACCUCUCUUCCUUCCACCUAGGUGGCCCCACCACCUUCUUCCUUGUUUGGCUUGGCACUUUCAAACUCAUUCUUUUCUCCUUCAACCAAGGCCCUCUUGCACUAUCACCCCCAAACAUUCUCCAUUUCAUUUCCAUAGCUUCCCUCCCCAUCAACCCCAAACAACACUCACCAACCAAAAACAACCACACAAACAACACCCAAAAGCCAAAAUGGCUUUUGCUCCUAAAAGUGCUUAUUUUUGCAAUGAUCAUACGUGCUUAUGACUAUAGAGAAAAGUUGCACGCUCAUUUCAUCUUAGUCCUCUAUUGCUGUCACAUGUACCUUGGCAUAAAAUUUGUGUUAGCCCUUAGUCCUAUCUUGAUUCGAACCCUUUUAGGGUUUGAGAUUGAACCACAAUUCAAUGAACCAUACCUUUCCACAUCCCUUCAAGACUUUUGGGGUCGUAGGUGGAAUCUCAUGGUUACCCGUAUUCUACACCCCACCAUAUACUACCCCAUAUACCCUAUUUUCAUAUGCUUUGUGGGUCCCUCUUGUGCCAUGACAAGUGCCAUGUUGGCCACAUUUCUUGUGUCAUGGCUCAUGCAUGAGUUAAUAUACUAUUACCUCACACGUGUGACUCCCACGUGGGAAGUCAUGUGCUUUUUUGUGCUUCACGGUGUGCGCACCACGGCGGAGAUGGCGACGAAGAAGGUGAUGCUCCGCCGUGGGUGGCGGUUGCAUCACCUUCUUCAUGUUUUUUUAAAUCUAAAUGCAUGGAAAAUAAUAUUUAGAUUAGCACAAAUAAUCAACAUAAUAGGAGGAUCGUGUUUUUUUUUCAUGUGUGAAAUUGUCUUGGAGUAACGACAAUUAUCCACACUGAGUAAGAUUAGUGUCAACCAAAUGGGUUGGAAAAAACACUUGACCUAAAACAAAAACAAAAAAAAAACCAUGGAAAACACGAGGAGCCAUGAAAUGGUGAUCUAUAACAAAUAUCUGAUGAAAAAAAAUCUAUAAACAACAAGAAAAUAAAAGAUAAAUUACAUAAAAAAGCCAAAUCAGAUCUAGAUAAAAAAAAACUCAAAUUAUAAAACAACUAAGAAGAAUCGAUAGUAAGUGUCAAAAUUUUAUAUAUUAUAGUAAAUGGUAUUCACGGUGAGAGAUGGUGAGUUGUAUGGGCUGUUUUGGUUUGGAAUAUAUGGAAACAGAGGAACUCUAACAGGAAGAGGUAGAUAAUGACUCACCUAGAGGAUUAUGUUUUUUAGUGUAUUCUGUUAGGUUCUUAGUGCUGAGGGGCAGCUCUGUUAGAAUCAUAGUGCUGGGGUAGUUUUUGUUAUGGCAUGAUAGCAUAAGUGCUUUCCGUUAUCGCUUUUGUAUUUUGGGACGUGGUGUUUGUCUGGUAGCUUGUUGCAAUCAUGUUAUAAAUAUCAUCGUCUCCAUGCAAGAAAGGAAUAAAAAAAGAAAUUUCUUCUCCCUUUCUCUCUUCUAAGGAGGCAUUCCUGGACCUCGAAUCCCAGGAGGUUCACUGUGUGAACCUAACAAACUCGAUCGUCUUUAGGGGAGCAACAUUUAUUUGACACUCAAGUUGUGUUAAAGGACACCAUCUUUUACUCCGGAUCAUGGUUAAAAGGUAUUUAAAGAGUUUUUCCCUACUCUUUUCAGCAAUGGCAGGGUCGACCCAAGGCUAAGGCCAUCCAAACUCUUGUUUUAGGCCACUAAAAAAUAAUUUUUUUACUAUUAAUAUAUGUAUAUUAAACAUAUGCACUAUCAAGGACCACGAACUGUUAUACGUGAAGUUCUGUCGUGACAUGCGUGUGGAAGGUAUCAAAUAUUUUAAAAUAAAAUAUGAAUAAUUUUAUUAAAUAUUUUAAUAAUUUAGAAAAAACUCCAUUUUUUUUUGUCAACAAAAAAAUCCCAUUUCGAAGUUUGGUUUAGGCUUACUAAUAUGUUGGGCCCGGCCCUGAGGAUAAGCAACCUGAUGAUCCUCGAUGUGCAGCUUUACUAUGUGAGGCUGUUGCCUUCAUCAAAACUCAAAUCCUUCUCCUUCAAAGUGCCUAUAAGAUUCAGGAUGUUAAAUCCCUUGUUCGUGCUGAAAGAUAUGGUUUCCAAAGCCAUUUUCCUUUAGAGCAAAGACCAACCAGUUCUAGAGGAAAUCAAGAUAUCACAUGGCAGAAACUUAGAAGGGAUCCUCUCUUUAUCGAGGAAGAUGAGGUUGUGGGGCUUGAUGGCCCUAGAGGUAUAUUGGAAAAUUGGUUGACAAAGGGAAGAAAAAAACGCACUGUCAUCUCUGUGGUGGGAAUUGCAGGGGUGGGAAAAACCACUCUUGCCAAGCAAGUUUAUGACCAGGUGCGUAACAAUUUCGAGUGCCAUGCGUUGAUCAAAGUUUCUCAAUCCUUCUCUGCUGAAGGAUUGCUGAGGCAUAUGUUGAAUGAGCUUUGCAAAGAAAAAGAGGAGGACCCUCCCAAGGAUGUUUCUACCAUCGAGUCGUUGACAGAAGAAGUCAGAAACCGCUUGCGCAACAAGAGGUAUGUUGUCUUGUUUGAUGACGUAUGGAAUGAAACAUUUUGGGAUCACAUUGAAUCUGCUGUAAUUGAUAAUAAAAAUGGAAGUAGGAUAUUAAUCACAACCAGGGAUGAGAAGGUUGCAGAAUAUUGUAGGAAAUCAUCAUUUGUUGAGGUGCAUAAGCUAGAAAAACCUUUAACUGAAGAAGAAUCAUUGAAAUUGUUCUGUAAGAAGGCAUUUCAGUAUAGUUCCGAUGGAGAUUGUCCAGUAAAGGUGAUUGGUGUAAUAAUCAUUGUAAUGGGUAAAAAAAGAGAAAAAUUUGAGGAGGAAAAUGCAAGAAAAUAAAAAUAUUAAAUACUGCAACUAAUAUAUUUUUAGAGCUACACUACUAAAUAAAUAAAAAUUGCGAUGCGAUAUAGGAUUCAUGAAAAAAAAAAUAAUAGUUUAAGCAACAUGCCCCACUUGCAUCCAAAAGUCUCUUUUAUCACCUAUUAUUGAAAAAAAAAGUGAAUUAAAAAUUUGAUAAAGGAUUAUCCAAGGGGGAAGAUUUUGACUUAAGUGAACUUAACACAGAUGAACCAAUUACUAACGAGGAUUAAUAGAUUUCAAGAGCUUAGCAAGAAACUAAAUUCUCUCGUGGAGGGAAGACAAAGAGAAGUGAAAUUUAUUUAUUUUAGUCAACUUUUAGAAUAAUAUUUAUUUUCAUUUUUUAUUACAUUCUUGGGUCUAUUUUUGGACAUGUAAUGGACUGCUAGCUUCUUUAUUGUUAUUUUUAAGUCUUUUAAUUAUUAGAUUAGUUAUUGGACCUUAGGCAUAAUUUAGGAUUAUUAGUAGGAGUUAUUAAAAGACUCCCACUUUGUUGGUAAUUUUGAUGAAAACUUCAUAUUAGACACAUUUAAAAGAAUGUCUAUCUUGGUUCUUAUGCGAAAUAUUAAGUUCUUAUAAAAAAAAUUAUUCUUUAUGACGAAUCAUCCUCAGCUUAUCAAUCUUUCAAGAUUGUGGUGUUGUUCUUUCCAUCUCUUUCUCUAAGUCCGCUUUAUCCUUUUAUUUUCCCCAAUUUCAUAGAGCCCCAAAUUGGUUAUCUAGUUUGUUGAUGCUAAAAAUUGUAUCCGUCAAUCAAGGUUCCAUCAAAAUUAUAAUUCCCUUUUUUGUAUUCCACCUUUCAGAGAUCCUUAGAUCUACCAACAUUAGUCAUCAUUUUCUGAUGAGAAUACUGAAACUGGCCAAAUACAGGCUAAAGGCCCAAGUGGAGAAGGACGAAGGCCCAAGUGGAGAAGGACAAAGCCUCCGAGCGGAGAAGGAUGAAGGCCUAGAGACAGAGACACUAUCAAGACUAUUAAUUGUUGCUUAAGGCCCAAACUAAUUUGAAGGCCCAAGUUAUAUAUGUUUUUUAGUUAUAAUUUUUAUUUAUUGUAAUUUUGGCCCAAACUGUUUAGAAGGCCCAUGUCUAUUUUAUCUUUUUGUUCAGAUACACUAUAAGUAUUGGUUUUUGUUUUCAAUAAAAAGAAACUUUUGGCAUUUUCAUAAAAUUUGGUGAGAGCUUCUCUCUGGGUUCCUUGUUGAACCAAUUUCAGACUUAUCAAGGUAAUCAUUGUCUACCCUGACUUAUCUUCCUUCACUGGAAGUGGCGUCAUCCAAAUCUCUGUAGCCUAUAUCAAACGAUCCGCUCCUAGUCAGGAUCACAUCAUCUUCCUUGACAUUUCUUACACCUACAACCACCUAGAUUCAAAGAAGAAAAAGAGAAAGAGAAAAAGGAAAGAAAAGAAGAUCAAUCAUGGAUGGUGAAGUUGAGAGGUUCAUCAAGGUAUGGCUCACAACCAUCUCAUGUCUAUGCUAUUGUUAUUACAUAGCUUCUAGAAUACCAAAAGGCUUCAUGAGGCUUCUCUCCCUCCUUGUGGCGUCCCCAAAAUAAUGACUGGAUUAAUAGUAAUAAUUUAAAUAACAAAAACCAUGGUAAAUUUUUUUUCCUUUUUCUUUUUCAUUUCUUUCUCUUUUCUCAAUAAUUAAUUUCAGAAGGGAAAAUCAUCACUAUAGAGUCCUGAAUGACCAGUUCACAACUCUAUUCGGAGUCAUUUCUUUCUGAUCACUCAUAACCUCUAAAUAUGUUGCUUUUUCAAAAGGAAAGGUAUGUCAGCCAUUACUUUAGGUCGUCACGUGAAAACAAUAAAAUAUAAUAUGGUCGGUAAACUCCUUUGCAAAUGAAGUUUGCUAAUGCUUUCUUUUCAAAUAACAAGAUUAAACAUAAAUACAUUCAUCAUUUAAAGCUAUCCAAAAUAUGGGAGUUUUUACAAAAUACAUAGUGUCAUCCAGAGCAAAAGUAUCCACUGUAGUAGCUUCAGUCACAUGUAUACAAUCAUCAAAUUCCUUUACAAUAGGUCUACCCAUACAAAAACAAAAGAGUAAACCUAAUAGUCAGCACUAGAUACACCCACCCUCAAAAGUAUACAAAACUAGUAUGAGGAGCUGUCUACUAUGAUGAAGAGCCUCCACUGAUCGCCAUCUCUCUAGGGCCACUAUCCUCCGUAGAGUCUGCCUCAGAUGCCGACAUGACGUCCUCGGGAGAAUCCACCUCAAGGAGUGGGUCCUCGUCGCCCUCUAGAAAGUCAAGAGCAUCCACAGCAGGCUCAGGAGGUAGCUCCUCUGGGUCUUCCUCAGAUGACGUCACCUCGAUCACUUGGACUGGCUCCACUAGACGAUAUGGUGUAGGCGUGGGUAAUAUCCACUCCACAGUGCGCUGAAGCAUACGCGCGGGUUCAUCUGGAUGCACCAAUGAGGUAGCCGUGAAUCGAAUCGUACCCCGAAAUCGGCACCUUGCGUUGCCUUCGAGGGUCUCCCAAGCUCCCUCUAGGCACUCCAUCUCCACACGAUCAUGGAUUAGUUGCGCCGCCAUCGCGAUCUACAAGAAAGAAAAGAGAGGGGUAGACUCUUUCACGCGACACCUAACUAUGUAGCAACACAAUGCGUCUCAUAACCACUACAUGCAAGAAAAAAGGGUAUCUCAAGGCUUUUCAUCUCUGGUAAUCGAUUACACAACCUUGGUAAUCGAUUACCAGAGGCCAAACUCGAAUUACACAGCUUCAGGACAUGAAACCUGCAAAAAUGCACUGUGUAAUCGAUUACACCUAACUGGUAAUCGAUUACCAGUGGCAUGUUCCUCUGUGUAAUCGAUUACACAGCCUGGUAAUCGAUUACCAGAGGCCUCCAAAACAUGCUGCCUUCAUUUCUAAGCCUGGUAAUCGAUUACACCCCUUGGUAAUCGAUUACCAGAAGCCCUCCUAGCUUCUUGACCUCGUUUUCAAGCCUGGUAAUUGAUUACACUCCCUUGGUAAUCGAUUACCAGAGACCAUCUUAGCCUCAUGUCUUCAUUUUUAAGCCUUGUAAUCGAUUACCCACCCUUGGUAAUCGAUUACCAGAGGCCAUAUCCCAUAUAUCAAUCAAAGUUCACAGCUGGCCAGCCACCACACAAGCCUCCUUGCUUUGUGGUCUUUGUUCCUUUUAUCUGUUGACUGCCAGGAGCUCGCCUGCUUAGGUACAUCACAGGUUCUCACUGACUGACUAUGUCCGGGUUGGGUCGGGAUUGGUCAAGCUUGGUUUUGGGCAAUAGCACCCCACCUGACGUCCCCAAGGUCUCCUGACCCCCGCGACAUAUCUCCAGGUACCACUUUGUGGUCAACAAUAAAAGCAGGAAGUCUCACCCUUCCACACUUCCUCAUUUCAAGCUUGUAGGAUUAUGGGGUAUCCAUCACAUGUGGUACUAGGUGGCGGUCGGGCGAUGGUGCAAAACAAGUUCUCCACAUCCACAAAUCACGUAUAAAUCCACCAUCCCCUGUUGCCCACCUCCAACUGAGCUCACGUACUCCCACGUAGCUCUUAUCCUCGUUCCUCUCAACGCCGGGUCCCCAUCAAUCCUCCCAAGCUUCCACAACAUCCAAGUAGUUCCACAUCCAAUUGUCAUGAACUCACAAAACCAAGCAAAACAGGGCAAAGGCAGAAAACUCUGCCCAAAACACAAACCAAAAUCACAGCUUUUCACAUACAAAUACCCCAGUAACAUUCUCUUCGUUCCAAUUCGUUCACCGUUGGAUCGACUCGAAAAUUUUACUGGAAGUCUCUAGCACAAAAGUCUACAUCUUGACCGUUGGGAUUUGUUAGCAAAUGUCCAAAACCCCAUGUGUACUACCCUUUCCACAGCCAGCCAUACACAAGCAUUUUUCUGCACAUAUACAAAAUUCUGCUGCACAUUUCACAGCAAAAUUCUGCAUAAAGUGCAGAAUUCGAAAAUCACUCUUACCUUCAUCCAAUUUUGCCCAAAUUGAAUCCUACAAGUCCUAAAUCAUGUAUCAAUCAUGUCUAAACCAAGGACAAGCUUCAGACCAAAGCAACACAAAAUCUAGGUAUCCAAAACCCCUCAAUUUAAUGGAUUUUCAAGGUUUGAGAAGUGAAAUUGAGAAUGAGGUAAAUUUGGAGCAAACUCUCACCUCACACAAGUCUAUAACAUCAAUUUAAACUUGCUCAAACUGGAUUUACACCUAAAAUUCCACCGAAUCAAAAUUUGACUUCUCAACACCCAAUUUUACCCUAGAAAUGGCUCUUGCCUUCACUUUGAUCAUUUGUUUUUCUCUCUUGCACAACCCAAGCUUUCUCAUAACUCCUAAAUGACAUUUCAAACUAGGAUUAAUUCCCUUUAACCUCCAAAUACCAUUAAAUCCAGAUUUGGCCUUCCAACUCUCAAAGCCUCACUUUUUUUCCACUCAUAACACCACAUUCUCACUUUCUAACCCUAGGUUAACCCUACCUUUCAUCUCUAACAGUUUUCCAUAAGCAAUUUCAGUACACCAACAUCAAAAGCAUCAUCAUAAAAACCCUAAAACUGAAUGGGUAAGCUUAACUCACUCAAACAUAAUAAGUUUAGCAUGCUUUCGUCAAAUCUCUUCACAAAUAACUAUCACAAAGCAUUAACCAAGAAAAACUGCCCAUCAUAUCUCCCAAAGCCCCAUACCCACGAAAAUCAAGUGAGAAAGAAGUCUACCCAAACCUGAAAUUUCGAAGUCCCACACGUAGAGAUGCGCUUCACGACUCCGAAAAUGCCUUCCUUUUGCGAUUUGGAGCAGAAAUGGUGACCAAAGGUUGGAGCUUUGUUGGGCAACAAUGGUGGAUGAGAGAAAAGAAGAAGAAGGCUGCGUGAGAGAGAGGGAGAGAGCUUCUGAAAUUUGGGGCUGAGUGAGAAGAGAGAGAGUGUGUUGCUUUUUAGUUUAAAAAGAAAAGCUUUUCUCUUUUCUAUUAUUUUAUUUUAAGUUAUGCCACAUGUCUCCAUUUAAGUGGAGCAAAAGGCCCACUUUUCUCUUGAUGUGACUCGCACUCAGUCACAAAAAGGGAAAAAUCUGACAUUUGCAACGCUAAAAUCCUGCCUCAGUUUGCGUGCCAUUUCUCUAGUUUCAGUUCCUCGCGUUUCUCUGCACCAGUCGGGGCCAGUUUUCGAAAGUAAGCAAUAUAUAUAUCAAAACGCUCAGAAUAAAACCCCGAGCGUGAUUCAGAGGUUGGUUUCGUUAAAUUUUUAGUUACACGCAAAACGAUGAUUUUUAGACUAAUUAAUUGAGAAUUAACCUAUAACAAUCCAGUUAUGGAUUUUUCUUCCUUAAUUAGCCUAACUCGCGUAUCUUUUCCCCCAAAAUACCUACUUCCACCAGGAAUAUAUAUAUACAUGUACACUGAAUAAUACUUAUAUAUAUAUAUAUAUAUAUAUAUAUAUAUAUAUAUAUAUAUAUAUAUAUAUAUAUAUAUAUAUAUAUAUAUAUAUAUAUAUAUAUAUAUAUAUCAUUCAAAAUGAACCGUUUACAAAAUUCUGGGUAGAAUUUCCAGGAUGUCACACUCCUCCCUAUUCUCUACCUCUUCCUCACCCUUCCCUUCAACCUCUCUUUCUUCCACCUAGGUGGCACCACCACCUUCUUCCUUGUUUGGCUUGACACUUUCAAACUCAUUCUUCUCUCCUUCUACCAAGGCCCUCUUGCCCUAUCACCCCCAAACAUUCUCCAUUUCAUUUCCAUAGCUUCCCUCCCCAUCAACCCCAAACAACACUCACCAACCAAAAACAACCACACAAACAACACCCAAAAGCCAAAAUGGCUUUUGCUCCUAAAAGUGCUUAUUUUUGCAAUGAUCAUACGUGCUUAUGACUAUAGAGAAAAGUUGCACCCUCAUUUCAUCUUAGUCCUCUAUUGCUGUCACAUGUACCUUGGCAUAGAACUUGUGUUAGCCCUUAGUGCUAUCCCGAUUCGAACCCUUUUAGGGUUUGAGAUUGAACAACAAUUCAAUGAACCCUACCUUUUCACAUCCCUUCAAGACUUUUGGGGUCCUAGGUGAAAUCUCAUGGUUACCCGUAUUCCACGCCCCACCAUAUACUACCCCAUAUACCAUAUUUUCAUAUGCUUUGUGGGUCCCUCUUGUGCCAUGACAAGUGCCAUCUUGGCCACGUUCCUUGUGUCAUGGCUCAUGCAUGAGUUAAUAUACUAUUACCUCACACGUGUGACUCCCACGUGAGAAGUCAUGUGCUUUUUUGUGCUUCACGAUGUGCACACUGCGGUGAAGAUGACGACAAAGAAGGUGAUGCUCCGUCAUGGGUGGCGGUUGCAUCGCGUUGCAUCAGGACCGCUCGUGGUGGCGUUCUUGGCGGUCAUCGGAAGGUGCCUCAUACUUCUUAAAUUAAUUUUUUUUUCAAAACUAUUUUCUUUUAUCAUGGAUUAUAGUUUAUUUGGUUGGUGUUGAUUAACAAAACUAUUGACAUUUACACAUAUAUAAGAAAUUAAAAUUAUAUUUUACAAGAGAAAAACAAUAUAAUCAGUAGCUUUAACAUUAUACCUCGAAAAAUAAAAUAAAUGUGUAAACAGAAUGGAGCAGUUGGUAGGAAAUUUUUUUUUCACACACUAAAAUGAUGAGUCCUUGAAUCAUGAUUCACAGAUAUAAGUAAUUUUUUUUAGUUGAUCAUAAAUAUUUUUAACAUUAUUUAUAUAAUAAGUUUUUAAAAAUUAAAGAGUUACGUGAUAUUGAGAAUUAUAUUAUAUUUUUAUAAUUUCUUAAUGAGAAUCAAAAUGUAAAGUGUUUUUAAAAUAAUAAUAUUUGAUUGAUUGAAUAAAUUAAAAUAUUAUUUUAUUCUAAUCAUAAAGAUUCAACCAUUAAUUUAAUAAAUAAAUCACCAUUGAUAAAUCAAUUGUUUGUGUUGAAUUAUUGAAAGGUUAAAUAGACCAAUAAAUGAGAAAUCGAAAGAAUAUUAUAUAAAUUCAUUAUAUUAUAAAAGGAUCUCUGAAAACUAUAAAAUUACAUUUCAAAUACGUUUAUAAUGUUUUAUAUUUAAAUAUUUUAAGUGAAUAUUUAAAUCAAUCAAAUAAUUUAUGUUGUGAUAUAUAUAUAUAUAUAUAUAUAUAUAUAUAUAUAUAUAUAUAUAUAUAUAUAUAUUGUUAUUGUUAAAUAUUUCCUUUAAAUCUAAAUGCAUGGAAAAUAAUCUUUAGAUUAACACAAAUAAUCAACAUAGGAGGAUCGUGUUUUUUUUUCAUGUGUGAAAUUGCCUUGGACUAACAACAAUUAUCCACAGUGAGUAAGAUUAGUGUCAACCAAAUGGGUUGGAAAAAACACUUGACCUAUAAAAAAAAAACCAUGGAAAACACGAGGAGCCACGAAAUGAUGAUCUAUAACAAAUAUCUGAUGAAAAAAAAUCUAUAAGCAACAAGAAAACAAAAGAUAAAUUACAUAAAAAAGCCAAAUCAGAUCUAGAUAAAAAUAAAAUAAAACUCAAAUUAUAAAACAACUAAGAAGAAUCGAUAGUAAGUGUCAAAAUUUUAUAUAUUACAGUAAAUGGUAUUCACGGUGAGAGAUGGUGAGUUGUAUGGGCUGCUUUGGUUUGGAAUAUAUGGAAACAGAGGAACUCUAACAGGAAGAGGUAGAUAAUGACUCACCGAGAGGAUUAUGUUUUUUUAGUGUAUUCUGUUAGGCUCUUAAUACUGAGGGGCAACUCUGUUAGAAUCAUAGUGCUGGGAUUGUUUUUGUUAUGGCAUGUUAUAAAUAUCAUCGUCUCCAUGCAAGAAAGGAAUAAAAAAAGCAAUUUCUUCUCCCUUUCUCUCUUCUAAGGAGGCAUUCCUGGACCUCGAAUCCCAGGAGGUUCACUGUGUGAACCUAACAAACUCGAUCGUCUUUAGGGGAGCAACAUUUAUUUGACACUCAAGUUGUGUUGAAGGACACCAUCUUUUACUCCGGAUCAUGGUUAAAAGGUAUUCAAAGAGUUUUUGCCUACUCUUUUCAGCAAUGGCAGGGUCGACCCAAGGCUAAGGCGAUCCAAACUCUAUUUUCUAUUAGUUGAAAUUAAUUAUUUUGUCUCCAUUUUUAUUUAUAAGACUUUUAAAAUGAUAUUUAUUCUAUUUUAUAAAACUCAAUCUAUAAUAUUUCUUUGAUUAAUUAUUUUUAGACUAAAAAUAUCCAUCAUUAAAUGAAGAAAGAGAAUGUAUUGACAAACUAUUAGACCAGAGAGAAGUGUAAUUACAAGGAUAAUUUUAAAAAAUAUUAUAAACGUAAGACAAACUUAUUAAAAAGGAUGGGACAAACUUAUUAAUCAAUGCAUGGGACAGACUUAUUAAUCACUCAUCAUAGGUGGCAUGCAAUGGAGAAUGUAACAUUCAAUUUUUCGUAAAAUAAAUUAAAAAGAAUUUUACUUAAAAAUAAAUAAAUUUUUAGAAAAAUUAUCAGAUUUUUGUGAUUAAAUAAAUAAGGAGAAAUAAUUUUAUGAAUUAAAAUAGUGUUUGCAAGGUAAAUAAAAUAAAUAUAUGUCUUUAGAAAAUAAAACCGACAAACAUCAUUUGAAUCGAAUAAUUAGUUUUUUCUAAGAUAAUUAGUUUUCGUCCUUAUUUAAAAAUUGGGUAGCGUGAUAUGAUAUGGAUACGGUGACAAAUAAUUAACAUUAACAAUGGCAGAAACUGCAGUGUCCUUGGCUGGUCAGCAUGCACUUUCAAAAAUAUUGGAAGCUGUCAAAAUGCUGAGAGAUCUCCCAAAAGAAGUUAGAGACAUUACAGAUGAACUUGAAAGCUUUCAAGAUUUCAUCAAUGAUGCUGAUAAAAUGGCUGAAGCUGAAGAAGAUGAUGGAAGGCGUCAUAGAAUAAAAGAAAGGGUGAUGCGGCUGAGAGAAGCAGCUUUUCGCAUGGAAGAUGCCAUCGAUGAAUAUAACAUCUCCUGUGAGGAUAAGCAACCUGAUGAUCCUCGAUGUGCAGCUUUACUAUGUGAGGCUGUUGACUUCAUCAAAACUCAAAUCCUUCGCCUUCAAAGUGCGUACAAGAUUCAGGAUGUUAAAUCCCUUGUUCGUGCUGAAAGAGAUGGUUUCCAAAGCCAUUUUCCUUUAGAGCAAAGACAAACCAGUUCUAGAGGAAAUCAAGAUAUAACAUGGCAGAAACUUUGAAGGGAUCCUUUCUUUAUUGAGGAAGAUGAGGUUGUGGGGCUUGAUGGCCCUAGAGGUAUAUUGAAAAAUUGGUUGACAAAGGGAAGAGAAAAACGCACUGUCAUCUCUGUGGUGGGAAUUCCUGGGGUGGGAAAAACCACUCUUGCCAAGCAAGUUUAUGACCAGGUGCGUAACAAUUUCGAGUGCCAUGCGUUGAUCACAGUUUCUCAAUCCUUCUCUGCUGAAUGAUUGCUGAGGCAUAUGUUGAAUGAGCUUUGCAAAGAAAAAAAGGAGGACCGUCCCAAGGAUGUUUCUACCAUCGAGUUGUUGACAGAAGAAGUCAGAAACCGCUUGUGCAACAAGAGGUAUGUUGUCUUGUUUGAUGACAUAUGGAAUGGAAAAUUUUGGGAUCACAUUGAAUCUGCUGUAAUUGAAAAUAAAAAUGGAAGUAGGAUAUUAAUCACAACCAGGGAUGAGAAGGUUGCAGAAUAUUGUAGGAAAUCAUCAUUUGUUGAGGUGCAUAAGCUAGAAAAACCUUUAACUGAAGAAGAAUCUUUGAAAUUGUUCUGUAAGAAGGCAUUUCAGUAUAAUUCCGAUGGAGAUUGUCCAGAAGAACUUAAAGAUAUAUCUCUAGAAAUUGUUAGAAAGUGUAAAGGUUUACCUCUAGCAAUAGUGGCCAUUGGUGGUCUUUUGUCUCAAAAAGAUGAAAGUGCAUCUGAAUGGGGACAAAAAUUUAGACUUGGAGAGGAAUUCUGAGUUAAAUAGUAUAACAAAAAUUUUAGGUUUAAGUUAUGAUGAUUUGCCGAUCAAUCUCAGAUCAUGUUUAUUGUAUUUCGGAAUGUAUCCGGAGGACUAUGAAGUUGGGCAACAAUAUUUAUCAGGGUUGGUCCGUAGAAGUUUGGUGCAAGUAUCCUCAUUUAGAAUUGAUGGCAAAGUUAAAAAGUGUCGUGUUCAUGACUUAAUACACGACAUGAUCCUUAUAAAAGUCAAGGAUACAGGGUUUUGUCAGUAUAUUGACGGGUGUGAUCAAUCUGUAUCAAGUAAGAUUGUUCGACACCUGACAAUUGCAACCGAUGAUUUUAGUGGAAGUAUAGGAAGCUCACCCAUUCGGUCAAUUUUUAUUAGCACAGGAGAAGAUGAAGCAGUAUCUGAACACUUAGUAAACAAAAUCCCUACCAAUUACAUGCUAUUGAAGGUACUUGAUUUUGAAGGUUCUGGUUUACGUUAUGUUCCUGAAAAUUUGGGGAAUUUAUGCCACUUGAAGUAUUUAAGCUUCCGGUUUACAGGGAGAUUAGUAAGCUUAAAAAGCUACGUCAUCUUCUGAGUGGCUACAUACCUUCAAUUCAAUGGAAGGAUAUUGGAGGCAUGACAUCCCUACAAGAGAUACCUCCAGUGAUUAUAGAUAAUGAUGGAGUGGUCAUUAGAGAGGUUGGAAAGCUAAAGCAGUUAAGGGAACUGACAGUGAUAGAUUUUACGGGAAAACACAAAGAGACUCUGAGUUCCUUGAUAAAUGAGAUGCCACUCUUGGAGAAACUACUUAUUGAUACAGCUGAUGAGAGUGAAGUAAUUGACUUGUACAUUACGUCACCUAUGUCUACACUUAGGAAGCUUGUCCUAUGGGGGACGUUAACAAGGUUUCCAAAUUGGAUUUCACAGUUCCCAAGCCUGAACUUGAAUUGGAGUGAAAAUUUGGAUUGUACAUGUUAAGCUUGGGGUGAACUCGUAUUGUAACAAGACAUGUUUGAUUUUGGCUUAGCACUUUAAUCCUUUUAGCAUAGUGCUUCAGCAAUUUUGGUACCCAAACUUUUAUGUUCAGGUUUGAUCAAUUUAUAUAUCACUUAUCUGGAGUUAGAUAAUUUUUUCAUGGCUUAAUUUUAUCUGGAGUUAGAUCAAAAAAAAAUUAAUGGUUGAAUAUAUGUUAUUAAAAUCAAUUUAUAUAUCACUUAUCUGGAGUUAGAUAAUUUUUUCAUGGCUUAAUUUUAUCUUUUUGUGUCAUUCAUUAUUUAUUUUAUUUAAUUUUGUCCUCCUAAUAAAAAAAUCUUUAAUUUGAUCGCUUAAAUCCAAAUCGAUUCAGUUUGAUCUUUUUGGUCCAAAUUCACCUGACAUUGUCUAUUAAUAGUGGGAUGAGAUUGAAUCAAACAAAGGAACAAAUUAAAUUGUUUAUUAAAAUUUUAAAAACAAACAGUGAGAAUAAGAAGUUUAUUAAGGGGUCAAGUUGCACCGUUUUGAAAAUUAAAGUACUAAAUUAAAUUGUUUAUUAAUAGAGGACCAAUGCUAAAUAAAGAAAUAGCACGACAAAAAAGUAAGGUUUUUUUUUUUACUUUUAAAGAUUUUAAAAUUUUUAUUGAAUUCUAAAAUAUUCAAUUAACUUGCCUAAUUCUUUGUUUAUUCACUCUUUUUUUUCCUUUUAAUCCUUGAUGUUUGAAAACUUCAAAACUCUUUUUGAUCACAAACAUAUUUUAACUCUCAUAAUUAAAACAACACAACAAUGUUUCUAAAAUCGGACUUUUAUAAGUUAUUGAUAAAUCACUUUGUGAGUGAUAUUUUGUACAAACUUUUGUGUUAUUUUGUAUGCAUUUUCUUGGUAGAAUUUACAAUUGGACACUAGUUUUGUAUUCCAAAAGUAUAACCACUCAAUUGAGCGAAAGAGUAGGAAAUUAUACAAAUUUAUGAAGAUUUAAGAACUUUACAUAACUUGAUUACUAUCGUGGUACAUUGAUCACGGUCGUGGUAAUCAGCAUGAUCACAAUAAAGUGAUAAGAGUCCUCCCAAACAGCAUCAAGAUCCAACAAUAGCCAUGGUAAAUUGACCACGAUCAUGGUAAAUCAAGAGGCUCAUAGUCAAUUUAUAAUGGUUCAAGGCUUCAGCGUUACUUCUAACCACAAUUGUAGUGCUCCUUUUCGAGCAAAUAUCUUUAGGAAGCUAUAUAUAGGUUUCUAGACUAUGUAAAAUCAUUUUUUAAUUAUUUUGAGUUUUAUUCUUAUCUUUUACGAAUUUGAGACAACCUUGAAAGCUUUUAAGAGCCGAAGAACUUAAACAACAUCGCUAGAAUGGAUCAUGAUCAUUGUUCCUACUUAUUGGUAUGUUUAUGUUUAUUUUAUCUAGGAUUGCUAGUGUUGUUCUGAUCAUGAGGAGCUAGUCCUCCUAGUCCGAAGAUUAUUAGAUAACUUUUCAUUUGUACCAUUCUACUCAUUUUUAAUGAAAUUUCUCAUUGAUUUUAUGUUAAUUAAUUCUCUUGUUUUUACUGUUUAUUUGAAACCAAUCAGUUUAAUACUUAAUCAAUUGCAUAAUACCAAUCAUGUAAUUGGUAGAUUUAGGUAGAGAAUGUUUUAUGUCAAAUUGCAUGAUCAACCUCUUUGGGUAAUCUCCAAUACAUUAGUCAAUCUUUAAUUAAUCUUUCCUAUAAUUGAUUUUCUUUUGACUUAAAUUGAUAGAACCAAUGAUCAUUGGGGUAUUGAUUUAAGGCAAGAAACAUCUUAUAACCUUGAUCAUAGACUUUAGUUGAUUUUGUGAAUGAGUAAUUAACUGGAGAAAGCAUUUUAUUACAACUAGGGUUGAAGGAAAAUUAGUACUAGUAAGUCAUAACCCCUAAUCACUCUUAUCAUCAAUAAACCCUUUCUUUAUAUUCGUAUAUUUUUUUACUUAUAAAUCCGUAAAAAUAUUUAAAUUAUCUUUUUAAUUACUUCAACGGUUAAUUUAAUAAACUUGACUAAUUGGGAAUACAACUCGUCAUUUAGGUUUGAUAUCCAUACUUUCGAAACCACUAUUAUGAUUGCGUAAGGUACACUUAAGGUAUAACAAACAUAUUGGACAUACAACGAUGACAACAUGUAGCAUAUGCAUUUAUGGUUUUGGGAAUAAAAGAAGAAAUCUGAAAUGAAAACACUAUGAGUGUGUUUGGAUGAGGGAAUUUAAAAUUCGGAGGAAUUUUAAAUUCUAAGAAUUUCAAAUACCUCAAUUGAAAUUCUUUUAUUUUGAAAAUUUUGUGUUUCUAUAAAAAAAAAUUAAAAUUGAGGGUGAAAGAAAAUGAGUCACGAGUUCGAGAAUGCGAUUAGUGAAAAUGAGGAUGAAGGUUAUAAAGGAAAUACACAAACUUUUUGGAAAGUUCUAAUGUAAGAAGAGAAUUUCAAUUUCUCACGUUUUACAAGGAAGUUAAAAUUCCACAUUUUUAGUGGUUUAAAAUUAUGUUUUAAAAUUCCAAAAACUUAAAUUCUUCAAAUAAAAAACAUCCAAACAAUGAAUUUUAUAUUAAAGAAAUUAAAUUUUCUGAUAAAUUACUUUCCUUAGUUAAAAUUAUAUAUUAAAGAUAUAUUGAUAGAGAAAACAUGAAAGAAAACUGGAUUCGAGGCCAGCCUCCAAACAAGGCAAGAAAGAAAGCAAACUUAGCUUUUUUCAUAUCAUGUGUGCCUUACAAUUGCUUUAUUUAUACUAAUUCCUUGCUAAAAGAAUUUGUCAUUUUGUGUCAAGGAAUAUUUUAGGAAAUCAUUGGCUAACAAUUUAUGAUUACGCUUGUCUCCCUAAGGCCAACCAACCAUCAUCUAGCAAUUCUUCAUUCCAGGUCAGCUUCCUUUCUCGCUUUUCUUUCUCAUGUGUAGUCUCUGAGGUAAGAGGGCUUUGUGAUGGCCCUCUUUACUUUCUUGCUAUCUGUACCCUUGAUUUUUGUGUUUGUACCUCUGUUUUGUGUUCUCUGUUAACUGCCCCAGCUUUUGUAUCAUGCGUACGCCCUUGUAAAAUUACCUUGUCCUCAAGGUGAUAAUCCUCACAUAAUUGAUCCCAAUUCUCCCACGAGGUGUCAUCCGGGGAUAGCCUUUCCCAUUGCACCAACACUUCCCAAGGCCCUUGUUCUAAAGCUCGCCGAUAAUCUAAUAUGGCUAGCUAAAUGAGUAAUGACUGGUUGGUGCUGAACAAAUUGUUUUGGAAAGUGAACUUCCUGAAUAUGUUCUGGGGAGCCUUUGAAUGCUUUCAACUGGGAGCGGUGGAAAACAGGAUGUAUGCGGACUUCUUUCGGCAAUUUCAAGCGGUAUGCCACGGGUCCUAGGCGUUCCAGAACUUGAAAUGGUCCGUAGAAUCUCUUAGCCAACUUGCCCAUGAUUGCUUGUGGUCCCUUAGCGGAGACUUUUCGGUGGGGCCUUAAUUUAAGCAUAACCCAAUCUCCUUGUUGGUCGAUCACCUCUCUUCGUUUAGCAUCUGCAGUUAUCUUCAUACGGUCUUGUGCUUUGAGAAGCUUCUUGCGAAUGGCCUAAAAUGUUUCUUCUUUGUUGGUCAACAUUUCGUCAACUGCAUCCAGAGCAGAAGAACCCGCGAUAUAUUCAGGAAAAUUAAAGGAUUUGCGCUUGAAUGUGAUCUCAUAUGGAGUGGUGCCUGUUGCCGCAUUCCAUGAAGUGUUAUGAGACCACUCCACCCAGAGAAGAAACUUGCCCCAUUCCCUUGGCUGAUAAUGAACAAAUGUGCCCAGACAUUGCUCUAUGACCCUGUUUAGCACCUCCUUUUGACCAUCACUUUGUGGGUGAUAAGCGGAGCUCAUCCUUAGCCGUGUGCCACUCCGACGAAACAACUCUUGCCAGAAUUUGCCAACGAACAAGGGGUCGCAGUCAGAGACCAGGCUGCGAGGGAGGCCGUGAAUCUUGCCCAUGAUUUCCAUGAACAACGAGGCUACCACAUGGGCUGUGUGUGUCGCUAAUAGCAUGCCAAGAUGAAUGCCUUUUGAAAAUUGAUCAACCCCUACUAGUAUUAACUGUGUUGCUGUGAUAUGGUGGGAGCCCGGUAAUGAAGUCCAGGGAUAAGUCUUCCCAAGGUUGAUGGGGAACUGGCAAAGGGCAUAGUAAUCCUGUUGCUCUUUUUGUCUCGUACUUAGCAUGCUGACAAUCAAUACAUUGCGAGACAAACUUCGUGACAUCUUCUCAAAGUCCUGACGAUUCAAAGUUUUCCGUCAAGCGAGCUAUCAUUUUCGCAAUCCCCAUGUGGCCUCCUGUGGGUGUUGUAUGCUACUCCACCAGUAAUGUGGGAAUCAAGGGCAGGUCCUUUGGUAGCCAAAUUCGUCCCUUCCAGAGGAUCAAGUUAUGAACAAGAGUGAAUCCAGAGUGCUUAUCGGGGUCCACCGUGAUUGCUUGUCGAAGAUGUCGAUACUCAGGAUGAUCCUUCAAUUGGUGGUGCAGUUCUUCAAAGAAAAGAGGGCAAGGGACAGAAAAGCUCAUAUAGAAUGAAUUGGAACCACGCGAGCGUCCUGCCUUCCAUGUAGAACAAAGCUAUGGUAAGUCUUUCAUUCUUUGGUGUGCCAUGGUAUUCGAAGAAUUGGUUGAUUUAGAAAAUCCAACCAAGUGGUUCGGUGCCAUCAAAACGAGGCACAUCUAACUUCAUUCGGUGAUUGUUUGCAGGUACCGAUGGUGAUGGUGGAGGUGUUGGAGAAGAAGAUGACGAGAGGAUGGGAGUGACACGAUUAAGGAGUUCAUCAAUUUUUUGAGUGAGUGAGUGCAUGGAUUCGCCGAGGGAUAGUUGAUGAUUGGUGAGUCUGAGUAAAACUUCAUCAAGCUUAUCGAAGGUACCCAUGGUGUGGACCGGAUGGAACGAUAGCACCAAAAUUAAAAGAGAAAACUUGAAAGGAAACUGGAUUCGAGGCCAGCACCUCCAGACAAGGCAAGAAAGAAAGGAAACUUAGCUUUUUUCAUAUCAUGUGUGCCUUACAAUUGCUUUAUUUAUACUAAUUCCUUGCUAACAGAAUUUGUCAUUUUGUGCCAAGGAAUAUUUUAGGAAAUCAAUGGCUAACAAUUUAUGGUUACGCUUGUCUCCCUAAGGCCAACCAGCCAUCAUCUACAAAGGCAGACAAUUUUUGACAACGGAAAAUUCAAGAUUCCCUCAAAUUCUUUCUUUUGUAGCCCGUGAGAUGGUGGAUGAGUGGAUUUGAGCCAUCAAAGGGCAAGAUUCAUCAAAUUAAUUUUUUAAGUGAUAUAUAUAUAUAUAUAUAUAUAUAUAUAUAUAUAUAUAUAUAUAAUUUAGAUAUCUUCUCGAUCUUCCUAUAAUGGAAAACAUGAAUAAACUAUAGGAAAUUGUAAUUCUACCUUAAUUAGUGAUUUUGAAUGAGAUUUGAUUAAGUAGUUAUGUUAAAUAUUUGGAAAACUCUUUUUAUUGUACAUAAUAAUUAUAUUGGGUUCAAAGAAAUUAUUUUUAAUGGGAAAUAUCUUUUCUUUGUUGAAUUAAGGCAUUGUUCUUCACUUCUCCCUUAAAAAAAUUGAAGAAAAAAAAAAAGAAAAGUGCAUCCCCUUCGACGUCCCUUGCAGGAGACAAUCAUAGAAGAAAGUCGAGCCACCUCUCUCUCUCUCUCUGGUGGCAAUAUAUAACAAUUAAAAGGAAAAUAUAAGCCAUUAGUAUUAUUCAGUAACAACAAGAAUUAUUGAAUCAGUCAACGCUUACUUUCGAAUAUAAUAUAUAUUGUGUGUAUUGUGUUGCAUAUUUUAUAACACAUCUUCAAUUAUUUACAUAUAAUAUCAUUCCUGUCUAAAGUCUUCUAUAGCAUAUGAUGAUUAAAAAAAUGUCCGAGACUCACCCUAUAACAAUACUCAUAAUUUCCGUUGACAUUUCACAUACUCAACUCAUAGAUUCAAGGAGAGGAGAUGUAUGGUGAAAUUGAAAGGUUCAUCAAAGUAUGGAUUUCAGCCAUCUUAGGUUUAUGUUAUUGUUAUUACAUAGCUGCAAGAAUACCAAAGGGCUUCUUGAGACUUCUCUCCCUUCUCCCUAUUCUCUACCUCUUCAUCAUCCUUCUUCCUUGUUCAACUUGGCAUUUUCAAGCUCAGCUCCUACUUUUUUCCUUCAACAAAGGCCCUCUUGCCCUAUCACCCCCAAACAUUGUCCAUUUCAUCUCCAUAGCUUCCCUCCCCAUCACCCCAAAACAACAUCCACCAACCAAUAAAAAUAACACCACCAACACCCAAAAGCCAAAAUGGCUAUUGCCCUUAAAAUUGCUUAUUUUUGCAAUGAUCGCACGUGUUUAUGAGUACAAUGAAUACUUCCACCCUCAUUUCAUAUUAGUCCUUUAUUGUCUUCACUUGUACCUUGGCUUAGAGCUUGUUUUUGCUCUUAUUGCAACCUCGGUUCAAACCCUUUUUGGCUUAGAGAUAGAACCACACUUCAACGAACCCUACCUUUCGUCCUCACUACAAGAUUUUGGGGUCAUAGAUGCAACCUUAUGGUUAGACAUGGCGAGAAAACCCAUACCUGUGGGUACCCGCCCGAAUCCUUCCCGACUUUGACGGGUAAUACCCGAGUUGAUCGGCUAUGGGUUCAGGUUUUUUCCGAUAAUCAAAAGUUGGAUACGGGUACGGGUAUGUGAUUACUAGAUCCGUCUCGACCCCGAAACCGAACCCGCCUCGCCACUUGAAAUCUUUAAAACUUUUGCAUAAUUUAAUCAAAAGACAUAGAAUUUUUAUUACUAGUUAAUUUUAUUUUUGAAUUUUUACAUAAUUUAAUAUUAUUUUUUUAACGAUUUUUUAAGACACAUGUGCUAUGAUAAAUUUAUAGAUAUAUAAGUGGUUAAAAAUAAAUGUUUAACAAUCAAUUUAUUUUUUCUAAAAUCAAAUUUUUAAUAUUUUUUUACAAAAAAUUAUUUUUCUAAUUUGAAUUGGGUAUGGGACGGAAUCAGGGAUACCCGAUACCCGACGGGUACCCGAUGGAUACGGGGAUGGGAUAAUAAACUUUAACCCGUCGGGUAUCGGGUACGGGUAUGGGGAUAUGUUGGGGAGUCGGGAUAAGGGAUUGUGGAGAUAAUACCCGUACUCGCCCCGUCCCAUUGCCAUGUCUACUUAUGGUUUCUCGUCUUCUACACUCUACAGUAUACAACCACGUAAGCUGUACGAUUACGGGUUUAGUGGGUCCCUCAUGUGCCACGUCAGCUGGCAUGUUCGCCACGUUCCUUGUGUCUGGGCUUGUGCAUGAGUUAAUCUAUUAUCAUGUUACACGUGUAACUCCCACGUGGGAAGUUACGUGUUUUUUUGUGCUUCACAGUGUGUGCAUGGUGGCGGAGGUGGCUGUUAAGAAGGUGGUUCUCCGUCGUGGAUGGCGGCUGCACCGUGCCGUGUCAGGGCCACUCGUGGUGGCAUUCUUGGCUAUCUGGGCGAAUUGGCUGUUUUUUCCUCAGUUGUUGAGGAAUGAAAUGGAUAGAAAGUCCACUGAAGAGUAUGUAAUUUUGGUGGAUUUUGUUAAGUCUAAGAUAUACCAUUGAGAAUGUUUAACUCUUGAGAGUAAACGUUAAAGGAUGAGAGAGACUUAUAAUUGUAAUAUUUACCUUAAAGGGUAAAAUAAAACAUUUCGUUUUUUUUUAAGAAUUAUUUAAUUGUGAAUAAGGCAUAUAUGUUGAAUAUGUUGAAAAAUGAUGAGUGUGACUCAAGAGCUAACAUCUGAAAAUGUGCAAGUCUAAAAACAUUAAAGUAUUUUAUGUUUUUAUUGGAUUUACGUGGGUGUAUAAAAAAAUAUAUGGGUGUAUGAGUUUAGUUUUGAAGGCAAAAAAAUAUCUAUUUAAAUAUUUGAAAAAAAAAAAACUUAAUUGCACAUAGUGUUUCAAAUGAAAGAUACGCAUACGUGGUUUAAAAAAAAAAUGCCAUCUCUAUCUUGGAUUAAUGCAUUGUUCUUUCUUACAAAAUUGGGAAAAAAAAAUUAAGGAAAAGUGUGUCCCCCCUUGAAGCAAUAACAACUAAUCUAAGGAAAAUAUCAUCCAUUAGGAGAUUUAUAAUUAAAGUGUGUCCCCCCUUGUAGCAAUAACAACUAGUUAGUAAUAAAUGAUUGAACUACUGUUACAGCUGGCUAAGUUUCCUUCUAGAUUAGUCAAAGGCAAGAUCGAGAGGCACAGAAGCGUGGCAAUUAAUUUGGGUAGCUAUAAUCUGCUGCCUGUUGAACUUCAGAAAAAAAAUUGUCUUUAGAAGUGGUAAUUUGUCGUUUGAAGAUUGCUUGGAAUAUGUAAGAUUUAGAACAUGAUCUUGAUUGCAUGCCAGCAUAUUUAAAGGCUUCAGUUAUUCCUUCUUUGAGUGGUUAAACAGCCCAAUGAUGACUAUAAUUAAUGGUUUUUUUAUUAUUAAAAUGGAAUAAAAAUUAAAAUUAUCAUAAUGGAUUCAUCAAGAAAAUAUUUAUCAAAAUAGAUGAUUUUUGUCACAUAGGAUUAUAGAAAAUGUUACUUAAGUGAUACCUUAUGUUUUUUGUGUAUUUUAUAGCAUGAGGCACCAUUCUUGUAUACUCCAUUUUCGCCAAUGCUAAAUUCGUAUUUAAUGAUUAGAUCUUAUGACACAGUUUUACUCAAUGAUGAUCAAGCUAAUACAAAAUACUUAUAAAAUUAAACUCUUGUCUUUACAACAAUUUAAAAUAAGUAUAAAUGUAUAAUUAAUUAUGAAAAAAAGAGAUAGGUAAGCUUAGUAACGAAGAAUAAAAUAAUAAGAGUAUGUAUUUGUAUUUCUUUUGAUAAUGAAGAAUAUUUUUUGGAGACAAAAUAAGACGUAUAAAUUUCAAUUUUUUUAUAUAUAAUUUUUUGGUUGAGUGUCUUUCAGUAAACGACAUCAUGCUUUAAGAUUUUAGUGUCAGCCUCAACUUUUUGGCAUCUAGAGUUGAAUGGGAACAUUCUUUAGUUCUUAUCACUUUGUCCUGAUUGUUUUGUGCUAGCAAAAUAAAUUUUUAGAAAGUCUGUUGAAAGUCAUUCUAAUUAUCUAGAAUCAUGAGAUGCUCUUCAUCCUGAAGUAGUUAAUUGGUCAAGAUAUAUGUGGGGUGUUGAACAUGUAUUGAUUUCCGUUGGCUUGAGAAGUUCUACUGUUUCAUUCACACAAAAAGCUCAUAGAACUUUGGUUGGUUUGUGCCUGUCUCUCAAAAGUGCAAGUGUGUAAAUUUGAGUACUUUCAUGAAUCAUUUAUACUAGGUGAUUGAUGUUGUGGUUUAUUUUAUGUGCUUAUGUUAAUUGUGUUUUUCUUUUUUCUAUCUUGAGGAGCGUAUGAAUGCAGAGAAAUAGAUGUUGAAAUAUUUAGAAAUAUUUCUUUCAAUAUAUUAUUAUGACAUGAAUUUUAUUUACUAUCAAACAGGUUCAUCAAAUUUGUGGCUAUGAUGUUUAUUGCUUUAGAAAAGUUUUAUUUGAGCUGGUGACAAAAAUUGUUGAUCCGUCAAUGGUUGUUGAUGAGGAUUUCUUAGACGAAAUAUGAGCUAUAUCCAUUUUAGCUCAUUCACUUGCUUUUAAAUUUAAGAAAUUACAAUAUUGUAUAGUAUUGUAACUAUAAAGUUAAUAAAUUAGUAUACUAUUGUAUUUUCAUCCAUAUUAUACAAUCUCAUGAUGUUAUAUUAUCCAGUUUAUCUUAAUCAUCAUUUAUACAUUUUUUUAUAACAUAUAAUAUUAAAUACUUUUGUUUUGCUACAAACAAUGUUUCGAACAUUAUAACUUUGUUACUUCCAUUUUGUUAUAUAAUAUCUAUUUUUUUUUGCUUGAUCUUCAAAUCAGUUAUAUGUGCUGGUAAUUCAUUUUUUAGCUUAUAUUAAUUUUUUUCACAUUUACUUGCUUUCAAAUUUAAUAAAUAAUAAUAUUGUAUAAUAAUAUAUCUGUAUAGUCCACACCUAUAUUAUUAUUUGUAUUUUUCAGCUUACCCGUGCGAAUACACGGGUUACUUUCCUUAUAAAUGAUCAAACAGCAGACAAAUUAGAAAAAAAUGAUUUCAAAGGAUAAAGACCCAAAAAUAGGACUUUCAUAUAAACUAAUUAAGAAAAAAAUCUAUUUUGAGAAGCCUAAAAAGAGGAAUCAAACAUUAUUGUUUGGUCUCCUGUUUGAAGGUGAAUUUCUACAAGAGUUGCUUUGGGCUAUGGGAGUGGAAAAUAGGGUGGUGGAAACAUAUGCAGAUUUAUUGAAUUGUAGAAUUUUAUCUUGGCCAUUUGUAUAUCUUGGGAUACCAAUUGAGGCUAAUCCAAGGAAGUUGAACUUAUGGCAACCCAUCUUUGACAAGUUUUCCAAGAAGUUGACACUUUGGAAGCACAAGUUUAUGUUUCUUGCGGGUAGAUCAUGUUUGGUAAAUUCUGUGUUAUCCUCUUACCUCUUUUCUUUCUUUAGGAUUCAAAAUGUAGUGAGGAAGAUUCUAGUGGGGAUUCAAAGGAGGCUUUCAUGGGGAGGGGGAAAUGAGAAUAAAAAAAUAGCAUGGGUUAAGUGGGGGGAUAUUUGCAAGGAGUAGAGUGAGAGUGGGCUAGGAGUAAAUGAUAUAAGGUCAUUUAACGAGGCUUUGUUGAGAAAUGGAGAUGAAAUUUAUUCCAUGGUGAGGGGAGGGAGUUUUUGAAAGAAGUGUUAAUUUUGAAGUAUGGUGGUUGGAGGGGCAUUCUAAAUGAGUGAGAACAAACUCUUGAGUCAUGGUGGUGGAGGGAUUAAAGAGGGUUUGUGGAGGAAAAAAUGAGGUGAAAUGGUUGAAUGGGUUUGUUGAUGUGUUUAAACAAGUUUUGGUUGAAUGAUUGGAUGGAUAGACAAAGUUUAGCUAAUAUAUUCCCUGGACUUUUUACUAUCUCCGACCAAUAGGAGGAAGUGAUUGUUAAGACGGGUUCAUGGAGGGAUGGUUCUUGGCGGUGGGAGGUAAAGUGGAGGAGGAACCCUUUUGUAUGGGAGACUAAACUUAUACAACAGCUUCAUCAAUUACUGGAAGGGGUCCAACUACAAAUUUCAGGAGAAGACAGAUAGUUUUGGAAGCAAUGCCCCUCAGGGCAGUUUUCAACUUCAUCGGCCUAUCACUUUAUUCAACAACUUGGAGGGGCGGGAGAAACUUGACAACUUUUUGAGUAGAUAUGGAAAAUUAAAAUUCCACCUAAAGCUAAAAUUCUUAUGUGGAGAAUUUUCAGAGAUAGAAUGCCAACUCUUGAUAACUUGGUAAAGUGAAAUGCCAUUGAUAGGUAUUGUGAUCAAAUGUGUCCUCUCUGUUUGGGUCAUCAAGAAUCUGCUCAACAUCUUUUCAUCUCUUCUAAUGUCAUUCAAGAUGUUUGGUUGGAAUGCAUCUCAUGGAAAUCUCUUUCUCUUGCACAGCCAAGUAGUUUGGAAGUUCAUUUCAGGUAAUUUGCAGGUUUAGGAGGUUCUAGAAUUGAGUCAGAAUUUUGGCAAGCAACAUGGGGAGCAGUGGUCUUUUGUGUGUAGAAAUUGAGGAACACAGUUGUUUUUAGACAACAGUUAGUGGACAGAAAGAAAUUGAUAGAGGAAGUUAAAUUCCUUAUCUGGUCAUGGUUACAUAAUCUGGAUUCUGGUUUUAAUUUUUCAUUGGUUCAAUGGUCAUCUAAUCCAGCAGUUUGCGUACAUGGAUGGUUUGGCAGGACAUUAUGUAUGUGGCAAGUAGCUGAGUGCAGGAAAUUCGAUCAGAAAUGUGCAGGAAAGGGUAUGUGUAGCAUUGUGGAAUCUGUCAGGUGGAAAUGCUAAUUAUGGAGGUGAGUUCAUUAAUCUAUUUUGCCACAUACAUGCGAAGAACUUGCGCUGUGUUAUUAUUAAGAAAACUUCUCUGCAUGGUAUAUGGCUUUUGGUAGUGGGGUAACUUCCACAUGACUUUGUUUUGCAUAAUUUUAUCCAGCAAAGACAUGUUAUAGCUGGUUAGUGGUGGGAUACUAUACUAUGAGAGGAAAUGAGUGAAUUACAAUACUCUGGUAUGUUGUGGAGCUUUGAACGGCUAUUUUUUAUUUAUGCAAUCAUCGCCUAAAUAUAUUGUAACCGCUGUCAUGAGCUGAUGGGGAAGUUCUAUGAACUUUUUGUAUUUACCUCUGGUACCCUUCUUUAUUACAUAUAUACAACUUUUGCUGAUUAAAAAAAAUGUUUUUUCGAUUUCUUGCUGACACUGUAAAAGAUAGUCAUUGAAGUUUAUUAGCUGUAUACUAGCAAUGGUAUAUUUUAGUUGAAUAAAUCAGAAAUAAUAAUAAAACAGAUAAUGUGUUUUGAGGUGCAAUAAACAGGCUCAAAUCAUUAAUAAUAAUAUUAAGAAUAUGUUGCUAUAAAGAUCUGCUGCAAAUCUUGGGUAACGUAAAACCAUAUAUUUUUUUUAAAAUUAACAGGUAUUGCUUUCUAACUCAAAUCAUUUUAGCACCAUAUACUGCUGCCUUUUGGUUGACAUGCAAAUGAGGCAAGCUGAAGAUGCCAUAUUUGAAAUAGAAACCACGGAUAAAGAACAUAUAAAUAUAAGAUUGGCCUAGUGGUUAGGAAAGAAGGACUUAAGGGUAAAGGGAGAAAGGAGGGGAGAGAGGUCAUAAGUUUGAAUCUCCACACUGACAAUUUUUAACAAAACUAACAUUUGCCGAUACAAAAAAUCAGAUAAAGAACAUUGUGUAAUCAACAUGCUAUGAUUUAGCACAUUCCAUGUUACAAUGUGUCUCACCCUUAUAUUAUUUCUAAAAGUUUCCAUAAAGACUACAAGAAAGCUACAAAGAAGGCAAAAGAAAGGUGCAUAUGCUAUACACCUUAACCUUAUAUUAAUGAUGCAUAAAAAGCAAUAUACCCUUCUGAAUGAGAUGUAGGAAUUAUACCCUGGUUGCGUACACUUGUUUUCUUGGACAUGGGAUAUGCAAGUGCAGAUCGUUGCUUGGUUAACCCUUCAAUGAUAAAAGAAAGUGCCCCAUAAGCAAUGCAGCUCUGUAGAAGUGAUUGGGGUGUACCUGGAGAAUCCUAAAGGAUGAGUCAUAAUAACAAUAAAAACGUACAAGAGAAGAAAAUUAAAUACAUAUUUUUCUUUUUGGUGAAUAAAUUACAUACAUAUAGAGAUAGACUUAUACAACAGAAUUGAUUGAAAUGCCUGAGUCACUAAAGCAGCUUUUUGUUUUGUUUUGUUAGACCAUUCAACAUAGUAAUAAACCUCAACCUUUCCCCAGCCACCAAUUGGAGACAAAAUUGUCUCAAGUGUUUGGCAUGAAGGAUCAUGUUUAUUCAUAGAUUUCAACAAUGAAAGACAAAUUAAAAUUCAUACCUUUGAGAAAAAAGGUUUGGUCAAAAUAGGUAAGAUUACUGUGACCUUUAUCCUUAAUUUCAAUUGGUGCAGAGACCAACAAGUUACUAAAAAUUUCAAAAGUAAAGGAUGAUAGUUCAUCAAUUAUUAAAAGAAGGGAUAUACCAGGAAAACUUGUAGCAAGACCAGCGCAGCAUCCAGCUACCCCAGCAUUAAUGGCUGCAGAUGUGAAAGGAAUCACAUUAUCAGUGAGAGAACAUUAUAUUGGCGAGGCUUUUUUAAGUUGGCUUCUAACAUAUUUGGCUGAAUUAGAAGUUUGUUUGCCAAAUUAAACCUCUUUGCCAAAGGAACAUAUUUUUAUGAGUGUUUUUGUAACACUUUUCAUGUAGCAUCUGAACACUACCUUAUCAUAAUUCCUUCUUUCUUUUCAUUAAUAGUUUCCAACUAACUUUUUAGCUUCCAAUUAACUUAUAUGUUAAGUUUUGUCAAACACAUCAUUGAAAUUAAAUAUUUUAUACCAUCAUCCUUUCCUCUAAGUCUUCCCAAUAUGCAGACAACCAAACUAUCAACUCCGGAUAAAAUUGCAAAUGUCUAAUGAAAAAGAAGACAAAAAAUGAAGAUUAUUAAUGAAUGGACAUGUUCAAAUAGGUAUUAAGUUUGCAAAGUAAAACGCCGGGCAGAAAAUAAACAACAUUGAUCUCUGGUAUACCUUAGCAUUAGAUCCUGCUUGUAUAAAGGAUCCUUUAAAGUCUUUCUUCUUAAUCAAUCCAGCACCUGAAAACAGACCCAUUGAAAGCAUCCUUGAGCACGAACAGAAAUAUCGACCAACUAUCAAACUCUAAGAAUUUGAAUUUCUUGAUCAUAAUCCUCUGCCAGCAUUUCAAAGAUAGCAUAGAUACACAAAUAUAACCUAUGAUUGAAUAAAGCAGAAAAUUCAGUUCAAAAUCCAUUUCUCUAGUUACUUGUUAGGAAAAUAUUAUAUAGAUUCAAAAUUUUAAGUAAUGUUACACACUCACUCCUCUCCUUCUUCACUCAAAGGUAAUAAAUAACUAAUAACAGAAAAGAUUUGAAGGUGAAAUUAUCUACCAAUAGAUUCCUCUUUAAGUUGUGUACAGGAUAUAAACAAAACGACAUAUACUCCCAAAUUACAAAUUUCUCAGAGGAUGCUAUAAAUUCAAGAAAGAAAAAACAAUUUCAAAUUGCAAAUUCCGUGUAGCCUAUUUGAUUAAGAAUAAAACUUAGAUUUAGUUGCAGUUAAUUAAGUGUCUUUAGAGUUAUUCUCCUGUCAGAAUUGGAGUUUUACUUUCUAAACCUUUAAUACAAAUCUUUAUUAUGUGAAUUACAAGUGAAACUCCAAUUAUGAUUGAAAAACAACAUUAAAAGUACCUAAGGAACUGCUUCUAAGAAAGUUAAAAUACCAGAAACAAGAGAAUGACGAAGAAAAACAGAAAAAAGAAAUGGUAACAUCACAAAAAGUAAACAUAAAGCACAUGCAAGUCCAAGUCAGAGAGAGGACCAUAGCCGAAAAGGGAGCCAGUGAGGGCACCACAAGCAGUGCUAGUGGUGGCAGGGAGAAGAAGGGAAGCCGUGAGGGACGGAGUAGAGGAAGGACCUACAGAUUUUGUAGGAUUGGGAGCAUUGUUCACAUCACUAACCGAAUUAACUGUUACAUCCGAUGCCAUCUUUUUUGAGUUUUGACGAUGUGGUUACCCUGCUCUUGACUUGAAUUUAUUCCACACUAACAACAUUACCUCUUUCAACAAUAAACUAAUCAACACUGCUAUUCACAAUUAUUAAUUAGCUAAGUAAAUAUUUAGGAACACAAGGUCCUUCUCUGACUAUGUCAGUUAUGCAAUCCUCAUUGUUAUUAACGAUAAUCAAAUUCUUUGAAGUAUGAAAACAAAGUUCUGUAUAGAAACCAACGAAAUGGGAUAUUUUUUCUUCCUUUUUUCUUUUAAAAAAAAAUCUCACAAAGUAUAUAGAGUAAACCAAGCAGAUACACAAGAUAUCACCAUUUUAGUCCUAACCAUGAUUUGCAGAUCCUAAACGACGAUGCAAAUCUGCUAAGAGGCAUCCACGAAGUGAAAAUCGUUGGCUUAUAUGAAUCACUGGCUUAUAUCAAUCGAAUUGAAUCAUAGUGUUAAAUGAAAGGGAAAGUGCAAGUGCAUGAGCUAGUCCUGGUGCAUUACCAUCAACUACUACUGUCCACUCUUGUUCACUCUUGCUUUAAAUGAUUAAUUUUGUUCCAUUGAAGCUCAAUAUUCAUUUCAAAUCAUGAUUACAUGCUCUUUAAAUGAAUUACUGCAUAAACUUUUGACCACAAAACAUAACCAACUAUGAGCGUGAAAGCACACAUCCAAUUACAUGUUAUCUACUCAUGCAUUAUACAGUACAAACCAAAAAAGCCUACUAUUUUCAACAAUGUUUUAGGUGUGAUUGGUUUGAGGGUGAAACCAACCAAAAUGUAUCAACUGUAUGAUUUUCUUGAGGUAAUAAUCAAUGAUUAUUUUGGCUCCAUAAACUACUCGUUUUCAUUGUGUUCCUAUUGGUAUUGAAGCUAUUAGUUUCAGGCUAUGAUAAAUUGUAGUAGCUGAAUGCGAUUGUUAGGGAAACAAACCCUUUUAGCUACAAUGAACAUCAAAGACAGAACACACUAACAACACCACCAUGAAAAAGAAAUAUGGGAAGAACACAUCAAAGGAUAAAAAACACUAACUACAACUCCAUAAAAUAGAAAUAGUAGAACAACACAAAUUUAACAUUUUCAGUACUUCUUGCUUAUGUCAACAGAAAUAUCUUAAUAAAUAUUCAUUAUCUCAAAUAAGUUGAGAGAAACUUCAUCAAAUAAUGAACACAUGAUUUCAAACUUUUUUCAUCACUCAAUUGUAUUCUAUUUCAGCCUAAAAGCCUCACAAAUAAACCCUAAAUCUUAAUAAAAAUAACUUUCAUUAUUUAUAACCUAUUUGACAUUUUUUAAAAUUAAAAUUCCUUCUCACGGAUCAAGAUGAUCCGUAAGCUUGUUGCGGAUCAACUACAUCCUUAAUCAAACUUACGGAUCAACUUGAUCAACCUAACUCUGGCAACAAUGAACUAAAAGACAUGGUUACGGUGCUUACCUCGAUGGUGGACGGUGACGAAACUCCCUCGAUGGUGGACGGUGGCGUUGCUCUUCACGAAAACCUCCUCAAUGCACCUCACGGCAAGCUCCCCUUCACGGCAACAAUGGUGGUUGAAGAAGAAAAAAAACCUCUUCCUAGUAACCUCCUUUUAACGGCAACAAUGGUGACAAAUGGAAACGCCGGUGAGGCGAGCAAGAAGAAGACAAAAAAGGUAAGGAAGAAGAAGAAUAAAUCGGGCUGAGGAAGUAGAAGCCGAAACACGGGCGGGAGAGAGAGUCUCACGUUUUUUUUAAAAAAAAUAAGUCAGGGGUAUUACGGGCUUUUCACUUCAAGUGUUGGGUGCACCAGCAAAAAUACUGGGUGCACCUAGCAACACUCUUCGAAGUUUGGUUUAGGCUUACUAAUAUGUUGGGCCCGGACCUGAGGAAUGGUCAACCAACAUAAUAUAAUUAAGUCCUUGCAUUGUUAAAUUUUAAGGGACGUACAGGUAUGAUAUAUGCAUGGUGCGAUUAUUGACGGUGGGUGUCUCUCGCCGAUAAUGACAUAAUUACAUAGAUGAGGGGGUGAGUAUGUUGUGUUUGAUAGUUAGUCUUGCAUCUUCCUUUGCGUAUUUAUUCUUAUGCAGAUUAAGAUGUAAGGCGCAGUCAUUUGUUGGGUAAUGCUUUCUUUCGAGCCUUAGGGGUAGGCUAGUAGUUCUUUGCAUUCCAUGUACGGGCCAAUGUAGCCACUUGUAUUUGCACUGCUUGUGCUUCUUAUUAUCAAUAUAAAUAUAUAUAUAUAUAUAUAUAUAUAUAUAUAUAUAUAUAUAUAUAUAUUCGUCGAUAAAAAGAAAAACUUAUCGUGUGACCUAAUAUCAAAUAAACAAUACCAAUCCACAAAAAGAAAAAGAAAUAACCUACUAUAUAGAGUCAAACAAGUAGUAGAUAAUUUGAGUAGUUUCAUGAAAUCAUAAGUUUUAAAUGUUAAGUUUGUGUUCAUCUUCUUAAGUUACGAUAAAUGAAAUUAUAUAUAUUGAAACAGAUUUUAUUUAAAAAUAAAUAGAAUUUUAGAAAAAUAAUGAGAUUUUUUAUUAAAUAAAUCAGGAGAAAUAAUUUUAUUAAUUAAAAUAAGGUUUGUAAGGUAAAUAAAAUAAAUAUAUGUCCUUAGAAAGUAAAAAGGAUGUUUUAUUUAUUAAUUUGAUAUAAAUUAAAAUAAAAUUCCUUUUUAUAAAAUAAAUAUAUGCUCUUUUAAGAUUUUAACAUAUUUUUUUUUACACACUAUUUUCUAUUAGUUGAAAUUAAUUAUUUUGUCUCCAUUUUUAUUUAUAAGACUUUUAAAAUAAUAUUUAUUCUGUUUUAUAAAACUCAAUCUAUAAUAUUCCGUACUUAUUUAAAAAUUGGGUAGCAUGAAAUGGUAUGGAUACGGUGACAAAUAAUUAACAUUAACAAUGGCAAAUUCAGUGCUGGCAUACACGUUCAGCUUUCUCUGAAACUAGCGCUGGUCAUAUCUAGCAUGUGUUUUAAAGACAAGUGGAUGAUACUUCAACCAGCGCUGUUCGUAUUAGUUGGUUCAACAAUAAUGGCAUAUUUCAAUACAUUGGAAUAAAUAACUACUUUAUAAAUUAACAAUAAAAAUAUUGGAAGAAACUGCAGUGUCCUUGGCUAGACUAAAAUGGCAGAAACUGCAGUGUCCUUGGCUGGUCAGCAUGCGCUUCCAAAAAUAUUGGAAGCUGUCAAAAUGCUGAGAGAUCUCCCAAAAGAAGUUAGAGACAUUACAGAUGAACUUGAAAGCUUUCAAGAUUUCAUCAAUGAUGCUGAUAAAGUGGCUGAAGCUGAACAAGAUGAUGGAAGGCGUCAUAGAAUAAAAGAAAGGGUGAUGCGGCUGAGAGAAACAGCUUUUCGCAUGGAAGAUGUCAUCGAUGAAUAUAACAUCUCCUGUGAGGAUAAGCAACCUGAUGAUCCUCCAUGUGCAGCUUUACUAUGUGAGGCUGUUGACUUCAUCAAAACUCCAAUCCUUCGCCUUCAAAGUGCGUACAAGAUUCAGGAUGUUAAAUCCCUUGUUCGUGCUGAAAGAGAUGGUUUCCAAAGCCAUUUUCCUUUAGAGCAAAGACAAACCAGUUCUAGAGGAAAUCAAGAUAUCACAUGGCAGAAACAUAGAAGGGAUCCUCUCUUUAUCGAGGAAGAUGAGGUUGUGGGGCUUGAUGGCCAUAGAGGUAUAUUGAAAAAUUGGUUGACAAAGGGAAGAGAAAAACGCACUGCCAUCUCUGUGGUGGGAAUUGCAGGGGUGGGAAAAACCACUCUUGCCAAGCAAGUUUAUGACCAGGUGCGUAACAAUUUCGAGUGCCAUGCGUUGAUCACAGUUUCUCAAUCCUUCUCUACUGAAGGAUUGCUGAGGCACAUGUUGAAUGAGCAUUGCAAAGAAAAAAAGGAGGACCCUCCCAAGGAUGUUUCUACCAUCGAGUCGUUGACAGAAGAAGUCAGAAACCGCUGGCGCAACAAGAGGUAUGUUGUCUUGUUUGAUGACGUAUGGAAUGGAAAAUUUUGGGAUCACAUUGAAUCUGCUGUAAUUGAUAAUAAAAAUGGAAGUAGGAUAUUAAUCACAACCAGGGAUGAGAAGGUUGCAGAAUAUUGUAGGAAAUCAUCAUUUGUUGAGGUGCAUAAGCUAGAAAAACCUUUAACUGAAGAAGAAUCUUUGAAAUUGUUCUGUAAGAAGGCAUUUCAGUAUAGUUCCGAUGGAGAUUGUCCAGAAGAACUUAAAGAUAUAUCUCUUGAAAUUGUUAGAAAGUGUAAAGGUUUACCUCUAGCAAUAGUGGCCAUUGGUGGUCUUUUGCCUCAAAAAGAUGAAAGUGCACCUGAAUGGGGACAAUUUUGUCGAGAUCUAAGUUUAGACUUGGAGAGGAAUUCUGAGUUAAAUAGUAUAACAAAAAUUUUAGGUUUAAGUUAUGAUGAUUUGCCAUUCAAUCUCAGAUCAUGUUUAUUGUAUUUCGGAAUGUAUCCGGAGGACUAUGAAGUUCAAUCUGAUAGACUGAUUAGACAGUGGAUAGCUGAAGGGUUUGUCAAACAUGAAACCGGAAAAACAUUGGAAGAAGUUGGGCAACAAUAUUUAUCAAGGUUGGUCCGUAGAAGUUUGGUGCAAGUAUCCUCAUUUAGAAUUGAUGGCAAAGUUAAAAGGUGUCGUGUUCAUGACUUAAUACACGACAUGAUCCUUAGAAAAGUCAAGGAUACAAGGUUUUGUCAGUAUAUUGACGGGCGUGAUCAAUUUGUAUCAAGUAAGAUUGUUUGACGCCUGACAAUUGCAACCGAUGAUUUUGUUGGUAGUUGAUUAGAUGAUAGUUGAUAAUUUUAGAGAAUUGUUUUAGAAAGAAGGCUAUGUCAUUGAUUUCUUGAAUGAUCAAUUACAACAUUCCAAUUGCCUAUUUAUAGGCUCAAGUCACCAACCUCUCAAUGGUGGUGAAUGUUUCUACAUUACUUUAGGUCUUUCUAGAGUUUUCAUGAUAGAUUAGUAUCAUGAUAGUUCUAGAUUCUUCUAUCUUAUACAUACACUUAUGAUUCUAGAUUGUUCUACCAUAUUCAUACACGUUAUAGGUCUAGAUUGUUCUAUCAUAUUCAUACACAUUAUAGUUCUAGGAUAUUCUACUAUUUUCAUACAUAUUAUAUUUAAGAAUAUUCUAGAAAUUUGUAGCAAUUUCAACACUCCUCCUUGAUGCAAAUUUCUGUGACUCCGAGCAUAGCUCGUAAUUCUUCAAAUCUUGGUCUUGGCAAAGCCUUCGUGAAUAUGUCUGCAAUUUGAUCUUCUGUUCUGCAAUAGUCGAGUUUGAUCUCUUUAGUUGCUUCAGCUUCUCUGAUAAAGUGAUACUUGAUUGCUAUGUGUUUUGUUCUGCUGUGAUAAACUGGAUUCUUCGCCAUUGCAAUUGUUGAUUUGUUGUCGCAGUUGAUUUUAGUAGGCUCAUCUUGUUUUUCUCCCAUGUCUUCAAGUAUCCUACGAUGCCAUAUAGCUUGACUCGUUGCUUCAGCAGCUGCCACGUACUCUGCUUCUGUUGUUGAUUGUGCUACUGUAGCUUGCUUCUUCAACGCCCAAGAGAACAUUCCCGAUCCUAGUGAGAAAGCAUAGCCAGAGGUACUCUUCAUGUCAUCUGCCGAACCUGCCCAAUCACUGUUGGUGUAGCCAAGUAAUUCUGAGUUGGUUUCGGUAGUAUACCAUAUACCGAACUCUUUUGUUCCUUGUAGAUACCUCAAAAUUCUUUUUCCUGCUCCAAAGUGUAUUUGACUUGGGCUUUGCAUGAAUCUUGAUAGAAGACUUGUAGCAUACAUUAUGUCAGGCCGUGUAGCUGUCAAAUAUAGGAGGCUUCCAAUUAGACUUCGGUAUUUGGAUGCAUCAGCUUUUGGUGCUCCAUCAUUCUUCUGUAGUUUCUCAUUUGUUAUGAGUGGAGUAGCAACAGGUUUGCAACCAUACAUCUUGAAUUUCUUAAGUAAGCCUUCUGUGUAUUUCUUUUGCGAGAUGAAUAUCCCUUCAUUUCUCUGACUUACCUCUAUGCCGAGGAAGUAACUCAUCAAACCAAGGUCGGUCAUCUCAAAGGUCUUCAUCACGUCUUCUUUAAACUCCAUCAUCAUCUUAGUAUUGUUUCCCGUGUAGAUAAGAUCAUCUACAUAUAGAGAGAGUAAGAGAGUGCACUGCCCUUGAGACUUGAUGUAAAGUGUAGGCUCACUCUUACUCCUCCUGAAUCCUCGAUCCAUGAAAUACUGAUCGAUUUUGCUAUACCAUGCUCGAGGUGCUUGCUUCAAACCGUAGAGUGCUUUUCUUAGUCUUAACACUUUGUUUUCUUUGCCUUCAGACACGAAUCCUUGUGGCUGAUCCACAUAGAUCUCUUCUACAAGUACGCCGUUAAGGAAGGCGGAUUUGACAUCUAGUUGAUGGAUACUCCAUCCUUUUUGUGAUGCAAGAGCUAUUAGAGCUCUUAUGGUAUCAAGACGAGCUACUGGUGCAAAUGUCUCAUUGUAGUCAAUUCCGGGUUGCUGUGAGUAACCCUUAGCUACUAGCCUAGCCUUGUGUUUAUGUAUGGUGCCAUCAGGGUUGAGCUUUGUCUUAUAGACCCACUUAACCCCAAUGAUAUCUUUUCCAUGGGGACGAUUUACUAACUCCCAUAUGUUGUUUUUCUCGAUCAUUUGUAUCUCUUCUUCCAUUGCCUUGACCCAUACUUCCUGCUUUGACGCUUCUUCAAAGCUUCCAGGUUCAAGUAUGGCCAAGUUACAGGUUUCAUAUAUGUCCACCAAAGAUCUUACUCGUCUUGGAGUAGACUCUGGUGAUGAUAGUUCUUGAUCUUGUUGUUGUGGUGGAGGUGAAGGUGGUUCACCUGGGUCUUCUUCCUCAGCUUCUUCUUGAGGUAGUUGAGUGGGUAUAAGAAUGUUUUUCUCCACUUUUUCUUUAUCUUUAUCCCAAUUCCAAGAAGCAUACUCAUCAACUUCAACAUCUCGAUUGACGAUGAGUUUCUUAGUUUGCAAGUUGUAGACACGGUAGCCCUUAGAGAUAUUGCUAUACCCAAGGAAGAUACCUCGUAUAGUCUUGUCUUCAAGCUUGUGCCUCUUCACGUCUGGAAUAUGAAUGUAGCAUAUAGAUCCAAAGACCCUUAGGUGCUUUGCUGAUGGCUUCUUCCCGUUCCAAGCUUCAAUUGGAGUCUUGUCUUUUACAGACUUAGUUGGACAUCUGUUGAGUAUGUAAACUGCAGUGUAGACUGCUUCAGCCCAGAAUGUGUUAGGUAGUCCCUUUUCCUUGAGCAUCGAUCUAGCCAUCUCCAUAACUGUGCGAUUCUUUCUCUCGGACACUCCAUUUUGUUGAGUAGAAUAUGCGACUAUAAGUUGUCGCUCAAUGCCUUCAUCCUCACAAAAUCUUUCAAACUCGCGAGAGGUGUACUCUUUGCCGCGAUCACUUCUUAGUACUUUUAUCUGUUUUCCACUUUGAUUUUCAGCAAGGGCCUUGAACUUUUUGAAUACUCCAAAGACUUCUGAUUUUUCUUUUAGAAAAUAUACCCAUGUCAUUCUAGAGAAGUCAUCAAUGAAGAGUAUGAAGUACCUGUUGUUCUCAUGUGAUGGCGUCCUCAUUGGUCCACAGACGUCCGUAUGUAUCAGCUCCAAUAGAUCUUUCACUCUCCAUGCUCCGCUUGUUGAGAAAGGAAAUCGGUGUUGCUUACCAAGGAGACAUCCUUCACACACUUCAUUGUUCUCUUUUAUGCUUGGAAGAUCUCUCAUCAUGUUCUUCUCAUGUAACAACUUCAAGGCAUGUGUGUUGAAGUGGCCAAAUCUUCGAUGUCAUAGCCAUGAAUCAUCAACUUGUACCUUCAUGGAAAUGUUUGUUGCAUAUUUUAAAUUUAGAGGGAAGCUUCUAUUGCUCUUAUUCAUCUUUACUUGGGCUAUCUCAGACCUUUUAUUUUUGUUGUUUAAGAUUUUGCAUACACCUCCUUCAAAGUGAAGUGUGUAGCCUCUCUCCAUCAUUUGGCCAAUGCUUAGAAGAUUUUCUAUUAGGCUGGGAACUAGUAAGACAUCAUGGAUGAGUCACGUACCUUUAUCUGUCUCCACCAUGACAGUGCCUUUGCCUUUUGAUUCAACCACACUUCCAUUUCCCAGUCGAACUUUGACUUUGACAGACUCAUCAAUACUUUUGAAAAUAGUCUCAUCGUUGGCCAUGUGAUUGCUACAUCCACUAUCCAAGUACCAGUUUCCUCCCUUUUCUUUUAUUGAGUCUUGAGUGGCGUAGAAUGUACAUUGUUCUUGAUCAUGCUCCUCUGUGAUAUUGGCUUGAUGCCUAUUUUUGUUGCGACAAUUUUUCUCUACAUGCCCGAACUUCUUGCAAUGGUUGCAUUGUGGCAUAUUACGGAACCAACAAUUUUUCUCUGCAUGGCCUUGCCUUUUGCAUAUAUUGCAUGGAGGAUUUUUAUCUAUUUUGUUCUUAAGGAAAUUCCUAGAACCUUCUCUUCUUCUGGAAGUUUCUCCAUAAUUUUUCUUUCCUCCAUUUUCUUUGUUUUGGGGCUGAAAUUUAUGGAAGGCAUUUUCAAUUGUAUCUUCUUUAUGCCUAUACAGUCUUUGCUCAUAUGCUUCAAGAGAGCCCGCAAGUUCUGUCUCUGAUAGAGUGGACAGAUCUUUGGUUUCUUCAAUCGUUGUCACGAUUGGGUCAAACUUUUGGGGCAUAGUAAUUAAAAUUUUCUCAACAAUUUUCUUGUCAAGAAUAUCUUCCCCAAAAGCUCUCAUUUGAUUAACUAUUUCUUUAACUUUAGAAUAGUAAUCUUUAACUGUCUCAGACUCCUUCAUCUUCAAUAGUUCAAAAUCUCUUCUUAGAGAUUGAAGUUUAACGACACGUACCUUAACACUUCCUUGAAACUCCUCCUGCAAUGUGUUCCACGCUUCUUUGGCAGUCUUAGCUCCCAUAAUUCUUGGAAAAAUUGGAUCAGUCACCGCUUGUUGCAAGGUGAACAACGCCUUUGAAUUUUUCUGUUUAUUUUUCUUCAACUCUUUUUCUUGAGAUGCAUUAAGAGCUGAAGUAUCCGCAGGAAUGGUGAAGCCUUCUUCUACUAUGUCCCAUAAAUCUUGAGAUAAAAAAUAUGUUUCCAUUUUAACACGCCAGAAAUCAUAAUUUUCACCAUUGAAGAUAGGGACAAAAAUAGUUGACGAUUGAGUAGUGUUAUCCAUAGCUUAGAAAAAAAUAUUAUUAGAGUGGGUUAAUAGUACAAAGAAAAUUUUCGAAGUAGUUGGGAGGAUUUUGGAAUGGUAGGUAGGUAAUAUAACUACGCCCAAUGUAUGACCGAACGUAGCUCUGAUACCACUGUUGGUAGUUGAUUAGAUGAUAGUUGAUAGUUGAUAAUUUUAGAGAAUUGUUUUAGAAAGAAGGCUAUGUCAUUGAUUUCUUGAAUGAUCAAUUACAACAUACCAAUUGCCUAUUUAUAGGCUCAAGUCACCAACCUCUCAAUGGUGGUGAAUGUUUCUACAUUACUUUAGGUCUUUCUAGAGUUUUCAUGAUAGAUUAGUAUCAUGAUAGUUCUAGAUUCUUCUAUCUUAUACAUACACUUAUGAUUCUAGAUUGUUCUACCAUAUUCAUACACAUUAUAGUUCUAGAUUGUUCUACCAUAUUCAUACACAUUAUAGUUCUAGGAUAUUCUACUAUUUUCAUACAUAUUAUAUUUAAGAAUAUUCUAGAAAUUUAUAGCAAUUUAAACAGAUUUUAGUGGAAGUAUAGGAAGCUCACCCAUUCGGUCAAUUUUUAUUAGCACAGGAGAAGAUGAAGCAGUAUCUGAACCCUUAGUAAACAAAAUCCCUACCAAUUACAUGCUAUUGAAGGUACUUGAUUUUGAAGGUUCUGGUUUACGUUAUGUUCCUGAAAAUUUGGGAAUUUAUGCCACUUGAAGUAUUUAAGCUUCCGGUAUACACGGAUAGAAAGUCUACCAAAAUGCAUUGGUAAGCUCCAGAAUUUGGAGACCUUGGAUACAAGAGGCACAAAUGUGUUUGAGAUGCCAGAGGAGAUUAGUAAGCUUAAAAAGCUACGUCAUCUUCAGGCUUCUGAUAUGAUCAUGGGUUCAAUAUGGAGGAAUAUUGGAGGCAUGACAUCCCUAGAAGAGAUACCUCUAGUGUUUAUAGAUGAUGAUGGAGUGGUCAUUAGAGAGGUAGGAAAGCUAAAGCAGUUAAGGGAACUGAAGGUGGUAGAAUUAAGGGGAAAACACGAGACGACUUUGUGUUCCGUAAUAAAUGAGAUGCCACUCUUGGAGAAACUACGUAUUUAUACAGCUGAUUCGAGUGAAGUAAUUGACUUGUACAUUACGUCACCUAUGUCUACACUUAGGAAGCUUGUCCUAAGUGGGACAUUAACAAGGUUGCCAAAUUGGAUUUCACAGUUCCCAAAUCUUGUGCAUCUGCGUUUGCGCGGCUCCAGGUUGACUAAUGAUGCAUUGAAAUCACUAAAAAAUAUGCCAAGGUUGUUGUUCCUCGAUUUAAGUUACAAUGCUUAUGAAGGUGAAACUUUGAAUUUUCAAAGUGGAGGGUUUCAGAAACUAAAGCGACUGCUACUCGGAUAUUUGGAUCAAUUGAAGUGCAUCCUUAUCGACAGAGGAGCACUGUGUUCUUUGGAAGUAUUUUCUUUACGAGACCUCUCCCAACUCAAAACAGUACCCUCUGGAAUUCAACACUUGGAGAAGCUUAAAGAUCUCUAUAUCGAGUUCAUGCCAACUAAAUUUGAGCAGUGCAUUGCUCCUGAUGGAGGAGAAGACCACUGGAUCAUCCAAGAUGUGCCCCAUGUACGUAUUUGGAGCAGGGAUGCUGAAGAACUUUCGCAUAUAUUCGGCAGAAGUCAUCACUAAGAUGUGCCCAAAUUUGAAAAAGAAGGUGCGUCUUUUUCACAUCUAUAACUUUGUAGAAUGACAUUCGUGGCCUUUUUCUUUUCUUCAAUAAAAAAUGCAACCAUUAUCUAAUGUUUUCGACGUUCCAAUCAUGUGGUUUUUUGAGUGUUAAUUAUUACGCCCAUUUUAGCGUUAUUAACACCAACACAAUACAAAGAAGCUGAAAAUAGUGUUCCUACAAAGGCAGACAAUUUUUGACAACAGGAAAACUCAAGAUUCCCUCAAGUUCUUUCUUUUGCGGCUCGUGAAAUGGUGGAUGCAUGAGUGGAUUUGAGGCAUCAAAUUGAUUUUUUAAGCUUCCUUCUUCUCUUUCUCUUGUUUCCCUUUUUUCUAAAAUGUGUACUCAAAUUUUUGUUAACUUGAUGUAAUUUGAAUUCUUAUCUAUAAUUCAAGUUCAUUUCUUUUAAAUUGAUUGUUUGCCUUUGUUUUAAUUUAAUGCCUUUAUAAAUUGGCAUUUGGUUACUUAUAGUAACUUGAUCGUAUAUUCUUGUCUACAACUGUGAAAUUGAAAUAAGAAUUGAAUUUAAGGUAUAAUGCAACAAGAUUGGAGAUUCUAUAGUAAUAAAUAUCAACAAUUACGCUAAUUUAGGGUGUGUUUGAUUUGUAUUUUUAUUUUCUGUUUUCAUUUUCUGAAAACUGUUUUCAUUUUCAAAAGAUUAGAAUUCUGAAAAUAUGUUUGGUUUGACUUCUUGUUUUCUAUUUUUAGGAAAUAAAAACAUUGAAAAUUUAUGAUAUAUUGACGUCUUGUCAUUUUUGUAUUUUUAGAUUUGCUUAAAAUUACAUUUCUUGUCAUCGCAUUUUCAUUUUUCCCAAAAUGAGGUUCCUGUUUUCAACUGAAAACACUGAAAAUGAAAUUUUAUUGUUUUCAUUUUUUGGUUUUUUUCUGUUUUCAUUUUUACUGAAAACGUUUUCAAAAAUCCAACCAAACAUAUUUUCAUCACCAUUUUCCGCUUUAGUAAAAAUGAAAACAGAAAACAGUCAAACCAAACACCCCCUUAGAUAUUCUUGAACCUAAUGAUUACCUUAAUUGAGAAAUUCUAAAGAUUUAGAAUUUUCAAUUGCGGAAGAGUUUUUGAGUUAAGAUAUAUUCACCUUCAAUUACAAUAGUAAAUAAUAAAUUCAGUUUCCAAUAUGCUUCUAGAACUUGAAUUGGAGUGAAAAUUUGGGUUGUACAUGUUAAGCUUGGGGUGAACUUGUACAAUAACAAGACAUGUUAGAUUUUGACUUAGCACUUUAAUCCUCUUAGCAUAGUGCUUCAGCAAUUUUGGUACCCAAACUUUUAUGUUCAGGUUUGAUCCCAUAUUUUUCAAAAAAAAAAUAAUGGUUGAAUAUAUGUUAUUAAAAUCAAUUUAUAUAUCACUUAUCUGGAGUAUGAUAAAUUUUUCAAGGCUUAAUUUUAUCUUUUUGUCUCAUUCAUUAUUUAUUUUAUUUAAUUUUAUCCUCCUAAUAAUAAAAUCUUUAAUUUGAUUGCUUAAUUCCAAAUUGAUUCAAUUUGGUCUCUUUGGUCCAAAUUCACUUGACGUUGUUUAUUAAUAGUGGGAUGAGAUUGAAUCAAAUAAAGGAACAAAUUAAAUUGUUUAUUAAAAUUGAAAAAAAAAUGAAAAAACAGUGAGAAAAAGAAGUUUAUUAAGGGGUCAAAUUGCACCGUUUUGAAAAUUAAAGUACUAAAUUAAAUUGUUUAUUAAUAGAGAACCAAUGCUAAAUAAAUAAAUAGCACGACAAAAAAGUAGGAUUUUUUUUUUACUUUCAGAAAAUUUGAAAAUUUUAUUGAAUUCUAAAAUAUUCAAUUAACUUGCCUAGUUUUUUGUUUAUUCACUCUUUUUUUUUCCUUUUAAUCCUUGAUGUUUGAAAACUUCAAAAUUCUUUUUGAUCACAAACAUAUUUUAACUCUCAUAAAAAAACAAAACAAUGUUUUCUAAAAUUGGACUGUUAUAAGUUAUUGAUAAAUCACUUUCUGAGUGAUAUUUUAUACAAAAUUUUGUGUUAUUUUAUAUGCAUUUUCUUGAUACGAUUCAUAUUUGAACAUUAGUUUUGUAUUCGAGAAGUAUAAUUACUCAAUUGAGUGAAAGAGUAAGAAAUUAUACAAAUUUAUGAAGAUUUAAGAACUUUACAUAACUUGAUUACUACUGUGGUAUAUUGAUCACGAUCGUGAUAAUCAGCAUGAUCACAAUAAAGUGAUAAUAGUCAUCCCUAAUGUUUUUAUAAUAAAAAUGUGAUAUUGAUUUAAAUGUUUAUUUAAUCUCACAUAAAUCAUUUAAAGAAAUAGUUAGACCUAAAAUCAAAAUAUAAAUAUAAAUAACACCAAAAAUAAAAAAUUAAAUAGAUGAAUUUUUAAUAAUUAUAAAUAUAGAUUUACCUUAUAUCUUAUCAAUCAAAAAGAGUUAAAUUCACUACAACUUUUAUUGGUACAACUAACACUACUUACAAUUACAAUAAACAUUGUUUUAUCACAUUUACAUAUUAGGAAGAUCAGAAAUUCACGUGAUGUUGUAGUAGAACAAAAAUAAGGAGACAAAAUCACUAACAUGUUCACAAAAAUAUUUAGAAUUAGCUAAGGUUUUAGUUUUUAAAUUUUUUUAAAUUUGAUUUUAAUCACUAAAUUCUUGUUUGACUAGUCAAAAAAUUUUAAAAUUUUAAUUUUAGGUUCUUGAAUAAAAAAAUUAAAUCUAUUAUUUUUAUUAAUUUAAUAAGUUUUUAAUAAUUAUAAAUCAAUUUUUUAAAAGUUUGGAAAUUAAAAAUCUUAAUGAAAAAAAGUCGAGAGACAUUGACCCGUCAAUUAAAAAUGUAGGAACUAAAAAUCUUGAUAAAAAAAAGUUGAAAGAUCUUGAUGAAUAGAAAAGAAAAUUUAAAAAUUAAAAACUAAAUUUUGAAAAAGUAUAGUAAUAAUUAGCCCAAAUAUUUAAGAGAGAUGCUCGAAUCUCAAAGUCUUCUUAUCAAAUCUCAAGGUAGACGUUGCACUAAUUUUUUUGUAAACACUAGCAUGGAUAAAAAAUAUGAUGUCAAUUUGAUGUAGAUAAAAGUAUGUCGUAAUAAAAAAAUCAUAUUAAGUGUGUAUAUCAAUUUUUAAAAUAAUUAUUAUAAAAGUUGAUGAUUAAAUUUAUUAUAUAUAUACCAUUUUUUAUUAAAUGAGAGUGUAAAGUCUUAUAUUUUCGCAUUAACUAUAUCUUGCUUCUACAAAACAUUUAUUCUUAGCCAAUUUAUCACCAGAAGACUCUUUGUAAGCAUCUUUUAGUAGUAUUAAAGUCUCUAGGAAAAUUUUCAUUCAGUAUUUUAAUGACAACUAGGUGAUCCUCGAUCCUGCGAAAAAUAGGAAAGUAAAUUUUGUUUUUCUAAAUUAAAGACCAACAAAAUAGAUCGAAAAUUUCCAUUUUUGAAAGAAAAAAAGAGAGUAAAUUUUAAAGCUUAGAGUAAACCAUAUGCAAUGAUAAGAAGGAUACACCAGCCUGUAUAUAGCUUUUAAAAAACUGGUUAACCUAGUUAAAAAAAAAAAAAAAAAACUGUUCCUGUGGAUCAGCAUUUAAUUUCUUGCUCAUCAUAUAACAUUAUUAUUGCCAGCAUGGAUUAGAUCAAAUCAGGUGGCUGACCUAUUCAACGGCAAUUCAUCAUCUCAGACCAGUUUCAAGAUCAAUCCUCAAAAUGAUGAAUUGUGUAAUCGGCGCAAACUAAAACACUAGAGCCAAAUGAAUAAUCAAAAUUAUAUAUAUAUAUAUAUAUAUAUAUAUAUAUAUAUAUACCUGCAAGGUAAAUACUUUGACAAGUGUAAGAUAUUUUAUUUAAAUUUUAUCGGUACAAUAACACUCACAAAUACAUUUGACAUUGUUUAAUUAAUCACAUUUAUUUACAAUUAACUAGAUAGCAAAUUCACAACUUGCUAUAGUACGACAAAAAUAAAGGGAAAAAUAUCACAACUUGCUCAUAGUAUAUUUAAGAUAGAUGAUGCUGAAAAGAUCAAAGUCUUCCUCUCGACAGAUGUGAUAAAUUUUUUGUAUAACACUUAUGGGUACAAAAUUUAUAACACUAAUAUGCUAUAGAUAAAGGAGAUGUAUUCGAGAAAACCUGAUGGCCAGAAAAGUUAAUCAUAUCUGUAUAAUUAUGCAGAUUAUUAUUUUACUUAAAAUUAAUUUUAUAUUUAUUGUAUUUGUACAAUUAAGAUUAAUUAAUCGUGCGUGAGGCUAACAAGAGUUGACACAUUUGAUGGAGACUUUUGUCCACACUUGCUAUAACUUGACAGUCUUCCUUGACUUUACAAGAGGUGGCAUGGCUUCCCCUAUUGUAAUUUUUCACCUCAAAAAUAGGAUGAAUAGUACAUGAGAACAUCAUCUUACACAGCUUACUGGAUAUAAAAAAAGGCAAUAUGAAAAUAUACAAUAUAUUAUAAUAAAGUUUGUGCCAAUGUGUGUCAUCGUGUGUGGCUAACAUGCAAUCAAUACAUUGAUCGAAUGGAGAAAAAAAGGUCAUAAUCAUAAUAAGAAAAAUAUUAGAGCAUGUUCUUUUAAGACUUUAACAUGGUCUUUUUUACACACUGUUUUCUAUUAGUUGAAAUUGAUUAUUCUUUUCCUGUUCCUAUUUAUAAGACUUUUAAAAUAAUGCUUAUUCUUUUUUUAUAAAAUUUAAUUUAUAAUAUUUUUUACAUUCAAUUAUUUUUAAACUAAAUAUGCAUCAUUAAAAAAAUAAAAAAAUAUAUUAACAAACCAUUAGACGAGAGAAAAUUUUAAUGACAAAAAUAAUUUUAAAAAAUAAUAUAAAUGUAAGACAAACUUAUUAUUAUGAAUUAAAUUAGUAUCUUUCUUUAAUCAUAAUAAAUUAGGUAAUUGCAUGGAGGGACUAAAAAUCAUAAAAUUGAAUGAAUUUCAUCGGUUCUUAUUCAAAGGACCUUAUUCAUGAUUUUUCAUUUUUAACAAAUUUCAACCAAUAUGAAAUUGUGCUAGAAAGUGUAAUGCCAACAUUUAAAACUUUAUGUUGUAAUACUAAUUUUAAGUGCUAAUCAUGAGUAGGUUUGCUUUAUGAAAGAAAAGUAAUAUUUCCUUUCGUUUCAAAUAUAAGAAAAAAAUUAUUUUUACUCUCAAAUAUAAGAAAAUUAGUAUUAAUUAAAUUUAUUUUAUUUAAUGUUAUUAUCUCUAAAAUAUCUUUCAUUUAAUUGAUAUCUUUUUCAUUUUUUAUUUUUUUAACACAAAGUUCCAAUGAAUGAUAAGUUGAGAAAAAGUUAGUUUUAAUUAAAUGUGGUUAACUAAUUUUCUUAAUUAGAAAAAAUGAGUAUUUUCUUUGAUAAAUGCCAACUAGUAUCCUUAACACAUUAGGUAAACAACUUAAAGUAGAAAUAUUUUAAUGGAAGAGAAAAUUACGCUGCUCAUGAUUUUUUUGCAUUCUCUUAUAAUUUUUAUGGUGAAUAUUUUCUUCUUUUAGUUUCUUAACUAGUGUUCUUUUCUUCUUUUAGUUUCUUAACUAGUGCUCUUAGGGCACAAGUUUAGCAAGACCAUUUUUCUUAUAUUUGAGAUCCAACAGAGUAUGAACUUUACAGGUUUUUGUGCAAUUGGUCCGAAUUUAGAUUAAAUUAAAAUUAAAUCCUAAUGAGUCGUGUUGAAUAUAUUAUAUAUUGGUUAUAUUUGAAUUUUUUAAAAAUAAAUCAUUCUAUUGUCAUUUAAAAUUUUUAUCUCCACUAAGUGUUGAUUUUUUAUUAUCUAAAACUGUAAGCAAAUGAAUAUAUUAGAGAAUCAAACAAACUGUAAUUGGAUAUUCAUGUUUGAAGUAAAAAAAAAAAAGAGAACUAAUUAAUCAAACCAAUUUGAAUCAAAAUAAUUGAUUUGAUUUAGAUGGUGUGUUUAUCAAGUCAAUUUGAUCAAUGCUCCUAAAAUGAAGAAAACAAGUGAAAAAAAGAGGGAAAAGAAGUUUAAAAUGACACAAUUUGUUAGGUUUUCUUUUUCGGUUGUUACUAUAUUAUAGGUGUAAAAGUAAUCUAUCAACUUUGUCAAUCAAUAUUUCUGUUAGAGAGUGUGAUUCGUACACCAUUAAUGAUUGUUUGUUCAUCUUGUAUUUAAUUCUGUAGUAAAUAAAAAAUAAAAGUUAUAUAUACUCAAAAUAAGACGUAUAUAUACUAAAAACGAUAGUCUUAUAUAGUCCGUCUUGAUGUUCCUCCGUUUUCUCGGAAAAUAAAACAAAGCUUGAAAGAUUGGCCGCUUGAAUUGAUAUUGCACUGUAUCUGUUUAACAAGUUGUACUUUAAACAUUAAACUGUUUUUUUAUGAUAUAUUCACAAACAUAUUUGUCUUUUUUAUUCGUUUAAACUUUGUAGUUGCAGAGUUCAGAUGUAUAUUGUUAAGCAAAUAAGUUGGUAACGGAAGUAUGAGCCUAAAGCUACAGAGCCAAUAGAACAAGCAAAUAUUAAUUUAUUCCAAACAGGCAAUUAAGUUGACAAGCAGGGCCGUCUAAUUUUGUUGGUAAAACUAAUACCGACAAACAUCAUUAUUUGAAUCGAAUAAUUAGUUUUCAUACUUAUUUAAAAACUGGGUAGCGUGAUAUGGUAUGGAUACGGUAACAAUUAACAUUAGCAAUGGCAAAUUCAGUGCUGGCAUGCACGUUGUGUCUGAAACUAGCGCGGGUCAUAUCUAGCAUGUGUUUUUUAGAAGGAUUCCACGGAUUCGUUUCAAGGUCCCGCAAUUGAGGAAUAAAUGACAAUCCUAAUCGCUAAUUGACCCAAGAAAACUGCUAUCUUCCAAGCAAACUCGUUUGAUUCGAUCUAGACUAAGUUAACACAAGUUUAGUCUGCGUGUCUACUGAGUCUUGUCUCAAUAUGCUAAAAAUGAGUUUGAAUACUAUUAAUUUAACCCGCAUGAAUCAAAUAGACUAUUAAACUCAUAUGAAUAGUAUGUGAAAAUAGACUUGUGAGUUAACAGAGUUUAGUUUGAGUGUCUAGUGAGUCUUGUCUCAAUAUGCUAAAAAUGAGUUUGAAUAGUAUUUAACCUGCAUAAAUCAAAUAAACUCUUAAACUCACAUGAAUAGUAACUGAAAAUAUAAUCUUACAGACCACUGGUUAUAAAAAAGGCAAUAUGAAUAGUAUGUGAGAACAUUAUUUUACAUACUAAUGGGAUAUAAAAAAUGGCAAUAUGAAAAUAUACAAGAUAUUAUAAUAAAAUUUGUGAUUAUGUGUGUCAUCGUGUGUGACUAACAUGCAAUCCAUCCAUUGAUCGAAUGAAGAAAAACAUCGUAAUCAUAAUAAGAGAAAUAUUGACAGCGUGCUCUUUUAAGACUUUAACAUAUUCUUUUUUACAUAUUGUUUUUUAUUAGUUGAAAUUAAUUAUUCUCUCCUUGUUCCUAAUUAUAAGACUUUUAAAAUGAUAUUUUUUUUUAUAAAGCUCAAUUUACAAUGUUUCUUAGAUUAAUUAUUUUUAAACUAAAAAUAUUUAUUAUUAAAAGAAAAAAAUAUAUAUUUACAAAUCAUUAGACGAGAAAGAAAUAUUAAUGACAGAUUUUUUUUUUUUGAAAAAGAUUAUAAAUGUAAAACAAACUUAUUAUUAUUAAUUAAAUUAGUCACUUUUUUUUAAAAUUUUAAUUAAUCAGGUAAUGUGAUCAUGUAUACAAGAACAGAGAGAGAGUACAAAUCAUAAAACUGUAUAUAUUUCAUCACUUCUUAUUUAAUGGGCCUUAUUCAUGAUUUUUGUUUUUAGUUUUAACAAAUUUCAACCAAUAAGAAUGUAUGCUAGAAAUGGCCAACAGUCAAAACUUUGUGUGGUAAUACUAAUUUUAAGGGCUAACCAUAAUUAGGUUUUCUUUAUGAAAGAAAAGUAAUACUUCCUUUAUAAGAUAAAAUUUAUUUUUUUAGUUUCAAAUAUAAGAAAAUUUCAAGUAAAUUUAUUUUAUUUAAUGUUAUUAUCUCUUAAAUAUCCUUCAUUUAAUUGAGGUUUUUUUUCAAUGAUUUUUUAUGUUUAAUAUCAAGUUCAAAUGAAGGAUAUGUUGAAAAAAAAAUUAAUUGAGAUUGAUGAAUUAAAUGUGAUUCAUUAACUUUCUUGGUUAGUACAAAUAAAUAUUUUGAGACUGGAGGGAGGGAGUAUGAAUUUUACAAGUUUUUGUGCAAUUGGUCAAAAUUUAGAGUAAAUUAAAAUUAAAUCCUAACCAGUCAUAUCCAAUUAUAUAUUCGUUAUAUUUAAAAUUUUAAAAAAAUAAAUCAAUCUGUUUUCUUUGAAGUUUUUAUCUCUACUAAGUGUUGAUUUUUAUGAUUUUAAACUUUAUGUUAAUGCAAGGAAAAAAUGAUAAAUUAGAGAAUAAAAUAAAUUGUAAUUUUUUAAAGCAAAAGAAUAUAGUAGAGAAUCAAAGAAACUGUAAUCGGAUAUUCAAAUUAGAAGUAAAAAAAACUAAUUAAUCGAACCAAUUUGAAUCAAAAUAAUUGAUUUUAUUUAGAAUGUUGAGUUUAUGAUCAAGUCAAUUUGAUCAAUGCUCCUAAAAUGAAGAAAAUAAAUGAAAAAUAAGAGUAAAAAAAGAAGUAUAAAAUGACCUAAUUUCUUAGGUUUUUUUUUUGUUGUUAUUAUAUUAUAGAUGCAAAGUAAUCUAUCAAUUUUACCAACAAAUAAUUUAUGUUAGAGAAUCUGAUUUGUUCAUCUUUAGUGAUUUUUUUAUGAGAGAAAAAAUUAAAAAAAGAAUCUUUAUUUUAUAUUUAAUUAUGUAGAAAAUUUUAAAAACAAAAGUUAUAUAUACUCAAAAUAAGAAGUAUAUUCACAGAGAUUGUCUUUUCUAUUCGUUUAAACUUUGUAGUUGCUGAGUUCAGAUGUUAUUGUUAAGCAAAUAAAUUGUUGACGGAAGUAUGAGCCUACAGCAUCAGAGCCAAUAGAACAUUCUAAAGCAAAUAUUAGUUUAUUCCUAACAGGCUAUUAAGUUGACAAGCAUGGCCGUUUAAUUUUGUUGGUAAAACUAGCUAAUAAUACAGACUAACAUCAUUGAAACAAAUAAUUAGUUUUCUCUAAGAUAUUAGUUUUCAUAAUAUUGGAGAGUAUAAGUGUGAUGUGAAAUCAAGAGUAGAAGUGGAAAAUUGUAUCAUACAAGUGAAAAGAAGAUUCAAAAUCCGAAUCUUAAAAUUUCGAAUUAAACUGUGUUAUCAAGUUUUUUUAUUUGAUUUUUUAUGGUUCAUUCGCAUAAAUCUUCAAUUAUGUGGUAGCUUGAUAUGGUAUGGAUACAGUGACAAACAAUUAACAUUAACAAUGGCAAAUUCAGUGCUGACAUGCACGUUCAGCUGCGUCUGAAACUAGCGCUGGUCAUAUCUAGCAUGUGUUUAUAGGACAAGUGGAUGAUACUCUAAGUUCCACAUGCCAACUAUUAUGACUUCGUAUUAAUUGGAAUAAAUAACUACUUUAUAAUUAGCAAUACAUCCAACUUGCUGAAUAAAAGAAUAUUAAAUAUUAAUCAAUUGUCCCCCUCUUACUACGGACAUGGCUAUAUAUAAUGUUCAAGAACAUCAAGUUUUGCAAUCACAACAAACCAAAAAGCAGCGCUAACUAGCUAGACUAAAAUGGCAGAAACUGCAGUGUCCUUGGCUGGUAAGCAUGCCCUUCCAAAAAUAUUGGAAGCUGUCAAAAUGGUGAGAGAUCUCCCAAAAGAAGUUAGAGACAUUACAGAUGAACUUGAAAGCUUUCAAGAUUUCAUUAAUGAUGCUGAUAAAGUGGCUGAAGCUGAACAAGAUGAUGGAAGGCGUCAUAGAAUAAAAGAAAGGGUGAUGCGGCUGAGAGAAGCAGCUUUUCGCAUGGAAGAUGUCAUCGAUGAAUAUAACAUCUCCUGUGAGGAUAAGCAACCUGAUGAUCCUCGAUGUGCAGAUUUACUAUGUGAGGCUGUUGCCUUCAUCAAAACUCAAAUCCUUCUCCUUCAAAGUGCAUAUAAGAUUCAGGAUGUUAAAUCGCUUGUUCGUGCUGAAAGAGAUGGUUUCCAAAGCCAUUUUCCUUUAGAACCAAGACUAACAAGUUCUAGAGGAAAUCAAGAUGUCACCUGGCAGAAACUUCGAAUGGAUCCUCUCUUUAUCGAGGAAGAUGAUGUUGUGGGGCUUGAUGGCCCUAGAGAUACACUGAAAAAUUGGUUGACAAAGGGAAGAGAAAAACGCACUGUCAUCUCUGUGGUGGGAAUUCCUGGGGUGGGAAAAACCACUAUUGCCAAGCAAGUUUAUGACCAGGUGCGUAACAAUUUCGAGUGCCAUGCAUUGAUCACAGUGUCUCAAUCCUACUCUGCAGAAGGACUGCUGAGGCGUUUGUUGGAUGAGCUUUGCAAACUGAAAAAGGAGGACCCUCCCAAGGAUGUUUCUAACAUGGAGUCAUUGACCGAAGAAGUCAGAAACCGCUUGCGCAACAAGAGGUAUGUUGUCUUGUUUGAUGACGUAUGGAAUGAAACAUUUUGGGAUCACAUUGAAUCUGCUGUAAUUGAUAAUAAAAAUGGAAGUAGGAUUUUAAUCACAACCAGGGAUGAGAAGGUUGCGGGAUAUUGUAAGAAAUCUUCUUUUGUUGAGGUGCUUAAGCUAGAAGAGCCAUUAACUGAAGAAGAAUCAUUGAAAUUGUUUUCUAUGAAGGCAUUUCAGUAUAGUUCCGAUGGAGAUUGUCCAGAAGAACUUAAAGAUAUAUCUCUAGAAAUUGUUAGAAAGUGUAAAGGUUUACCUCUAGCAAUAGUGGCCAUUGGUGGUCUUUUGUCUCAAAAAGAUGAAAGUGCACCUGAAUGGGGACAAUUUAGUCGAGAUCAAUGUUUAGACUUGGAGAGGAAUUCUGAGUUAAAUAGUAUAACAAAAAUUUUAGGUUUAAGUUAUGAUGAUUUGCCGAUCAAUCUCAGAUCAUGUUUAUUGUAUUUCGGAAUGUAUCCGGAGGACUAUGAAAUUAAAUCUGAUAGAUUGAUUAGACAGUGGAUAGCCGAAGGGUUUGUCAAACAUGAAACCGGAAAAACAUUGGAAGAAGUUGGGCAACAAUAUUUAUCAGGGUUGGUCCGUAGAAGUUUGGUGCAAGUAUCCUCAUUUAGAAUUGAUGGCAAAGUUAAAAGGUGUCGUGUUCAUGACUUAAUACACGACAUGAUCCUUAGAAAAGUGAAGGAUACAGGGUUUUGUCAGUAUAUUGAUGGGCGUGAUCAAUCGGUAUCAAGUAAGAUUGUUCGACGCCUGACAAUUGCAACCGAUGAUUUUAGUGGACGUAUAGGAAGCUCACCCAUUCGGUCAAUUUUUAUUAGCACAGGAGAAGAUGAAGAAGUAUCUGAACACUUAGUAAACAAAAUCCCUACAAAUUACAUGCUAUUGAAGGUACUUGAUUUUGAAGGUUCUGGUUUACGUUAUGUUCCUGAAAAUUUGGGGAAUUUAUGCCACUUGAAGUAUUUAAGCUUCCGGUAUACAGGGAUAAAAAGUCUACCAAAAUCCAUUGGUAAGCUCCUGAAUUUGGAGACCUUGGAUAUUAGAGACACAGGUGUGUCUGAGAUGCCAGAGGAGAUUAGUAAGCUUAAAAAGCUACGUCGUCUUCAGGCUUCUAAUAUGAUCAUGGGUUCAAUAUGGAGGAAUAUUGGAGGCAUGACAUCCCUACAAGAGAUACCUCCAGUGAAAAUAGAUGAUGAUGGAGUGGUCAUUGGAGAGGUGGGAAAGCUAAAGCAGUUAAGGGAACUGUUGGUGCUAGAUUUUAGGGGAAAACACGAAAAGACUUUGUGUUCCUUAAUAAAUGAGAAGCCACUCUUGGAGAAACUAGUUAUUGAAACAGCUGAUGAGAGUGAAGUAAUUGAGUUGUACAUUACGUCACCUAUGUCUACACUUAGGAAGCUUGUCCUAUUUGGGAAGUUAACAAGGUUGCCAAAUUGGAUUUCACAGUUCCCAAAUCUUGUGCAACUGUCUUUGAACGGCUCCAGGUUGACUAAUAAUGCAUUGAAAUCACUAAAAAAUAUGCCAAGGUUGUUGUUCCUCGAUUUAAGUGACAAUGCUUAUGAAGGUGAAACUUUGCAUUUUCAAUGUGGAGGGUUUCAGAAACUAAAGCGACUGUACCUCGGAAAUUUGGAUCAAUUGAAGUGCAUCCUUAUCGACAGAGGAGCACUGUGUUCUGUGGAAGAAAUUGUUUUAGAAGACCUCUCCCAACUCAAAACAGUUCCCUCUGGAAUUCAACACUUGGAGAAGCUUAAAGAUCUCAUUAUCGACGUCAUGCCAACUGAAUUUGAGCAGCGCAUAGCUCCUGAUGGAGGAGAAGACCACUGGAUCAUCCAAGAUGUGCCCCAUGUACUUAUCUGUAGAUAGGAUGCUGAAGAACCUUCGCAUAUAUUCGGCAGAAGUCAUCACUAAGAUGCGUCCAAAUUUGAAAAUAGAAGGUGCGUCUUUUUCACAUCAAUAACUUUGAGGAAUGACAUUCAUGGCCUUUUUCUUUUGUUCAAUAAAAAAUGCAACCAUUAAUUCCUAAAAUAAUUACUUUUGUCUCAUUUUCUCUUCUAGUAUUUGCUUCAUUUUUCUUUCUCUACAACAUCUCACGUACAAGUUAGGGAUAGAAUUGUCUAACAAGUAUAUGCUUACACCAAUCAAAGUUAACGUUUCUUCAUUAUAAGAUUCUCACCAUUAUAAUACUUUCUAUUAUUGUGCUCAGAAUUGGUAGAUGUUGACCUCAACUAUAUUGAGUUUUUUAUUUUCAUGUUGAUAAAUACUUGAACAAUUUCAUAAUAUCAUUUUAAGAAGAAAUUAACUUGGUGUUUUUAUAGGGUCGUAAGCAUAUAUUUCAUGUAAAUGUUGUGGGUUUUUAAAGUUUUAUUACGAUUGAAGUCCAAUAAUGUGGAUUUUUUUCAAAAAUUAGAUUGUGUUAAAUGUUUCUAAUUUUGAUGCUUUGAAGUUUGACCCACUUUGUACAACCAUGAAUUGUAGGAAAGCAUUGAGGGAAGAUUGUAAGAGGUGUUCCAAAUCCAAUGUUUCCGACGUUCCAGUCAUGUGGUUUUUCGAAUGUUAAUUAUUAUGCCCAUUUUAGCGUUAUUAACACCAACACAAUACAAAGAAGCUAAAAAUAGUGUUCCUACAAAGGCAGACAAUUUUUUACAACUGAAAAACUCAAGAUUCCCUCAAGUUCUUUCUUUUGUGGCCCGUGAAAUGGUGGAUGCAUGAGUGGAUUUGAGGCAUCAAAUUGAUUUUUUAAGCUUCCUUCUUCUCUUUCUCUUGUUUCUCUUUUUUCUAAAAUGUGUAUUCAAAUUUUUGUUAACUUGAUGUAAUUUGAAUUCUUGUUUAUAAUUCAAGUUCAUUUCUUUUAAAUUGAUUGUUUGUCUUUGUUUUAAUUUAAUGCCUUUAUAAAUUGGCAUUUGGUCACUUAUAGUGCCUUGAUCGUAUAUUCCUAUCUACAACUGUGAAAUUGAAAUAAGGAUUGAAUUUAAGGUAUAAUGCAACAAGAUUGGAGAUUCUAUAGUAAUAAAUAUCAACAAUUACGAUAAUUUAGAUAUUCUUGAACCUAAUGAUUACCCUAAUUGAGAAAUUCUAAAUAUUUAGAAUUUUCAAUUGCGGAAAAGUUUUUGAGUUAAGAUAUAUUCACCUUCAAUUACAAUAGUAAAUAAUAUAGACUAUGUAAAAAUUAUUUUUCAAUUAUUUGGAGUUUUCUUCUUAUCUUUUACGAAUUUGAGACAACCUUGAAAGCUUUUAAGAGCCGAAGAACUUAAUUAACAUCGCGAGAAUGGAUUAUGAUCAUUGUUCCUACUUAUUGGUAUAUUUAUGUUUAUUUUGUCUAGGAUUGCUAGUGUUGUUCUGAUCAUGAGGAACUAGUCCUCCUAGUCCGAAGAUUAUUAGAUAACUUUUCGUUUGUACCAUUCUCCUCAUUUUUAAUGAAAUUUCUCAUUGAUUUUAUGUUAAUUAAUUCUCUUGUUUUUACUGUUUAUUUGAAACCAAUCAUUUUAAUACUUAAUCAAUUGCAUAAUACUAAUCAUGUAAUUGGUAGAUUUAGGUAGAGAAUGUUUUAUGUCAAAUUGCAUGAUCAAACUCUUUGGGUAAUCUCCAAUACAUUAAUUAAUCUUUAAUUAAUAUUUCCUAUAAUUGAUUUUCUUUUUACUUAAAUUGAUAGAACCAAUGAUCAUUGGGGUAUUGAUUUAAGGCAAGAAGCACCUUAUAACCUUGAUCAUAGACUUUAGUUGAUUUUGUGAAUGAGUAAUUAAUUGGAGAAAGCAUUUUAUUACAACUAGGGUUGAAAGAAAAUUAGUACUAGUAAGUCAUAACCCCUAAUCACUCUUAUCAUCAAUGAACCCUUUUUUAUAUUUGUAUAUUUGUUUACUUAUAAAUCCAAAACCCUAAAACUAUUUAAAUUAUCUUUUUAAUUACUUCAACUGUUAAUUUAAUAAACUUGACUAAUUGGGAAUACAACUUGUCAUUUGGGUUUGAUAUCCAUACUUUCUAAACCACUAUUAUGAUUGUGUAAGGUACACUUGAGGUAUAACAAACAUAUUGGACAUACAACGAUGGCAACAUGUAGCAUAUGCAUUUAUGGUUUUCGGAAUAAAAGAAGAAAUCUGAAAUGAAAAUACUAUGAGUGUGUUUGAAUGAGGGAAUUUAAAAUUCUGAGGAAUUUUAAAUUCUAAGAAUUUCAAAUACCUCAAUUGAAAUUAUUUUAUUUUCAAAAUUUUGUGUUUGUAUAAAAAAAAAUUAAAAUUGAGGGUGAAAGAAAAUGAGUCACAAGUUCGAGAAUGCGAUUUCGGAAUUUUAGGUGAAAAAGAGGAUGAAGGUUAUAAAGGAAAUACGCGAACUUUUUGGAAAGUUCUAAUGUAAGAAGAGAAUUUCAAUUUCUCACCUUUUAGAAGGAAGUUAAAAUUCCACAUUUUUAGUGGUUUAAAAUUAUGUUUUGAAAUUCCAAAAAUUUAAAUUCUUCAAAAAAAAACAUCCAAACAAUGAAUUUUAUAUUAAAGAAAUUUAAAUUUUCUGAUAAAUUACUUUCCUCAGUUAAAAUUCUAUAUUAAAGAUAUAUUGAUAGAGAAAACAUGAAAGAAAACUGGAUUUGAGGCCAGCCUCCAGACAAGGCAAGAAAGAAAGCAAACUUAGCUUUUUUCAUAUCAUGUGUGCCUUACAAUUGCUUUAUUUAUACUAAUUCCUUGCUAACAGAAUUUGUCAUUUUGUGUCAAGGAAUAUUUUAGGAAAUCAUUGGCUAACAAUUUAUUAUUACGCUUGUCUCCCUAAGGCCAACCAGCCAUCAUCUAGCAAUUCUUCAUUCCAGGUCAGCUUCCUUUCUCACUUUUCCUUCUCAUACGUAGUCUCUGAGGUAAGAGGGCUUUGUGAUGGCCCUCUUUACUUUCUUGCUAUCUGUACCCUUGGUUUCUGUGUUUGUACCUCUGUUUUGUGUUCUCUGUUAACUGCCCCAGCUUUUGUAUCAUUUGUCGGCCCUUGUAAAAUUACCUUGUCCUCAAGGUGAUAAUCCUCACAUAAUUGAUCCCAAUUCCCCCACGAGGUGUCAUCCGGGGAUAGCGCUUCCCAUUGCUCCAACACUUCCCAAGGCCCUUGUUCUAAAGCUCGCCGAUAAUCUAAUAUGGCUAGCUAAGGGAGUAAUGACUGGUUGGUGUUGAACAAAUUGUUUUGGAAAGUGAACUUCCUGAAUAUGUUCUGGGGAGCCUUUGAAUGCUUUCAACUGGGAGCGGUGAAAAACAGGAUAUAUGUGGACUUCUUCCGACAAUUUCAAGCGGUAUGCCCAGGUCCUAUGCGUUCUAGAACUUGAAAUGGUCGUAGAAUCUCUUAGCCAACUUGCCUAUGAUUGCUUGUGGUCCCUUAGCGGAGACUUUUCGGUGGGGCCUUAAUUUAAGCAUAACCCAAUCUCUUGGUUGGUGGAUUACCUCUCUUCGUUUAGCAUCUGCAGUUAUUUCACAUGGUCUUGUGCUUUGAGAAGCUUCUUGGGAAUGACCUGAAAUGUUUCUUCUCUGUUGGUCAACAUUUCGUCAACUGCAUCCAAAGCUGAAGAACCCGCGAUAUAUUCAGGAAAAUUAAAGGAUUUGCGCCCGAAUGUGAUCUCAUAUGGAGUGGUGCCUGUUGCCGCAUUCCAUGAAGUGUUAUGAGACCACUCCACCCAGAGAAGAAACUUGCCCCAUUCCCUUGGCUGACAAUGAACAAAUGUGCGCAGACAUUGCUCUAUGACCUUGUUUAGCACCUCCGUUUGACCAUCACUUUGUGGGUGAUAAGCGGAGCUCAUCCUUAGUUGUGUGCCACUCUGACGAAACAACUCCUGCUAGAAUUUGCUAACGAACAGGGGAUCACAGUCGGAGACCAAGCUGCGAGGGAGGCCGUGAAUCUUGCCCAUGAUUUCCAUGAACAAAGAGGCUACUGCAUGGACUGUGUGUGUCGCUAAAACAUGCCAAGAUGAACGCCUUUUGAAAAUCGAUCAACCACUACAGUAUUAACUGUGUUGCUGUGAUAUGGUGGGAGCCCGAUGAUGAAGUCCAGGGAUAAGUCUUCCCAAGGUCGAUGGGGAAUUGGCAGAGGGCAUAGUAAUCCUGUUGCUCUUUGUGUCUCGUACUUAGCAUGCUGACAAUCAAUACAUUGCGAGACAAACUUCGUGACAUCUUCUCAUUGUCCUGACCAUUCAAAGUUUUCCGUCAAGCGAGCUAUCGUUUUCCAAAUCCCCAUGUGGCCUCUCGUGGGUGUUGUAUGAUACUCAACCACUAAUGUGGGAAUCAGGGGCAGGUCCUUUGGUAGCCAAAUUUGUCCCUUCCUGAGGAUCAAGUUAUGAACAAGAGUGAAUCCAGAGUGCUUGUCGGGGUCCGCCGUGAUUGCUUCUCAGAGAUGUCGAUACUCAAGAUGAUCCUCCAAUUCGUGGUGUAGUUCUUCAAAGAAAAGAGGGCAAGGGAUAGAAAGGAUCAUGUAGAAUGAAUUGGAACCACGUGAGUGCCCUGCCUUCCAUGUAGAACGAAGCUAUGGUAAUUCUUUCAUUCUUUGGUGUGCCAUGGUAUUCGAAGAAUUGGUUGAUUUUGAAAAUCCAACCAAGUGGUUUGGUGCCAUCAAAACGAGGCACAUCUAAUUUCAUUUGGUGAUUGUUUGCAGGUACCGAUGGUGAUGGUGGAGGUGUUGGAGAAGAAGAUGACAAGAGGAUGGGAGUGACACGAUUAAGGAGUUCAUCAAUUUUCUGAGUGAGUGAGUGCAUGGAUUCGCCGAGGGAUAGUUGAUGAUUGGUGAGUUUGAGUAAGACUUCAUCAAGCUUAUCAAAGGUACCCAUGGUGUGGACCGGAUGGAACGAUAGCACCAAAAUUGAUAGAGAACACUUGAAAGAAAACUAGAUUCGAGGCCAGCACCUCCAGACAAGGCAAGAAAGAAAGGAAACUUAGCUUGUUUCAUAUCAUGUGUGCCUUACAAUUGCUUUAUUUAUACUAAUUCUUUGCUAACAGAAUUUGUCAUUUUGUGCCAAGGAAUAUUUUAGGAAAUCAUUGGUUAACAAUUUAUGGUUACGCUUGUCUCCCUAAGGCCAACCAGCCAUCAUCUACAAAGGCAGACAAUUUUUUACAAUUGGAAAACUCAAGAUUCCCUCAAGUUCUUUCUUUUGCAGCCCGUGAAAUGGUGGAUGAGUGGAUUUGAGCCAUCAAAGGACAAGAUUCAUCAAAUUGAUUUUUUAAGCGAUAUAUAUAUAUAUAAUUUAGAUAUCUUCUCGAUCUUCCUAUAAUGGAAAACAUGAAUAAACUAAUAGGAAAUUGUAAUUCUAGCUUAAUUAGUGAUUUUGAAUGAGAUUUGAUUAAGUAGUUAUGUUAAAUAUUUGGAAAACUCUUUUUAUUGUACAUAAUAAGUAUAUUGGGUUCAAAGAGAUUAUUUUUAAUGGAAAAUAUCUUUUCUUUGUUGAACUAAGGCAUUGUUCUUCACUUCUCCCUUAAAAAAGAUUAAAAAAAAAAAAAACAAAAGUGCAUCCCCUUCGGCGUCCCGUGCAGGAGACAAUCAUAGAAGAAAGUCGAGCCACCUCUCUCUCUCUCUCUCUGGGGGCAAUAUAUAACAAUUAAAAGGAAAAUAUAAGCCAUUAGUAUUAUUCAGUAACAACAAGAAUCAUUGAACCAGUCAACGCUUACUUUCGAAUAUAAUAUAUAUUGUGUUGCAUAUUUUAUAACACAUCUUCAAUUAUUUACAUAUAAUAUCAUUCAUGUCUAAAGUCUUCUAUAGCACAUGAUGAUUAAAAAAAUGUCCGAGACUCACCCUAUAACAAUACUCAUAAUUUCCGUUGACAUUUCACAUACUCAACUAAUAGAUUCAAGGAGAGGAGAUAUAUGGUGAAAUUGAAAGGUUCAUCAAAGUAUGGAUUUCAGCCAUCUUAGGUUUAUGUUAUUGUUAUUACAUAGCUGCAAGAAUACCAAAGGGCUUCUUGAGACUUCUCUCCCUUCUCCCUAUUCUCUACCUCUUCAUCAUCCUUCCCUUGAACAUCUCUUCACCUAACUUAGUUGGAUACACUUCCUUCUUCCUUGUUCAACUUGGCAUUUUCAAGCUCCUACUUUUUUUUCCUUCAACAAAGGCCCUCUUGCCCUAUCACCCCCAAACAUUGUCCAUUUCAUCUCCAUAGCUUCCCUCCCCAUCACCCCAAAACAACAUCCACCAACCAAUAAAAAUAACACCACCAACACCCAAAAGCCAAAAUGGCUAUUGCCCUUAAAAUUGCUUAUUUUUGCAAUGAUCGCACGUGUUUAUGAGUACAAUGAAUACUUCCACCCUCAUUUCAUAUUAUUCCUCUAUUGUCUUCACUUGUACCUUGGCUUAGAGCUUGUUUUUGCUCUUAUUGCAACCCCGGUUCAAACCCUUUUUGGCUUAGAGAUAGAACCACACUUCAACGAACCCUACCUUUCAUCCUCACUUCAAGAUUUUUGGGGUCAUAGAUGGAACCUUAUGGUUAGACAUGGCAAGAAAAUCCAUACCGGUGGAUAACCGCUCGAAUCUGUCUCGACUUUGACGGACAAUAUCAGAGUUGACCGAGUAUGAGUUCGGGUUCGGAUUUUUCCCGAUAAUAAAAAAUCGGGUACGGGUACGCGUAUGGGAUUACUAGAUCUGUCCCGACCCCGAACCCGAACCCAUCCCGCCACUUAAAAUCUUUUAAAUUUUUACAUAAUUUAAUCAAAAGGCAUAGAAUUUUUAUUACUAGUUAAUUUUAUUUUAGAAUUUUUACAUAAUUUAAUAUUAUUUUCUUAACGAUUUUUGUAGACACAUGCGCUAUGAUAAAUUUAUAGAUAUAUAAGUGGUUAAAAAUAAAUAUUUAACAAUCAAUUUAUUUUUUCUAAAAUCAAAUUUUUAAUAUUUUUUUACAAAAAAAAUUAUUUUUCUAAUUUGAAUUGUGUAUGGGACAGAGUCGGGGAUACCCGAUACCCAACGUGUACCUGAUGGGUAUAGAAAUGGGAUAAUAAACUUUAACCCGUCGGGUAUCGGGUAUGGGUAUGGGGAUAUGUUGGGGAGUCGGGAUAAGGAAUAGGAGAGACAAUACCCGUAUCCACCCUAUCCCAUUGCCAUGUCUACUUAUGAUUUCUCGUCUUCUACGUUCUACAGUAUACAACCACGUAAGCUGUACAAUAGGUUUAGUGGGUCCCCCGUGUGCCACGUCAGCUGCCAUGUUGGCCACGUUCCUUGUGUCUGGGCUUGUGCAUGAGUUAAUCUAUUAUCAUGUUACACGUGUACCUCCCACGUGGGACGUUACGUGUAUUUUUGUGCUUCACGGUGUGUGCACGGUGGCGGAGGUGGCUGUUAAGAAGGUGGUUCUCCGUCAUGGAUGGCGGCUGCACCGUGCCGUGUCAGGGCCACUCGUAGUGGCAUUCUUGGCUAUCUCGGCGAAUUAGCUGUUUUUUCCUCAAUUGUUGAGGAAUGAAAUGGAUAGGAAGUCCAGUGAAGAGUAUGUAAUUUUGGUGGAUUUUGUUAAGUCAAAGAUAUACCAUUGAGAAUGUUUAACUCUUGAGAGUAAACGUUAAAGGAUGAGAGAGACUUAUAAUUGUAAUAUUUACCUUAAAGGGUAAACACAUUUUGUUUUUUUUUUUAAGAAUUAUUUAAUUGUGAAUAAGGCAUAUAUGUUGAAUAUGUUGAAAAAUGAUGAGUGUGACUCAACAGCUAACAUCUGAAAAUGUGCAAGUCUAAAAACAUUAAAGUAUUUUAUGUUUUUAUUGGAUUUACGUGGGUGUAUAAAAAAAUAUAUGGGUGUAUGAGUUUAGGUUUGAAGGCAAAAAAAUCUUUAUUUAAAUAUUUGAAAAAAAAGAAACUUAAUUGCACAUAGUGUUUCAAAUGAAAGAUACACAUACGUGGUUUAAAAAAAAAUACCAUCUCUAUCUUGGAUUAAUGCAUUGUUCUUUCUUACAAAAUUGGAAGAAAAAAAAUAGAUAAAGGAAAAGUGUGUCCCCCCUUGCAGCAAUAACAAUUAAUCUAAGGAAAAUAUCAUCCAUUAGGAGAUUUAUAAUUAAAGUGUGUCCCCCCUUGUAGCAAUAACAACUAGUUAGUAAUAAAUGAUUGAACUACUGUUACAGCUGGCCAAGUUUCCUUCUAGAUUGGUCAAAGGCAAGAUCGAGAGGCACAGAAACGUGGCAAUUAAUUUGGGUAGCUAUAAUUUGCUGCCUGUAGAACUUCAGAAAUAAAAUUGUCUUCAGAAGUGGUAAUUUGUCGUUUGAAGACUUGCUUGGAAUCUGUAAGAUUUAGAACAUGAUCUUGGUUGCACGCCAGAAUAUUUAAAGGCUUCAGUUAUUCCUUCUUUGAGUGGUUAAACAGCCCAAUGAUGACUAUAAUGGUUUUUUUAUUAUUAAAAUGGAUUAAAAAUUAAAAUUAUCAUAAUCAAGAAAGUAUUUAUCAAAAUAGAUGAUUUUUGUCACAUAAGAUUAUAGAAAAUGUUACCUAAGUGACACCUUAUAUUUUUUGUGUAUUUUAUAGCAUGAGGCACCAUUCUCGUAUAUUUCAUUUUGGCCAAUGCUAAAUUCAUAUUUAAUGAUUAGAUCUUAUGACACAGUUUAACUCAAUGAUGAUCAAGCUAAUACAAAAUACUUAUAAAAUUAAACUCUUGUCUUUACAACAAUUUAAAAUAAGUAUAAAUGUAUGAUUAAUUAUGAAAAAAAGAGAUAUGUAAGCUUAGAAACGAAAAAUAAAGUAAUAAGAGUAUGUAUUUGUAUUUCUUUUGAUAAUGAACAAUAUUUUUUUGAGACAAAAUAAGACGUAUAAAUUAUAAUUUUUUUAUAUAUAAUUUUUUGGUUGAGUGGCUUUCAGUGAACGACAUCAUGUUUUAAGAUUUUAGUGUCAGCCUCAACUAUUUGGCAUCUAGAGUUGAAUGGGAACAUUCUUUAGUUGUUAUCACUUUGUCCUGAUUGUUUUGUACUAGCAAAAUAAAUUUUCAGAAAGUCUGUUGAAAGUCAUUCUAAUUAUCUAGAAUCAUGAGAUGCUCUUCAUCCUGAAGUAGUUAAUUGGUCAAGAUAUAUGUGGGGUGUUGAACAUGUACUGAUUUCCGUUGGCUUGAGAAGUUCUACUAUUUCAUUCACACAAAAAGCUCAUAGAACUUCGGUUGGUUUGUGCCUGUCUUUCAAAAGUGCAAGUGCGUAAAUUUGAGUACUUUCAUGAAUCAUUUAUAUUAGGUGAUUGAUGUUGUGGUUUAUUUUAUGUGCUUAUGUUAAUUGUGUUUUCUUUUUUUCUGUCUUGAGGAGCGUAUGAAUGCAGAGAAAUAGAUGUUGAAAUAUUUAGAAAUAUUUCUUUCAAUCUAUUAUUAUGACAUGAAUUUUAUUUACUAUCGAACAGGUUCAUCAAAUUUGUGUCUAUGAUAUUUAUUGCUUUAGAAAAGUUUUAUUUGAGCUGGUGACAAAAAUUGUUGAUCCGUCAAUGAUUGUUGAUGAGGAUUUCUUAGACGAAAUAUGAGCUAUAUCCAUUUUAGCUUAUUCACUUGCUUUUAAAUUUAAGAAAUUACAAUAUUGUAUAAUAUUGUAACUAUAAAGUUAAUAAAUUAAUAUACUAUUGUAUUUUCAUCCAUAUUAUACAAUCUCAUGAUGUUAUGUUAUCAUGUUUAUCUUAAGCAUCAUUUAUAUAUUUUUUUAUAACAUAUAAGAUUAAAUACUUUUGUUUUGCUACAAACAAUGUUUUUAACAUUAUAACUUUGUUAGUUCCAUUUUGUUAUAUAAUAUCUGUUUUUUUUUUUGCUUGAUCUUCAAAUCAGUUAUAUGUGCUAGUAAUUCAUUUUUUAACUUAUAUUAAUUUUUUUCACAUUUACUUGCUUUCAAAUUUAGUAAAUAACAAUAUUGUAUAAUAAUAUAUCUGUAUAGUUCACACCUGUAUUAUUAUUUGUAUUUUUCAGCUUACCUGUGCGGGUUACUGACUAGUUUCCUUAUAAAUGAUCAAAUAGCAGACAAAUUAGAAAAAAAUGAUUUCAAAGAAUAAAGAUCCAAAAAUAGAACUUUCAUAUAAACUAAUUAAGAAAAAAAUCUAUUUUGGAGACCUUGGAUAUAAGAGACACAUAUGUGUUUGAGAUUCCAGAGGAGAUUAUGAAGCUUAAAAAGCUACGUCAUCUUCUGGCUUAUUCUAGUUGUUCAAUUCAAUGGAAUUGGAGGCAUGACAUCCCUACCAGAGAUACCUCCAGUGAUUAUAGAUGAUGAUGGAGUGGUCAUUGGAGAGGUUGGAAAGCUAAAGCAGUUAAGGGAACUGUUGGUGCUAGAUUUUAGGGGAAAACACGAAGAGACUUUGUGUUCCGUAAUAAAUGAGAUGCCACUCUUUGAGAAACUACGUAUUCGUACAGCUGAUGAGAGUGAAGUAAUUGACUUGUACAUUACGUCAGCUAUGUCUACACUUAGGAAGCUUGUCCUAAGUGGGAUGUUAACUGUGUUUGCGCCGCUCCAGGUUGACUAAUGAUGCAUUGAAAUCACUAAAAAAUAUGCCAAGGUUGUUGUUCCUCGAGUUAAGUGACAAUGCUUAUGAAGGUGAAACUUUGCAUUUUCAAAGUGGAGGGUUUCAGAAACUAAAGCGACUGUUCCUCGGAAGUUUGCAUCAAUUGAAGUGCAUCCUUAUCGACAGAGGAGCACUGUGUUCUGUGGAAGAAAUUGUUUUAAAAGGCCUCUCCCAACUCAAAACAGCUCCCUCUGGAAUUCAACACCUGGAGAAACUUAAAGAUCUCUAUAUCGAGUACAUGCCAACUGAAUUGGUGCACCGAAUUGCUCCCGAUGGAGGAGAAGACCACUGGAUCAUCCAAGAUGUGCCCCAUGUACAUAUUUGGAGCAGGGGUGCUGAAGAACCUUUGCAUAUAUUCGGCAGACGUCCAAAUUUGAAAAUAGAAGGUGCGUCUUUUUCACAUCUAUAACUUUGUAGAAUGACAUUCGUGGCCUUUUUCUUUUCUUCCAUAAAAAAUGCAACCAUUAUCUAAUUCCUAAAAUAAUUACUUUUGCCUCAUUUUCUCUUCUAGUAUUUGCUUCAUUUUUCUUUCCCUACAACAUCUCACGUAGAAGUUAGGGAUAUAAUUGUCUGACAAGUAUAUGCCUGCACCAACCAAAGUUAACGUUUCUUCAUUAUAAGAUUCUCACCAUUUAAUCCUUUCUAUUAUUGUGCUCAGAAUUGGUAGAUGUUGACCUCAACUGGAUUGAGUUUUUUAUUUUCAUGUUGAUAAAUACUUGAAUAAUUUCAUUGUAUCAUUUUAAGAAGAAAUUAACUUAAUUGGUGUUUUUAUAGGGUCCUAAGCAUAUAUUUCGUAUAAAUGUUGUCGGUUUUUAAGGUUCCAUUACGAUUGAAGUCUAAUAAUGUGGAUUUUUUUCAUAAAUUAGAUUGUGUUAAAUAUUUCUAAUUUUGAUGCUUUGACGUUUGACCCACUUUGUACAACCAUGAAUUUUAGGAAAACACCGAGGAAAGAUUGUAAGAGGUGUUCCAAAUCCAAUGUUUCCGACGUUCCAAUCAUGUGAUUUUUUUAGUGUUAAUUAUUACGCCUAUUUUAGUGUUAUUAACACCAACACAAUACGAAGAAGCUGAAAAUAGUGUUCCUACAAAGGCAGAUAAUUUUUGACAACUGAAAAACUCAAGAUUCCCUCAAGUUCUUUCUUUUGCGGCCCGUGAAAUGGUGGAUGCAUGAGUGGAUUUGAGGCAUCAAAGUGCAAGAUUCAUCAAAUUGAUUUUUUAAGCUUCCUUCUUCUCUUUCUCUUGUUUCGCUUUUUUCUAAAAUAUGUACCUCAAUUUUUGUUAACUUGAUGUAAUUUGAAUUCUUGUCUAUAAUUCAAGUUCAUUUCUUUUAAAUUGAUUGUUUGUCUUUGUUUUAAUUUAAUGCCUUUAUAAAUUAGCAUUUGGACACUUAUAGUGCAUUGAUCGUAUAUAUAUUCCUAAUGAUUGCCCUAAUUGAGAAAUUCUAAAGAUUUAGAAUUUUCAAUUGCGGAAAAGAGUUUUUGAGUUAAGAUAUAUUCACCUUCAAUUACAAUAGUAAAUAAUAAAUUCAGUUUCCUAUAUGCUCCUAGAACUUGAAUUGGAGUAAAAAUUUGGGUUGUACAUGUUAAGCUUGGGGUGAACUCGUACAGUAACAAGACAUGUUAGAUUUUGGCUUAGCACUUUAAUCCUCUUAGCAUAGUGCUUCAGCAAUUUUGGUACCCAAACUUUUAUGUUCAGGUUUGAUCCCAUAUUUUUCAAAAAAAAUUAAUGGUUGAAUAUAUGUUAUUAAAAUCAAUUUAUAUAUCACUUAUCUAGAGUAAGAUAAAUUUUUCAAGGCUUAAUUUUAUCAUUUUGUCUCAUUCAUUAUUUAUUUUAUUUAAUUUUAUAUUCCUAAUAAUAAAAUCUUUAAUUUGAUUGCUUAAUUCCAAAUCGAUUUAAUUUGGUCUCUUUUGUCCAAAUUCACUUGACGUUGUUUAUUAAUAGUGAAAUGAGAUUGAAUCAAAUAAAGGAACAAAUUAAAUUGUUUAUUAAAAUUGAAAAAAAAUAUGAAAAAACAAACUGUGAGAACAAGAAGUUUAUUAAGGGAUCAAAUUGCACCAUUUUGAAAAUUAAAGUACUAAAUUAAAUUGUUUAUUAAUAGAGGACCAAUGCUAAAUAAAUAAAUAGCACGACAAAAAAGUAGGUUUUCUUUUUUACUUUCAGAAAAUUUGAAAACUUUAUUGAAUUCUAAAAUAUUCAAUUAACUUGCCUAGUUUUUUGUUUAUUCACUCUUUUUUUUUUCUUUUAAUCCUUGAUUUUUGAAAACUUCAAAAUUCUUUUUGAUCACAAACAUAUUUUAACUAUCAUAAAACAACAAAACAAUGUUUUCUAAAAUGAGACUGAUAUAAGUUAUUGAUAAAUCACUUUCUGAGUGAUAUUUUGUACAAACUUUUGUGUUAUUUUGUAUGUAUUUUCUUGAUAUAAUUCACAUUUGAACAUUAGUUUUGUAUUCGAGAAGUAUAACCACUCAUUUGAGUGAAAGAGUAGAAAAUUAUACAAAUUUAUUAAGAUUUAAGAACUUUACAUAACUUGAUUACUAUCGUGGUACAUUGAUCACGAUAAAGUAAUAAUAGUCCUCCCAAAUGUUUUUAUAAUAAAAACGUGAUAUUGAUUCAAAUGUUUAUUUAAUCUCACAAAAUCAUUUAAGGAAAUAGUUAGACCUAAAAUCAAAAUAUAAAUAUAAAUAACAUCAAAAAUAAAAAUUUAAAUAGAUGAAUUUUUAAUAAUUAUGAAUAUAGAUUUACCUUAUAUCUUGUCGAUCUAAAAGAAUUAAAUUCAUUACAACUUUUAUUGGCACAUCUAACACCAGUGACAACUACAAUAAACAUUAUUUUAUCACAUUUACACGCUAGGAAGAUCACUAACGUGUUCACAAAAAUAUUUAGAAUAAGGAGAGAAAAUCACAUAAUGUUGUAGUAGGACAAAAAUAAGUAGAGAAACACUAACGUGUUGACAAAAAUAUUUAGAAUUAGUUAAGGCUUUAGUUUUAAUUUUUUUUAAAAUUUGAUUUUAAUCCAUAAAUUCUUGUCUGACUAGUCAUAGUUUUUUAACUUUUAGAAAUUUUAAUUUUUAAUUCUUGAAUAAAAAUUAAACCCAUUAUUUUUAUUAAUUUAAUGAGUUUUUAAUAAUUAUAAAUCAAUUUUUUAAAAUUUUAGAAAUUAAAAAUCUUAAUGAAAAAAAGUCGAGGGAUAUUGACCCGUCAAAUAAAAAUGUAGGAACUAAAAAUUUUGAUAAAAAAAGUUGAAAGAUAUUGAAAAAUAGAAAAAACAAUUUAAAAAUUAAAAACUAAAUUUUGAAAAAGUUUAGUAAUAAUUAGCCCAGAUAUUUAAGAGAGAUGCUGGAAUCUCAAAGUCUUCCUAAAGUCUCAAGGUUGAGGUUGCACUAAUUUUUUUGUAAACACUAGCAUGGAUAAAAAAUAUGAUGUCAAUUUGAUGUAGAUAAAAGUAUGUCGUAAUAAAAAAAUCAUAUUAAGUAUGUAUAUCAUUUUUAAAAUAAUUAUUAUAAAAGUUGAUGAUUAAAUUUAUUAUAUAUAUAUAUAUAUAUAUAUAUAUAUAUAUAUAUAUCAUUUAUGAUUAGAUGAGAGAGUAAAGUCUUAUAUUUUCACAUUAACUAUAUCUUGCUUCCACAAAACAUUUAUUUUUAGCCAAUUUAUCACCAGAAGACUCUUUGUAAGCAUCUUUUAGUAGUAUUAAACUCUCUAGGAAAACCUUCAUCCAGUAAUUUAAUGACAACUAGGUGAUCCUCGAUCCUGCGCAAAAAUAGGAAAGCAAAUUUUAUUCUUCUAAAUUAAAGACCAACAAAAUAGAUCGAAAAUUUCCAUUUUUGAAAGAAAAAAAAGAGUAAAUUUUAAAGCUUAGAGUAAAACCAUAUGCAAUGAUAAGAAGGAUACACCAGCCUGUAUAUAGCUUUUAAAAGUAAAUAGAAUAGCUUAACCCUCUUCCACCAAUGGUUAACCUAGUUAAAAAAAACUGUUCCGGUGGAUCAGCAUUUAAUUUCUUGCUCAUCAUAUAAUAUAUUAUUAUUGCCAGCAUCGAUUAGAUCAAAUCAGGUGGCUGACCUAUUCAACGGCAAUUCAUCAUCUCAGACCAAUUUCAAGAUCAAUCCUCAAAAUGAUGAAUUGUGUAAAUUAUCGGCGCAAACUAAAACAAUAGAGCCAAAUGAAUAAUCAAAAUAAUAUAUAUAUAUAUAUAUAUAUAUAUAUAUAUAUAUAUAUAUAUAUAUAUAUAUAUAUAUAUAUAUAUAUAUAUAACUGCAAGGUAAAUAAUUUAACAAGUGUAAGAUAUUUUAUUUAAAUUUUAUUGGUCCAAUAACAAAUACAUCUUACAUUGUUUAAUUAAUCACAUUUAUACACAAUUAACUAGAUAGCAAAUUCACAACUUGCUAUAGCACAACAAAAAUAAAGGGAAAAAUAUCACAACUUGCUCAUAAUAUAUUUAAGAUAGAUGAUGCUGAAAAGUUCAAAGUCUUCCUCUCGACAGAUGUGAUAAAUUUUUUAUAUAACACUUAUGACUACAAAAUAUAUAACACUAAUAUAUGCUAUAGAUAAAGGAGAUGUAUUCUAGAAAACCUGAUGACCAGAAAAGUUAAUCAUAUCUAUAUAAUUAUGCAAAUAUUAUUAUUUUACUUAAAAUUAAUUUUAUAUUUAUUGUAUUUGUACAAUUAAGAUUAAUUAACAAGAGUUGACACAUUUGAUGGAGACUUUUGUCCACACUUGCUAUAACUUGACAGUCUUCCUUGAUUUUACAAGAGGUGGCAUGGCUUCCCCUAUUGUAAUUUUUCACCUCAAAAAUAGGAUGAAUAGUACGUGAGAACAUCAUCUUACACACAGCUUACUGGAUAUAAAAAAAGGCAAUAUGAAAAUAUACAAGAUAUUAUAAUAAAGUUUGUGCCAAUGUGUGUCAUCGCGUGUGGCUAACAUGCAAUUAAUACAUUGAUCGAAUGGAGAAAAAACAUCAUAAUCAUAAUAAGAAAAAUAUUAAGAGCAUGUUCUUUUAAGACUUUAACAUGCUCUUUUUUACACACUUUUUCUAUUAGUUGAAAUUGAUUAUUCUUUUCCAGUUCCUAUUUAUAAGACUUUUAAAAUAAUGCUUAUUCUUUUUUUAUAAAAUUUAACUUAUAAUAUUCUUUGCAUCAAUUAUUUUUAAACUAAAUAUGCAUCAUUAAAAAAAUAAAAAAUAUAUUAACAAACCAUUAGACGAGAGAAAAUUUUAAUGACAAAAAUAAUUUUAAAAAUUUUAUAAAUGUAAGACAAACCUAUUAUUAUGAAUUAAAUUAGAGACUUUCUUUAAUCAUAAUGAAUUAGGUAAUUGCAUGGAGGGACUAAAAAUCAUAAAAUUGAAUGGAUUUCAUCAGUUCUUAUUUAAAGGACCUUACUCAUGAUUUUUCAUUUUUAACAAAUUUCAAUCAAUAAGAAAGUGUGCUAGAAAGUGUAAUGCCAACACUCAAAAAUUUGUGUUGUAAUACUAAUUUUAAGUGUUAAUCAUGAGUAGGUUUGCUUUAUGAAAGAAAAGUAAUACUUCCUUUCGUUUCAAAUAUAAGAAAAAAAUUAUUUUUAGUCUCAAAUAUAAGAAAAUUAGUAUUAAUUAAAUUUAUUUUAUUUAAUGUUAUUAUCUCUAAAAUACCUUUCAUUUAAUUGAUAUCUUUUUCAUUUUUUAUUUUUUUAAUACAAAGUUUCAAUGAAUGAUAAGUUGAGAAAAAGUUAGUUUUAAUUAAAUGUGGUUAACUAAUUUUCUUAAUUAGAACAAAUGAGUAUUUUCUUUGGUAAAUGCCAACUAGUAUCCUUAACGCAUUAGGUCAAGAACUUAAAGUAGAAAUAUUUUAAUGGAAGAUAGAAAAUUACGCUGCUCAUGAUUUUUUUGCAUUCUCUUAUAAUUUUUACAGUGAAUAUUUUCUUGUUUUAGUUUCUUAACUAGUGUUCUUUUCUUCUUUUAAUUUCUUAACUAGUGCUCUCAGGGCACAAGUUUAACAAGACCAUUUUUCUUAUAUUUGAGAUCCAACAGAGUAUGAACUUUACAGGUUUUUGUGCAAAUGGUCCGAAUUUAGAUUAAAUUAAAAUUAAAUCCUAAUGAGUCAUGUUGAAUAUAUUAUAUAUUGGUUAUAUUUGAAUUUUUUAAAAAUAAAUCAUUCUAUUGUCAUUUAAAUUUUUUAUCUCCACUAAGUGUUGAUUUUUUAUCAGCUAAAACUGUAAGCAAAUGAAUAUAUUAGAGAAUCAAACAAAUUAUAUUUUUUUAAUUUUUUAAGCAAAUGAAUAUAUUAGAGAAUCAAACAAACUGUAAUUGGAUAUUCAUAUUUGAAGGAAAAAAAAAAGAAGAAGAAGAGAGAACUAAUUAAUCAAACCAAUUUGAAUCAAAAUAAUUUAUUUGAUUUAGAUUGUGAGUUUAUCAAGUCAAUUUGAUCAAUGCUCCUAAAAUGGAGAAAACAAGUGAAAAAAAGAGGAAAAAGAAGUUUAAAAUGACCCAAUUUGUUAGGUUUUCUUUUUCGUUUGUUACUAUAUUAUAGGUGUAAAAGUAAUCUAUCAACUUUGUCAAUCAAUAUUUCUGUUAGAGAAUGUGAUUCGUACACCAUUAGUGAUUGUUUGUUCAUCUUUUAUUUAAUUGUGUAGUAAAUAAAAAAAAAGUUUAUGUAUACUCAAAAUAAGACGUAUAUAUACUAAAAAUGAUAGUCUUAUAUAGUCCGUCUUGAUGUUCCUCCGUUUUCUCGGAAAAUAAACAAAGCUUGAAAGAUUGGCCGCUUGAAUUGAUAUUGCACUGUAUCUGUUUAACAAGUUGUACUUUAAACAUUAAACUGUUUUUUUAUGAUAUAUUCACAAACAAAUUUGUCUUUUUUAUUCGUUUAAACUUUGUAGUUGCAGAGUUCAGAUGUAUAUUGUUAAGCAAAUAAGUUGGUAACGGAAGUAUGAGCCUAACUAACAGGCAAUUAAGUUGACAAGCAGGGCCGUUUAAUUUUGUUGGUAAAACUAAUACCGACAAACAUCAUUAUUUAAAUCGAAUAAUUAGUUUUCAUACUUAUUUAAAAACUGGGUAGCGUGAUUUGGUAUGGAUACGGUAACAAUUAAAUAAUUAACAUUAGCAAUGGCAAAUUCAGUGCUGGCAUGCACGUUGUGUCUGAAACUAGCGCGGGUCAUAUCUAGCAUGUGUUUUUUAGAAGGAUUCCACGUAUUCAUUUCAAGGUCCCGCAAUUGAGGAAUAAAUGACAAUCCUAAUCGCUAAUUGACCCAAGAAAACUGCUAUCUUCCAAGCAAACUCGUUUGAUUCGAUCUAGACUAAGUUAACACAAGUUUAGCCUGCGUGUCUACUGAGUCUUGUCUCAAUAUGCUAAAAAUGAGUUUGAAUAUUAUUAAUUUAAUCCGCAUGAAUCAAAUAGACUAUUAAACUCAUAUGAAUAGUACGUGAAAGUAGACUUGUGAGCUAACAGAGAUUAGUUUGAGUGUCUAGUGAGUCUUGUCUCAAUUUGCUAAAAAUGAGUUUGAAUACUAUUUAACCCGCAAAAAUGAAAUAAAUUCUUAAACUCACAUGAAUAGUAACUGAAAAUAUCAUCUUACAUACCACUGGUUAUAAAAAAGGCAAUAUGAAUAGUAUGUGGGAACAUCAUUUUUCAUACUUGCUGGAUAUAAAAAAUGGCAGUAUGAAAAUAUACAAGAUAUUAUAAUAAAGUUUGUGACUAUGCGUGUCAUCGUGUGUGACUAACAUGCAAUCCAUCCAUUGAUCGAAUGAAAAAAAAAAUCAUAAUCAUAAUAAGAGAAAUAUUGACAGCGUGCUCUUUUAAGACUUUAACAUACUCUUUUUUACAUUUGUUUUUUAUUAGUUGAAAUUAAUUAUUCUCUCCUUGUUCCUAAUUAUAAGACUUUUAAAAUGAUAUUUUUUUAUAAAGUUCAAUUUACAAUGUUUCUUAGAUUAAUUAUUUUUAAACUAAAAAUAUUUAUCAUUAAAAGAAGAAAAAGAAUGUAUUUACAAAUCAUUAGACGAGAAAGAAAUAUUAAUGAUGAAAUUUUUUUUGAAAAAGAUUAUAAAUGUAAAACAAACUUAUUAUUAUUAAUUAAAUUAGUCACUUUUUUAAUUUUAAUUAAUUAGGUAAUGUGAUCAUGUAUACAAGAACAUAGAGAGAGUACAAAUUAUAAAACUGUAUAUAUUUCAUCACUUCUUAUUUAAUGGGCCUUAUUCAUGAUUAUUUUUUUUUAUAGUUUUAACAAAUUUCAACCAAUAAGAAAGUAUGCUAGAUAUGGCCAACAGUCAAAACUUUGUGUGGUAAUACUAAUUUUAAGGGCUAACCAUAAUUAGAUUUUCUUUAUGAAAGAAAAGCAAUACUUCCUUUAUAAGAUAAAAUUUAUUUUUUUAGUUUCAAAUAUAAGAAAAUUUCAAGUAAAUUUACUUUAUUUAAUGUUAUUAUCUCUAAAAUAUCUUUCAUUUAAUUGAGGUUUUUUUCAACGAUUUUUUAUGUUUAAUAUCAAGUUCCAAUGAAGGAUAUGUUGAGAAAAAAAUAAUUUUUAAUUGAGAUUGAUGAAUUAAAUGUGAUUAAUUAACUUUCUUGGUUAGUACAAAUAAAUAUUUUGAGACCGGAGGGAGGGAGUAUGAAUUUUACAAGUUUUUGUGCAAUUGGUCAAAAUUUAGAGUAAAUUAAAAUUAAAUCCUAACCAGUCAUAUCCAAUUAUAUAUUGGUUAUAUUUGAAAUUAAAAAAAAUAAAUCAAUCUAUUUUCUUUUAAGUUUUUAUCUCCACUAAGUGUUGAUUUUUAUGAUUUUAAACUUUAUGUUAAUGCAAGGCAAAAAAGAUAAAUUAGAGAGUCAAAAAAAUUAUAAUUUUUUAAAGCAAAAGAGUAUAGUAGAGAAUCAAACAAACUGUAAUCGGAUAUUCAAAUUUGAAGUAAAAAAAAACUAAUUAAUCGAACCAAUUUGAAUCAAAAUAAUUGGUUUUAUUGAGAAUGUCGAGUUUAUGAUCAAGUCAAUUUGAUCAAUUCUCCUAAAAUGAAGAAAAUAAAUGAAAAAUAAGAGUAAAAAAAGAAGUAUCAAAUGAUCUAAUUUCUUAGGGUUUUUUUUGUUGUUAUUAUAUUAUAGAUGCAAAGUAAUUUAUUAAUUUUACCAACAAAGUUAGAGAAUCUGAUUUGUUCAUCUUUAGUGAUUUUAUUAUGAGAGAAAAAAAUAAAAAAAAAUCUUUAUUUUAUAUUUAAUUAUGUAGAAAAUUUUAAAAAAAUGUAUAUAUACUCAAAAUAAGAAGUAUAUAUACUAAAAAGGAUAGUUUUAUAUCGUCCGUCUUGCAUGUUCCCUCCGUUUUCUAGGAAAAUAAACAGCUUGAAAGUUAGCCCGCUUGAAUUGAUACUGCACUGUAGCUGGUUAACAAGUUGUACUUUAAACAUUAAAAUAAGAAGUAUAUUCACAGAGAUUGUCUUUUCUAUUCGUUUAAACUUUGUAGUUGCUGAGUUCAGAUGUUAUUGUUAAGCAAAUAAGUUGUUGACGGAAGUAUGAGCCUACAGCUUCAGAGCCAAUAGAACAUUCUAAAGCAAAUAUUAGUUUAUUCCUAACAGGCUAUUAAGUUCACAAGCAUGGCUGAUAACUGCUAAAUAAUUGUGAAUUAAUAGUAGUUAAAUAGUGAAAUUUUGGCUUAAAAUUAAUUAUUUAGAAGUUAUUUGUAAUUAAAAGUUGGAAAAUUAAUUAAAUUGAAUUUCUGGUUGCAGAUACGAAAAAUGAGGUUACAUUAAGCAAAAAGGGCAACAGAAAUGAAGAGAAAGAAGGAAUUCUGAAGCAGGCCCAGCCCAACAGUGGCGCUAAGCGCGCAUCAGGCGCUAAGCGAGCAACCAAAUGCAGGCGCUAAGCGUGACGUUAAGCACGAAGGAGUAGAAACCGUUACGCGCGCUAAGCCUGGCUACGCGCCCAGUGCGCGAUCCAACAGAAGCACAGGCUAAGCCUGCAGGGCGUGCUGGGCGCGCGAUCCGAACGCGCUAAGCGCGAGGUGUCGCGCUGAGCGCGACUACGAAGGCUCAGAAGCCCACUUCAGCAACUAUAAAUAGAGAACCAGUCCCAAGGAAUCAUCACCUCGUCUCAGAGCACUGUUCUCAGCACUCCAAGCCUGAGCUCUCUUCUCUCUCUAUAUAUUCUUUGUCUUUAUUACCCCUAUUCUUUCCUUCACCCCCAAUUGUAAGCCCUCAAUGGCCAUGAGUGGCUAAUCCCCUAGCUAGAGCCUGACAGGCCUAAAAAGCCAACGAUGUACGAUGUGCUUCAAGAAUUAUCAAUGCAAAGGGAAUUUAUUUCAGGUUUUUCUGUUCUAAUUCUUUUCUUGUUAUCUUGCAUUUGUUCUUAAAUUUCUUUUGGGUUUUAUUCGCUCGGGAGAGGGUAUUUCCUAAUAAGGGUUAAGAAUUAAUGCAUGCAUCAGUUUUAGGGGUUAUACACUUGGGAAAGGGUAACACCUAACAGAACAUCUUAAGAAAAGAAUCCUUGGGUUAGCAUUGCUAGGCAUAGAAUGAUAACCCACUGCCCAUGCAUUUAAGCAACAUCUAGAACUUAACCUUAAUGCAUUUUAAUUAUUGAAUCUUCGCAAAGGCAUUUGGGAGAUAGGUAGUUAAAAUAGGCUUGUCAACGUGAGGCAUCAGGGGCAAGUAAUUAACAUAUGUGGGUAGAACUAAUACCAGUGCAUUGGUAAUGAAUAUCAUAUUUACAUGCAUCGUAGGCCAAUUGGGUUUGUCCGGUCUUGGCAUCUUUAUUAAUUGUCUUUCUUUUUAAACUACUUGAUUUAGUAAUAGCACUCUAUUCCUGCACUUAUUCCUGUUUUUCUUAUUUUACUCUUACUUACAAAUUGAGAAGUAUUUAAUAAAGUGCAAUAAAAUCCCUGUGGAAACGAUACUCAGACGUCCGAGGUUUACUACUUAAGAGCGAUUUGGUACACUUGCCAAAGUCUCAACAAGUUUUUGGCGCCGUUGCCGGGGAUUUUAGUUUCGCACUUAAUUACCAUACUAUAUCAGUUUGUAAGCCCAACUCUUCUUUUCUUGGCUUAUUCUUUAGUAUUUACUCUCUUUACUUCUAUUCUUUCUUUCUUCCAUAAUUGCACGGGUAGUGCUUUUUUGUUUUUUAUGCGACUUAGGACUACAUCUGGAGACGUUGUCCCUAUCAACUUAGAAAUUGAAGCUACUUGUCGGGGUAACAACGCUGCAAGAAGAAGAAGGGAACAAGACACAGAAGGAAGCAGUUACACCUCACCUCCUCUUUCUCCACAUCACACUGAAAUGGACGGGGAACCGGCACGAAGAGUCACCCUAGAGGACUUCUCCAAUAUCGCUACUCCUCAGUUCUUCACGAGCAUUGCCAGACCGGAGGUACAAGCCACCAAUAUUUCCUACCCGCAUUCCCUUAUUCAGCUAAUCCAAGGGAACCUCUUCCAUGGUCUUCCAAGCGAAGAUCCAUAUGCUCACCUUGCCUCGUACAUAGAAAUAUGCAACACCGUAAAAAUCGCUGGAGUCCCAGAAGAUGCGGUACGCCUUAACCUCUUCUCCUUUUCUCUAGCAGGAGAGGCAAAACGAUGGUUGCACUCUUUCAAAGGCAACAGCUUAAGAACCUGGGAAGAAGUAGUGGAAAAGUUCUUAAAGAAGUACUUCCUAGAGUCAAAGACCGUCGAAGGGAAAAUGGAGAUUUCUUCUUUCCAUCAAUUCCCGGAUGAGUCCCUUAGCGAAGCACUAGACCGUUUUCACGGGCUGUUACGAAAGACACCGACACACGGAUACAGCGAGCCGGUACAACUGAACAUAUUCAUCGAUGGCUUGCGACCUCAAUCGAAACAGCUACUAGACGCAUUCGCAGGGGGAAAAAUCAAACUGAAGGCUCCCGAAGAAGCGAUGGAGCUCAUCGAGAACAUGGCGGCCAGUGACCAAGCAAUCCUUCGUGAUCGUAGCUAUAUGCCCACAAAAAGAAGCCUUUUGGAACUUGGCACGCAGGACGCAACAUUGGCACAAAACAAGCUGUUGACGAGGCAGAUAGAAGCCCUUACUGAAACCCUCAGCAAACUACCUCAACAAUUACAAGCGGUAAGUUCUUCCCACUCUUCUGUUUUGCAGGUAGACGGAUGCCCCACAUGCGGAGGAACCCAUGAGCCUGGACAAUGUGUAAGCCAACAGGAUACUUCUCGAGAAGUAAACUAUAUGGGCAUACCAAAUCGCGGAUUCCAGGGGUUACAACCAGGGGAACUCAUCCGGAUUCCACCAAGGGAGAGCAGGAUUCAAUCACGCACCACCGGGAUUCAAUCAAGGAAGGAACUUCACGCAAGGUUCAGGGUGGAGGAAUCAGGGAAACCAGUACAAGGAGCAGAGGAAUCAACAACCAUACCAACCGCCAUACCAGCAUCCCAGCCAGGGCCCCAAUCAACAAGAAAAGCCCACCAAUAUAGAAGAGCUGUUGCUACAAUUCAUCCAGGAAACACGGUCCCAUCAAAAGAGCACGGAUGCAGCCAUUCGAAAUCUGGAAGUUCAAAUGGGCCAAUUGGCACAAGACAAAGCCGAACGGCCCACUAGAACUUUCGGGGCUAACACGGAGAAGAACCCAAAGGAAGAAUGCAAGGCUGUGCUGACUCGAGGGCAGAAAAAAACACAGGAUGAAGGUAAGGUUGAAGAAGAAGACCGGUCAGAGGAAGACAGGACAGAGACACCAGAAGAAAGGACAGAAGAAGAAGAGAAGGUGGCAUCACCACCUUCAACCAAGAGCCAGAAAGCGCGGGAAGCCAGGAAAGAAGAACCACCAGCCCUACCACAAGAUCUCCCAUAUCCUGUGGUACCCACCAAGAAGAACAAGGAACGCUACUUCAAGCGUUUCUUGGAAAUAUUCAAAGGGCUGGAGAUCACUAUGCCAUUCGGGGAAGCCUUACAGCAGAUGCCCCUAUACUCCAAAUUUAUGAAGGACAUCCUCACCAAGAAGGGUAAGUACAUUGACAAUGAGAACAUUGUGGUAGGGGGUAACUGCAGCGCUAUAAUACAGAGGAAGCUACCCAAGAAGUUUAAGGACCCCGGAAGUGUUACCAUCCCGUGCACCAUAGGGAAGGAGACGGUGAACAAGGCCCUCAUUGACUUAGGAGCAAGUAUCAAUCUGAUGCCCUUGUCAAUGUGUAAAAGAAUUGGGAAUCUGAAGAUAGAUCCUACCAAGAUGACGCUUCAGCUAGCAGAUCGCUCGAUUACAAGGCCGUAUGGGGUAGUAGAAGAUGUCCUAGUCAAGGUACGCCACUUUACUUUUCCGGUGGACAUUGUCAUAAUGGAUAUCGAAGAAGACAAAGACAUUCCCCUCAUCUUAGGCAGACCAUUCAUGCUGACUGCCAACUGUGUGGUGGAUAUGGGGAAUGGGAACUUGGAGCUGAGUAUUGACAAUCAGAAGAUCACCUUCGACCUAUUCAAAGCAAUGAAGUAUCCACAGGAAGGUUGGAAGUGUUUCAGAGUAGAAGAGAUUGAUAAGGAAGAUGUCAGUAUUCUCGAGACACCACAGUCUUCACUGGAGAAAGCAAUGGUAAAUGCUUUGGACUGUCUAACCAGUGAAGAGGAGAAAGAUCUGAAGGCUUGCUUGGAAGACUUGGAUCGACAAGACAGUAUUCCUGAGGGAGAAGCCAAAUUUAAGACACUAGAAGAGAAAGUUCCGUCCGAGAAGAAGAAGAUAGAGUUGAAGAUAUUACCCAAUCAUCUAAAGUAUGUGUUCUUGGAGGAAGACAAGCCUGUAGUAAUCAGCAAUGCACUCACGACAGAGGAGGAAAACAGAUUAGUGGAUAUCCUCAAGAAACACAGGGAAGCUAUUGGAUGGCAUAUCUCGGAUCUCAAGGGAAUUAGCCCUGCUUAUUGCAUGCACAGAAUAAUGAUGGAAGAGGAUUACAAGCCAGUCCGACAACCCCAGAGGCGACUAAAUCCAACAAUGAAGGAAGAGGUCAGAAAAAGGAGGGGUACCAAUAGCAGAAGUGAAGUGGGCUGCACGAAGCCACGCGCUUAGCGCACGACCUCGCGCUAAGCGCCCAAGUUAGUUUUAAAUUUUGAAUUUAAAAUCUGAGGGGCAACCAAGGGACGUUUUCCCUGGUGCGCUUAGCAGCCACAUGCGCGCUAAGCGCGCACGUCAUAAAUUCUGGGGAGUUUUUGAAACUCCCCAACUCCUCAGUUGCCUCCAGGGGGGCUUUUUAAGUGCAGAACUUCAUUUCUUUUCUCUACGCUUUUACACUUUCCACACUUCCUUUCUGCACCCUCUUCUCACCUACAAAUUCCCUUGUGAUUUUCACGCUGAUUAACAGGAGAAACGAGGUAAGAUGUGAAUCUGGUUGUGCUGUAGCAUUUGCAGGCAUCAUCACGCUAAGCCUUGCACAUAGGCUUAGUGGGAACGAACAAUGUGAGGAACAACAAGAGGAGCGCGCUAAGCCGCUGCAAGACACAGGAGCCACCACGAAGCACGCGCUUAGCCAGCACUGUCGCGCUAAGCGCGCUCAUCAGCUUCAGCGAACGCGCUAAGCGCGUGCCAGUUGCGCUAAGUGCAUGCCUCCGUCAGCAGGCAGGCGCGCCAAGCGCGGGGCUGGGCCUCAGGGUCCCCAAGUUGCCUGGCCAGGAGACCAGCCCUCCACUGACAGGGGGGAAGAGCCUUCUGGAGCCGCUGAGGAUCCUGCGGUCGAUGAAGACCUCAUUGCUGACUUAGCCACCCUUGACUGGGGCCCAUGGGCAGACUUGGGCGAAGGCAGUUGAUGUUUCCUUUUUGUUGUUUUCUUUUAUGUUUGGUGUCUUCUUCUUUCUUAUGUUUUGUUUAUGUGGUCUGUUUGGGUAUUUAAAAGAAGAAGUAGUAAUAAUAUUAGUAUUUCAGUAUGUGUGUUCUGAGUAAUAAUUGCAUGGUAAACUUGAGCAGUCAUAAUUUUUGAGCUUGUUCUGGAAGGUUCAAACACUUGAGAUGCCACUAGUCCUUGGAAACACUGGUUCUGGAAGCACGAGUCAGGUUAGGAAAUGGAACAUGAGUAGCACAAGGAGGGAAGGUUAGUCUGAUGGAACAAAGUCAUAACUGGUACGCCGUAUACUUGCUUUUAUUCCGGUGAGAGUGUGAACUUAAUUGUGAGAGAAAACGCCUACUUUUAAUUUCCUGGUUUUGCAUGAGUCUUGGAUUGUUAGAAUAGUUACUUAAGGUGGAUAUGAUUAAGGCCAUGUUUGUUAUAUCUAGCUACUUAGCCAAAAAGCCAACCCGACAUCAUCUUUUUCCCCUUGCACCCAUGAUUGAGCCUAUAUAUUAUUUUGAAUUAACCCUUGAGCCAAUAAAAUGAUAGUCCUACCCUUUAGGAUGAUAAGAGAGCAAAAAUGGGUUAUAAAGGUCUUAAUUUGGGGGAUUUUGGAAAAUAGGUAGCUAAGACAAUAGUACAACAUAUAGUAAGACACCUCUCACAAAGUGGAAGCCCAAUUAAAAAUAAAAAAAUAAAAAUAAAUAAAUAAAUAAUAUUCAUAAGUGUAAUAAAGGGCAGAAACAAAAGAGCAAGAGAGGUGUCAAAAGAAAAGUGCUGUGGGGAAAUAAAAGGGUUAAGAAGAAGGCCUUAGAAGUAUUAGAAAUUUUUGCUCUCUUAAUCCUAAGUUGAAUUUUCAAGAAAUACCAUGAUUUUUUGUUGUAAGCCAAGCCCCAAUACAAGCCAAUAAAGUCCUUAGUGAUCCACCUGAAGGUAACUAAAGAUAACUAUACUUAAGAUGAAAUGCAAAACUUUGGAGUCUUACUUGUAGGUUGUUAGUAAAAUUGCAAACACUGAACCAGACACUUGUGAGCAGAGGGAAACACCAGCCUUGUGAGGAAAGUAAGGCAAGCCAGAUUUGAUCAAGAUUCCAGAGGACUGACUAAUUCCACUUUUGUGUUUUAUGCUUUCAUUUUGAGAUGUUAACAGAUGCGGAAAGGACCACUGAAAGAAGGAGGAACUAAGGCCAUUAAUAGUGUUGGAACACUCAGAACUUGUUUGAAAAUUUAUUUUUAUUCUUGGUUUGCUUGGGGACAAGCAAAGUUUAAUUUGGGGGAUUUUGAUAAUUGCUAAAUAAUUGUGAAUUAAUAGUAGUUAAAUAGUGAAAUUUUGGCUUAAAAUUAAUUAUUUAGCAGUUAUUUGUAAUUAAAAGUUGGAAAAUUAAUUAAAUUGAAUUUCUGGUUGCAGAUACGAAAAAUGAGGUUACAUUAAGCAAAAAGGGCAACAAAAAUGAAGAGAAAGAAGGGAUUCUGAAGCAGGCUCAGCCCAACAGUGGCGCUAAGCGCGCAUCAGGUGCUAAGCGAGCAACCAAAUGCAGGCGCUAAGCGUGACGUUAAGCACGAAGGAGCAGAAACCGUUACGCGCGCUAAGCCUGGUUACGCGCCCAGUGCGCGAUCCAACAGAAGCACAGGCUAAGCCUGCAGGGCGCACUGGGCGCGCAAUCCGAACGCGCUAAGCGCGAGGUGUCGCGCUGAAUGCGACUACGAAGGCCCAGAAGCCCACUUCAGCAACUAUAAAUAGAGAACCAGUCCCAAGGAAUCAUCACCUCGUCUCAGAGCACUAUUCUCAGCACUCCAAGCCUGAGCUCUCUUCUCUCUCUAUAUAUUCUUUGUCUUUAUUACCCCUAUUCUUUCCUUCACCCCCAGUUGUAAGCCCUCAAUGGCCAUGAGUGGCUAAUCCCCUAGCUAGGGCCUGGCAGGCCUUAAAAGCCAACGAUGUACGAUGUGCUUUAAGAAUUAUCAAUGCAAAGGGAAUUUAUUCCAGGUUUUUCUGUUCUAAUUCUUUUCUUGUUAUCUUGCAUUUGUUCUUAAAUUUCUUUUGGGUUUUAUUCGCUCGGGAGAGGGUAUUUCCUAAUAAGGGUUAAGAAUUAAUGCAUGCAUCAGUUUUAGGGGUUAUACACUUGGGAAAGGGUAACACCUAACAGAACAUCUUAAGAAAAGAAUCCUUGGGUUAGCAUUGCUAGGCAUAGAAUGAUAACCCACUGCCCAUGCAUUUAAGCAACAUCUAGAACUUAACCUUAAUGCAUUUUAAUUAUUGAAUCUUCGCACAGGCAUUUGGGAGAUAGGUAGUUAAAAUAGACUUGUCAACGUGAGGCAUCAGGGACAAGUAAUUAACAGAUGUGGGUAGAACUAAUACCAGUGCAUUGGUAAUGAAUAUCAUAUUUACAUGCAUCGUAGGCCAAUUGGGUUUGUCCGGUCUUGGCAUCUUUAUUAAUUGUCUUUCUUUUUAAAGUACUUGAUUUAGUAAUAGCACUCUAUUCCUGCACUUAUUCCUGUUUUUCUUAUUUUACUCUUACUUACAAAUUGAGAAGUAUUUAAUAAAGUGCAAUAAAAUCCUUGUGGAAACGAUACUCGGACUUUCGAGGUUUACUACUUAAGAGCGAUUUGGUACACUUGCCAAAGUCUCAACAAUGGCCGUUUAAUUUUAUUGGUAAAACUAGCUAAUACCGACUAACAUCAUUGAAACAAAUAAUUAGUUUUCUCUAAGAUAUUAUUUUUCAUAAUGCUGGAGAGUAUAAGUGUGAUGUGAAAUCAAGAGUAGAAGUGGAAAGUUGCAUCAUAUAAGUGAAAAGAAAAUUCAUAAACUUGAGUCUUAAAGUUUUGAAUUAAAGUGUGUUAUCAAGUUUUUUUAUUUCAUUUUUUAUGGUUCAUUUGUGUAAAUCUCCAAUUAUGUGGUAGCGUGAUAUGGUAUGGAUACAGUGACAAACAAUAAACAUUAACAAUGGCAAAUUCAGUGCUGACAUGCACGUUCAGCUGCGUCUGAAACUAGCGCUGGUCAUAUCUAGCAUGUGUUUAUAGGACAAGUGGAUGAUACUUUAAGUGCAGAAACUGGCUAGACUAAAAUGGCAGAGCUAACUAGCUAGACUAAAAUGGCAGAAACUAGCUGCACUCACAACAAACCCAAAAGCAGAGCUAACUAGCUAGACUAAAAUGGCAGAAACUGCAGUGUCCUUGGCUGGUAAGCAUGCCCUUCCAAAAAUAUUGGAAGCUAUCAAAAUGGUGAGAGAUCUCCCAAAAGAAGUUAGAGACAUUACAGAUGAACUUGAAAGCUUUCAAGAUUUCAUUAAUGAUGCUGAUAAAGUGGCUGAAGCUGAACAAGAUGAUGGAAGGCAUCAUAGAAUAAAAGAAAGGGUGAUGCGGCUGAGAGAAGCAGCUUUUUGCAUGGAAGAUGUCAUCGAUGAAUAUAACAUCUCCUGUGAGGAUAAGCAACCUGGUGAUCCUCGAUGUGCAGCUUUACUAUGUGAGGCUGUUGACUUCAUCAAAACUCAAAUCCUUCGCCUUCAAAGUGCGUACAAGAUUCAGGAUGUUAAAUCGCUUGUUCAUGCUGAAAGAGAUGGUUUCCAAACCCAUAUUCCUUUAGAACCAAGACUAACAAGUUCUAGAGGAAAUCAAGAUGUCACCUGGCAGAAACUUCGAAUGGAUCCUCUCUUUAUCGAGGAAGAUGAUGUUGUGGGGCUUGAUGGCCCUAGAGAUACAUUGAAAAAUUGGUUGACAAAGGGAAGAGAAAAACGCACUGUCAUCUCUGUGGUGGGAAUUCCUGGGGUGGGAAAAACCACUCUUGCCAAGCAAGUUUAUGACCAGGUGCGUAACAAUUUCGAGUGCCAUGCAUUGAUCACAGUGUCUCAAUCCUACUCUGCAGAAGGACUGCUGAGGCGUUUGUUGGAUGAGCUUUGCAAACUGAAAAAGGAGGACCCUCCCAAGGAUGUUUCUAACAUGGAGUCGUUGACCGAAGAAGUCAGAAACCGCUUGCGCAACAAGAAAUAAUGUUGUCUUGUUUGAUGACGUAUGGAAUGGAAAAUUUUGGGAUCACAUUGAAUCUGCUGUAAUUGAUAAUAAAAAUGGAAGUAGGAUUUUAAUCACAACCAGGGAUGAGAAGGUUGCGGGAUAUUGUAAGAAAUCUUCUUUUGUUGAGGUGCUUAAGCUAGAAGAGCCAUUAACUGAAGAAGAAUCAUUGAAAUUGUUUUCUAAGGCAUUUCAGUAUAGUUCCGAUGGAGAUUGUCCAGAAGAACUUAAAGAUAUAUCUCUUGAAAUUGUUAGAAAGUGUAAAGGUUUACCUCUAGCAAUAGUGGCCAUUGGUGGUCUUUUGUCUCAAAAAGAUGAAAGUGCACCUGAAUGGGGAGAGUUUAGUAGAGAUCUAAGUUUACACUUGGAGAGGAAUUUUGAGUUAAAUAGUAUAACAAAAAUUUUAGGUUUAAGUUAUGAUGAUUUGCCGAUCAAUCUUAGAUCAUGUUUAUUGUAUUUCGGAACGUAUCCGGAGGACUAUGAAAUUAAAUCUGAUAGAUUGAUUAGACAGUGGAUAGCUGAAGGGUUUGUCAAACAUGAAACCGAAAAAACAUUGGAAGAAGUUGGGCAACAAUAUUUAUCAGGGUUGGUCCGUAGAAGUUUGGUGCAAGUAUCCUCAUUUAGAAUUGAUGGCAAAGUUAAAAGGUGUCGUGUUCAUGACUUAAUACACGACAUGAUACUUGGAAAAGUCAAGGAUACAGGAUUUUGUCAGUAUAUUGAGGAGCGUGAGCAAUCUGUAUCAAGUAAGAUUGUUCGACGCCUGACAAUCGCAAUCGAUGAUUUUAGUGGAAGUAUAGGUAGCUCACCCAUUCGGUCAAUUCUUAUUUGCACCGGAGAAAAUGAAGAAGUAUCUGAACACUUAGUAAACAAAAUCCCUACAAAUUGCAUGCUAUUGAAGGUACUUGAUUUUGAAGGUUCUGGUUUACGUUAUAUUCCUGAAAAUUUGGGGAAUUUAUGCCACUUGAAGUAUUUAAGCUUCCGGUAUACACGGAGAGUAAGUCUACCAAAAUCCAUUGGCAACCUCCAGAAUUUAGAGACCUUGGAUAUAAGAGACAAGUGUGUCUAAGAUGCCAGGGGAGAUUCCUAAGCUUACUAAGCUACAUCAUCUUCUGUUUUAUGCUAUGUGUUCAAUUCAAUGGAAGGAUAUUGGAGGCAUGACAUCCCUACAAGAGAUACCUCGAGUGUUUAUAGAUGAUGAUGGAGUGGUCAUUAGAGAGGUCGCAAAGCUAAAGCAGUUAAGGGAACUGACGGUGGAAGAUUUUAUGGGAAAACACGAAAAGACUUUGUGUUCCUUAAUAAAUGAGAAGCCACUCUUGGAGAAACUACUUAUUGAAACAGCUGAUGUGAGUGAAGUAAUUGACUUGUACAUUACGUCACCUAUGUCUACACUUAGGAAGCUUGUCCUAUUUGGGAAGUUAACAAGGUUGCCAAAUUGGAUUUCACAGUUCCCAAAUCUUGUGCAACUGCAUCUGUACAACUCCAGGUUGACUAAUGAUGUAUUGAAAUCACUAAACAAGAUGCCAAGGUUGUUGUUCCUCGAUUUAAGUAGCAAUGCUUAUGAAGGUGAAACUUUGCAUUUUCAAUGUGGAGGGUUUCAGAAACUAAAGCAACUGUACCUCGGAUCUUUGGAUCAAUUGAAGUGAAUCCUUAUCGACAGAGGAGCACUGUGUUCUGUGGAAAAAAUUCUUUUACAAAACCUCUCCUAACUCAAAACAGUACCCUCUGGAAUUCAACACUUGGAGAAGCUUAAAGAUCUCUAUAUCGAGGACAUGCCAACUGAAUUUGAGCAGCGCAUUGCUCCUGAUGGAGGAGAAGACCACUGGAUCAUCCAAGAUGUGCCCCAUGUACGUAUUUGGAGUGAGGAUGCUGAAGAACCUUUGCAUAUAUUCGGCAGAAGUCAUCACUAAGAUGCGUCCAAAUUUGAAAAUAGAAGGUGCGACUUUUUCACAUCUAUAACUGGAUUGAGUUUUUUAUUUCCAUGUUGAUAAAUACUUGAACAAUUUCAUUGUAUCAUUUUAAGAAGAAAUUAACUUGGUAUUUUUAUAGGGUCGUAAGCAUAUAUUUCGUGUAAAUGUUGUGGGUUUUUUAAGUUCAAUUACGGUUGAUGCCCAACAAUGUGGAUUUUUUUCAUAAACUAGAUUGUGUUAAAUGUUCCUAAUUUUUAUGCUUUGAAGUUUGACCCACUUUGUAUAACCAUUAAUUUUAGGAAAGCACUGAGGGGAGAUUGUAAGAGGUGUUCCAAUUCCAAUGUUUCACACGUUUCAAUCAUGUGGUUUUUUGAGUGUUAAUUAUUACGCCCAUUUUAGCGUUAUUAACACCAACACAAUACAAAGAAGCUGAAAAUAGUGUUCCUACAAAGGCAAACAAUUUUUUACAACUGGAAAACUUAAGAUUCCCUCAAGUUUUUUCUUUUGCGGCCCGUGAAAUGGUGGAUGAGUGGAUUUGAGGCAUCAAAGGGCAAGAUUCAUCAAAUUGAUUUUUUAAGCGAUAUAUAUAUAAUUUAGAUAUCUUCUCGAUCUUCCUAUAAUGGAAAACAUGAAUAAACUAAUAGGAAAUUGUAAUUCUACCUUAAUUAGUGAUUUUGAAUGAGAUUUGAUUAAGUAGUUAUGUUAAGUAUUUGGAAAACUCUUUUUAUUGUACAUAAUAAUUAUAUUGGGUUCAAAGAGAUUAUUUUUAAUGGAAAAUAUCUUUUCUUUGUUGAAUUAAUGCAUUGUUCUCCACUUCUCCCUUAAAAAAAUUGGAAAAAAGAAAAGAAAAGUGCAUCCCCUUCGGCGUCCCCUGCAGGAGACAAUCAUAGAAGAAAGUCGAGCCACCUCUCUCUCUCUCUCUGGCGGCUAUAUAUAACAAUUAAAAGGAAAAUAUAAGCCAUUAGUAUUAUUCAGUAACAACAAGAAUCAUUGAACCAGUCAAGGCUUACUUUCGAAUAUAAUAUAUAUUGUGUGUAUUGUGUUACAUAUUUUAUAACACAUCUUCAAUUAUUUACAUAUAAUAUCAUUCCUGUCUAAAGUCUUCUAUAGCACAUGACGAUUAAAAAAAUGUCCGAAACUCACCCUAUAACAAUACUCAUAAUUUCCGUUGACAUUUCACAUACUCAACUCAUAGAUUCAAGGAGAGGAGAUGUAUGGUGAAAUUGAAAGGUUCAUCAAAGUAUGGAUUUCAGCCAUCUUAGGUUUAUGUUAUUGUUAUUACAUAGCUGCAAGAAUACCAAAGGGCUUCUUGAGACUUCUCUCCCUUCUCCCUAUUCUCUACCUCUUCAUCAUCCUUCACUUGAACAUCUCUUCGCCUAACUUAGUUGGAUACACUUCCUUCUUCCUUGUUCAACUUGGCAUUUUCAAGCUCCUACUUUUUUCCUUCAACAAAGGCCCUCUUGCACUAUCACCCCCAAACAUUGUCCAUUUCAUCUCCAUAGCUUCCCUCCCCAUCAGCCCAAAACCAACCAAUAAAAAUAACACCACCAACACCCAAAAGCCAAAAUGGCUAUUGCCCUUAAAAUUGCUUAUUUUUGCCAUGAUCGAACGUGUUUAUGAGUACAAUGAAUACUUCCACCCUCAUUUCAUAUUAGUCCUCUAUUGUCUUCACUUGUACCUUGGCUUAGAGCUUGUUUUUGCUCUUAUUGCAACCCCGGUUCAAACCCUUUUUGGCUUAGAGAUAGAACCACACUUCAACGAACCCUAACUUUCAUCCUCACUUCAAGAUUUUUGGGGUCAUAGAUGGAACCUUUUGUCUUCUUGUCUUCUACGCUCUACAUUAUACAACCCCGUAAGCUAUAAGAUCACGGGUUUAGUGGGUCCCACAUGUGCCACAUUAGCUGCCAUGUUGGCCAUGUUCCUUGUGUCUGGGCUUGUGCAUGAGUUAAUCUAUUAUCAUGUUACACGUGUACCUCCCCCAUGGGAAGUUACGUGUUUUUUUUGUGCUUCACGGUGUGUGCACGGUGGCGGAUGUAGCUGUUAAGAAGGUGGUUCUCCGUCGUGGAUGGCGACUGCACCGUGCCAUGUCAGGGCCACUCGUGGUGGCAUUCUUGGCUAUCUCGGCGAAUUGGCUGUUUUUUCCUCAAUUGUUGAGGAAUGAAAUGGAUAGGAAGUCCAGUGAAUAAUAUGUAAUUUUGCUGGACACCCAAUUCCUAUCCCCAACUCAGGACUACAGAUAACCCAACUUGGUCAUGUUAAGGUAUGAAAUUUGUAAUGUUACCCUUCUUUAGCUGGAUCAUAUUCAUGCCUACUAUGUUCCAUCUUGUAAUUUGAGUAUUUAGAGGCAUAAAUAUUUUGAUUCAAAGCUACCUUUCUUCUUUCUUACUGUUACUUCUUAAUCAGCAGGAAGUUUUAUUUGCUUUCCUUCUUGGAAGCUUUUGAAGAUUAAUAAAUGAUUUCCUAUGAAUGGAAUAGUAAGUACAUUUAUUGAAUAUUGUGAUUUUGGCUAAAAUAUUCUUCAAUUAUGACAGGAUUUGGCAAAAGUUUUUAUCCAAGUUCUUGGUAAUGAGAAAGCCACCAAAGAAGUAUUCAACAUCUCGAGAGAGAAGUAUGUCACGUUUGAUGGAUGUGCUAAGGUAAGUCACUCUUGCCUUGUCAUAUUUAAGGUGACCAAUAGAAAGCAGUGGGAAAAUGCCUUAAUAUGUGAACUUAAUGAUGUGAUUAUUCAUUUACUAUUUUCAUUAUUGAAUUUUGACCAGGGUUUAUGAAGUAAGUCUCACACGAGACAUUAGGUUCAAUUAUAUUUGCAUAUUGUUAUUGUCAUUCAUGAACAAAAAGCAAAUAAAUAAAUAAAAAUUAAUAAUUCUACAUCGGUUACUAGUACAACCGGUGUAGGAUUAUAAAGUAAGUCUCACACGAGACAUUAGUUUCAAUUAUAUUUGCAUAUUGUUAUUGCCAUUCAUGAACAAAAAGCAAAAAAAUAAAAAAAAUUAAUAAUUCUACAUGGUUACUAGUACAACCGAUGUAGGAUUGCUAGAUAUUCUACAUCGGUUAUUAGAAAAACCGAUGUAGAAUGCUUUAUCAUGAGUAACAUUUUACGACAUUUCAGGGUGACAACCGAUGUAGAAAUCUAACAUUCUAAGACGGGUUUAGGGGUAGAAUUCUACAUCGGUUUGACACCACAACCGAUGCAGAAUGGUCAAAAUUCUAAGACAGUCGGUCAACCGAUGUAGAAAGUCGCGGGUGUUUCAACGUCACCGGCUACAAUGACGCAUGAUAACCGAUGUAGAAAGACUAUUUUGUAGUAGUGUUUGUUAAGUCUAAGAUAUACCAUUAAGAAUGUUUAACUCUUGAGAGUAAACGUUAAAGGAUGAGAUAGACUUAUAAUUAUAAUAUUUACCUUAAAGGGUAAAACAUUUCUUUUUUUUUUGUAAAAGAAUUAUUUAAUUGUGAAUAAGGCAUAUAUAUUGAAUAGGUUGAAAAAUGAUGAGUGUGACUCAACAGCUAACAUCUGAAAAUGUGCAAGUCUAAAAACAUUAAAAUAUUUUAUGUUUUUAUUGGAUUUACGUGGGUGUAUAAAAAAAUAUAUGGGUGUAUGAGUUUAGGUUUGAAGGCAAAAAAAUCUUUAUUUAAAUUUUUGAAAAAAAAGAAACUUAAUUGCACAUAGUGUUUCAAAUGAAAGAUACACAUACGUGGUUUUAAAAAAAUGCCAUCUCUAUCUUGGAUUAAGGCAUUGUUCUUCCUUACAAAAGUGGAAGAAAAAAAUAGAUAAAGGAAAAGUGUGUCCCCCCUUGCAGCAAUAACAAUUAAUCAAAGGAAAAUAUCAUCCAUUAGGAGAUUUAUGAUUAAAGUGUGUCCCCCCUUGUAGCAAUAACAACUAGUUAGUAAUAAAUGAUUGAACUACUGUUACCAGUGGCGGAUCCAAGACCCUAAGUCAGUGAGUGCAAAUUAUAAAAAAUAAAAUCAGUGGGUUCAAUUAUAUAAAUUAAAUAUAAAAAAAAUAAAAUAUAAAAAUAUAAGAUUUUAUUUACAAAUUUAGUGAAUUUUAAAAAAUGAGGGGGUGCAAGUGCACACCCUCAUACCAAUGUAGGUCCGCCACUGACUGUUACAGCUGGCUAAGUUUCCUUCUAGAUUAGUCAAAGGCAAGAUCGAGAGGCACAGAAGCAUGGCAAUUAAUUUGGGUAGCUAUAAUUUGCUGCCUGUAGAACUUCAGAAAUAAAAUUGUCUUUAGAAGUUCUAAUUUGUCGUUUGAAGACUUGCUUGGAAUCUGUAAGAUUUAGAACAUGAUCUUGGUUGCAUGCCAGAAUAUUUAAAGGCUUCAGUUAUUCCUUCUUUGAGUGGUUAAACAGCCCAAUGAUGACUAUAAUGGUUUUUUUUAUUAAAAUGGAUUAAAAAUUAAAAUUAUCAUAAUGGAUUCAUCAAGAAAGUAUUUAUUAAAAUAGAUGAUUUUUGUCACAUAGGAUUAUAGAAAAUGUUACCCUAAGUGACACCUUAUAUUUUUUUGUGUAUUUUAUAGCACGAGGCACCAUCCUCCUAUACUCCAUUUUCGCCAAUGCUAAAUUCAUAUUUAAUGAUUAGAUCUUAUGACACAGUUUUAUUCAAUUUAAUGAUGAUCAAGCUAAUACAAAAUACUUAUAAAAUUAAACUCUUGUCUUUACAACAAUUUAAAAUAAGUAUAAAUGUAUAAUUAAUUAUGAAAAAAAAAGAUAUGUAAGUUUAGUAACGAAGAAUAAAGUAAUAAGAGUAUGUAUUUGUAUUUCUUUUGAUAAUGAAGAAUAUUUUUUUGAGACAAAAUAGGACGUAUAAAUUUCAAUUUUUUAUAUAUAAUUUUUUGGUUGAGUGUCUUUCAGUAAACGACAUCAUGUUUUAAGAUUUUAGUGUCAACCUCAACUUUUUGGCAUCUAGAGUUAAAUAGGAACAUUCUUUAGUUGUUAUCACUUUGUCCUGAUUUUUUUGUGCUAGCAAAAUAAAUUUUCAGAAAGUCUGUUGAAAGUCAUUCUAAUUAUCUAGAAUCAUGAGAUGCUCUUCAUCCUGAAGUAGUUAAUUGGUCAAGAUAUACGUGGGGCGUUGAACAUGUACUGAUUUCCGUUGGCGUGAGAAGUUCUACUGUUUCAUUCACACAAAAAGUGUUAAACUCAGAAAAGGUUAGGCCAAAAACUGCUGCUCCUCAUAGAGAUUUCUCAUAUAAAUACACUUUAAUUACAAUCUGUCAAGCUGAUUUUCAGCCCAAUAAAUAGCUAAACUGCCAUAUACACAAUUACAGCUAAUUAUCCUGAUUUUCAGCCCAAUAAAAUAGCUAAACUGCCAUAUAUACAAUUACAGCUAAUUAUCCUAAUUAAGAGAGUAAUUGUUACAAAUAAAUGUGCAAUCCCAUACAAUUUGUUGUGACAUUUAAUUCCGUGCUGUGACAUUUAAUUCCGUUGACAUCCCCCCUCAAAUUGAUGCCCGAAAAUCGACUAGCAUCAAUUUGCUAAGAAGAAAAUUGUGUCGCUGACGUGUUAAUGUUUUAGUGAAAAUGUCAGCUAUUUGAAUGGAAGUUGAGAUGUGUGGUAGACUGAUGACUCUUCGAUCAUAGGCAUCGCGAAUAGAGUGACAGUCAACCUCAAUAUGUUUAGUCCGUUCAUGGUAAAUUGGAUUCGCUGCAAUCUGUAUGGCACUGGUGUUGUCAGCAUGCAGCGGAGUUGGUUGUGCUUGAGAGAAUCCAAGCUCUAUGAGGAGACCACGUAGCCAUAUUAUUUCGGAACAAGCGGCAGACAUCGCGUGAUAUUCUACUUCAGUGGAGGACUUUGAGACUGAAUCUUGUUUCUUACAUUUCCAUGAAAUAGGAGCAUUCCCUAGGAACAUACACCAACCAGUAGUGGAUUUUCUUGUGUCUGGACAACCAGCCCAAUCAGCAUCACUGUAUGCUUGGAGUUGUAUGGAGGAAUCAGCAGGAAAAAACAGACCAUGCUUUGGGGUACCAAGGAGGUAUCUAAUGAUCCGUUUUACUGCUGAAAGAUGCAAAUGCCUCGGAGAUUGCAUGAACUUACUCACGGUGUGGACAGCAAAAGAAAUAUCUGGACAAGUGAUAGUUAGAUAGAUGAGACUUCCUACGAGCUUGCGAUAGUGAGUGGGAUCAUCAAGAAGUUCACCUUCAUCUCUCCGAUAUUUAACAUUAACUUCCAUGGGAGUGUCAACAGGGGUGGCAUUUGGGAGUCCAGCUAGUUGAACCAAGUCUUGAAUAUACUUGUGCUGACAUAGAGAAAUGCCUUGGUGAUGAUAAUGCACCUCUAAACCCAAGAAAUAAGUGAGAUGGCCUAAGUCUUUCAUCUGAAAGGUUGAAUGCAACUGAUUUUUUAUUCUAGAAACAACAUCUUGAUCUGAACCAGUGACCACAAUGUCAUCCACAUAAACAAGAAGCACCACGAUGCCUUUAGGAGUCCUUUGUAGGAAAAGAGAGGGAUCAUACUGACUUUGAGUGAAUUCAAAAACAAGUAGUGUCGAGCGAAACUUUUCAAACCGUACUCUUGGUGCCUGUUUUAAUCCAUAUAAAGAGCGUUUCAGUUUGCAAACAGUAUUAGGUGAAGGGGUAGGCAUACCAUUAGGAAGCUUGAUGUAAACUUCCUCCUUAAGGUCACCGUGAAGGAAUGCAUUUUUGACAUCCAUUUGAUGUAGUGGCCAAGAUUGUGAGGCAGCAAGAGCAAGAAUAGUGCGCACAGUUGUCAUCUUGGCGACUGGUGCAAAAGUCUCAUCAUAGUCCAGUCCAUAUUGUUGCUUAUUGCCAAGCACAACUAAACGAGCUUUGUAACGAUCUAUGGAUCCAUCCGAACGCAGCUUUAUAGAGAAUACAAACUUGAUACUUAAAGGCUUAAUAGAUGUGGGACACGGGACUAUAUCCCAUGUUUGAUUUUCUUCCAAUGCUAGAAGUUCAGUUUCAAUAGCUUUCUGCCAACAAGCAUUCUUCAUGGCCUGGCUAUAAGAGGAAGGGAUAGGAAUAGAGGAUAAUGAGGCUGUCAUGGAAUGGAUAUACCUGUCUGGGGGCUUAAUAAUGCGUGAGCUGCGUCUUGGAGGAGCUGGUUCUGGUUCUUCUACUGGAUCAGCAGCCAAGGAAUUAUCUCGAAGGGGCCCUUGAGGUUCUGUCUGUUGAUUUUGGUUUGCAGUGCUACGUCUGUUGUAGGUCAAGAGAGGUUUAGGAGAUGGUUCUCCUGCAUGAGAGUUAGAAAACAAUGGCAAAACAGAAAUUGGAGGAGAGGUAAGGUCAGGAUGUGAUGCAAAAAAGUAUACAUUUUCUUGGAAAAUGACAUUUCUAGAUACUCGAAUCCUACGGAUGGUAGGAUCAUAACAUAGAAAACCCUUUUGAUGAGGAGAAUAUCCAAGAAAGGCACAUUCAACAGAUAGUGCAGUGAGCUUGGUGCGUUCUCUUGGAGGAAGAUGGACAUAACACACACAACCAAAGAUACGAAGAUUUGAGUAAUUGGGUGGAUGACCAUAUAACCGAUUGAAAGGGGAUUCAUUACCUAUUGAUGGAGAUGGCAAUCGGUUGAUAAGAUGAACUGUAGUGGAGAGGGCUUCACACCAAAAACGUGAUGGCACAUGAGACUCCAGCAAAAGGGUGCGGACAACAUCAAGCAAAUGGCGAUUUUCUCUUUCCGCUACCCCAUUUUGUUGUGGAGUUGAGGGGCAUGACCUUUGGGAUACAAUGCCAUUGGAUUGCAAGAAGUCCUGAAAUGAGUGUGACAUGUAUUCUCCCCCAUUAUCAAAGCGAAAGAUUUUUAUUUUUGACGAAAAUUGGGUCUGAACAAAGGCAUGGAAAAUUUGAAAGUGGAAAAGACUUCAUCUUUUGAUCGCAUAAAAUAGACCCAACUGAAGCGACUAUAAUCAUCAAUAAAAGUUAUGAAAUAUUUAUAAUGAGCAUGAGAUAUAACCGGUGCCACCCCCCAAACAUCACUGUCGAUGAUUUCAAAAGGUUGUGUUACAUUAGACUGAUGUGUUGGAAAAGGCAGAAUUUUACUUUUACCAAGUUUACAAGGAAUACAAUCAAAGUGAACAGCAUUGAGAGAUGAAUUGUGUUUAUUUCCAAGAUAAUUAGAUUUGAGCAAGUCAUGAAGUACAUUUGUGUUUGGAUGUCCAAGACGCUUAUGCCACACUUGGUAAUCAACAAUAGCAGAAUUACAAGAAACUAAAGGCAAAGAAAGACUGGAAGGCAAUGAGAAUUGGAUUGGGAAAAGGCGUCCAACUUUAGGCCCCUUCGCGAUUAUCUUCCCUGAGUGUUGAUCCUGCACAAGACAACCAGACUGUGAGAAUUGUACUUGACAAUCAUUGUCAACUAAUUGACCAACUAAAAUGAGAUUACUAGUGAGACCAGGAGAAACAAAAACAUUGGUUAGAGAUGGAGAAAUAUCACCAGUGGUUGUGAUAGGCAAAGGAUUUCCAUCAGUGGUGUGUAUCUUGAGGUCUCCAAGAUAUUUUUUGAUAUUAGUAAGAAAUUGAGCAUUGUUGGUCAUGUGGUUGGAAGCCCCCGAAUCAAAAUACCAAGGGGAAGAGGAUUUACCUGAGAAUCCUAAAGCAGAGAAUGCUGAAAUGAUCAUUUGUUGAACCAUUUCAGGGGUCAUAGUCGGAGCAGGAUCAGGAGCUUGUUGCUGAACAGGUGUUGGAUUUACUGAAUUAUUAGGAACAGAUGAAUCAACUGAGGCUGUAAAAGCUGUGACAUUUCGCUUGGGUGGCCUUAUGGGGCAUUCUUUAAUAAUAUGUCCAUCCUUUUUGCAGUAGUUGCAGAAUUUGUUCAGACAGUUAGAAGCAUAAUGUCCAAAUUGCUUGCAACAGAAACAUUGAAUAGUACGCAUGUCAUGACUUUUUGGUUUUCCUCGGGCCACAUAUGCCACUGGAACAAUAGCGGAUUUGUGAUCUUCAAUGAUGGACUGUGUAAGGAGGCGUUGUUCUUCACGCAACAGAGCAUUAAAACAUGCAUCCAGUGAUGGUACAGGAUUUCUAUGCAUGAGGUUGGACCGAAUACCUUCAAAAUCAGAUCUCAAUUUCAUAAGAAAUUGAUCACGUUUAGUAGUUUCAUGAACUGUUUGGACUGAAUUGAGGCCUUCAGAAGGCAAGUCCGCAUAAACUAUAUCAGUGUAUUCAGCCCAAAGAUUCAUGAAUUGAGAGUAAAAAUCAGAGAUGGAGAGACUAUCCUGUUUAAAGGUAGCGAUGUCGUGUUCAAGCUGAAACCUUCGAGCUUCAUUGUUCUGACUGUAGACUUUCUUCAAGUAAUUCCACAUUGUGGCUGCUGUCUUGUAAGGCCGAAGAUUCAGGACAAUGUUGGGAUCGACAGAGCCUAGGAUCCAGGCCAUGACAUGAGCAUCUUUGACUGUCCAUUUGGUGUGUUCAACCUUAGCUGUGUCUUUGUCAGGGACGGGAGAGCUGCCGUCAACAUGACCCCAUAAGUCUUUUCCAGUGACAAAGAUCUGGAAUUGGAAUGCCCAAGCUGAGUAGUUUUUGCCAUUAAGGCGAACCAAGAGAACAUCAUACUUUUCGGUAGACAUGGAACAAGGGAUGGUAAUCUGGACUGGGAAAGAAAUGACCAAGAAACAGAAAAAAAAACAAGGACUUGGAGAGAACUGGAACUUGGACGAGGCUGAAAGAACAAGGAAAGAAGUGCAGACUAGGGUCUUGGAUCGAAACCUAGGCUGAUACCAUGUUAAACUCAGAAAAGGUUAGGCCAAAAACUGUUGCUCCUCAUAGAGAUUUCUCAUAUAAAUACACUUUAAUUACAAUCUGUCAAGCUGAUUUUCAGCCCAAUAAAUAGCUAAACUGCCAUAUACACAAUUACAGCUAAUUAUCCUGAUUUUCAGCCCAAUAAAAUAGCUAAACUGCCAUAUAUACAAUUACAGCUAAUUAUCCUAAUUAAGAGAGUAAUUGUUACAAAUAAAUGUGCAAUCCCAUACAAUUUGCUGUGACAUUUAAUUCCGUGCUGUGACAUUUAAUUCCGUUGACAAAAAGCUCAUAGAACUUAGGUUGGUUUGUACCUGUCUUUCAAAAGUGCAAGUGUGUAAAUUUGAGUACUUUUAUGAAUCAUUUAUACUAGGUGAUUGAUGUUGUGGUUUAUUUUAUGUGCUUAUGUUAAUUGUGUUUUCCUUUUUUCUGUCUUUCAAUUAUUAUGACAUGAAUUUUAUUUACUAUCGAACAGGCUCAUCAAAUUUGUGCCUAUCAUGUUUAUUGCUUUAGAAAAGUUUUAUUUGAGCUGGUGACAAAAAUUGUUGAUCUGUCAAUGAUUGUUGAUGAGGAUUUCUUAGACGAAAUAUGAGCUAUAUCCAUUUUAGCUCAUUCACUUGCUUUUAAAUUUAAGAAAUUAUAAUAUUAUAACUAUAAAGUUAAUAAAUUAGUAUACAAUUGUAUUUUCAUCCAUAUUAUACAAUCUCAUGAUGUUAUGUUAUCAUGCUUAUCUUAACCAUCAUUUAUACAUUUUUUUAUAACACAUAAGAUUAAAUACUUUUGUUUUGCUACAAACAAUGUUUCUAACAUUAUAACUCUGUUACUUCCAUUUUGUUAUAUAAUAUCUAUUUUUAUUUUUUCUUGAUCUUCAAAUCAGUUCCAUGUGCUGUAAGACCGGCGAUUUUUGUACGGAACAGAAUGUUGGGCGGUCAAGAGCCAACAUGAGAAUAAAGUAGGUGUAGCGGAGAUGAGGAUGUUGCGGUGGAUGUGUGGUAAGACUCGACAGGAUAAAAUUAGAAACGAAGUUAUUAGAGAGAGGGUUGGAGUAGCGCCUAUUGUAGAGAAGAUGGUGGAAAAUAGACUUAGGUGGUUUGGGCAUGUAGAGAGAAGACCGGUAGACUCUGUAGUGAGGAGAGUAGACCAGAUGGAGAGAAGGCAAACAAUUCGAGGCAGAGGAAGACCCAAAAAGACUAUAAGAGAGGUUAUAAAAAAGGAUCUCGAACUUAAUGAUUUGGAUAGAAGUAUGGUACUUGAUAGAACAUUAUGGCGGAAGUUGAUCCAUGUAACCGACCCCACCUAGUGGGAUAAGACAUUGUUGUUGUUGUUCAAAUCAGUUAUAUGUGCUGGUAAUUCAUUUUUUUAGCUUAUAUUAAUUUUUUUUCACAUUUACUUGCUUUCAAAUUUAAUAAAUAACAAUAUUGUAUAAUAAUAUAUCUGUAUAGUCCACACCUGUAUUAUUAUUUAUAUUUUUCAGCUUACCCGUGCGAAUACACGGGUUACUGACUAGUUUCCUUAUAAAUGAUCAAACAACAGGCAAAUUAGAAAAAAAAUGAUUUCAAAGAAUAAAGACCCAAAAAUAGAACUUUCAUAUAAACUAAUUAAGAAAAAAAAUCUAUUUUGAGAAGCCUAAAAAGAGGAAUCAAACAUUAUUGUUUGGUCUCCUGUUUGAAGGUGAAUUUCUACAAGAGUUGCUUUGGGCUAUCGGAGUGGAAAAUAGGGUGGUGGAAAGAUAUGCAGAUUUAUUGAAUUGUAGAAUUUUAUCUUGGCCAUUUGUAUAUCUUGGGAUACCAAUUGAGGCUAAUCCAAGGAAGUUGAACUUAUGGCAACCCAUCUUUGACAAGUUUUCCAAGAAGUUAGACACUUUGGAAGCACAAGUUUAUGUUUCUUGCGGGUAGAUCAUGUUUGGUAAAUUCUAUGUUAUCCUCUUACCUCUUUUCUUUCUUUAGGAUUCAAAAUGUAGUGAGGAAGAUUCUAGUGGGGAUUCAAAGGAGGCUUUUAUGGGGAGGGGUAAAUGAGAAUAAAAAAAUAGCAUGGGUUAAGUGGUGGGAUAUUUGCAAGGAGUAGAGUGAGAGUGGGCUAGGAGUAAAUGAUAUAAGGUCAUUUAACGAGGCUUUGUUGAGAAAUGGAGAUGAAAUUUAUUCCAUAGUGAGGGGAGGGAGUUUUGGAAAGAAGUGUUAAUUUUGAAGUAUGGUGGUUGGAGGGGCAUUCUAAAUGAGGGAGAACAAACUCAUGAGUCAUGGUGGUGGAGGGAUUUAAAGAGGGUUUGUGGAGGAAAAAAUGAGGUGAAAUGGUUGAAUGGAUUUGUUGAUGGGUCUAAAACAAGGUUUUGGUUGAAUGAUUGGGUGGAUAGACAAAGUUUAGCUAAUAUUUUCCCUGGACUUUUUACUAUCUCCGACCAAUAGGAGGAAGUGAUUGGUAAGAUGGGUUCAUGGAGGGAUGGUUCUUGGCGGUGGAAGGUAAAGUGGAGGAGGAACCCUUUUGUAUGGGAGACUGAACUUAUACAACAGCUUCAUCAAUUACUGGAAGGGGUCCAACUACAAAUUUCAGGAGAAGACAGAUAGUUUUGGAAGCAAUGCCCCUCAGGGCAGUUUUCAACUUCAUCGGCCUAUCACUUUAUUCAACAACUUGGAGGGCCGGGAGAAACUUGACAACUUUUUGAAUAGAUAUGGAAAAUUAAAAUUCCACCUAAAGCUAAAAUUCUUAUCUGGAGAAUUUUCAGAGAUAGAAUGCCAACUCUUGAUAACUUGGUAAAUAGAAAUGCCAUUGAUAGGAAUUGUGAUCAAAUGUGUCCUCUCUGUUUGGGUCAUCAAGAAUCUGCUCAACAUCUUUUCAUCUCUUCUAAUGUCAUUCAAGAUGGUUGGUUGGAAUACAUCUCAUGGAAAUCUCUUUCUCUUGCACAGCCAAGUAGUUUGGAAGUUCAUUUCAGGUAAUUUGCAGGUUUAGGAGGUUCUAGAAUUGAGUCAGAAUUUUGGCAAGCAACAUGGGGAGCAGUGGUCUUUUGUGUGUGGAAAUUGAGGAACACAGUUGUUUUUAGACAACAGUUGGUGGACAGAAAGAAAUUGAUAGAGGAAGUUAAAUUCCUUAUCUGGUCAUGGUUACAUAAUCUGGAUUCUGGUUUUAAUUUUUCAUUUGUUCAAUGGUCAUCUAAUCCAGCAGUUUGCGUACAUGGAUGGUUUGGCAGGACAUUAUGUAUGUGGCAAGUAGCUGAGUGCAGGAAAUUCGAUCAGAAAUGUGCAGGAAAGGGUAUGUGUAGCAUUGUGGAAUCUGUCAGGUGGAAAUGCUAAUUAUGGAGGUGAGUUCAUUAAUCUAUUUUGCCACAUACAUGCGAAGAACUUGCGAUGUGUUAUUAUUAAGAAAACUUCUCUGCAUGAUAUAUGGCUUUUGGUAGUGGGGUAACUUCCACAUGACUUUGUUUUGCAUAAUUUUAUCCAGCAAAGACAUGUUAUAGCUGGUUAGCGGUGGGAUACUAUACUAUGAGAGGAAAUGAGUGAAUUACAAUACUCUGGUAUGUUGUGGAGCUUUGAACGGUUAUUUUUUAUUUAUGCAAUCAUCACCUAAAUAUAUUGUAACCGCUGUCAUGAGCUGAUGGGGAAGUUCUAUGAACUUUUUUGUAUUUACGUCUGGUACCCUUCUUUAUUACAUAUAUAUAACUUUUGCUGAUUAAAAAAAAAUGUUUUUUCGAUUUCUUGCUGACACUGUAAAAGAUAGUCAUUGAAGUUUAUUGGUUGUAUACUAGAAAUGGUAUAUUUUAGUUGAAUAAAUCAGAAAUAAUAAUAAAACAGAUAAUGUGUUUUGAGGUGCAAUAAACAGGCUCAAAUCAUUAAUAAUAAUAUUAAGAAUAUGUUGCUAUAAAGAUCUGCUGCAAAUCUUGGGUAACGUAAAACCAUUUUUUUUUUUUUUUAAUUAACGGGUAUUGCUUUCUAACUCAAAUCAUUUUAGCACCAUAUACUGCUGCCUUUUGGUUGACAUGCAAAUGAGGCAAGCUGAAGAUGCCAUAUUUGAAAUAGAAACCACGGAUAAAGAACAUAUAAAUAUAAGAUUGGUCUAGUGGUUAGGAAAGAAGGACUUAAGGGUGAAGGGAGAAAGGAGGGAAGAGAGGUCAUAAGUUUGAAUCUCCACACUGAUAUUUUUAACGAAACUAACAUUUGCCCAUACAAAAAAUCACAUAAAGAACAUUGUGUAAUCAACAUGCUAUGAUUUAGCACAUUCCAUGUUACAAUGUGUCUCACCCUUAUAUUAUUUCUAAAAGUUUCCAUAAAGACUACAAGAAAGCUACAAAGAAGGCAAAAGAAAGGUGCAUAUGCUAUACACCUUAACCUUAUAUUAAUGAUGCAUAAAAAGCAAUAUACCCUUCUGAAUGAGAUGUAGGAAUUAUACCCUGGUUGCGUACACUUGUUUUCUUGGACAUGGGAUAUGCAAGUGCAGAUCGUUGCUUGGUUAACCCUUCAAUGAUAAAAGAAAGUGCCCCAUAAGCAAUGCAGCUCUGUAGAAGUGAUUGGGGUGUACCUGGAGAAUCCUAAAGGAUGAGUCAUAAUAACAAUAAAAACGUACAAGAGAAGAAAAUUAAAUACAUAUUUUUCUUUUUGGUGAAUAAAUUACAUACAUAUAGAGAUAGACUUAUACAAAAGAAUUGAUUGAAAUGCCUGAGUCACUAAAGCAGCUUUUUGUUUUGUUUUGUUAGACCAUUCAACAUAGUAAUAAACCUCAACCUUUCCCCAGCCACCAAUUGGAGACAAAAUUGUCUCAAGUGUUUGGCAUGAAGGAUCAUGUUUAUUCAUAGAUUUCAACAAUGAAAGACAAAUUAAAAUUCAUACCUUUGAGAAAAAAGGUUUGGUCAAAAUAGGUAAGAUUACUGUGACCUUUAUCCUUAAUUUCAAUUGGUGCAGAGACCAACAAGUUACUAAAAACUUCAAGUAAAGGAUGAUAGUUCAUCAAUUAUUAAAAGAAGGGAUAUACCAGGAAAACUUGUAGCAAGACCAGCGCAGCAUCCAGCUACCCCAGCAUUAAUGGCUGCAGAUGUGAAAGGAAUCACAUUAUCAGUGAGAGAACAUUAUAUUGGCGAGGCUUUUUUAAGUUGGCUUCUAACAUAUUUGGCUGAAUUAGAAGUUUGUUUGCCAAAUUAAACCUCUUUGCCAAAGGAACAUAUUUUUAUGAGUGUUUUUGUAACACUUUUCAUGUAGCAUCUGAACACUACCUUAUCAUAAUUCCUUCUUUCUUUUCAUUAAUAGUUUCCUACUAACUUUUUAGCUUCCAACUAACUUAUAUGUUAAGUUUUGUCAAACACAUCAUUGAAAUUAAAUAUUUUAUACCAUCAUCCUUUCCUCGAAGUCUUCCCAAUAUGCAGACAACCAAACUAUCAACUCCGGAUAAAAUUGCAAAUGUCUAAUGAAAACGAAGACAAAAAAUGAAGAUUAUUAAUGAAUGGACAUGUUCAAAUAGGUAUUAAGUUUGCAAAGUAAAAAGCCGGGCAGAAAAUAAACAACAUUGAUCUCUGGUAUACCUUAGCAUUAGAUCCUGCUUCUAUAAAGGAUCCUUUAAAGCCUUUCUUCUUAAUCAAUCCAGCACCUGAAAACAGACCCAUUGAAAGCAUCCUUGAGCACGAACAGAAAUAUCGACCAACUAUCAAACUCUAAGAAUUUGAAUUUCUUGAUCAUAAUCCUCUGCCAGCAUUUCAAAGAUAGCAUAGAUACACAAAUAUUACCUAUGAUUGAAUAAAGCAGAAAAUUUAGUUCAAAAUCCAUUUCUCUAGUUACUUGUUAGGAAAAUAUUAUAUAGAUUCAAAAUUUUAAGUGAUGUUACACACUCACUCCUCUCCAUCUUCACUCAAAGGUAAUAAAUAACUAAUAACAGAAAAGAUUUGAAGGUGAAAUUAUCUACCAAUAGAUUCCUCUUUAAGUUGUGUACAGGAUAUAAACAAAACGGCAUAUACUCCCAAAUUACAAAUUUCUCAGAGGAUGCUAUAAAUUCAAGAAAGAAAAAACAAUUUCAAAUUGCAAAUUCCGUGUAGCCUAUUUGAUUAAGAAUAAAACUUAGAUUUAGUUGCAGUUAAUUAAGUGUCUUUAGAGUUAUUCUCCUGUCAGAAAUGGAGAUUUACUUUCUAAAUCUUUAAUACAAAUCUUUAUUAUGUGAAUUACAAGUGAAACUCCAAUUAUGAUUGAAAAACAACAUUAAAAGUACCUAAGGUACUGCUUCUAAGAAAGUUAAAAUACCAGAAACAAGAGAAUGACGAAGAAAAACAGAAAAAAUAAAUGGUAACAUCACAAAAAGUAAACAUAAAGCACAUGCAAGUCCAAGUCAGAGAGAGGACCAUAGCCGAAAAGGGAGCCGGUGAGGGCGCCACAAGCAGUGCUUGUUGGUUAAUUUUGAAAAUCGAGAUAAUCCUGGAUAAAUCUGAAGUCGUGUAUAAACACUUUCAGAUUGAAUCAAAUUUCGGGGUUCAACCAAAAUUGUUCAAUCGGAUAAAAUCAGAAGAUUAUAAUUCAAGAGUUUUGUUUUGGUCUUGUGAGUUUUUCACAUGUUAUGCUUUCUGAACCAGGAUGAUUAUUUAUAAUCAAAGAACAGGUGGUUUUUGGCGGUUGAAGGAAGUUAUGGAAGUUUUAUCCUUUGAAAAAAAAAACGGUUGGCGGUUGAUGGAAGUUUAUCUUUUUAAAAAACUGUCUUUUCUUGAAAAAUAACUUCCAUGUAACUUCCAAAAUUUGACUUCCAUGUAACUUCCAAAAUUUGCCUAAACCGAGCAUCUCGUUAUUAUAUUAAAACAAGCGUGCACUCUUAUUUUAACAUAAUAAAGAGAUCAAUUACACUAAAAUGUCCAACAGACCUCCCCCAUUUUAGUGUAAUUACCGAUCAAAUCACCAAAGUCAUAACAUACAACAAACUACUGCAUAGAUGAAAUAUCGUGACGAUUGAAUUUCAUCUUAGCAAAUUACACGUUUCAAAUAUUCGAAUAUCAGGGUGUCACUAAGGAUUGAACCCUUUCUAUUCAUAAUGAAUACAUGAAGAUAAUCUGCACAAUAGUUUAUAACAUUACUCUUGCUCGACACUAGUUUUACUAGCCUGUGUCCCUAUCCUUCAUAAGCAUAUCAAAGCCAAGUCCCAGCUUCUUGAAGCGGCUAAACUUCAUGCUUAUAUAGGUAGUCCUUUUCUUUCUUGCACCUGUAAAUGCAAUUUUUCAAAAGAACCAUUGAGAAGUUAUACUUCAACCUCCUUAACUUACAGAACCGAACACAUUCCUUUUGGGAUACUUUCGAUGAUGUGUUCCAAUCUCUACAUGUUAAGCUUUCCACAUUGAAUUCAGCACCUAAUGUCAUAUUAGAUGGGAAUUGGGUAUCUUAACAUAAGAGAUUUCAGAUGGACUUUAAUCCUAAUCCCACAGCCGACCUUUUUACGAGAUCUCUACUUAACCCUUUGGUUAAAUGAUCGGCCAAAUUAUGCUGAGUUCUCACAAACUCCACUGAUAUCACACCAUGCAUGAUUAACUCCCGAACCAUGUUGUGUCUAACACCCAAGUGUCUAGACUUCCCAUUAUACACUUGACUAUAUGCCUUAGCCAAAGUUGCCUGACUAUCACACCUGAUAGACAUGGGAGGUAUAGGUUUGGGCCACAAUGAAAUCUCAUAGAUUAGAUUUCUUAGCCACUCAGCUUCUUUACCAGCUGCUGCUAAAGCUACAAAUUCAGAUUCCAUUGUUGAAUUUGUAAUGCAGGUCUGUUUCUUGGAUGCCCAAGAGAUAGCACCUCCUCCAAGGAGGAAUACCCAACCACUUGUGGAUGAAUAAUCCUCCAUAUUGGUUAUCCAACUUGCAUCAGAGUAACCUUCAAUAACCGAAGGAAAUCCAGUAUAUGUCAAACCAUAGUCAAUGGUUCCCUUUAAGUACUUGAAUACUCUAUUCAUAGCUUGCCAAUGAUGAGAACUAGGAUUACUUGUAAACCUACUGAGUUUAGCAACAGCAUAAGCUAUAUCAGGCCUAGUACUAAUCAUUGCAUACAUGAGUGAUCCUAUCGCCCUUGAGUAUUCAAGUUGAGACACUGCUACACCUUUAUUAGGUAAUAGCUUCAGGUUAGGAUCAAUGUGAGUACUUACCGGAGAACAAUCUUUAAAAUUAAAUUUCUCCAAUAUCUUCUCAAUAUAAUGUGAUUGAGAGAUGAAAAUGCCAUUGUUUCCACGUUUGAUCUUUAUUCCUAAGAUCACAUCCGCCUCCCCCAUAUCUUUCAUAUCAAACUUAGAAGACAAAAAUGCCUUAGUUUCAUCAACUUGAUCUUGGUCGGUACCAAAGAUCAACAUGUCGUCUACAUACAGACAAAUGAUAACUCCUUUGCCAUGAGUAUCAAACUUGCUGUAUAGACAUUUAUCUGCUUGGUUUAUAACAAAACCACUAGACAACACAACCUCAUCAAAUUUUUGAUGCCAUUGCUUAGGCGCUUGUUUCAAGCCAUAAAGAGAUUUCAUCAGUUUACACACCUUAUUUUCAUUUCCUGGCAUAACAAACCCUUCAGGUUGUUUCAUGUAUAUCUCUUCAUCCAAUUCACCAUUUAAGAAUGCAGUUUUCACAUCCAUUUGGUGAAUCAUCAGAUUGUGGAUAGCAGCAAGUGCUAACAACAGUCUAAUAGUGGAUAUCCUAGCAACAGGAGCAUAUGUAUCGAAAAAAUCAAUACCCUCCUUUUGCCUAAAGCCUUGGAUAACCAAUCUGGCUUUGUACUUGUCAACAGUACCAUCCACUUUCAUCUUUCUCCUAAAGAUCAUCUUACAUCCUAAUGGCUUACAUCCAGGAGGUAAGUCAACCAAUUUCCAUGUAUUAUUUUGCAUGAUGGAAUCCAUCUCACUUUGGAUUGCUUCUUUCCAGAAUACAGCAUCCCUUGAAGCCAUUGCUUCACUAAAAGUUUUUGGGUCUUCCUCAACAUUAAGGCAAUAUUGAUAUUGAAAUUCAAUAUCAUUCCUUGACCCUUCAACCAAAUAGAGUUGAAAGUCAUCACCAAAUGACUUAGCUUUUCUUACUCUCGUACUCUUUCUAGUUUCAGUACUAGUUAAAGGUAUAUCCUCAAUAUUAACUGAGACUUUCGACAUGGAAUUCAUGUCCUUUGGCCUAGGUAUAGAUGUAAACCUUUGUUCAUCAAAGAUAGCAUCCCGUGACUCUAACCGAGUUCACAGCAACAGAAUCAUUAGAUUCUAGCACAUAGAAUCUAUAUACUUUAGAAUGUUCAGCAUAUCCAAUAAAUAUGCAAUCUAUACCUCUUUCACCUAUGGUUUUCCUUUUAGGUUCUGUAAGCCUGACUACAGCCCUACAUCCCCAAAUUUUGAGAUAACUCAAAUUUGGUGUCUUUUUGUGCCAAAGUUCAUAUGGGGUAACCUUAUUCCUUUUGUUAGGAAUUCGGUUCAACAAGUAACAGGCUGUCAACAUAGCCUCACCCCAAAAUCCUUCACUUAAACCCGAAUAGGAUAACAUGGAAUUCACCAUUUCUUUCAAGGUUCUAUUCUUCCUUUCGGCUACACCAUUCUGUUGUGGUGUAUAGGGAGCUGUAGUUUGAUGUAUUAUUCCAGUAGAUUGAAAAUAAACCGGAUCAUAAUACUCACCUCCCCUAUCCGUACGAAGAGUUUUGAUUAGCCCAUUUUGAUGAAGUUCUACCUCUUUCUUAUAAAUUUUAAAUUUAUCAAGAGCUUCAUCUUUUGUAUUUAAUAAAUAUACAUAACAAUACCUUGAUGCAUCAUCAAUAAAAGUAACAAGAUAUUUUUUAUGACCUAAUGAUGGAGUAGCAUGCAAAUCACACAAAUCACUAUGAAUAAGGUCUAAGACUUUAGUCUCACUUUUAACAUCCUUAAAAGGUUUCCUAGUGAUCUUGGUCAACAUGCAAGUUUUGCAUUUUUCAAUGUUCAUAUCAAAAGGAGGAAUCAUACUUGUUUUUGACAUAUCUUUUAAUCUUUUGUAAUGAACAUGUCCUAAUCUAGCAUGCCAAAUUUCUGAUUUUGUCAUAUUAGUUAUAGAACUACACGAGGCCAUACAAACAGAUUCAUGAACAAAAGGAACAUCAAUGUUUAAUUUAAACAUUCCAUUACAACGAUAACCAAAUCCAACAAACGAACCAUGUCUUGACAAGAUGUACUUGUCACUUUCAAGUACUUGCUUGAAACCACAAUUAUUUAAAACCAUACCAGACAAUAAGUUCUUACGAAUACCAGGUACAAAUAAGACAUUAUCCAAAUACAAACUUUUUCCGGAAGUAAAAACUAAAUUCACACAACCUAAUCCUAGGAUUGGUUCAGUUGCAACAUUGCCCAUCUUCACAAUAGAGCCAUCAUCGAUUGGUCUAAAUUCCUUGAACCAACGACGAUCUUUGCACACAUGGCUUGUUGCUCCCGAAUCAAACCACCAAGCAACGUCAUCAUCCUGCACAUAGAAUGCAUCAGAUAUUAGUGAUACAUAAUUUGAAUUCGUAUUCGAAUUAAAAUUAUUCACUACAAUCUGACCUUGUUGCUUUUCAGGAUCAUUAGACCCACUUGGACCAGCCUUGUUCUUUCCUUUGAACACCCGGCAAUCCCUCUUUAAAUGACCAGGUUUCCCACACUUCCAACAUGACAAUUUUGUCUGUUUGUUUGGACCUUUGUUCUUAUUUCCUUGAAAUUUUCGUUUGUUACCUUUAGCAUUGUAAUUUUGCUUAACUGUUCCACUUUCCUCUACCAUAUUAACGGAAGAGGAACCUGCUACGGUUUUAUUAUUGACUUUGUCAAUUUCCUGAGCCCUCAGCGACUCCUCAAUCAUGAAAUGACUACCGAGUUGAACCAGAGUCAACUCUUCCUUCAUAUGUUUCAAGGUAUGCUUGAAGUCUUUCCAAGAAGAAGGCAGUUUAUCAAUUAUAGAUGAAACUGCAAUGGAUUCAUCCAUUUUCAAAUCAUGUUGAGUAAACUGACCCAAAAUCCGCAGUAGUUCAUUAUAUUGCUCCAUAACAGGCCUCGAAUCAAUCAUUUUGUAAUUAAAGAAAUUACUAACUAAGAAUUUGUUACUUGAGGCAUCUUCUGCCAUAUACUUGGAUUCAAGAGAGUCCCAUAAUUCCUUAGCAGACUCAACAUUUUGAUAAAUAUCAAAGAGAGAGUCAGACAUACCGUUCAGAAUGUGUUCACGACAAAUGUAAUCGUCGUUCUCCCAUUUCGAACGCUUCCUUGUUUGAUCCAGAGUUUCGCCUUCCAUAUACACCGGCAUCGGUGUACUCAGCACAUACACCACAUUCAAUGUUGUCAAGAGAAAGUGCAUCUUCUUCUGCCAUCUUCUGAAAUCCUGCCCUUCAAACUUGUCCAACUUCGCAAACUUGCUUGUCAUCUUCGAACUAUCGUUCGUCAUCUCGAAAGAUUUGAUUCAAUCUUUUGUUGGUUAAUUUUGAAAAUCGAGAUAAUCCUGGAUAAAUCUGAAGUCGUGUAUAAACACUUUCAGAUUGAAUCAAAUUUCGGGGUUCAACCAAAAUUGUUCAAUCGGAUAAAAUCAGAAGAUUAUAAUUCAAGAGUUUUGUUUUGGUCUUGUGAGUUUUUCACAUGUUAUGCUUUCUGAACCAGGAUGAUUAUUUAUAAUCAAAGAACAGGUGGUUUUUGGCGGUUGAAGGAAGUUAUGGAAGUUUUAUCCUUUGAAAAAAAAACGGUUGGCGGUUGAUGGAAGUUUAUCUUUUUAAAAAACUGUCUUUUCUUGAAAAAUAACUUCCAUGUAACUUCCAAAAUUUGACUUCCAUGUAACUUCCAAAAUUUUCCUAAACCGAGCAUCUCGUUAUUACAUUAAAACAAGCGUGCACUCUUAUUUUAACAUAAUAAAGAGAUCAAUUACACUAAAAUGUCCAACAGUGCUGUGGCGGCAGGGAGAAGAAGGGAAGCCGUGAGCGACGGAGUAGAGGAAGGACCUACAGAUUUUGUACGAUUGGGAGCAUUGUUCACAUCACUAACCGAAUUAACUGUUACAUCCGAUGCCAUCACUUUUGAGUUUUGACGAUGUGGUUACCCUGCUCUUGACUUGAAUUUAUUCCACACUAACAACAUUACCUCUUUCAACAAUAAACUAAUCAACACUGCUAUUCACAAUUAUUAAUUAGCUAAGUAAAUAUUUAGGAACACAAGGUCCUUCUCUGACUAUGUCAGUUAUGCAAUCCUCAUUGUUAUUAACGAUAAUCAAAUUCUUUGAAGUAUGAAAACAAAGUUCUGUAUAGAAACCAACGAAAUGGGAUAUUUUUUCUUCCUUUUUUAUUUUAAAAAAAAUCUCGCAAAGUAUAUAGAGUAAACCAAGCAGAUACACAAGAUAUCACCAUUUUAGUCCUAACCAUGAUUUGCAGAUCCUAAAUGACGACGCAAAUCUGCUAAGAGGCAUCCACAAAGUGAAAACGUUGGCUUAUAUGAAUCACUGGCUUAUAUCAAUCGAAUUGAAUCAUAGUGUUAAAUGAAAGGGAAAGUGCAAGUGCAUGAGCUAGUCCUGGUGCAUUACCAUCAACUACUACUGUCCACUCUUGUUCACUCUUGCUUUAAAUGAUUAAUUUUACUCCAUUGAAGCUCAAUAUUCAUUUCAAAUGAUGAUUACAUGCUCUUUAAAUGAAUUACUGCAUAAACUUUUGACCACAAAACAUAACCAACUAUGAGCGUGAAAGCACACAUCCAAUUACAUGUUAUCUACUCAUGCAUUAUACAGUACAAACCAAAAAAGCCUACUAUUUUCAACAAUGUUUUAGGUGUGAUUGGUUUGAGGGUGAAAUCAACCGAAAUGUAUCAACUGUAAGAUUUUCUUGAGGUAAUAAUCAAUGAUUACUUUGGCUCCAUAAACUACUCGUUUUCAUUGUGUUCCUAUUGGUAUUGAAGCUAUUAGUUUCAGGCUAUAAUAAAUUGUAGUAGCUGAAUGCGAUUGUUAGGGAAACAAACCCUUUUAGCUACAAUGAACAUCAAAGACAGAACACACUAACAACACCACCAUAAAAAAGAAAUAAAACACAUCAAAGGAUAAAAAACACUAACUACAACUCCAUAAAAUAGAAAUAGUAGAACAACACAAAUUUAACAUUUUCAGUACUUCUUGCUUAUAUCCACAAAAAUAUCUUAAUAAAUAUUCAUUAUCUCAAAUAAGUUUGGUUUAGGCUUACUAAUAUGUUGGGCCCGGCCCUGAGGAAUGGUCAACCAACAUAAUAUAAUUAAGUCCUUGCAUUCUUAAAUUUUAAGGGACGUACAGGUAUGAUAUAUGCAUGGUGCGAUUCUUGACAGUGGGUGUCUCUCGCCGAUAAUGACAUAAUUACGUAGAUGAGGGGGUGAGUAUGUUGUGUUUGAUGGUUAGUCUUGCAUCUUCCUUUGUGUAUUUAUUCUUAUGUAGAUUAAGAUGUAAGGCGCAGUCAUUUGUUGGGUAAUGCUUUCUUUCGAGCCUUAGGGGUAGGCUAGUAGUUCUUUGCCUUCCAUGUACGGGCCAAUGUAGCCACUUGUAUUUGCAGUGCUUGUGCUUCUUAUCAUCAAUAUAUAUAUAUAUAUAUAUAUAUAUAUUAUUUCGUCGAUAAAAAGAAAAACUUAUCGUGUGACCCUAAUAUCAAAUAAACAAUACCAAUCCACAAAAAGAAAAAGAAAUAACCUACUAUAGAGUCAAACAAGUAGUAGAUAAUUUGAGUAGUUUCAUGCAAUCAUAAGUUUUAAAUGUUAAGUUUGUGUUCAUCUUCUUAAGCUACGAUAAAUGAAAUUAUAUAUAUAUAUAUAUAUAUAUAUAUAUAUAUAUAUUAAAUUGGAUUUUUUUAAAAAAUAAAUAGAAUUUUAAAAAAAUAAUGAGGUUUUUGUGAUUAAAUAAAUAAGGAGAAAUAAUUUUAUUAAUUAAAAUAAUGUUUGUAAGGUAAAUAAAAUAAAUAUAUGUGCUUAAAAAAUAAAAAAAAUAUUUUAUUUAUUAAUUUGAUAAAAAUAAAAUAUAAUUUUUUUUAUAAAAUAAAUAUAUGCUCUUUUAAGACUUUAACAUAUUCUUUUUUCACACACUAUUUUCUAUUAGUUGAAAUUAAUUAUUUUGUCUCCAUUUUUAUUUAUAAGAUUUUUAAAAUAAUAUUUAUUUUGUUUUAUAAAACUCAAUCUAUAAUAUUUCUUUCAUUAAUUAUUUUUAGAUUAAAAAUAUCCAUCAUUAAAAGAAGAAAAAAAUGUAUUGACAAACCAUUAGAUAAGAGAGAAGUACAAUUAAAAGAUAAUUUUAAAAAAUAUUAUAAACAUAAGACAAACUUAUUAAAAAGGAUGGAACAAACUUAUUAAUCAAUGCAUGGGACAAACUUAUUAAUCACUCGUCAUGGGUGGCAUGCAAUGGAGAAUAUAACAUUCAAUUUUUUGUAAAAUAAAUUAAAAAAUAUAUAUUUAAAAAUAAAUAAAUUUUUAUAAAAAUAAUAAAAUUUUUGUGAUUAAAUAAAUAAAGAAAAAUAAUUUUAUGAAUUAAAAUAAUGUUUGCAAGGUAAAUAAAAUAAAUAUAUAUUCUUAGAAAAUAAAACUGACAAACAUCAUUUGAAUCAAAUAAUUAGUUUUCUCUAACAUAAUUAGUUUUCGUACUUAUUUAAAAAUUGGGUAGCGUGAUAUGGUAUGGAUACGGUGACAAAUGAUUAACAUUAACAAUGGCAAAUUCAGUGCUGGCAUACACGUUCAGCUUUGUCUCAAACUAGCGCUGAUCAUAUCUAGCAUGUGUUUUUAGGAUAAGUGGAUGAUACUUCAACUUGGAAAUGUAAAAUAUUAAGACUUAAACCAAUAUUACUUUGGCCUUUUCGUAUUAAUUGGUUCAACAACCAUAAUGUAAUAUUUCAAUACAUUGGAAUAAAUAACUACUUUAUAAAUUAACAAUACAUCCAACUUGCUGAAUCAAAGAAUAUUAAAUAUUAAUCAAUUGUCCUCUUACUACGGACAUGGCUAUAUAUAAUGUUGAAGAGCAUCAAGUUUUGCACUCACAACAAACCAAAAAACCAGAGCUAGCUAGCAAGACUAAAAUGGCAGAAACUGCAGUGUCCUUGGCUGGUCAGCAUGCCCUUCCCAAAAUAUUGGAAGCUGUCAAAAUGCUGAGAGAUCUCCCAAAAGAAGUUAGAGACAUUACAGAUGAACUUGAAAGCUUUCAAGAUUUCAUCAAUGAAGCUGAUAAAGUGGCUGAAGCCGAAGAAGAUGAUGGAAGGCGUCAUAGAAUAAAAGAAAGGGUCAUGCGGCUGAGAGAAGCAGCUUUUCGCAUGGAAGAUGCCAUCGAUGAAUAUAACAUCUCCUGUGAGGAUAAACAACCUGAUGAUCCUCGAUGUGCAGCUUUACUAUGUGAGGCUGUUGCCUUCAUCAAAACUCAAAUCCUUCGCCUUCAAAGUGUGUAUAAGAUUCAGGAUGUUAAAUCCCUUGUUCGUGCUGAAAGAGAUGGUUUCCAAAGCCAUUUUCCUUUAGAGCAAAGACAAACCAGUUCUAGAGGAAAUCAAGAUAUCACAUGGCAGAAACUUAGAAGGGAUCCUCUCUUUAUUGAGGAAGAUGAGGUUGUGGGGCUUGAUGGCCCUAGAGGUAUAUUGAAAAAUUGGUUGACAAAGGGAAGAGAAAAACGCACUGUCAUCUCUGUGGUGGGAAUUGCAGGGGUGGGAAAAACCACUCUUGCCAAGCAAGUUUAUGACCAGGUGCGUAACAAUUUUGAGUGCCAUGCGUUGAUCACAGUUUCUCAAUCCUUCUCUGCUGAAGGAUUGCUGAGGCAUAUGUUGAAUGAGCUUUGCAAAGAAAAAAAGGAGGACCCUCCCAAGGAUGUUUCUACCAUCGAGUCGUUGACAGAAGAAGUCAGAAACCACUUGCGCAACAAGAGGUAUGUUGUCUUGUUUGAUGACGUAUGGAAUGGAAAAUUUUGGGAUCACAUUGAAUCUGCUGUAAUUGAUAAUAAAAAUGGAAGUAGGAUAUUAAUCACAACCAGGGAUGAGAAGGUUGCAGAAUAUUGUAGGAAAUCAUCAUUUGUUGAGGUGCAUAAGCUAGAAAAACCUUUAACUGAAGAAGAAUCUUUGAAAUUGUUCUGUAAGAAGGCAUUUCAGUAUAGUUCCGAUGGAGAUUGUCCAGAAGAACUUAAAGAUAUAUCUCUUGAAAUUGUUAGAAAGUGUAAAGGUUUACCUCUAGCAAUAGUGGCCAUUGGUGGUCUUUUGUCUCAAAAAGAUGAAAGUGCACCUGAAUGGGGACAGUUUAGUCGAGAUCUAAGUUUAGACUUGGAGAGGAAUUCUGAGUUAAAUAGUAUAACAAAAAUUUUAGGUUUAAGUUAUGAUGAUUUGCCGAUCAAUCUCAGAUCAUGUUUAUUAUAUUUCGGAAUGUAUCCGGAGGACUAUGAAGUUGAAUCUGAUAGAUUGAUUAGACAAUGGAUAGCUGAAGGGUUUGUCAAACAUGAAACCGGAAAAUCUUUGGAAGAAGUUGGGCAACAAUAUUUAUCAGGGUUGGUCCGUAGAAGUUUGGUGCAAGCAUCCUCACUUAGAAUUGAUGACAAAGUUAAAAGUUGUCGUGUUCAUGACUUAAUACACGACAUGAUCCUUAGAAAAGUCAAGGAUACAGGAUUUUGUCAGUAUAUUGACGGGCCUGAUCAAUCUGUAUCAAGUAAGAUUGUUCGACGCCUGACAAUUGCAACCCAUGAUUUUAGUGGAAGUAUAGGAAGCUCACCCAUUCGGUCAAUUCUUAUCAUGACAGGAAAAGAUGAAAAAUUAUCUCAAGACUUGGUAAACAAAUUCCCUACAAAUUACAUGCUAUUGAAGGUACUUGAUUUUGAAGGUUCUGUUCUUCUCAGUGAUGUUCCUGAAAAUUUGGGGAAUUUAUGCCACUUGAAGUAUUUAAGCUUCCGGAAUACAUUCAUAGAAAGUCUACCAAAAUCCAUUGGUAAGCUCCAGAAUUUGGAGACCUUGGAUAUAAGAGGCACAUAUGUGUCUGAGAUGCCAGAGGAGAUUAGUAAGCUUAAAAAGCUACGUCAUCUUCUGGCUUAUUCUAGGUGUUCAAUUCAAUGGAAGGAUAUUGGAGGCAUCACAUCCUUACAAGAGAUACCUCCAGUGAUUAUGGAUGAUGAUGGAGUGGUCAUUGGAGAGGUUGGAAAGCUAAAGCAGUUAAGAGAACUGUUGGUGACAGAAUUUAGGGGAAAACACCAAAAGACUUUGUGUUCCUCAAUAAAUGAGAAGCCACUCUUGGAGAAACUACUUAUUGCUGCAGCUGAUGAGAGUGAAGUAAUUGACUUGUACAUUACGUCACCUAUGUCUACACUUAGGAAGCUUUUCCUAUUUGGGAAGUUAACAAGGUUUCCAAAUUGGAUUUCACAGUUCCCAAAUCUUGUGCAACUGUAUUUGGGCGGCUCCAGGUUGACUAAUGAUGCAUUGAAAUCACUAAAAAAUAUGCCAAGGUUGAUGCUCCUCUUUUUAAGUGACAAUGCUUAUGAAGGUGAAACUUUGAAUUUUCAAUGUGGAGGGUUUCAGAAACUAAAGCAACUGCACCUCGCAGGUUUGGUUCAAUUGAAGUGCAUCCUUAUCGACAGAGGAGCACUGUGUUCUGUGGAAAAAAUUGUUUUACAAGACCUCUCCCAACUCAAAACAGUUCCCUCUGGAAUUCAAAACUUGGAGAAGCUUAAAGAUAUCUAUAUCAAGGACAUGCCAACUGAAUUUGUGCAGCGCAUUGCUCCUGAUGGAGGAGAAGACCAAUGGAUCAUCCAAGAUGUGCCCCAUGUAGGUAUUUGGAGUAAGUAUGCUAAAGAACCUUCGCAUAUAUUCGGCAGAAGUCAUCACUAAGAUGCGUCCAAAUUUAAAAAAAGAAGAUGCGUCUUUUUCACAUCUAUAACUUUGUAGAAUGACAUUCGUGGCCUUUUUUUUUUCUUCAAUAAAAAAUGCAACCAUUAUCUAAUUCCUAAAAUAAUUACUUUUGCCUCAUUUUCUCUUCUAGUAUUUGCUUCAUUUUUCUUUCUCUACAACAUCUCACGUACAAGUUAGGGAUAGAAUUGUCUAACAAGUAUAUGCCUACACCAACCAAAGUUAACGUUUCUUCAUUAUAAGAUUCUCACCAUUCUAAUCCUUUUUAUUAUUGUGCAUAUAUUUCGUGUAAAUGUUGUGGAUUUUUAAAGUUCUAUUACGAUUGAAGCCCAAUAAUGUGGAUUUUUUUUCAUAAAUUAGAUUGUGUUAAAUGUUUCUAAUUUUGAUGCUUUGAAGUUUGACCCACUUUGUACAACCAUGAAUAUUAGGAAAAAGCACCGAGGGAAGAUUGUAAGAGGUGUUCCAAAUCCAAUGUUUCCGACGUUCCAAUCAUGUGGUUUUUUGAGUGUUAAUUAUUACGUCCAUUUUAGCAUUAUUAACACCAACACAGUACGAAGAAGCUGAAAAUAGUGUUCCUACAAAGGCAGACAAUUUUUUAUAACUGAAAAACUCAAGAUUCCCUCAAGUUCUUUCUUUUGUGGCCCGUGAAAUGGUGGAUGCAUGAGUGGAUUUGAGGCAUCAAAUUGAUUUUUUAAACUUCCUUCUUCUCUUUCUCUUGUUUUUCUUUUUUCUAAAAUGUGUACUCAAAUUUUUGUUAACUUGAUGUAAUUUGAAUUCUUAUCUAUAAUUCAAGUUCAUUUCUUUUAAAUUUUUGUUUGUCUUUAUUUAAAUUUAAUGCCUUUAUAAAUUGGCAUUUGGUUACUUAUAGUACCUUGAUCGUAUAUUCCUAUCUACAACUGUGAAAUUGAAAUAAGGAUUGAAUUUAAGGUAUAAUAUAACAAGACUGGAGAUUCUAUAGUAAUAAAUAUCAACAAUUACGAUAAUUUAGAUAUUCUUGAACCUAAUGAUUACCCUAAUUGAGAAAUUUUAAAGAUUUAGAAUUUUCAAUUGCGGAAGAGUUUUUGAGUUAAGAUAUAUUCACCUUCAAUUAGAAUAGUGAAAAAUAAAUUCAGUUUCCAAUUAUGCUUCUAAAACUUGAAUUGGAGUGAAAAUUUGGGUUGUACAUGUUAAGCUUGGGGUGAACUUGUAUUGUAACAAGACAUGUUUGAUUUUGGCUUAGCACUUUAAUCCUCUUAGCAUAGUGCUUCAGCAAUUUUGGUACCCAAACUUUUAUGUUCAGGUUUGAUCCCAUAUUUUUCAAAAAAAUAAAAUAAUGGUUGAAUAUAUGUUAUUAAAACCAAUUUAUAUAUCACUUAUCUGAAGUAAGAUAAAUUUUUCAAGGCUUAAUUUUAUCUUUUUGUCACAUUCAUUAUUUAUUUUAUUUAAUUUUAUCCUCCUAAUAAUAAAAUCUUUAAUUUGAUUGCUUAAUUUCAAAUCAUUCAAUUUGGUCUCUUUGGUCCAAAUUCACCUGACGUUGUUUAUUAAUAGUGUGAUGAGAUUGAAUCAAAUAAAGGAACAAAUUAAAUUGUUUAUUAAAAUUGAAAAAAAAAUGAAAAAACAGUGAGAACAAGAAGCUUAUUAAGGGGUCAAAUUGCACCGUUUUAAAAAUUAAAGUACUAAAUUAAAUUGUUUAUUAAUAGAGGACCAAUGCUAAAUAAAUAAAUAGCACCACAAAAAAGUAGGGUUCUUUUUUUACUUUCAGAAAAUUUGAAAAUUUUAUUGAAUUAUAAAAUAUUGAAUUAACUUGCCUAGUUUUUUGUUUAUUCACUCUUUUUUUUCCCUUUUAAUCCUUGAUGUUUGAAAACUUCAAAAUUCUUUUUGAUCACAAACAUACUUUAACUCUCAUAAAACAACAAAACAAUGUUUUCUAAAAUGGGACUGGUAUAAGUUAUUGAUAAAUCACUUUCUGAGUGAUAUUUUGUACAAACUUUUGUGUUAUUUUAUAUGCAUUUUCUUGAUACAAUUCACAUUUGAACAUUAGUUUUGUAUUCAAGAAGUAUAACCACUCAAUUGAGUGAAAGAGUAGGAAAUUGUAUAAAUUUAAGAUUUAAGAACUUUACAUAACUUGAUUACUAUUGUGGUACAUUGAUCACGGUCGUGAUAAUCAGCAUAAUCACAAUAAAGUGAUAACAAUCGUCCCUAAUAUUUUUAUAAUAAAAAUGUGAUAUUAGUUUAAAUGUUUAUUUAAUCUCACAAAAAUCAUUUAAAGAAAUAGUUAGACCUAAAAUCAAAAUAUAAAUAUAAAUAACACCAAAAAUAAAAAUUUAAACAGAUGAAUUUUUAAUAAUUAUGAAUAUAGAUUUGUCUUAUAUCUUGUUGAUCUAAAAGAGUUAAAUUCACUACAACUUUUAUUGGUACAACUAACACUACUGACAAUUACAAUAAAUAUUGUUUUAUCACAUUUACACAUUAGGAAGAUCAGAAAUUUACAUGAUGUUGUAGUAGGACAAAAAUAAGAAGAGAAAAUCACUAACGUGUUCACAAAAAUAUUUAGAAUUAGCUAAGGCUUUUAGUUUUUAAAUUUUUUUAAAUUUGAUUUUAAUCCCUAAAUUCUUGUUUGACUAGUCAAAGUUUUUUAACUUUUAGAAAUUUUAAUUUUUAGUACUUGAAUAAAAAAUUAAAUCAAUUAUUUUUAUUAAUUUAAUGAGUUUUUAAUAAUUAUAAAUCGAUUUUUUAAAAGUUUAGAAAUUAAAAAUAUUAAUGAAAAAAAGUCGAGAGACAUUAACCCGUCAAAUAAAAAUGUAGAAACUAAAAAUCUUGAUAAAAAAAGUUGAAAGAUCUUGACGAAUAAAAAAAUUUAAAAAAUUAAAAACUAAAUUUUGAAAAAAUUUAGUAAUAAUUAGCCCAAAUAUUUAAGAGAGAUGCUGGAAUCUCAAAGUCUUCCUAUCAAGUCUCAAGGUAGACGUUGCACUAAUUUUUUUGUAAACACUAGCGUGGAUAAAAAAUAUGAUGUUAAUUUGAUGUAGAUAAAAGUAUGUCGUAAUAAAAAAAUCAUAUUAAGUGUAUAUAUCAUUUUUAAAAUAAUUAUUAUAAAAGUUGAUAAUUAAAUUUAUUAUAUAUAUAUACCAUUUAUGAUUAGAUGAGAGAGUAAAGUCUUAUAUUUUGGCAUUAACUAUAUCAUGCUUCUACAAAACAUUUAUUCUUAGCCAAUUUAUCACCAGAAGACUCUUUGUAAGCAUCUUUUAGUAGUAUUAAACUCUCUAUGAAAAUCUUCAUCCAGUAUUUUAAUGACAGCUAGGUGAUCCUCGAUCCUCUGAAAAAAUAGGAAAGCAAAUUUUGUUCUUCUAAAUUAAAGACCAACGAAAUAGAUCAAAAAUUUCCAUUUUUGAAAGAAAAAGAGAGAGUAAAUUUUAAAGCUUAGAGUAAAACCAUAUGCAAUGAUAAGAAGGAUACACCAGCCUGUAUAUAGCUUUUAAAAGUAAAUAGAAUAGCUUAAUUACCCUCUUCCACCAAUGGUUAACCUAGUUAAAAAAAAAAAAAAAAAACUGUUCCUGUGGAUCAGCAUUUAAUUUCUUACUCAUCAUAUAAUAUAUUAUUAUUGCCAGCAUCGAUUGGAUCAAAUCAGGUGGCUGACCUAUUCAACGGCAAUUUAUCAUCUCAGACAAGUUUCAAGAUCAAUCCUCAAAAUGAUGAAUUGUGUAAAUUAUCGGCGCAAACUAAAACACUAGAGCCAAAUGAAUAAUCAAAAUAAUAUAUAUAUAUAUCAUAUAUAUAUAUAUCNNNNNNNNNNNNNNNNNNNNNNNNNNNNNNNNNNNNNNNNNNNNNNNNNNNNNNNNNNNNNNNNNNNNNNNNNNNNNNNNNNNNNNNNNNNNNNNNNNNNAUACAUCUGACAUUGUUUAAUUAAUCACAUUUAUAUAAUAGCAAAUUCACAACUUGCUAUAGCACGACAAAAAUAAAGGGAAAAAUAUCACAACUUGCUCAUAGUAUAUUUAAGAUAGAUGAUGCUGGAAAGUUCAAAGUCUUCCUCUCGAGAGAUGUGAUAAAUUUUUUAUAGAACACUUAUGGGUACAAAAUAUAUAACGCUAAUAUAUGCUAUAGAUAAAGGAGAUGUAUUCGAGAAAACCUGAUGGCCAGAAAAGUUAAUCAUAUUUGUAUAAAUGUGCAUAGAUUAUUAUUUUAUUAAAAUUAAUUUUAUAUUUAUUGUAUUUGUACAAUUAAGAUUAAUUAAUCGUGCGUGAGGCUAACAAGAGUUGACACAUUUGAUGGAGACUUUUGUCCACACUUGCUAUAACUUGACAGUCUUCUUUAACUUUACAAGAGGUGGCAUGGCUUCCCCUAUUUUAAUUUUUCACCUCAAGAAUAGGAUGAAUAGUACGUGAGAACAUCAUCUUACAAAGCUUACUGGAUAUAAAAAAGGCAAUAUGAAAAUAUACAAGAUAUUAUAAUAAAGUUUGUGCCAAUGUGUGUCAUCGCGUGUGGCUAACAUGCAAUCAAUACAUUGAUCGAAUGGAGAAAAAAGGUCAUAAUCAUAAUAAGAAAAAUAUUAAAAGCAUGUUCUUUUAAGACUUUAACAUGCUCUUUUUUACACACUGUUUUCUAUUAGUUGAAAUUGAUUAUUCUUUUUUUGUUCCUAUUUAUAAGACUUUUAAAAUAAUGCUUAUUCUUUUUUAUAAAAUUUAAUUUAUAAUAUUUCUUUCAUCAAUUAUUUGUAAACUAAAUAUGCAUCAUUAAAAAAAAUAUAUUAACAAAUCAUUAGACCAGAGAAAAUUUUAAUGACAAAAAUAAUUUUAAAAAAUGUUAUAAAUGUAAGACAAACUUAUUAUUAUGAAUUAAAUUAGUCACUUUCUUUAAUCAUAAUGAGUUAAGUAAUUGCAUGGAGGACUAAAAAUCAUAAAAUUGAAUGGAUUUCAUUAGUUCUUAUUUAAAGGACCUUACUCGUAAUUUUUCAUUUUUAAAAAAUUUCAACCAAUAAGAAAAUGUGCUAAAAAGUGUAAUGCUAACACUCAAAACUUUGUGUUGUAAUACUAAUUUUAAGUGCUAAUCAUGAGUAGGUUAGCUUUAUGAAAGAAAAAUAAUACUUCCUUUCGUUUCAAAUAUAAGAAAAAAAAUUAUUUUUAGUCUCAAAUAUAAGAAAAUUAGAAUUAAUUAAAUUUACUUUAUUUAAUGUUAUUAUUCUAAAAUAUCUUUCAUUUAAUUAAUAUUUUUUUUCAUUUUUUAUUUUUUUAAUAUCAAAUUUCAAUGAAGGAUAAGUUAAGAAAAAGUUAGUUUUAAUUAAAUGUGGUUAAUUAAUUUUCUUAAUUAGAACAAAUGAGUAUUUUCUUUGAUAAAUGUCAACUAGUAUCUUUAACACAUUAGGUAAAGAACUUAAAGUAGAAAUAUUUUAAUGGAAGAUAGAAAAUUACGCUGCUCAUGAUUUUUUUGCAUUCAUUUGUAAUUUUUACACUGAAUAUUUUCUUUUUGUUUCUUAACUAGUAUUCUCAGUGCACAAGUUUAGCAAGACCAUUUUUCAUAUAUUUGAGAUCCAAGUAUGAACUUUAUAGGUUUUUGUGCAGUUGGUUCGAAUUUAGAUUAAAUUAAAAUUAAAUCCUAAUGAGUCAUGUUGAAUAUAUUAUAUAUUGGUUAUAUUUGAAUUAUUUUAAAAUAAAUCAUUCUAUUGUCAUUUAAAAUUUUUAGCUCCACUAAGUGUUGAUUUUUUAUUAUCUAAAACUGUAAGCAAAUGAAUAUAUUAGAGAAUCAAACAAAUUGUAUUUUUUUUAAGCAAAUGAAUAUAUUAGAGAAUCAAACAAACUGUAAUUGGAUAUUCAUGUUUGAAGUAAAAAAAAAAAAAGAGAGAAUAAUUAAUCAAACCAAUUUGAAUCAAAAUAAUUGAUUUGAUUUAGAUGGUGAGUUUAUCAAGUCAAUUUGAUCAAUGCUCCUAAAAUGAAGAAAACAAGUGAAAAAAAGAGGGAAAAGAAGUUUAAAAUGACCCAAUUUGUUAGGUUUUCUUUUUCGUUUGUUACUAUAUUAUAGGUAUAAAAGUAAUCUAUCAACUUUGUCAAUCAAUAUUUCUGUUAGAGAGUGUGAUUCGUACACCAUUAAUGAUUGUUUGUUCAUCUUGUAUUUAAUUGUGUAGUAAAUAAAAAAUAAAAGUUAUAUAUACUCAAAAUAAGACGUAUAUAUACUAAAAAUGAUAGUCUUAUAUAGUCCGUCUUGAUGUUCCUCCGUUUUCUCGGAAAAUAAAACAAAGCUUGAAAGAUUGGCCGCUUGAAUUGAUGUAUCUGUUUAACAAGUUGUACUUUAAACAUUAAACUGUUUUUUUAUGAUAUAUUCACAAACAUAUUUGUCUUUUUUAUUCGUUUAAACUUUGUAGUUGCAGAGUUCAGAUGUAUAUAGUUAAGCAAAUAAGUUGGUAACGGAAGUAUGAGCCUAAAGCUACAGAGCCAAUAGAACAAGCAAAUAUUAAUUUAUUCCAAACAGGCAAUUAAGUUGACAAGCAGGGCCGUCUAAUUUUGUUGGUAAAACUAAUACCGACAAACAUCAUUAUUUGAAUCGAAUAAUUAGUUUUCAUACUUAUUUAAAAACUGGGUAGCGUGAUAUGGUAUGGAUACGGUAACAAUUAACAUUAGCAAUGGCAAAUUCAGUGCUGGCAUGCACGUUGUGUCUGAAACUAGCGCGGGUCAUAUCUAGCAUGUGUUUUUUAGAAGGAUUCCACGGAUUCGUUUCAAGGUCCCGCAAUUGAGGAAUAAAUGACAAUCCUAAUCGCUAAUUGACCCAAGAAAACUGCUAUCUUCCAAGCAAACUCGUUUGAUUCGAUCUAGACUAAGUUAACACAAGUUUAGUCUGCGUGUCUACUGAGUCUUGUCUCAAUAUGCUAAAAAUGAGUUUGAAUACUAUUAAUUUAACCCGCAUGAAUCAAAUAGACUAUUAAACUCAUAUGAAUAGUACGUGAAAAUAGACUUGUGAGUUAACAGAGUUUAGUUUGAGUGUCUAGUGAGUCUUGUCUCAAUAUGCUAAAAAUGAGUUUGAAUACUAUUUACUGGAUAGUAACUGAAAAUAUCAUCUUAAACUAUCAUCUUAAACUUACAUGAAUAGUAACUGAAAAUAUCAUCUUACAGACCAUUGGUUAUAAAAAAGGCAAUAUGAAUAGUAUGUGAGAACAUCAUUUUAUAUACUUACUGGAUAUAAAAAAUGACAGUAUGAAAAUAUACAAGAUAUUAUAAUAAAAUUUGUGCUAUGUGUGUCAUUGUGUGUGACUAACAUACAAUCCAUCCAUUGAUCAAAUGAAGAAAAAAAAAUCAUAAUCAUAAUAAGAGAAAUAUUGACAGCGUACUCUUUUAAGACUUUAACAUACUCUUUUUUACAUAUUGUUUUUUAUUAGUUGAAAUUAAUUAUUCUCUCCUUGUUUCUAAUUAUAAAAAUUUUAAAAUGAUUUUUUUUUAUAAAGCUCAAUUUACAAUGUUUUUUAGAUUAAUUAUUUUUAAACUAAAAAUAUUCAUCAUUAAAAAAAGAAAAAGAAUGUAUUUACAAAUCAUUAGACGAGAAAGAAAUAUUAAUGACGUAAUUUUUUUUUGAAAAAGAUUAUAAAUGUAAAACAAACUUCUUAUUAUUAAUUAAAUUAGUCACUUUUUUUUAACUUUAAUUAAUUAGGUAAUGUGAUCAUGUAUACAAGAACAGAGAGAGCGAGUACAAAUCAUAAAACUGUAUAUAAUUCAUCACUUCUUAUUUAAUGGGGCUUAUUCAUGAUUUUUUUUUUUUUUAGUUUUAACAAAUUUCAACCAAUAAGAAAGUAUGCUAGAAACGGCCAACAGUCAAAACUUUGUGUGGUAAUACUAAUUUUAAGGGCUAACCAUAAAUAGGUUUUCUUUAUGAAAGAAAAGUAAUACUUCCUUUAUAAGAUAAAAUUUAUUUUUUUAGUUUGAAAUAUAAGAAAAUUUCAAGUAACUUUAUUUUAUUUAAUGUUAUUAUCUCUAAAAUAUCCUUCAUUUAAUUGAGGUUUUUUUUUAAUGAUUUUUUAUGUUUAAUAUCAAGUUUCAAUGAAGGAUAUGUUGAGAAAAAAAAAUAAUUUUUAAUUGAGAUUGAUGAAUUAAAUGUGAUUAAUUAACUUUCUUGGUUAGUACAAAUAAAUAUUUUGAGACCGGAGGGAGCGAGUAUGAAUUUUACAAGUUUUUGUGCAAUUGGUCAAAAUUUAGAGAAAAUUAAAAUUAAAUCUUAACCAGUCAUAUCCAAUUAUAUAUUGGUUAUAUUUGAAAUUUAAAAAAAAUAAAUCAAUCUAUUUUCUUUUAAGUUUUUAUCUCCACUAAGUGUUGAUUUUUAUGAUUUUAAACUUUAUGUUAAUGCAAGGCAAAAAAGAUAAAUUGGAGAAUCAAACAAAUUGAAAUUUUUUAAAGCAAAAGAAUACAGUAGAGAAUCAAACAAAUUGUAAUCGGAUAUUGAAAUUUGAAGUAAAAAAAAAAAACUAAUUAAUCGAACCUAUUUGAAUCAAAAUAAUUGGUUUUAUUUAGAAUGUCGAGUUUAUGAUCAAGUCAAUUUGAUCAAUGCUCCUAAAAUGAAGAAAAUAAAUGAAAAAUAAGAGUAAAAAAAGAAGUAUAAAAUGACCUAAUUUCUUAGGUUUUUUUUGUUGUUAUUAUAUUAUAGAUGCAAAGUAAUCUAUUAAUUUUACCAACAAAUAAUUUCUGUUAGAGAAUCUGAUUUGUUCAUCUUUAGUGAUUUUUUUAUGAGAGAAAAAAUUAAAAAAAAUCUUUAUUUUAUAAUUAAUUAUGUAGAAAAUUUUAAAAAAAAGUUAUAUAUACUCAAAAUAAGAUGUAUAUAUACUAAAAAGGAUAGUUUUAUAUCGUCCGUCUUGCAUGUUCCCUCCGUUUUCUAGGAAAAUAAAGAAAGCUUGAAAGUUAGCCCGCUUGAAUUGAUAUUGCACUGUAGCUGGUUAACAAGUUGUACUUUAAACAUUAAAAUAAGAAGUAUAUUCAUAGAGAUUGUCUUUUCUAUUCGUUUACACUUUGUAGUUGCUGAGUUCAGAUGUUAUUGUUAAGCAAAUAAGUUGUUGACGGAAGUAUGAGCCUACAGCUUCAGAGCCAAUAGAACAUUCUAAAGAAAACAUUAAUUUAUUCCAAACAGGCUAUUAAGUUGACAAGCAUGGCCGUUUAAUUUUGUUGGUAAAACUAGCUAAUACCGACUAACAUCAUUGAAACAAAUAAUUAGUUUUCUCUAAGAUAUUAGUUUUCAUAAUGUUGGAGAGUAUAAGUGUGACGUGAAAUAAGAGUAGAAGUGGAAAGUUGCAUCAUACAACUGAAAAGAAAAUUUAUAAAUCUGAUUUUAAAGUUUUGAAUUAAAGUGUGUUAUCAAGUUUUUUUAUUUGAUUUUUUAUAAUUCAUUCGUGUAAAUCUCCAAUUAUGUGGUAGCGUGAUAUGGUAUGGAUACAGUGACAAACUAGCGCAAUGUUCAGCUGCGUCUCAAACUAGCGCUGACAUGCACAUUCAUCUUACAACUCAGCUGCGUCUCAAACUAGCGCAAAUGUGCAUCAUGCAACAGCAAAUUGACAUUUGGGAGUGGAUAGGAGAUUCAUCAGGGAUUUACACAACUCGCAGCGCCUACAAUCUGAUAUGGGAGGAAAUUGCUGGGGCCAGAAGGAGGAUUGGAGUAUGGAACUAUGGAAGACAAAGAUACCUAGCAAAAUUGCAGUAUUCGCUUGGAGAUUAUGCAAGGGCAGACUGCCCACAAAGGAGAAUCUGCGAAAAAGGAACAUACAGAUCAACAAUAUGCUUUGCCCUUUCUGCAGUGGAGCUAUGGAAGAUGAAUCUCACCUAUUUAUUCAUUGCAUCAAAAUCCAACCAAUUUGGUGGGAAUUGAUGUCAUGGAUGAAUAUCAAAGGCGCUUUCCCCUUCAACCCGAAACAGCACUUCAUGCAGCAUAUUUCUAUCCAGAUCGAAGGAUUAAGGGCUAAGCGAUGGAGGUAUUGGUGGCUGGCAGUAACAUGGUCUAUAUGGAAGCUCAGAAACAGAAUUUUGUUUGCAAAUGCAGAAUUUGAUACUAAUCGGCUUUUUGAAGAUGUUAUCUUUAUAAUUUGGACUUGGCUUAGACAAUUUGAGAAGGACUUCACAGUCCACUAUAAUCAGUGGUCAAGUAAUAUUAGACAAGGCUUUUUGUUUUUGUAGAGGGAGUGCACAUAGUUUCAGAAAUACUUGUACACUACACAAGUAGACCUAUUAGACUACUUAUGUACUACAUAUAAUAGUCCAUACCUUUGUAAUUAGUACCUCUGGUACUUUAUUUCAAUAUAAUAUAUUUAUUUUUGCUGAUAAAAAAAAAACAUUUGCUUGCCGAUUGAUCAAAGAUAGAAUCCCAACUAAAGGGAAUUUGCGGAGAAGAUAGCUGGAGAAAGGCUUUGCCCAGCCCUACAACUAUUGGUCUAGUAAUUUAUCAACAACAUUUUUUGAUUAGGGUAGCAGUGCAGGGUUAUUGUAUUCUAUUUAGAUUGGCAUCCUGAUUCGUAGGACCUAUGGUUCUACUAGUCUGCUGGUUUCUACCUUGUAUAUUCAGUACCUUUGGUACUCACAGUUAUUAAUAUAAAUUAUAAUUUUGCUGAUAAAAAAAAAGAAGAUAAUACAAGACAGAGAGAAGGGUAGUGGCAGUCACAACAUAUAUAUAGAGAAGGCAUGAACAUAUCAGUCCAAUGAAAGAAAGGUCAUGUAGACAGGCAUAGCAUAAGUUACAGAUAUACCAGUAAUGCAUACAACAACAAUUUCAAAUUAGUUUUCGAAUCAAACAUAUAAAUACCUUAGUUCGAGGCUUCAAAGAUAUAAUCAAAGCACUUCCACAGCAACGCCAAUUAGCAGUAGUAAAUGAUAACCCUAAAAAAACCAUACAGAAAUUAGUCAUAGUGUAUUUAAAGCCUUUUAUCAACAAUAUGAGGGUUGUCUAGUAUUCGAAUAGAGAAGAACCAUAAUGAUAAUGGGUUUAGCUUUUUCCGUGAGUAAUGGAGAAGGAAAACUUGUCUACAAUAGUACUAGUAGUUGUUUCAUUUGCACACUGCACAAUUCACAUGACUUUCAGCACAAGCUAACUAUUCAAGCCAUGAUGACCAUAGGAAGAACCACUUAAGAAAAAUUCUUCGAAAACAAACAAACAAACCCCAUGAAAGGAAAACAAACAAAUAAACCCUAACAACACAAAUCAGUUAAGAGUGCUGGUAGUAGCUUUACAUGGAUCAGGCCCAAUGGUAGUGUGAAGAGUAGGCUUGCUAGAUUCCUAGUUUCAAACCAGUGGCUGUCUACUUGGCCUGAUAGCUGUCAACAUGUCCUACCACACAACGUUUCUGAUCAUUGCCCAACCAUCUUGCAAACUAAGCUGGUGGAUUGGGGUCCUAAGCCAUUUAGGGUAGCUGAUUGGUGGAUUCAUCAAAAAGGGUAUCAAAAAUUGGUGAGGGAGACUUGGAGUAGUGCUCAGCAGGGGGGUUGGGGGGCAAGCUGAUGUACUUAAAAGAUGUCAUAAGGCAAUGGAGUAAAGAUUAUGGAUUCAUUAAUGACAAAGGAAUUCAGAAAAUCCAACAGAAGCUAAAUGAAGUGGAAGAUCUAGCAUCCAAUACAAGUCUAUCUGAGGAAGACAUCAAGGCUAAGAGAGAUUUACAGCAACAAUUGUGGGAGAUCUCAAAUGACUAUGAAUCCCUUUUAAGACAGAAAUCUAGAGCAAAGUGGUUAAAAGAAGGAGACUGCAACUCAGCAUAUUAUGUUUGAAAUGCUUCCAGGUUUUUGCAACUCAGCAAAGUGGCUGGUUGUCCAAAUGGCCUGACAGCUCCCAAUUUAACCUUGAGAGGAAUUACUCUGACCACUGUCCUAUUAUCAUGCACUCUAAAUGCAUUGAUUGGGGCCGUAAACCUUUUAAGGUUUAUGAUGGAUGGCUAAUUCACAAGCAAUUUCAGAAGGUAGUGAUGGAUUGUUGGUUAGAUUAUCAGCCUAUGGGGUGGGGUGGUUAUGCUUUAAAAUGCAAGCUUCAGCAUCUUAAACAGAGGCUGAAAAUCUGAAGUAAAGACAACAUAGGAGACCUGUGCAGCAAAGUCAAACAGCUUCAACAAAAACUAAAUGACUUGGAGAAUUCUAUGCCAGUUCAACCUUCUGAACAACAAGUGAAGGACCUUAAGAAAACCCAAGCUGACCUUUGGGAAAAAGCUACUAUGCAGGAGUCUAUUGUGAGGCAGAAAUCAAGAUGCAGAUGGAUCAAAGAGGGGGACAACAACACAUCCUAUUUUCGUAGAGUUAUUAAUUUGAGGAGGAGGAGAAAUGCUUUGAGGGGGUUGCAGAUUGGUGACACCUGGGUGGAAAAUCCUAACAUUAUAAAGGCUGAAACCCUUCAUCAUUUUCAGAACAGGUUCAAUGAGCCUCACUUGAGCAAACCUAACUUGGAUGGGGUUUCAUUUAAAAGUCUGCCUUCUACUCAGAGAGAAAUUAUAUAUGAUUGAACCUUUUAAAGAGGAAGAGAUAAGGUGUGCUGUGUGGGCCUGUGGCAAUGGCAAAAGCUCAGGGCCACAUGGUUUAAUUUCAGAUUUAUUAAGCACUUUUGGAAGGAAUUGAAGCCUGAAUUCCUAAGAUUUAUAGCAGAAUUCCAUGUGAAUGCUUCCUUCCCCAAGGGUCUCAAUUCCUCUUUCAUUGCUCUUAUCCCUAAGAUUAAGGACCCUCAAUCCUUCAAUGAUUUCAGACCCAUCUCCCUCAUUGGAUGUGUUUACAAAAUCAUUGCUAAACUACUGGCUAACAGGCUUAGAAAGGUCAUGAACCACCUCAUUGAUGAAAGGCAAACAGCCUUUGUGAAGGGUAGACAGCUGCUCCAUGGUGUUUUAAUUGCCAAUGAGGUGGUUGAGGAGGCUAGGAGGUCUAAGAGGCCUUGCAGGUUUUUUUCUGUUUGUGGAUUCAAUCCAAAAGAAAACUUAGGAGAAUAAUUGUUGCAGGUUUCUACAAUUCAGAAGAUUGUCUAGGUUUCAAGAGGACUAUUGUGAUAGUCUUAGAUUAGUACUGACUAUAAUCAGAGGAUAAUUAGAAAUCAUCAUGUUUACAGCUGGUCAGGUUUCAACUUUUAAGUUAGCAAAAUCAAUGUGCAUUAUAUAAUUUUCUAAACUUUAAAGUACUGAAAUUUCUAAAAGUCCAAAACUGUAUCUAGAUUCUAGAUCAUCUUAUGAAUGAUAAGAUGUUUGCAUUUGUAUUUGUAAGCUCAAGUGUAGAUUAUGAAGAUAAGCUAAAAAAAAAUACGCAAACACAUAAGCAGUUCACUUCAAGAUAUGUUAUUGUAAAACAGUUACAAACACAGUUUAUUUGAAAGCACACUUACAUAUGACAACUUUUAGAAACUGCCAAUACGAGGCAAGUGAAUAGUUUAUAAACAGUCUGGAAGCAUUCAACAAUUAAGCGAAUAAAAUAGAAAAGAGAGCAAGCAACCCAGUUCCUUAAAUCCAGUUGGGUAAAAACAUUAUCUAUACUUAAGCAUUACUUGCUCAACAAACAAAAAAUAUGUUAAAACAAAUAUAGUGAAGCCCCCUCUGUUGGAUAGUAAAAUGUUAAAGCAAUUGCAGGCAAUUUUAACAACCCUGUGGAUCCAUCUACAGAAAUCAUGGUUGAUUCUCUGUUAUAGUGCAAACAGAAUAACACCUUACUAAAAAUCAUGCAACAUUACUUAUUACUACCCAGAAAAAAUAAAAUAGGUCAAAUGAAGUAUAGAAGUUAGAGUUACCUUGAUCAAGAGAACCCAGCAACACACACACGUCAGCGGAGCCUGUACAAUCGCAAACAAAAAACUUUUUUUUAUUAUCCGAUGCCACUCUCAAUUCGGGUCAAACCACUCACAACGAAACUUAGCAUACACGAAUUUGACCUACGUACCUUGCGGAGAAAGCUUUGACCUUUGAGCACCGACGAUUGUUUCAGCACCCUAGUAGCAAUAGUGUAUCUAGGGUUUUCUUCGAGCCAGGACAAUGUGGGUUCUGUGGGGUUCGAGCGACGACAAUAUGGGUUUUUCGGCAGUGUAGGGGGUUCUGUGGGUUCCAACAAGGGCAAUGUGGGUUUUCCGGCAGUGUAGGGGGUUCUGUGGGUUCGACCAACGACAAUGUGGGUGUCGACGGAGCGGUUUCCGGCAGAUUUCGUGCGGGAGGAAAAAGAGAACAGCGAUUUCNNNNNNNNNNNNNNNNNNNNNNNNNNNNNNNNNNNNNNNNNNNNNNNNNNNNNNNNNNNNNNNNNNNNNNNNNNNNNNNNNNNNNNNNNNNNNNNNNNNNNNNNNNNNNNNNNNNNNNNNNNNNNNNNNNNNNNNNNNNNNNNNNNNNNNNNNNNNNNNNNNNNNNNNNNNNNNNNNNNNNNNUGGUUUUAUAACAAACCGAUGUUAAAAUCAACUCCUUAACAUCGGCUCCCUCAAAACCGAUGUUAACUCUAUGAAGUUAACAUCGGUUUUGCCUAAACCGAUGUUCCCAUAUUCAUCUUAACAUCAUGUUAACAUCGGUUUUUUAAAUAAAUGAUGUUAACAUCAAUUAGUUUACAUCGGUUAUGCUAAAAUCGAUGUUAAGUAACUCUAUUUAAUUACAAAAAUGUCAUCACGCUUUCGUUAACAUCGGUUUUUGCUAUAACCGAUGUUAAUAGGGCGAUGUAGAAAGCUUUUUUUUAGUAGUGUCUUCAUCUUCAUUGUGACGGUGCUCGUUGUUCUGGGUCUAGUUUUGGGAUUGAGGCUCCUUCGCCGCCGCCACCACCACAACACUGCAAAUAAAUGCUCAGAUGAAUCUUGCAUUCCUUCACCAACCACAUUUCCAAACCCCAAUUUCAACACCAACCCCACCUUCUCCAAUUGACAACAACCCCACUACCCCACAAACUCCUCAGGUUCCAAAUCCAAUUCCUCUUCCUCCUUACUCCAAUAACACAUCUUUGCCGCCGCCGCCGCCGCCGCCGAUUCUGCAGUCUCCACCGCCCCCGGAGGAAACAACCCCUCCGAAUCCUCCUAGUGUGGCGGCACCGCCUAUGAACACUCCCACACCAGGGUCGGCGCUGUUGACCCCAGGUCCUGUGCUGACAUGCACGUUCAGCUGACAUGUGGCGCCGCCUAAAAAGACAAAGGAGAGAACGGCGAAGGUGGAAGAGGAAGAAGUAACCUUUAACUCGGACAAUUUUCCACACUCAGACAAAACAAAACCCACUCUUCUUCUCUUUCUUUGAUGUUCUUUAAGUUUAAGCCUCUCUCUCACUCUCAUCGCACAUUUCAAAACGACACCGUAUUCUCCACCACACUUCCAUCUCUCUCUCUAUAUAUGCUUCCUCUUCCAACCGUCACUCCAAAUUCACUCUUAUGGAAGUAGUUACCUUCACCCUCGCUGUCUUCGUGCCACUCAUUCUCGCCGGAGCUUCCUCCGCCAGGGAGCUCCGGCCGUCGGACCAUGGCCUCACCUUCCAGACACUCCCACACCAUAGCGUGAUAUGAUAUGGUAUGGAUACAUUAACAAUGGCAAAUUCAGUGCUGACAUGCACGUUCAGCUGCGUCUCAAACUAGCGCUGGUCAUAUCUAGCAUGUGUUUAUAGGACAAGUGGAUGAUACUUUAACUUCCACAUGCCAACUAUUAUGACUUCGUAUUAAUUGGAAUAAAUAACUACUUUAUAAAUUAGCAAUACAUCCAACUUGCUGAAUAAAAUAAUAUUAAAUAUUAAUCAAUUGUCCCCAUCUUACUACGGACAUGGCUAUAUAUGUUCAAGAACAUCAAGUUUUGCACUCACAACAAACCAAAAAGCAGAGCUAACUAGCUAGACUAAAAUGGCAGAAACUGCAGUGUCCUUGGCUGGUAAGCAUGCCCUUCCAAAAAUAUUGGAAGCUGUCAAAAUGGUGAGAGAUCUCCCAAAAGAAGUUAGAGACAUUACAGAUGAACUUGAAAGCUUUCAAGAUUUCAUUAAUGAUGCUGAUAAAGUGGCUGAAGCUGAACAAGAUGAUGGAAGGUGUCAUAGAAUAAAAGAAAGGGUUAUGCGGCUGAGAGAAGCAGCUUUUCGCAUGGAAGAUGUCAUCGAUGAAUAUAACAUCUCCUGUGAGGAUAAGCAACCUGGUGAUCCUCGAUAUGCAGCUUUACUAUGUGAGGCUGUUGACUUCAUCAAAACUCAAAUCCUUCGCCUUCAAAGUGCGUACAAGAUUCAGGAUGUUAAAUCGCUUGUUCGUGCUGAAAGAGAUGGUUUCCAAACCCAUUUUCCUUUAGAACCAAGACUAACAAGUUCUAGAGGAAAUCAAGAUGUCACCUGGCAGAAACUUCGAAUGGAUCCUCUCUUUAUCGAGGAAGACGAUGUUGUGGGGCUUGAUGGCCCUAGAGAUACAUUGAAAAAUUGGUUGAUAAAGGGAAGUGAAAAACGCACUGUCAUCUCUGUGGUUGGAAUUCCUGGGGUGGGAAAAACCACUCUUGCCAAGCAAGUUUAUGACCAGGUGCGUAACAAUUUCGAGUGCCAUACAUUGAUCAGAGUGUCUCAAUCCUACUCUGCAGAAGGACUGCUGAGGCGUUUGUUGGAUGAGCUUUGCAAAGUGAAAAAGGAGGACCCUCCCAAGGAUGUUUCUAACAUGGAGUCAUUGACCGAAGAAGUCAGAAACCACUUGCGCAACAAGAGGUAUGUUGUCUUGUUUGAUGACGUAUGGAGUGAAACAUUUUGGGAUCACAUUGAAUCUGCUGUGAUGGAUAAUAAAAAUGCAAGUAGGAUUUUAAUCACAACCAGGGAUGAGAAGGUUGCGGGAUAUUGUUAGAAAUCUUCUUUUGUUGAGGUGCUUAAGCUAGAAGAGCCAUUAACUGAAGAAGAAUCAUUGAAAUUGUUUUCUAAGAAGGCAUUUCAGUAUAGUUCCGAUGGAGAUUGUCCAGAAGAACUUAAAGAUAUAUCUCUUGAAAUUGUUAGAAAGUGUAAAGUUUUACCUCUAGUAAUAGUGGCCAUUGGUGGUCUUUUGUCUCAAAAAGAUGAAAGUGCACCUGAAUGGGGACAGUUUAGUCGAGAUCUAAGUUUAGACUUGGAGAGGGAUUCUAAGUUAAAUAGUAUAACAAAAAUUUUAGGUUUAAGUUAUGAUGAUUUGCCGAUCAAUCUCAGAUCAUGUUUAUUGUAUUUCGGAAUGUAUCCGGAGGACUAUGAAAUUAAAUCUGAUAGAUUGAUUAGACAAUGGAUAGCUUAAGGGUUUGUCAAACAUGAAACCGAAAAACAUUGGAAGAAGUUGGGCAACAAUAUUUAUCAGGGUUGGUCCGUAGAAGUUUGGUGCAAGUAUCCUCAUUUAGAAUUGAUGGCAAAGUUAAAAGGUGUCGUGUUCAUGACUUAUGUUGAGUCGUUGGCAAAUGUACCAAAUUGUCACAAGUAGUAAAGUGCUCGGAAGUUCGAGUGUCAAAUCCACAGGGACGUUGUUUGUACUUAGACUAAUGCAAACCCAAUUUACAAGCAAGAGAUAAUAAAUUUAAAAUAAAAAAUAGAAAAAGAUAGAAGAUAAGAAAAGAUAAAAUUAGAAGAUAAAGGAAAAGAUAAAAGAAUUAAAGAUAAAAUUAAAAGAUAAAGAAAAAGGAAGAAGAUUAGAAAAGUGAAAGAUAAGAAAGAUAAAAGAUUUAGAUAAAAAAAAAAUAAAUUCAAGAUAAGAUAAUGUUGGGAACUGACUUGCCUAGCCUGCCUAGGAUAUAUGAGUUUAUGAUUUUUUCUUUACCAAUUCAGGUGAUUCUAUCCCACCCACAUCUAUUCAUUUACUUGUCCCUGAUGCCUCACGAUGACAAGCCUAUUUUACCUAUCUAUCCCCCAAAUGCCUAUGCAAAGACGCAAUAGAUAAAAUGCAUGAAGUUCUAAUUCUAGAUGUUUGCUUUGACACAUGGGCAUAAUGCAAUCACUUAUGGCUAGCAAUGAUUUUAUUAUGAUAUCUUUUCUUCUUGUUCUAUUAGAAGUUAUCAUCUCCCGAGCGUCUAACCCCUAAAACUAAUGCAUGCAUAUCUUCUUUAAAUCUUAUUUAGAAGUUACCCUCUCCCGAGCAUCUAACCCCUAACAGAAUAUAAAGAUGAGUAUGCAAGAUAAAAAUAGAAAAGAAAAUAGGAAAGAAAAACCUGGUAUUGCAUUGAUAAAUAGUGAAGAAUACAUCAUACAUCGCAUUGGCUUCUAGGCCUGCCAGGCCCUAAGUAAGGGUUUAGCCACUCAUGGUCAUGAGGGCUUUACAAUGAGAGGAGGGGUGAAAGAAAGAAAGGGAAUAAAUGAAACCCCUAGGAGAGGGGGUUCUGUGGUGGUGUGUUCUUCCCUUUGGACUGACUCUCUAUUUAUAGCUGCUGAAGUGGGCUUUGGGCCUUCGUAGGCGCGCUCAGCGUGACACACCCUCGCUUAGCGCGUGUAGAUCGCGGGCUUAGUGCGUGUGUUGCAGGCUUAGUGCGUUCUUCUGUUGGAUCGCUGGCUUAGCGCGCGUGUUGCAAGCUUAGCGCGUUCUUCUGUUGGAUCGCAAGCUUAGCGUGCGUGUUGCAUGCUUAGCGCGCGCUUCUAUUGGAUCACGGGCUUAGCGCGUGACGUACGCUCAGCAUGGGUAUUGGGCUGGGCCUGCUUCAGAUUUUCUUCUUUUCUUCAAUUUUUUUGGCCUUUUUGCUUGUUACACCUCCAGUUUUUAUAUCUGCAGCCAAAAUUCAACAAAACAUCAAUUAUUUAAUAUUUAAGCGCAAAUAACUGCUAAAUAAUUAUUUUUAAAGACAAUUUUGCCUUAUUUUCUAUUAUCAAAAUAUAAUUAUUUAGCAAUUAUCAAAAUCCCCCAAAUUAAAACUUUGCUUGUCCCCAAGCAAAUGAAAUUAAAAGCAGGCUCCGAAUGCUUCAACACUUUCAGUGGCUGCAAUUUCUCAGAUUCCUCCAACUGGUCCUUUCCGCAUUUGUCAUAAUCUCACAAUGGAAGCAUAAAUUACAUCAAGAUGAAAUUGGUUGGUAUCGGAAAUCAAUCAAGUUGGUUUGCCUCACUUUCCUCACAAGGUUAGUGUUUAUUGUCUGGGGUGAGUGUUUAAAAUUUAUACGACCUGCAAUUAAGAUUCCCAAAUUUUGCACUUCAUCUCAAUUAAAGUUAUUCUUACUUACAUUUGGUGGAUCACUAAGGACUUUUAUUGGCUUGUAAUGGGGCCUGGCUAGACAAGAAAUCAUGGUUUUUCUGGGAUUUCAAACUUAAGGUUAUAAGAGAGCAUUCAUCCUAGAAAAACUUAUACUUAGCCUAGGCUUUAUUUGUUUUUCAGCCUUAACACAUGCAAUCUAUUUUUCUUAUUUCCAACCUUAGCACUUAUGGCACCUCUCUUUUUUUUUUCUGCCCUUAUUUUCUUUUUUUUCUUUUUUUUUGGGAAAGAGACUUUGGGCUUACAAGUUUUUUUUUUUUUUGGGUGCCUUAUUAUGUGCUACUUUUACAUUCCCAAGACCAUCUUCAUUCUACCCAUCCCCCAAAUUAGGGGUUUAUUAUGACUAAAACCUUUAUGCUCUCUUAGAAUCCUAAAAUAAGGUUAGAGAUAUCACAAUUAGGCUCAGGGGUUUUAUUUAAAAAAAUAAUUACUAAUUUUGGCUCAACAAGGGUGCAAGGGAUAAAUUUCAUCACAGGUUGGCUUUUUGGCUAUGUGGCUAAAAUAAAAAAUAAAAAAAGAAACAUGGCCUUGAUCAUAUCCACCUUAUGUAAAUAAUCUAACAGUCUAAGAAUGAUGCAAAAUUAGGAAUUUAAAAACAUACGUUCUCUCAUAAUUAAGUUCACACAGCUCUCCGGGACAAGAUAAAGUUAUCGGCUUACCGGAACAUGAUCUAUUUCCAUCAAGCUAACCUGUUCUCUCUUUGUGAUUCAUGUCCCACUGUUUGACUGACUCUUGCUUCUAGGAAUCCAGUAUUUUCAUAAUUGUCAUGCAGCAUUUCAAGUGUUGAAUCCUUCAAAAAAAGCCUAAAUAGUGACUUCACAAAUAUCAUGCAAUUUUUAUUCAAUAACUGAAUUUAAACUACUAAAAUUAAAAUGCAUAAAAUCAAAAUGCACAAAUUCAAAAUAAAGAAAAGAAAUAACACAACUAUCCUAAAAGAAACAAAAUUGCAAUUAACUAAAAGAGAUAAAGUUUGAAAUCCUGGGUUGCCUCCCAGUAAGCGCUUCUUUAACGUCAUUAGCUUGACGGGUCAAAUGCCUUCAAGGUGGCAUGAAGGUCACAAAGAACACAUCUUCCUUGCAUUUUCGCCUCUUAGCUAGAGACGCCAUGAAACUCAUGUAUGCUGGAAACACCUUCCAUAUUGUAGCAAAAAAAGUGCUGGUGGUCAAGGAGAGAAGGACACUUAAGGGUUUAUCAUGUUUUCCAUGUCUUUCUUCCUUGACAAUCAGUUGAUGAGGAGUGGUAUUGACUUGGAGAAUACUUUCUUGUUGAAUUCUACUUGUGAGUACUUCUCCCAUUGUUGUGCUUUCUCCUCAUUUCUUUCUAUCUCUUCCUUCUUUUCUUCUUCCACAUCUUCCUCAGUUAAAAUUACCUUGCACUCCUUUUUGGGCUUCAUCUCAAUAUUUAUCGCAAAGGUUUCGUUGGGCCUUUCAGCAACUAGCUUAGCUAAUUGUACUUCCAAAUUUCUGAUUGCUGCAUCAGUGCUCUUCUGAUGUGACCUUGUUUCCUGCAUGAAUUGUACCAGCAAUUCUUCUAGCCUAGUGCUUUCUUCUUGUGGGUUGGGCUCUUGGUCACGUAGAAUGACAUAAUCAUUGGCCGCCAUAUUCUCUAUUAGCUCAAUAGCUUCUUCUGGAGCCUUUAACUUGAUUUUUCCACCGGCUGAGGCGUCGAGGAGCUACUUGGAAUGGGGUUGCAAGCCAUCAAUAAAGAUGUUGAGCUGGACUGGCUCGCUAAACCCAUGUGUAGGAGUCUUCCAAAGUAACCCAUGAAAGCGAUCAAGGGCUUCACUCAACGAUUCAUGAGGAUGUUGGUGGAAGGAUGAGAUUUCCACCUUUUCCUCAAUGGUCUUGGACUCUGGGAAGUACUUCUUCAGGAACUUCUCCACCACCCCGUCCCAUGUCCGCAGGCUAUUCCCUUUUAACGAGCGAAGCCAUGUUUUUGCUUCACCGGCCAAGGAAAAACAAAAUAAGUCGAGGCGGAUGACAUCUUCAGGCACUCCUACUAUCUUCACCGUGUUGCAAAUGUCGAUGUAUAUGGCCAGGUGUGCGUAUGGAUCUUCACUUGGUAGGCCGUAAAAUAAAUUCCCUUGAAUCAGCUGGAUCAAGAAAUAUGGAUAUGAGAAGUUGGUCGUCCGCACCUCUGGUCUAGCUAUGCUGGUGAAGUACUGAGGUAUAAUAGAGCUAGAGUAAUCCUCUAGCGUCAUUCUUUGUGGACGAUUUUCUACCAUGAUGCGUUCUUCGAAGAAGAAGUGUGCACUAUUAACAAAAGAAAUAACUACCGUGCACGUUAUCACAUAAUAAAUAAUUUUUUAUUUUAUUUAUUUUAUUUAAAAAAGAAAAGAAUAAAGUAAGAAUGAGUAAAGAGAAAAAAAUUGAAAAAUAAAAUAAAGCAGCUAAAAGAAAUAAUAGAUAAAAAAACAAAAAAAUAAAAUAAAAAUAAAAAUAGAAAGUGAAAACUAAUUGCUUACAAAUUGGAAUAUGCAAUUAAUCAAGUACGAAAAACAAAGUACUCGGCAACGGCGCCAAAAACUUGUUGACUCGUUGACAAGUGUACCAAAUUGUCACAAGUAGUAAAGUGCUCGGAAGUUCGAGUGUUGAAUCCAUAGAGACGUUAUUUGUACUUAGACUAAUGCAAACCCAAUUUACAAGCAAGAGAUAAUAAAUUUAAAAUAAAAAAUAGAAAAAGAUAGAAGAUAAGAAAAGAUAAAAUUAGAAGAUAAAGGCAAAGAUAAAAGAAUUAAAGAUAAAAGAAAAAGAUAAAGAAAAAGGGAGAAGAUUAGAAAAGUGAAAGAUAAGAAAGAUAAAAGAUUUAGAUAAAAAAAAGAUAAAUUCAAGAUAAGAUAAUGUUGGGAACUGACUUGCCUAGCCUGCCUAGGAUGUAUGAGUUUAUGAUUUUUUCUUUACCAACUCAGGUGAUUCUAUCCCACCCACAUCUAUUCAUUUACUUGUCCCUGAUGUCUCACGAUGACAAGCCUAUUUUACCUAUCUAUCCCCAAAUGCCUAUGCAAAGACUCAAUAGAUAAAAUAAAAUGCAUGAAGUUCUAAUUCUAGAUGUUUGCUUUGACGCAUGGGCAUAAUGCAAUCACUUUAUGCCUAGCAAUGAUUUUAUUAUGAUAUCUUUUCUUCUUGUUCUAUUAGAAGUUAUCCUCUCCCGAGCGUCUAACCCCUAAAACUAAUGCAUGCAUAUCUUCUUUAAAUCUUAUUUAGAAGUUACCCUCUCCCGAGCAUCUAACCCCUAACAGAAUAUAAAGAUGAGUAUGCAAGAUAAAAAUAGAAAAGAAAAUAGGAAAGAAAAACCUGGUAUUGCAUUGAUAAAUAGUGAAGAGUACAUCAUACAUCGCAUUGGCUUCUAGGCUUGCCAGGCCCUAACAAAGGGUUUAGCCACUCAUGGUCAUGAGGGCUUUACAAUGAGAGGAGGGGUGAAAGAAAGAAAGGGAAUAAAUGAAACCCCUAGGAGAGGGGGUUCUGUGGUGGUGUGUUCUUUCCUUUGGACUGACUCUCUAUUUAUAGUUGUUGAAGUGGGCUUUGGGCCUUCGUAGGCGUGCUCAGCGCGACACACCCUCGCUCAGCGCGUGUAGAUCGCGGGCUUAGCACGCAUGUUGCAGGCUUAGCGCGUUCUUCUGUUGGAUCGCUGGCUUAGCGCGCGUAUUGCAAGCUUAGCGCGUUCUUCUGUUGGAUCGCAGGCUUAGCGCGCGUGUUGCAGGCUUAGCGCGCGCUUCUGUUGGAUCACGGGCUUAGCGCGUGACGCACGCUCAGCGUGCGUAUUGGGCUAGGCCUGCUUCAGAUUUUCUUCUUUUCUUCAAUUUUUCUGGCCUUUUUGCUUGUUACACCUCCAGUUUUUAUAUCUGUAGCCAAAAUUCAACAAAACAUCAAUUAUUUAAUAUUUAAGCGUAAAUAAUUGCUAAAUAAUUAUUUUUAAAGACAAUUUUGCCUUAUUUUCUAUUAUCAAAAUACAAUUAUUUAACAGUUAUCAACUUAAUACACGACAUGAUCCUUAGAAAAGUCAAGGAUAUAGGGUUUUGCCAGAGGAGAUUAGUAAGCUUAAAAAGCUACGUCAUCUUCUGAGUGGCUAUAUAUCUUCAAUUCAAUGGAAGGAUAUUGGAGGCAUGACAUCCCUACGAGAGAUACCUCCAGUGAUUAUAGAUGAUGAUGGAGUGGUCAUUAGAGAGGUAGGAAAGCUAAAGCAGUUAAGGGAACUGUUGGUGGUAGAUUUUAGGGGAAAACACGAAAAGACUUUGUGUUCCUUAAUAAAUGAGAAGCCACUCUUGGAGAAACUACUUAUUGAUGCAGCUGAUGUGAGUGAAGUAAUUGACUUGUACAUUACGUCACCUAUGUCUACACUUAGGAAGCUUGUCCUAUAUGGGAAGUUAACAAGGUUGCCAAAUUGGAUUUCACAGUUCCCAAAUCUUGUCAACUGUAUUUGUACUACUCCAGGUUGACUAAUUAUGGAUUGAAAUCACUAAAAAAUUUGCCAAGGUUGUUGUUCCUCGUUUUAAGUGACAAUGCUUACGAAGGUGAAACUUUGAAUUUUCAAAGUGGAGGGUUUCAGAAACUAAAGCAACUGCAACUCAGAUAUUUGUAUCAAUUGAAGUGCAUCCUUAUCGACAGAGGAGCACUGUGUUCUGUGGAAGAAAUUGUUUUACAAGACCUCCCCCAACUCAAAACAGUUCCCUCUGGAAUUCAACACUUGGAGAAGCUUAAAGAUCUCGAUAUCGUGCACAUGCCAACUGAAUUGGUGCACCCAAUUGCUCCCGAUGGAGGAGAAGACCACUGGAUCAUCCAAGAUGUGCCCCAUGUACGUAUUUGGAGCAGGUAUGCUGAAGAACCUUUGCAUAUAUUCGGCAGAAGUCAUCACUAAGAUGCGUCCAAAUUUGAAAAUAGAAGGUGCGUCUUUUUCACAUCUAUAACUUUGUAGAAUGACAUUCGUGGCCUUUUUCUUUUCUUCAAUAAAAAAUGCAACCAUUAACAAAUUCCUAAAAUAAUUACUUUUGCCUCAUUUUCUCUUCUAGUAUUUGUUUCGUUUUUCUUUCUCUGCAACUUCUCACGUAAAAGUUAGGGAUAGAAUUUUCUAACAAGUAUAUGCCUACACCAACCAAUGUUAACGUUUCUUCAUUAUAAGAUUCUCACCAUUCUAAUCCUUUCUAUUAUUGUGCUCAGAAUUGGUAGAUGUUGACCUCAACUGGGUUGAGUUUUUUUAUUUCCAUGUUGAUAAAUACUUGAAAAUUUUCAUUGUAUCAUUUGAAGAAGAAAUUAACUUGGUGUUUUUAUAGGGUCGUAAGCAUAUAAUUCAUGUAAAUGUUGUGGAUUUUUAAAGUUCCAUUACAAUUGAAGCCCAAUAAUGUGGAUUUUUUUCGUACAUUAGAUUGUGUUAAAUGUUCCUAAUUUUUAUGCUUUGAAGUUUGACCCACUUUGUACAACCAUAGAUUUUAGGAAAGCACUGAGGGAAGAUUGUAAGAGGUGUUCCCAUUCCAAUGUUUCUGACGUUCGAAUCUUGUGGUUUUUUGAGUGUUAAUUAUUACGUCCAAUUUAGCGUUAUUAACACCAACACAAUACAAAAAAGCUAAAAAUAGUGUUCCUACAAAGGAAGAUAAUUUUUGACAACUGGAAAACUCAAGAUUCCCUCAAGUUCUUUCUUUUGCGGCCCGUUAAAUGGUGGAUGAGUGGAUUUGAGGCAUCAAAGGGCAAGAUUCAUCAAAUUGAUUUUUUAAGCUUCCUUAUUCUCUUUCUCUUGUUUCCCUUUUUUCUAAAAUGUGUACUCAAAUUUUUGUUAACUUGAUGUAAUUUGAAUUCUUAUCUGUAAUUCAAAUUCAUUUCUUUUAAAUUGAAUGUUUGUCUUUUUUUAAUUUAGUGCCUUUAUAAAUUGGCAUUUGGUCACUUAUAGUGCGUUGAUUGUAUAUUCCUAUCGACAACUGUGAAAUUGAAAUAAGGAUUGAAUUUAAGAUAUAAUGUAACAAAGUUGGAAAUUCUAUAGGAAUAAAUAUCAACAAUUAUGAUAAUUUAGAUAUUCUUGAACCUAAUGAUUGCCCUAAUUGAGAAAUCCUAAAGAUUUAAAAUUUUCAAUUGUAGAAAAGAGUUUUUGAGUUAAGAUAUAUUCACCUUCAAUUACAAUAGUAAAAAAUAAAUUCAGUUUCCAAUUAUGCUUCUAGAACUUGAAUUGGAGUGAAAAUUUGGGGUGUACGUGUUAAGCUUGGGGUGAACUCGUAUUGUAACAAGACAUGUUUGAUUUUGGCUUAGCACUUUAAUCCUCUUAGCAUAGUACUUCAGCAAUUUUGGUACCCAAACUUUUAUGUUCAGGUUUGAUCCCAUAUUUUUCAAAAACAAUUUAAUGGUCGAAUAUAUAUUAUUAAAAUCAAGUUAUAUAUCACUUAUUUGGAGUUAGAUAAAUUUUUCAAGGCUUAAUUUUAUCUUUUUGUCUCAUUCAUUAUUUAUUUUAUUAAUUUUGUCCUCCUAAUAAUAAAAUCUUUAAUUUGAUUGCUUAAUUCCAAAUCGAUUCAAUUUGAUCUUUUCGGUCCAAAUUCACUUGAUAUUGUUUAUUAAUAGUGGGAUGAGAUUGAAUCAAACAAAGGAACAAAUUAAAUUGUUUAUUAAAAUUUAAAAAACAAACAGUGAGAACAAGAAGUUUAUUAAGGGGUCAAUUUGCGCUGUUUUAAAAAUUAAAGUACUAAAUUAAAUUGUUUAAUAAUAGAGGACCAAUGCUAAAUAACACGACAAAAAAAGUAUGGUUUUUUUUUUUUACUUUUAAAAAUUUUGAAAAUUUUAUUGAAUUCUAAAAUAUUCAAUUAACUUGCCUAAUUUUUUGUUUAUUCACUUUUUUUCCUUUUAAUCCUUGAAGUUUGAAAACUUCAAAACUCUUUUUGAUCAGAAACAUAUUUUAACUCUCAUAAAACAACACAACAAUGUUUCUAAAAUUGGACUUUUAUAAGUUAUUAAUAAAUCACUUUGUGAGUGAUAUUUUGUACAAAUUUUUGUAUUAUUUUGUAUGCAUUUUCUUGAUAGAAUUUACAAUUGGACACUAGUUUUUUAUUCCAAAAGUAUAACCACUCAAUUGAGUGAAAGAGUAAGAAAUUAUACAAAUUUAUGAAGAUUUAAGAACUUUACAUAACUUGAUUACUAUCGUGGUACAUUGAUCAUGGUCGUGGUAAUUAACAUGAUCACAAUAAAGUGAUAAGAGUCCUUCCAAACAGCGUCAAGAUCCAACAAUAGCCAUGGUAAAUUUACCACGAUCAUGGUAAAUCAAGAGGCUCAUAGUCAAUUUAUAAUGGUUCAAGGCUUCAGCGUCACUUCUAACCACAAUUGUAGUGCUCCUUUUUGAGCAAAUAUCUUUAGGAAGCCAUAUAUAGGUUUCUAGACUAUGUAAAAAUCAUUUUUCAUUUAUUUUGAGUUUUAUUCUUAUAUUUUACGAAUUUCAGACAACCUUGAAAGCUUUUAAGUGCCGAAGAACUUAAACAACAUCUCUAGAAUGGAUUAUGAUCAUUGUUCCUACUUAUUGGUAUGUUUAUGUUUAUUUUAUCUAGGAUUGCUAGUGUUGUUCCGAUCAUGAGGAGCUAGUCCUCCUAGUCCGAAGAUUAUUAGAUAACUUUUCAAUUGAACUUGCCCAGUUUUUGUUUGUUCACUCUUUUUUUUCCUAUUAAUCCUUGAUGUUUGAGAACUUCACCACUCUUUCUGAUAACAAAAAUAUUUUGACUCGCAUAAUACCACACAACAAUGUUUUCUGAAAUGGGACUGUUAUAAUUUACAUAUAACAAACAUAUUGGACUUACAUAUGGUGGGUCUGCCACGUCUGAAUCAUAUUGCAUUUAGCAAAAAGUUUUGGCAACAUAUAGUGGCAUUUGCAUUUCUGUUCUGGGAAUAAUAGAAGAGAUCUAAGGAGAUCUAUUUACCAGGAAAAACACCAUAAGGAACAAUAAUGCAAUGGUACAACAAUCAAUUUACCUAUUAUAUCAGUACACAACAUGAAUGAUCACAAUUGUUGCAGUUCUAUGACAAGUGUUGGAUGGAUGAUUACAACAUGGAAAAAAAUACAAUGAAAUUCUGACAAGGACUUCCAUAACAACUUCGAGUGUCAUGCAUGGAUCACAAUCCUACACUGUAGAAGAAUUGCUGAAGGAUAUGUUGCACAAGCUAUGCAAAGAAAAAUUGGAGACACCUCUUCAUAAUGAUUCAUUGAUAUAUGAAGUGAGAAACCACUUGCGCCAAAAGAGGUAUGUUGUCCUGUUUCAUGAGGUAUGGGAUAAAAAGUUUUCGGAUGGUAUUGAUUUUGCUAUAAUUGAUAAAAAUUCGGACACAGAGGUAUCAAUCACAACUUCGGACAGAGGUUGCGGAGUUUUGUCAGAUAACUUCCUUCAUUCAGGUGUAUAAGCUAGAACCUUUAAGUGACGAAAAAUCUUUGGAAUUGUUAUGAUGUGGAAAGGCAUUUUUUUCGGGUUUUGGUGGAUGAUGUCCAAAAGAAUAUGAAGACGUAGGUCUUGAAAUGGUUAGAAAGUGUGAACGUUUACCUCUAGCAAUUGUUCGUGCUCUGGAUCGAUCAUUAUUUUUCUCUGACGAUUUUUGGAGAGAUAAUUAUUUUUUUUUGUUCUUAAGAUCAUAAGGAGUAUGUCCAAAUAUUUUUGUGUGAAAAUAUUAAUGUCAACAAUUUUAAUAAAAUCUAGAAAAGGAUGAAUGUUCUUUGAUGUUCUGGGUUUUUCUGGGUGAAUGUUGAUACGGUUCUUCACUUACUAGGAUGAAUCUCUGUUGAAUUUUGGGGAAAAAAAAUAUUAGGAUGUUUCUGUAUUUGUUUGAUGCAGCUGUAUAAAGCAAUAAAGAAAUAGUAGCUCAAGCUUUUGCUAUAAAUGUGUGGCAGGAAUUGAUCCUACACAUACGAGUUCCUUUAUGCUGUUCUUUUAUUUCCUCUUGUCUAACUUCAUAUAAAGAAUUUUAUAGUCCUUUUGGAAUUCCAGUGAAAAUUCAGUCCUCACUGUUUUCUUAUAUAUAUAACAGGAGGAGAAUAAAAAAUAUGACGAAAUUAGAAGCGGAUUAGGGAGAGUUAUGUAUCUUAGUACUUCAAGGAUGGGAGAAUAAAUCCUUCCUCUUUUUCUGGCUUACUUUGCUGAUAUGUAUUCUAUAAGAUCUCAUUCAUUUGUUUCCUAAUCACAUUUUUUCUCGUAUUUACAUCAUUGAUAGUGGCAAUGUUCUUUAUAAGUUAUGAUUAUUUUUUCUAUAUAUUUUUUCUGGGCAGAUAGAAAUUUUUUGGACUGCACUUCUUAAUCAUGGUUAGGACCAGGGAUAAUAAAUCUUGUUAUGCUAUCAGGGAAACAAGUUGGUGGAUUCAACAUUAGGAAAAGAAGUAGGGAAUGGAGAACAUCUAACUUUCAUCAAUGCUUCCAUCCGAAAAUUACCACACUCCACGUAAUCUACCACCUAUGCUCAAUAACUUGGGGUAUUCAUGAGUGUAAUUGCUGCCUAGAUUAUUUUAACUUUUGAGUUCAGGUUUUUCUCACCAAGGCUGGUGGACACUGCAGUGAGUAACAAUUCAUUUGAUGAGAUGUUCUUGCUGGUGGGAUUGGUACUCUAGAUGAGGUGUUUAAGAUACAGGCAUGCACUGAUUCAGCUUGAAUGGAUUGGACCAGAGCUCUUUGUGUUCUCUUCUAGAAGAAGUGUUUGAGAUACAGGCACUAUUCAGCUUGAAAUGAAUUGGAGUAUGCCUUAUUUCUCUUUGUCUACAUCACACUAAUAGGAGUUAGACAUAAAAUUAUGGCUAAAUUACUAUGUUGGUCUUGUAUCUCUAUUUUAUAUUGUAAUUUAAGCUUCUAUUUGUUAAAAGUUACAAAAUGAUAUUUUAUUUAUUAAAAGUUGUAAAAUGGUUCCUUACAUAAUUUAUUUAUUGUAUCUUUACUUCUGAAGUAAUGUCUUUUUCAGUUGUUUUGGAUAAAUAAAAAAUAAUUAUUUUAAGUUAUAAUUAAUAUUCACACACUGGUAGACCCAAAGAUAGCAGAGACAAUAAUGUGUUUUAAGUGGCAUCUUCAAUUUGCAAGACAGCUAGAUUGAGAAAGGACAAGACAAGGCAAGAAGCCAUGUGCAAAGGACUGUUAGAUGAUUAUUGAUUACAUUGUAUUGAGGAAUUCUUUUGACUAGUAUGAUCUAUUUUUCACAGGCUGAGAUGACAACAAACUUUCAUCUCAAGUUUGGCACCUUGUUUCCAAUGAUAUAUUUAAUUUCCUCAAACGUUUUUUUUUUGCAGUAUUACAUCUAAUAUUCUAGUUUAUAUAUAUAUAUAUAUAUAUAUAUAUAUAUAUAUAUAUAUAUAUAUAUAUAUAUAUAUAUAUUAGUUUAAAAAGCUCUUUUUGAUCUCCCAAUAUAUAAAUUUCGUGUAUGAUAUGACUGAUUGUUGUGUUCAUUCUAACAUGAAUUUAUUCAUUUAAAUGCAAAUUAAAAUAGAUGAAAAGGAUAAAACAUUGGACAUGGAAAAGUUUAGGAAUGUUGAUCGGUGGUAAAAUAAUUUAAUGAUCAAAAUCAUAAAUUAUAAGAAAAUUAAGGAUAAAAAAAUAUUUUAUCAAAAAACAAUUAUAAGGACAAAAAUUCAAUUUUUUUAUUAAAGAUUAAAUACAAAAUUCAAAAAUGUUAAGGACCAAAAGUAUAUUAUGUCUGUCAAAAAUACUAAUUAUUCAUCUCACGUCCACCAAAUUUUCUUUUUUUAUUUUGCUCCUUUCUUUUUAAUAUAUUACUUAUCACAUAUAUCACUUUGUCUCUGUAUCUUUUUUCUUUUCUCUCUCAUCUUUCCAUCUCAAUUCAUCCUAAAACGGGGUAGAAGAAUAUCAUAGUUCUAUUUCUUUUCUUUUGUCAGAACAAGACCUAAUGAAUGAAUGAAGACUUGGCUACAGGGGUAAACAGGCAUGUUAUAUCCAUCAAAUGAAUUUUUUAAUAUACCAAAAAAAUGUUAGUGAAAAUAAAAUAACAUUACUAAAAAGAAAAUAAAAGAUUAUAUAUAUUUUUAGACCAUGAAAAAAUGAAUAUAUUGAAUUAGAGUUAGAGAUAUUCGAAAUCAAGCAAAAGAAAAAUACUCCGACGAUAGAAUAAAUCUUCAAGACUUGGGUAUAUUUCUUUUUCUUGGAAGCAGAGUCUAAUGACAAAGAAAAUACAAAAUGACUAACGAAGGAGUGAAGUCAGUUGCUGAAUUAACAUACAACGGAAGAGAUAGAAACUGGGACAAUAUAAAAAGUUUAAAAAUAAUAAAUAAAUAAAUUGGAAAAUAAAAAUGUGGCCACUUUAUCUCUUCUUUCAUGUUUGACCAAAAAGAAGACAUAUCUUUUUUCCAUAUGGUUUAACAUUUUUUUUUUCUCACACUAGAAGUUGCUCGAUCUGUUUUUUAGACACGUUAAAAAAGUCUCAUUUUUUUUUUAAAUCAUCUGUAUACAAUUAUUAGCGGCAAAGCUAGCAUAUAUGAACUAUUAGGGGCGAAAAGUGGUUUACAAAAAUAUGAGCCUUAAGUGCUAAAUGAAAAAUCAAAAUGAAAUUAUUCCUUUAAAACAAAUAAUCUGAUAAUCACAUUUUGACAUUAGCUGGACCACAAUAUCACAACUUGCUCGCAAAAGAGACGCUGCAAAGCUCAAAGUCUUCGUCUCCGCGUACACAGUGCACUAAGUUACAAAAUAUCAUCUCAGUAUGAUAUAGAUAAAAAGAAUUUAUAAAAAAAAAAUCUGAUAACCGACACCUGUUAAUCAUGACAAUAGAACUUAUAAAUAGAGAAUCCUGUUAAUUUUAAAAUUUUAUUAAAAUUAUAUGGUUAAGAUAUUAUCAUAAACAGUGUCCGUGUCAUUGUUUGGCUAAUUAAGUACAUGCCUACACCAACCAAAGUUAACGUUUCUUCAUUAUAAGAUUCUCACCAUUAUAAUCCUUUCUAUUAUUGUUCUCAGAAUUGGUAGAUGUUGACCUCAACUGGAUUGAGUUUUUUAUUUCCAUGUUGAUAAAUACUUGAACAAUUUUAUUGUUAUCAUUUUAAGAAGAAAUUAAUUUGGUGUUUUUAUAGGGUCGUAAGCAUAUAUUUCGUGUAAAUGUUGUGGGUUUUUAAAGUUUCAUUACGAUUGAAGUCCAAUAAUGUGGAUCUUUUUCAUAAAUUAGAUUGUGUUAAAUGUUCCUAAUUUUGAUGCUUUGAAGUUUGACCCACUUUGUACAACCAUGAAUUUUAGGAAAGUACUCAAGGAAGAUUGUAAGAGGUGUUCCAAAUCCAAUGUUUUCGAUGUUCCAAUCAUGCAGUUUUUUGAGUGUUAAUUAUUACGCCCAUUUUAGCGUUAUUAACACCAACACAAUACGAAGAAGCUGAAAAUAGUGUUCCUACAAAGGCAGACAAUUUUUGACAACUGGAAAAUUCAAGAUUCCCUCAAGUUCUUUCUUUUGCGGCUCGUGAAAUGGUGGAUGCAUGAGUGGAUUUGAGUCAUCAAAUUGAUUUUUUAAGCUUCCUUCUUCUCUUUCUCUUGUUUCUUUUUUUUUCUAAAAUGUGUACUCAAAUUUUUGUUAACUUGAUGUAAUUUGAAUUCUUAUCUAUAAUUCAAGUUUAUUUCUUUUAAAUUGAUUGUUUGUCUUUGUUUUAAUUUAAUGCCUUUAUAAAUUGGCAUUUGGUCACUUAUAGUGCCUUGAUCGUAUAUUCUUAUCUACAACUCUGAAAUUGAAAUAAGGAUUGAAUUUAAGGUAUAAUGCAACAAGAUUGGAGAUUCUAUAGUAAUAAAUAUCAACAAUUACGCUAAUUUAGGGUGUUUUUGAUUUGCAUUUUCAUUUUUUGUUUUCAUUUCCAAAAGAUUAGAAUUAUGAAAAUAUGUUUGGUUUGACGUCUUGUUUUCUGUUUUUAGGAAAUAAAAACAUUGAAAAUUUAUGAUAUAUUGACUUGUCUUUUUUUUUGUAUUUUUAGAUUUGCUUAAAAUUACAUUUCUUGUCAUCGCAUUUUCAUUUUACCCAAAAUGAGGUUCCUGUUUUCAACUGAAAACACUGAAAAUGAAAUUUUAUUGUUUUCAUUUUCUGUUUUUUUUUUGUUUUCAUCUUCACUGAAAGCGUUUUCAAAAAUCCAACCAAACACAUUUUCAUCACCAUUUUUCGCUUUCAGUGAAAAUGAAAACAGAAAACAGUCAAACCAAACACCGCCUUAGAUAUUCUUGAACCUAAUGAUUACCCUAAUUGAGAAAUUCUAAAGAUUUAGAAUUUUCAAUUGCGGAAGAGUUUUUGAGUUAAGAUAUAUUCACCUUCAAUUGCGGAAGAGUUUUUGAUUGCUUAAUUCGAAAUCGAUUCAAUUUGGUCUCUUUGGUCCAAAUUCACUUGACGUUGUUUAUUAAUAGUGGGAUGAGAUUGAAUCAAAUAAAGGAACAAAUUAAAUUGUUUAUUAAAAUUGAAAAAAAAAAUGAAAAAACAGUGAGAACAAGAAGUUUAUUAAGGGGUCAAAUUGCACCGUUUUGAAAAUUAAAGUACUAAAUAUUAAAUUGUUUAUUAAUAGAGGACCAAUGCUAAAUAAAUAAAUAGCACGACAAAAAAGUAGGAUUUUUUUUUACUUUCAGAAAAUUAGAAAAUUUUAUUGAAUUCUAAAAUAUUCAAUUAACUUGCCUAGUUUUUUGUUUAUUCACUCUUUUUUUUUUCCUUUUAAUCCUUGAUGUUUGAAAACUUCAAAAUUCUUUUUUAUCACAAACAUAUUUUAACUCUUUUAAAACAACAAAGCAAUGUUUUCUAAAAUGGGACUGUUAUAAGUUAUUGAUAAAUCACUUUCUUGAGUUAUAUUUUGUACAAACUUUUGUGUUAUUUUAUAUGCAUUUUCUUGAUACAAUUCACAUUUGAACAUUAGUUUUAUAUUCGAGAAGUAUAACUACUCAAUUGAGUGAAAGAGUAAGAAAUUGUACAAAUUUAUGAAGAUUUAAGAACUUUACAUAACUUGAUCACUAUUGUGGUACAAUGAUCACGAUCGUGAUAAUCAGUAUGAUCACAAUAAAGUGAUAACACUCAUCCCUAAUGUUUUUAUAAUAAAAAUGUGAUAUUGAUUUAAAUGUUUAUUUAAUCUCACAAAAAUUAUUUAAAGAAAUAGUUAGACCUAAAAUCAAAAUAUAAAUAUAAAUAACACUAAAAAUAAAAAUUUAAACAGAUGAAUUUUUAAUAAUUACAAAUAUAUAUUUACCUUAUAUCUUGUCGAUCUAAAAGAGUUAAAUUCACUACAACUUUUAUUGGUACAACUAACACUACUUACAAUUACAAUAAACAUUGUUUUAUUACAUUUACACAUUAGGAAGAUCAGAAAUUCACGUGAUGUUGUAGUAGGACAAAAAUAAGGAGACAAAAUCACUAACGUGUUCACAAAAAUAUUUAGAAUUAGCUAAGGCUUUAGUUUUUAAGUUUGAUUUUAAUCACUAAAUUCUUGUUUGACUAGUCAAAGUUUUUUAACUUUUAGAAAUUUUAAAUUUUAGUUCUUGAAUAAAAAAUUAAAUCUAUUUUUUUAUUAAUUUAAUAAGUUUUUAAUAAUUAUAAAUUGAUUUUUUAAAAGUUUAGAAAUUAAAAAUCUUAAUGAAGUCGAGAGACAUUGACCCGUCAAAUAAAAAUGUAGAAACUAAAAAAUCUUGAUUAAAAAAGUUGAAAGAUCUUGAUGAAUAGAAAAAAAAUUUAAAAAUUAAAUACUAAAUUCUGAAAAAGUUUAGUAAUAAUUAGCCCAAAUAUUUAAGAGAGAUGCUGGAAUCUCAAAGUCUUCCUAUCAAGUCUCAAGGUAGACGUUGCACUAAUUUUUUUUGUAAACACUAGCGUGGUUAAAAAAUAUGAUGUCAAUUUGAUGUAGAUAAAAGUAUGUCGUAAUAAAAAAAUCAUAUUAAGUGUAUAUAUCAUUUUUAAAAUUAUUAUUAUAAAAGUUGAUAAUUAAAUUUAUUAUAUAUAUAUACCAUUUAUGAUUAGAUGAGAGAGUAAAGUCUUAUAUUUUUGCAGUAACUAUAUCUUGCUUCUACAAAACAUUUAUUCUUAGCCAAUUUAUCACCAGAAGACUCUUUGUAAGCAUCUUUUAGUAGUAUUAAACUCUAGGAAAAUCUUCAUCCAGUAUUUUAAUGACAACUAGGUGAUCCUCGAUCCUGCGAAAAAAUAGGAAAGCAAAUUUUGUUCUUCUAAAUUAAAGACCAAUGAAAUAGAUCGAAAAUUUCCAUUUUUGAAAGAAAAAAAAGAGAGUAAAUUUUAAAGCUUAGAGUAAAACCAUAUGCAAUGAUAAGAAGGAUACACCAGCCUGUAUAUAGCUUUUAAAAGUAAAUAGAAUAGCUUAAUUACCCUCUUCCACCAAUGGUUAACCUAGUUAAAAAAAAAAAAAACUGUUCCUGUGGAUCAGCAUUUAAUUUCUUGCUCAUCAUAUAAUAUAUUAUUAUUGCCAGCAUCGAUUAGAUCAAAUCAGGUGGCUGACCUAUUCAACGGCAAUUCAUCAUCUCAGACCAGUUUCAAGAUCAAUCCUCAAAAUGAUCAAUUAUGUAAAUUAUCGGCGCAAACUAAAACACUAGAGCCAAAUGAAUAAUCAAAAUAAUAUAUAUAUAUAUAUAUAUAUAUAUAUAUAUAUAUAUAUAUAUAUAUAUAUAUAUAUCUGCAAGGUAAAUACUUUGACAAGUGUAAGAUAUUUUAUUUAAAUUUUAUCGGUACAAUAACACUGACAAAUACAUCUGACAUUGUUUAAUUAAUCACAUUUAUAUACAAUUAACUAGAUAGCAAAUUCACAACUUGCUAUAGCACGACAAAAAUAAAGGGAAAAAUAUCACAACUUGCUCAUAGUAUAUUUAAGAUAGAUGAUGCCGAAAAGUUCAAAGUCUUCCUCUCGACAGAUGUGAUAAUUUUUUUAUAUAACACUAAUAUAUGCUAUAGAUAAAGGAGAUGUAUUCGAGAAAACCUGAUGGCCAGAAAAGUUCAUAUCUGUAUAAUUAUGCAUAGAUUAUUAUUUUACUUAAAAUUAAUUUAUAUUUAUUGUAUUUGUACAAUUAAAAUUAAUUAAUCGUGCGUUAGGCUAACAAGAGUUGACACAUUUGAUGGAGAUUUUUGUCCACACUUGCUAUAACUUGACAGUCUUCCUUGACUUUACAAGAGGUGGCAUGGCUUCCCCUAUUAUAAUUUUUCACCUCAAAAAUAGGAUGAAUAGUACGUGAGAAUAUCAUCUUACACAGCUUACUAGAUAUAAAAAAGGCAAUAUGAAAAUAUACAAGAUAUUAUAAUAAAGUUUAUGCCAAUGUGUGUCAUCGCAUGUGGCUAACAUGCAAUCAAUACAUUGAUCCAAUGGAGGAAAAAAGAUCAUAAUCAUAAUAAGAAAAAUAUUAAGAGCAUGUUCUUUUAAGACUUUAACAUGCUCUUUUUUACACACUAUUUUCUAUUAGUUGAAAUUGAUUAUUCUUUUCCUGUUCCUACUUAUAAGACUUUUAAAAUAAUGCUUAUUCUUUUUUUAUAAAAUUUAAUUUAUAAUAUUUCUUGCAUUAAUUAUUUUUAAACUAAAUAUGCAUUAUUAAAAAAAAUAUAUAUUAACAAACCAUUAGACGAGAGAAAAUUUUAAUGACAAAAAUAAUUUUAAAAAAUAUUAUAAAUGUAAGACAAAAAUUAUUAUUAUGAAUUAAAUUAGUCACUUUCUUUAAUCAUAACUAGUAUGCAACCCGUGCAUACGCACGGGUUGCUUGAUUAAGGCAAAAUUCCAAAGUUUGAUAUUCAUCUCAUAAGAGAUAAUAUGAUCAGAAUUAUCCAGACUGUAAUGCAAAUUAAUUUGGCAUUGAUAUGAAGCAUCGAAGAAAGGUUAACUACUUAUAUACUAUUAUCUACAACUAAUUAACUUGUCCAGCAUGAUAAGAACUCAUGAAAUAACGUUAAUUUCAUAGUAGUUUCACUUUCUAGACAACAAUGCAAUUACAAAAGGGUUCUUUUAUAGCUAUCAUGCAGCUACUCGAGGACGCAAAUUCUGGUGAUGUCAAUGUAACACUGAGUGAAUUCUUGGUCUCCUGGAAAGAUCAGUGGGGUAACUAAUGGAAUGAAUGAAACAGAAAGUGUUAAAAGGCAAACAACAGAAGUGUAUGUCAGCACUAAAUAAGGGAUUGGUAUAGACACAACAGAAAGAAAUCCACGGUAAUCUAUCUUGUAAGUUUAGGAACAGAAACAUUACUUAUCUAUGUUUCAUGAUUUAAUCAUGAGGUUCAAACAUAAUAAAGAAAAUAAAUGUUUAAAACUAAAAGGGGUUAAAAAGAAAAAAGAAAGUGUAGUCAAAUUGAGAAUUGAAAUUUUAAAUAAGUCAAAUAGUUUUUUUUUUAUAUAUAAACACAUGACAUCAUGUCAAUUAUAAUACAAAUUACUCCAUAUUUACAUUUGUCAGGUCACAUAAUAAUAAGUUGAUUGUUAAUUUACUGUUAAACAACUUAAAUUUAAAAGAGAAUGCAAAAGAAUAGGACUGACCACCAUCCCUAUGACAUUUUUCUCAUUGCCAUUCAAACUAAGAAACUAUAGAAGAAUAAAGACUACAUAAUAAUAAUAAUAAUUCAUGAAAAAAUUUUAAAAAAAUUAAAUUCAAGUAAAAAUGAGAGAAACACUAACGUCUUAAAAUCCUGUAGUUGUCCUGACCUAUGCAUGGUGGAGAGAAGGGAUCACAAAAGAGAUAAUGGCAUGUAUGUCUGUCAUUUGUAACAUAUAAAAGAAAGAAAAACAUGAUAAAAAUGACAUAAAAUGAAAGAAAAAAUAGUUAUCUUUUAGUGAUAUUGCACCUCCCGUUACACAUUCACUCAAGAAAGUAACAAUUUAUUUUCUGAUUAAAAAACAAACUAAGAAACUAUAGAAAAAUAAAGACUAAAUAAUAAUAAUAAUAAUAAUAAUAAUAAGAUAUAGGAAAUAAUUUUUGGCUUUAUUUCAUUAUUAUUAUUAUUAUUAUUAUCAUUAUUAUAUAGGUUUUGUUCUUCUAUAGUUUCUUAGUUUGUUUUCUAAUUAGGGAAAAAAUAAAAAGGAUUAGGGAAGAAAACUUGAGAAUUAUUUUGGUUUUGUUUCAUUAUUAUUAUUAUUAUUAUUAUUAUUAUGUAGGCUAUGUUCUGCUGUAGUUUCUUAGUUUGUUUUUUAAUCAGAAAACAAAUAAAAAAGAUUAGAGAAGAAAAAAAAUUGUAAGUCUAAUAUCUCAACUCUAUGGUUAAUUUUUUUCCUUGAGACACAUAACAACCAAAAGUUAUGAACUAAGCAGGAAUAGCCACAAAAACCAUGAAGAAUUAACAAAAUCCUACCUUCAAGUAGAUGUCUAUAGCUCUGUACAGACCAUCAUGAUUUGGUCUAGCAAAAUCAGGAAUGGACUGUGAUUAGAAGCUGAAAUACAGAGUGCAAUGAAUAGAAUUUUAUCAAGUAAUGGUAGCUAUAGAGCUUCAGAUAUUUCUCUCCAUUUAACACUUUCUUCAACAAAGAAUCACGAACCCGAGAAAUGUAAGAGUCAUAUCUCUUAUCUGUCUUAGUAAUAUUGUCGUACCUUCAAAACAAAAGUAAAAUAAAACAAAAAUAGGAUCACAUCUAUCAAAUUAUUGCACCAGAUUUCACAAACAACCUCAAAACACUCAAAAUUGGAAGGAGAAAAGAAAAAGAAAGGAUGAAGCACAAAGACUGAGAAUUGAGAACAUCAUUAACUAUUAACAAAUAUACUUGGGCUUUAAUAUCCUUGUCCAACGCCGAAGACCCCCCUUCCUCUUUGUUCACAUAUUCUAGAUAUCCCCUUAAUUAUCUAAAGGUUCUCCACUAUUUGUCUACAGAGAGGUUGGUCCCUUCAUUGCCACUAAAUGCAUGCCUUCCUAUUUCCUUUGUUUUGAUGACCCUCUCAUGAACAUUAGUAGUAAACAUGAAACAAUGGAAUUGCACAAAAAAAAAAGCAUUUUUUUUGUUUUAUUUUUUAGAAGAAUAAAGAGGAAGAAAUUGCAAAAAAAAAAGUCACAUGUCAAAAGAGAAAUAAAACAAAUGACAACUUCCAAGAUUAAACUUAUAGUAUAUUUAUUGAUAUUGAUUUAUAUUUUAUCUUUUAUAUAUAUAUAUAUAUAUAUAUAUAUAUAUAUAUAGUACUCAAUACUUACAAAAUUUACUUUGCUUAAUUUCUUGGAUCAUCCUGUACUCAGUUUUUUUCCCUAACAAAGGAAAUCAAUUUUUUUUCACGCUGUCGCCCAUCCAACAAUGCAUACUUCCAACUGUUCUCCUCAAUGAAGUUCUUGCCUGUGUGACCUUCGAUAAUGUCCUUCCUCAAGUUGGUAACCCUGUCAAUCACGGCCUGCACACAUUUUUCUUACUAAAUGUAGUAUACCAGCAGUCAAUACAUGAUCAUAUUUUCAAAAAUAAAUAUUGCCUCUGUCAAUUUUCCUUCCCUUCAAGCUAUGAAUGUUGAGUAUAAACUUACCAUCCAAACAUGAAGUCAAGGCCCCUACGUGCAGCAUCUUGAUCAGAUUUCUCUUUAGAAACCGGCACAUACCAAUCAGAAUUCAAGGUAAUCCCUAUUAAACCCUUUUGAGAUGCCAGCAUACACACUUUUAAAUAUUUUGUCAAUUUAAUUGCUAACAGCAGAAAAUAGGAGAAAGUGAUAAGAUAUUCUUAAAAUAAUGGAUUAUCAUGUUCACUAAACUGGCAUUAAAAAAAAUCAAUUUUUAAAAUUUAAUUAUGUACAUCAUCCUUUUCAAUUUUUAACAACCAUACUUUAAUCUUAUCUUCUUUUAAAUCCUAUUUUUAUUUUUUAAAAAAGAGAUACUAUAUAUAUCAUAUAUGAAUUUUAAAACCAAAUUCAAUUGUCUUGCAGGAAGAGAAGGCUUUUCCCGCUAUGUCACACUCACACCUCAACAACUUGUCUUCUAACUGCUCCAGCUCCAUGGAAUUGGAGAUUGGAGCUACUCAUACAGAUCAGACACUUGGUACAUAUGCUAUAUAAUAAUAUUUACCUUUCAUUUGAAUAUUACUAUAUUCUUAUUUAGGCUUCAUUUGUUGUUUCUUAGAAUGCUAAUGACUGACACCAUUAGUUCUACUUGUUUGUGAAUUGUGAUCUUAGAAUGCUAAUGACUGACAUCGAGCAUACAUUCAUCAUCACCAAAUAAACUGCGUUUAAGCUUCUCCUCAACAGUUCGCCCAACUUUACCACUCCCAACAAACUCCUCCUCAUCAGACAGCCCAGAGGGCUCCUCCUCGGUAUCCCUCCGGUUUUUUUUCAGCCGCUUAAACUUUUUGCUCUCCUUAUGAAUCAUAAAAAUUAUUGUCAAUAAAUUUGUAUAUAUGUAGCAUGGUAUUUAUCCACUGAAAGCCAACAUUAAUAAGAAAAAUUUGAAACACAUACAAAAAAUUCAAAACCUUCCAUCGAUGAAUAUUGAUAUUAUUGUCCUCCAGCAAUUCAUAAUCAUCUUCAUCAAGGACAUACUCCUCCCUAAAAUAGUGAGAUUAAUUUGUCAAAUAUGAAUGUUAACAUCAUUGAUGUUUAAAAUUUCAACCAAGUAUAGACAAAAGCAAAUAAUAAAAAAAAUUCAAUCCAAUGUCGAUCUCCCUCCAAAGGGACACAGAAUGAACCAAGGGGUACCAGAGAAAAAAGGAAGGGCAGAAGCUAGCCAUGCACAUUUUUGAACUUCAAAAAAAAAAAAAAAAGACAGAUUUAUAUGUAAGUAUGUCAUUCACACAACAUGUGAAUAGUUUUAAGGAAAAAACCUAUCAGCUACUUGAUGCAAGUGAUUAUCAAAUAAAUACACAUACACACAUACAAAUAUAUCUAAAUUAAUAAAAAAUAUUUAUAUAUUACCAAUCAUUGUGCUUUCUUCUCUAAACAUAUAAGUUCAUCAACUUCAACCACAAACAGGUAAAAAAUACAUUAGUGAUAAAAACUGACCUUUUCUUCCUCUUCUUUUUCUUCUGUGGCUUAUCAUCAGAUUCUGUUCUAUCUUCUUCUUCAUCCUCCUCUUCGUCCUCAUCCGCUAUAAACCCAUCAUUUUCAUAUUCAUCCUGCCCUUCCGAAGUGAGGAGGAAAAGAAAAAGAGGAUCAGCAAGAAUAAUAAGAUGGCAUAAAGCCCAUGAAGGGAUAAUCCUAUGGACAUUAUUAUUGGCUACAGAAAAUAAGAAACCAUCUUAAAUAUCACAUUCAUAUAAGCAAAAACAAAAUCAAAAACAUCAAAACAAAAAAAAGAACAAAAUGCUAAACUCUCAACCGACAAUCACAUUGCAUUUACCACAGGCAAUCAGAACACCGACCAGGUGCAAACCAGCCAUUUGCAUAGCCAUUCUUGCUCACACUCCUCGGUUCAUUCAAAGUAAUCCAAUGUUUCACCCUAUUGCCAAAUUCCUUGAAGCAAAGUUUAGCAUAGUCCCUAAAAUCAUCUCUGCAUGUUCAUAUGAAUUAUAUGUGUUUAUCAUAUCGUUAGAUUUACUAAAAAUUUCUCUCAAUAUUCGUACAAUGGAAGGAAACUGAUUUCACUUACACAAUGUGAGGACUUAAAAAACCACCAUACUCAUCCUUUAAGGCUUGGGGAACGUCGCAAUGGAAAACGAUCACAUACGGUUGCAGACCUGCAUGAUUUAUGGUGAUUAUAUAUGGUUAACAACCAUAUGGAUAAGAUAUUAAUGAAUUAUGACCAUUAGCCAUGAGCUCAUUGAUGAGGUUGUUGUAGUAGUUUACUCCAUGGUUCACACCUGCACUAAGCUUUACUUCGGCAAAUGAUUUAUAAGAAAUUAAUAAUCGUUGCUAUGGAACACAAACUAAGAAAAAAAUUUAUUUGGGUGGAAUUUCAACAAAACUUGACUUACUCGGUAGUACCCUUAGAAGCUGCAUCUUUAAACAUAUUUUUCAAACUACACUACCUCAAAUAAGACUCUAAUACAAUAUUAUAAAACUGAAAAUUGCUUGACAAACAUCUAACCUAUAUAUGGGUAGUGGAGACGGAGAUUUCCCUAUGAUAAAGAAAUUAUCUGGUUGUGGUACUCUGUUUUGAAUUAUAGAUAUGCAGACUAUAUAUAUAUAUAUAUAUAUAUAUAUAUAUAUAUAUAUAUAUAUAUAUAUAUAUUCAUGCUCAAAUUUUAAAUUUUAUAACACUAAGGCGUCUACAACAUCAACACUUCACUGUCAAUAGGUGAAAAAUUAACUCAAUUGAAACACUACCUUUAGUCACGUCGAAGGAAUUCCACCCACAAAAAUCUUUUUCGUUCGAAAGUCUUUUUGAGUUCCAGCCAGCAGCCCCCCUCAGUAUCGUCCGCUUAAUCUCCACCUACAAACAAAACCAUUCAAUGCAUCAGCUUUCAUUUCCCUUUCAUUCUGUUCCCUCCUUUAAGUCUUUAAUAAUCAAUACUAAAAAAGAUUCAAAAUUCAAACGCGUGUCAAUUAUCACCUGCUUGCCAUUGAUAAUGUGAGUGUCCUCAAUCACUAUAUCUACCAAAGUGCUUGAUGAAUUGCGCUACACAAAAUUAUUUUAAAAAAAUAGUUAAUUACACGAAAUCUCAUUGGUAAACCCGGAAAGAAAAACCAAUGCAAUACAAAUAGAAAACACUCAUCAAUCGGCGUUUCUCUCGCUAAACCCCCUAUGAAUAUCUUUCUACAAUCAAUGGGUCCAGGAUAAUUAGAUAGAACCAAAUCUAAGAAAUUUUGAGAAUACAAUCAAGAAAAAUUAAUAACAACGUGGAGUUAAUUAACACAAACUCAACGAAGAAAAACAAAAGGAACACUAUAUCUGUUCCAAUCAAUAUAAAUACACAAUUCUAAAUACAAAUCUAUUAAAAUGCUAGAAUGAAAAUAUAAUUGGUGUUAACCAAAGAAAUGCUGGUGAGAAGUAAAUUUUUUUUUGAGCUGAUAUUAUCAGUAAAAUAGUUGUUGUACCAUCACCAUGCAGGUGCCAACUGUUUGAAAGCUUCUUGGAUGUCUUCGGAAAGGUUAAAGUUAUGGAUUACAGAAAGAGGCUUGUGACACAGAAACAUAACAUUUCACACAUGGUUUUUUCUUUCCCUUGAAAAUCCUAGAUAAUAAUUGAAACACCAAUAUUUUUUUAAAAAAAAAAAAAACAGCAGAGAUUGCUCACAUCUACCAAAAUUGACGUAAGAUCAUUUUUAUCCAUACUGGCUAGACGGGAAAACAAUUAAAAAUGAGACAUUUGAAUAUUAGUUUAAAUUAUAGGCACAUGUAAAAUUGUUUAUAUAAUUAAUUAAUCAGAAAUCCUGAUAGGUGUGAUUUUUUUAUUAUAAAAAAGUCAAUAAACUUAUCAAAUAUAGGAAUUUAUGAAUAGAUGCCAUUAUAAAAAUCCUUUACACCAUCAAUAAAUAAAUUGUUAACUCUUUAAAGAUUUGUGAAAGGUAUGGUGCAAACUGCAGACUCAGUUAAAAGUAACACUCAGUGGAAAUCAUUUAUGUCUCUCCUCUUUGAAUACAUAUAAUUCCUUCUCAUGAGAGUAUUAUACACUACAUUAUUGUUGUAGUUUUAUCUUUCAUCCCAUUUACAAAUCAAAUACGACAUGAAAUUAAAACCUAAAUCAAGAUGCAAACCACCGUCCUUUCAAUUUUUAUUAGGAAAAGUAAUAUGUACACCUUAUUCAUAUGUGAGUGAGAAUAAUUUAAACCACUUAACUUAAAUACAGUUUCAAGUGAAACAAAUUUACAAUGAUGACAAAGAUGAUGCAGUUACAGUUUGAUCCAGUGUGGAAGUAUGCAGACAUUACUCUUUUUAUCAUCUUAUGAAGCGUAGGCGACAUGCAUAUUUCACCUAGGAUAUGAAACCAAAUCAAUGCGUCAAUCCCCUUCCAAAACACACCGAGACCAAAAGAUAAAUUUUUAAACAUGAAAAAUUAAAAGUUCUAAAUUGUACUAAUGCAUCACAAAUAAAUAAUUUUAAAAGUGCCACAAAUUUAAAAUUAAAAUAAGAAAUAAGAAAACAUACCUAAAAAUAUUAUAUUUACAUUUGAUCAAACACAUAACCUGUAACCAAUAAAUGUCCUAAUGAACAUGAUCAGAAAAUCCAUAACUGUGAGCACUAAAAAUACCACUGAGCCACAGACACCCUGAUCCAAAUAAAAAUCGCAAAAAUAAAAACCGCAAAAAGAUAUUGUGAGGUGUAGAGCUUGCAUGCAAAUCCAGAUAAUUAAGCACUGAGGAAAAUACAUAAAAAUUAUAGCUUACCUCGUAGAUUAUCCCGUAAAACUCUGAACAAUAUCAUAAAUAUGAGUUUAAGGAAAAAAUAGCAACGAAGCAUCCAAAAAAAUCAGACAAAAAAACAUAAACACCGUUUUAAUAAAAUCAAAAUAAAAUAACCUCUAUCUUCCUCUUAAUUUCUCUGACCACUUCUUUGCCAAAGCCGCUGUUAUUAUUGUAGCUUGUUCCAAAAAUAAGACCUGUUAAUUUUUUGCUUUUUCUUUUUCUGGGGUGCAUUUUCUAAGCAAAACGUGAAGAAGCGAAAAAAAACACAAAAGGAAUAGAAAGAAGAGUGAAAGGAAACAACACAAACUAGUGAGAGUGUUCCAAGUGGUUCUGUGAGAUCCUCAUGCAGAGACCAAAGUGAGCAGCAAAUGAAGAAGAAGAAGAACAAAGAAUGCAUUGCGAAAAGCGGGUGGCUUCAGCAUUCUGGGGAAAUUUCAGUUUCCGAAAAAAAAAGAAAAAGAGAUAAACGGAGGAAAGAGAAAGAUUUAGGAUUUGAAACAAAUUAUCAAGCAAAAUUAAACGGAAGUUGAAAUCCACCAGUUUCAGAAUGAUACGUGGAGUUGGCAGCAGAAAAAAAAGUUCAAAGGAAGACACAUGGCAGCGAGGUGGCACAAAAUCAAGCAAAGCUGAAGGGGCAUAAAAUGACCAUAAAACCAAGAAAAUGGACAGAUGUCAACACCUCAGUCAUGGGCAUUUUAGUAUAUUUGUCAUACUUCAGUUUUAGUAUAUAGAUAUUGAUGAAUUAGGUAAUUGCAUGGAGGGACUAAAAAUCAUAAAAUUGAAUGGAUUUCAUCAGUUCUUAUUUAAAGGACCUUACUCAUGAUUUUUCAUUUUUAACAAAUUUCAACCAAUAAGAAAAUGUGCUAGAAAGUGUAAUGCCAACACUCAAAACUUUGUGUUGUAAUACUAAUUUUAAGUGCUAAUCAUGAGUAGGUUUGCUUUAUGAAAGAAAAGUAAUACUUCCUUUCAUUUCAAAUAUAAGAAAAAAAAUUCUUUUGUCUCAAAUAUAAGAAAAUUAGUAUUAAUUAAAUUUAUUUUAUUUAAUGUUAUUAUCUCUAAAAUAUCUUUCAUUUAAUUGAUAUCUUUUUCAUUUUUUAUUUUUUUAAUACAAAGUUUCAAUGAAUGAUAAGUUGAGAUAAAGUUAGUUUUAAUCAAACGUGGUUAACUAAUUUUCUUAAUUAGAACAAAUGAGUAUUUUCUUUGGUAAAUGCCAACUAGUAUCCUUAACACAUUAGGUAAAGAACUUAAAGUAGAAAUAUUUUAAUGGAAGAUAGAAAAUUACGCUGCUCAUGAUUUUUUUGCAUUCUCUUAUAAUUUUUACAGUGAAUAUUUUCUUCUUUUAGUUUCUUAACUAGUAUUCUUUUCUUCUUUUAAUUUCUUAACUAGUGCUCUCAGGGCACACGUUUAACAAGACCAUUUUUCUUAUAUUUGAGAUCCAAUAGAGUAUGAACUUUACAGGUUUUUGUGCAAUUGGUCCGAAUUUAGAUUAAAUUAAAAUUAAAUCCUAAUGAGUCAUGUUGAAUAUAUUAUAUAUUGGUUAUAUUUGAAUUUUAAAAAAAUAAAUCAUUCCAUUGUCAUUUAAAAUUUUUAUCUCCACUAAGUGUUGAUUUUUUAGCAUCUAAAACUGUAAGCAAAUGAAUAUAUUAGAGAAUCAAACAAAUUGUAUAUUUUUUAAGAAAAUUAAUAUAUUAGAGAAUCAAACAAACUGUAAUUGGAUAUUCAUAUUUGAAGUAAAAAAAAAAAGAGAACUAAUUAAUCAAACCAAUUUGAAUCAAAAUAAUUGAUUUGAUUUAGAUAGUGAGUUUAUCAAGUCAAUUUGAUCAAUGCUCCUAAAAUGAAGAAAACAAGUGAAAAAAAGAGGGAAAAGAAGUUUAAAAUGACCCAAUUUGUUAGAUUUCCUUUUUCGUUUGUUACUAUAUUAUAGGUGUAAAAGUAAUCUAUCAACUUUGUCAAUCAAUAUUUCCGUUAGAGAAUGUGACUCGUACACCAUUAGUGAUUGUUUGUUCAUCUUAUAUUUAAUUGUGUAGUAAAUUAAAAAAAAAGUUAUAUAUACUCAAAAUAAGACGUAUAUAUAUACUAAAAAUGAUAGUCUUAUAUAGUCCGUCUUGAUGUUCCUCCGUUUUCUCGGAAAAUAAACAAAGCUUGAAAGAUUGGCCGCUUGAAUUGAUAUUGCACUGUAUCUGUUUAACAAGUUGUACUUUAAACAUUAAACUGUUUUUUUAUGAUAUAUUCACAAACAUAUUUGUCUUUUUUAUUUCGUUUAACUUUGUAGUUGCUGAGUUCAGAUGUAUAUUGUUAAGCAAAUAAGCUGGGAACGGAAUUAUGAGCCUAAAAGCUAGAGCCAAUAGAACAAGCAAAUAUUAAAUUUAUUCCCUAACAAGGCAAUUAAAUUGACAGCAGGGGCCGGUUAAAUAGUAUGGUGAGAACAUCAUUUUAUAUACCUUACUGGAUAUAAAAAAAUGGACAGUAUGGAAAAUAUACAAGAUAUUAUAAUAAAGGUUUGUGACUUUGGGUGUCACCGUGGGGGACUAACUUACAAUCCAUCCCUUGUUCGAUGAAGAAAAAAAUCUAAUCCUAAUAAAGAAAAAAAUUNNNNNNNNNNNNNNNNNNNNNNNNNNNNNNNNNNNNNNNNNNNNNNNNNNNNNNNNNNNNNNNNNNNNNNNNNNNNNNNNNNNNNNNNNNNNNNNNNNNNNNNNNNNNNNNNNNNNNNNNNNNNNNNNNNNNNNNNNNNNNNNNNNNNNNNNNNNNNNNNNNNNNNNNNNNNNNNNNNNNNNNNNNNNNNNNNNNNNNNNNNNNNNNNNNNNNNNNNNNNNNNNNNNNNNNNNNNNNNNNNNNNNNNNNNNNNNNNNNNNNNNNNNNNNNNNNNNNNNNNNNNNNNNNNNNNNNNNNNNNNNNNNNNNNNNNNNNNNNNNNNNNNNNNNNNNNNNNNNNNNNNNNNNNNNNNNNNNNNNNNNNNNNNNNNNNNNNNNNNNNNNNNNNNNNNNNNNNNNNUGAUUGUCAUCUUUGUGAUUUUUUUGUGGCGACAAAUUACAAAAUCUUAUUUUUUAUUUUUUUUUGUGGGAGUUUGGAAAAAAGUUAUAUAUACUCACUAUCAGACGUAUAUAUACUAACAGUAUAGUUUAUAUCGUCCGUCUCGAUAUGUUCCUCCGUUUUCUAGGAAAUAAACAAUGCUUGAAAGUUAGCCCGCUUGAAUUGAUAUUGCACUGUAGCUGGUUAACAAGUUGUACUUUAAACAUUAAAAUAAGAAGUAUAUUCACAGAGAUUGUCUUUUCUAUUCGUUUAAACUUUGUAGUUGCUGAGUUCAGAUGUUAUUGUUAAGCAAAUAAGUUGUUGACGGAAGUAUGAGCCUACAGCUUCAGAGCCAAUAGAACAUUCUAAAGCAAAUAUUAGUUUAUUCCUAACAGGCUAUUAAGUUGACAAGCAUGGCCGUUUAAUUUUGUUGGUAAAACUAGCUAAUACCGACUAACAUCAUUGAAACAAAUAAUUAGUUUUCUCUAAGAUAUUAGUUUUCAUAAUGUUGGAGAGUAUAAGUGUGACGUAAAAUAAGAGUAGAAGUGGAAAGUUGCAUCAUACAACUGAAAAGAAAAUUUAUAAAUCCAAGUUUUAAAAUUUUAAAUUAAAGUGUGUUAUCAAGUUUUUUUAUAAUUCAUUCGUGUAAAUCUCCAAUUAUGUGGUAGCGUGAUAAGGUAUGGAUACAGUGACAAACAAUUAACAUUAACAAUGGCAAAUUCAGUGCUGACAUGCACGUUCAGCUGCGUCUCAAACAAUUAACAUUAUAGGACAAGUGGAUGAUACUUUAACUUCCACAUGCCAACUAUUAUGACUUCGUAUUAAUUGGAAUAAAUAACUACUUUAUAAAUUAGCAUUACAUCCAACUUGCUGAAUAAAAGAAUAUUAAAUAUUAAUCAAUUGUCCCCCUCUUACUACGGACAUGGCUAUAUAUGUUCAAGAACAUCAAGUUUGGCACUCACAACAAACCAAAAAGCAGAGCUAACUAGCUAGACUAAAAUGGCAGAAACUGCAGUGUCCUUGGCUGGUAAGCAUGCCCUUCCAAAAAUAUUGGAAGCUGUCAAAAUGGUGAGAGAUCUCCCAAAAGAAGUUAGAGACAUUACAGAUGAACUUGAAAGCUUUCAAGAUUUCAUUAAUGAUGCUGAUAAAGUGGCUGAAGCUGAACAAGAUGAUGGAAGGUGUCAUAGAAUAAAAGAAAGGGUGAUGCGGCUGAGAGAAGCAGCUUUUCGCAUGGAAGAUGUCAUCGAUGAAGAUGAAUAUAACAUCUCCGGUGAGGAUAAGCAACCUGGUGAUCCUCGAUGUGCAGCUUUACUAUGUGAGGCUGUUGACUUCAUCAAAACUCAAAUCCUUCGCCUUCAAAGUGCGUACAAGAUUCAGGAUGUUAAAUCGCUUGUUCGUGCUGAAAGAGAUGGUUUCCAAACCCAUUUUCCUUUAGAACCAAGACUAACAAGUUCUAGAGGAAAUCAAGAUGUCACCUGGCAGAAACUUCGAAUGGAUCCCCUCUUUAUCGAGGAAGACGAUGUUGUGGGUCUUGAUGGCCCUAGAGAUACAUUGAAAAAUUGGUUGACAAAGGGAAGAGAAAAACGCACUGUCAUCUCUGUGGUGGGAAUUCCUGGGGUGGGAAAAACCACUCUUGCCAAGCAAGUUUAUGACCAGGUGCGUAACAAUUUCGAGUGCCAUACAUUGAUCACAGUGUCUCAAUCCUACUCUGCAGAAGGACUGCUGAGGCGUUUGUUGGAUGAGCUUUGCAAAGUGAAAAAGGAGGACCCUCCCAAGGAUGUUUCUAACAUGGAGUCGUUGACCGAAGAAGUCAGAAACCGCUUGCGCAACAAGAGGUAUGUUGUCUUGUUUGAUGACAUAUGGAGUGAAACAUUUUGGGAUCACAUUGAAUCUGCUGUGAUGGAUAAUAAAAAUGGAAGUAGGAUUUUAAUCACAACCAGGGAUGAGAAGGUUGCGGGAUAUUGUAAGAAAUCAUCAUUUGUUGAGGUGCAUAAGCUAGAAAAACCAUUAACUGAAGAAGAAUCAUUGAAAUUGUUUCUAAGAAGGCAUUUCAGUAUAGUUCCGAUGGAGAUUGUCCAGAAGAACUUAAAGAUAUAUCUCUUGAAAUUGUUAGAAAGUGUAAAGGUUUACCUCUAGCAAUAGUGGCCAUUGGUGGUCUUUUGUCUCAAAAAGAUGAAAGUGCACCUGAAUGGGGACAGUUUAGUCGAGAUCUAAGUUUAGACAUACAUGGAGAGGAAUUCUGAGUUAAAUAGUAUAACAAAAAUUUUAGGUUUAAGUUAUGAUGAUUUGCCGAUCAAUCUCAGAUCAUGUUUAUUGUAUUUCGGAAUGUAUCCGGAGGACUAUGAAAUUAAAUCUGAUAGAUUGAUUAGACAGUGGAUAGCUGAAGGGUUUGUCAAACAUGAAACCGGAAAAACAUUGGAAGAAGUUGGGCAACAAUAUUUAUCAGGGUUGGUCCGUAGAAGUUUGGUGCAAGUAUCCUCAUUUAGAAUUGAUGGCAAAGUUAAAAGGUGUCGUGUUCAUGACUUAAUACACGACAUGAUCCUUAGAAAAGUCAAGGAUACAGGGUUUUGUCAGUAUAUUGACGGGCGUGAUCAAUCUGUUCGAUGCCUGAAAAUUGCAACCGAUGAUUUUAGUGGAAGUAUAGGAAGCUCACCCAUUCGGUCAAUUUUUAUUAGAUUAAUAAGCUUAAAAAGCUACGUCAUCUUCUGAGUGGCUAUAUAUCUUCAAUUCAAUGGAAGGAUAUUGGAGGCAUGACAUCCCUACAAGAGAUACCACCAGUGAUUAUAGAUGAUGAUGGAGUGGUCAUUAAAGAGGUAGGAAAGCUAAAGCAGUUAAGGGAACUGUUGGUGCUAGAUUUUAGGGGAAAACACGAAAAGACUUAAUUUGUGUUCCUUAAUAAAUGAGAAGCCACUCUUGGAGAAACUACUUAUUGAAAGAGCUGAUGUGAGUGAAGUAAUUGACUUGUACAUUACGUCACCUAUGUCUACACUUAGAAGCUUGUCCUAAGUGGGACGUUAACAAGGUUGCCAAAUUGGAUUUCACAGUUCCCAAAUCUUGUGCAACUGUAUUUGUACUACUCCAGGUUGACUAAUGAUGCAUUGAAAUCACUAAAAAAUAUGCCAAGGUUGUUGUUCCUCGUUUUAAGUGACAAUGCUUAUGAAGGUGAAACUUUGAAUUUUCAAAGUGGAGGGUUUCAGAAACUAAAGCAACUGCAACUCAGAUAUUUGUAUCAAUUGAAGUGCAUCCUUAUCGAAGGAGCACUGUGUUCUGUGGAAGAAAUUGUUUUACAAGACCUCCCCCAACUCAAAACAGUUCCCUCUGGAAUUCAACACUUGGAGAAGCUUAAAGAUCUCGAUAUCGUGCACAUGCCAACUGAAUUGGUGCACCGAAUUGCUCCUGAUGGAGGAGAAGACCACUGGAUCAUCCAAGAUGUGCCCCAUGUACAUAUUUGGAGCAGGUAUGCUGAAGAACCUUUGCAUAUAUUCGGCAGAAGUCAUCACUAAGAUGCGUCCAAAUUUGAAAAUAGAAGGUGCGUCUUUUUCACAUCUAUAACUUUGUAGAAUGACAUUCGUGGCCUUUCUGUUUUCUUCAAUAAAAAAUGCAACCAUUAUCUAAUUCCUAAAAUAAUUACUUUUGCCUCAUUUUCUCUUCUAGUAUUUGCUUCAUUUUUCUUUCUCUACAACAUCUCACGUACAAGUUAGGGACAGAAUUGUCUAACAAGUAUAUGCCUACACCAACCAAAGUUAACAUUUCUUCAUUAUAAGAUUCUCACCAUUCUAAUCCUUUCUAUUAUUGUGCUCAAAUUGGUAGAUGUUGACCUCAACUGGGUUGAGUUUUUUUUAUUUCCAUGUUGAUAAAUACUUGAAAAUUUUCAUUGUAUCAUUUUAAGAAGAAAUUAACUUGGUGUUUUUAUAGGGUCGUAAGCAUAUAAUUCGUGUAAAUGUUGUGGAUUUUUAAAGUUCCAUUACGAUUGAAGCCCAAUAAUGUGGAUUUUUUUCAUAAAUUAGAUUGUGUUAAAUGUUUCUAAUUUUUAUGCUUUGAAGUUUGACUCACUUUGUACAACCAUAGAGCACUGAGGGAAGAUUGUAAGAGGUGUUCCAAUUCCAAUGUUUCUGACGUUCCAAUCUUGUGGUUUUUUGAGUGUUAAUUAUUACGUCCAAUUUAGCAUUAUUAACACCAACACAAUACGAUGAAGCUAAAAAUAGUGUUCCUACAAAGGCAGAUAAUUUUUGACAACUGGAAAACUCAAGAUUCCCUCAAGUUCUUUCUUUUGCGGCCCGUGAAAUGGUGGAUGAGUGGAUUUGAGGCAUCAAAGGGCAAGAUUCAUCAAAUUGAUUUUUUAAGCUUCCCUCUUCCACUACUAUAAAAAAGCAUUUCCACGACAUCAAUAUAACAUUGGUGCUAUGCUAUCGUUGUUGAAUCUGUAGCGGUGACAUUUUUGUAAACACCCGGACAUUAACGACAACGUUUUUGGUGCUGCCCGAUGUCGUAUUUGAGCGGUUCAAAUGACUACGUUUCAGUAGUGAAAAACGUCUUCGUAUUUCACAGCAUGCCAAUGAAUACAACGACAUUUUUUAAGAAAUCACUGUCCUUGUUGCAGUUUUGCAAAUUAAAAUAAAAUUUUAGAAACCGCGCCAUUACCUUUUAACUCUUUGCCCUUCCUAUCUGUCAUGAGCACGCCCUAGCUAGCAACCUCCUUCAUAGAAAACCUCUGUGGUGCCCUCCCUCGUGUGCUUCUGCGUUUCGUCGGUGCCGGUAACUUGUCCGGGCUAGGUUUUGUCCAACUUUUGUGAGGUAAGUAAACUUUGUUAAUUACUUGUUAGUUUUCGUCAUUUACCAGUACUAGGGUCUGUCCGGGCUUGGUAUUUACAGUUGAGGUCGAACUCUAGGGUCUGUUGGACUGAGUUCUGCAUAAGCAACAUGAAAAUAUAACAACAUUACAAUUAACCCAGCUUGUCCUUAAUUUAUUGGGUGCUAUGGUAAGGACUGUGUUUGAAAGUGAAAAUAGUUUUUUUAAUUGGAGUUGCAUGUACACUUUGAGGUAACACCAUAUGUAUGAUACAGCUAUAUAGGUGAGUCAUGGUUUUGAGGGACAAAGAGAACACUUCAUGGGGCGGGAAUGGUAAAUAAUGAUGAUGAUGGUUUGUGGGGUUUGCUUAAAAUUAAUAUGAAUAUGAGGGUAUAUAGAGAGAGACAGAGGAGAGACAAGGAUUGUGUUUUUAUUUUGGUUGAUGCCUAUAGUGGAAAAGGGAUUGGAGGGGGACCUCAUACAGAGCUGUUUAGCAGACAAUCUGAUUGUGUAUUCCUCCAACCCCUCAAUUUGCUUACUUUUUUUAAAUUGCUGUCAUAGAUGCAUGAAUUAACAUCUGGACUCAUUUAAGGACCCUGUUUUUUAGGGGAAGAACCAAAUUUUGUUUGUUGUAACUUAAGUUUCCAAUUCCCUAGCAAGAUAGGUUACUGCUAGUAUGAUAGUUUGAAGGUCAUUUCCUCUUUUUGGUAAAUAUAAUAUAAUUUUUACCCCAAGCAUAAUUAUUUCCUUUCCUUAAGUAGUUUAGGUGAGUAUUUGUGUUCAUGCCGGUUGUAGAUCAAAGUUAUUUUUCCAGAAAUAAGUUUUCAGUGAAAAGUUUUAUCCAUAUUGGUUUUCCAUAGAGAAUUAAACUAUAUCCGAUUUUUUUUCGACAAAUGCUACUUUGUUAGUUGUUAGUUUUUGUUAAUGCUUAGUUGGCUUGCAACAGUGGCCUAUAACAUUAGUGGACAGGAGAGAACAAUUAACUAGCAUGAGUAACUGAUAAUUGGUGAGUUUCUUGAGUUAGUGUGUGUUCAACCAACUAAUGGUGAUUGUUAGUUAGUAGCACAGUAUGUGGGUAAGGUGGCAAUGCAUAGCAUAAUUCUUGAAAUUUUUCUGUAAAAUAGGAUCUGCAACAAGAAGCAAUUAUAUUUGUCUGCAGAGUGCUUCUUUAUUUAUUGGAUAAUUUCCUUUGACCAGAACUCCAGAAGUUUCCUUAGACAGUUACUUCUGGUGAAAUAAAUGUGUUCUUACACUCAGCUUUCAUUUUUAUUAGUGUUGGGGCUACACAAGUUUCUGUGUGUAAGGUGAGGUAUUAUAACAGUAGAAGGGAUAAGUCAUAAGUUAAAGAGGUUCAAAAUUGAAAGGCAGAUUCAAUUUGGAAGAAAAUCUUGAAAUGGAACUAUUCAUCACCUGGUGUGUCUGAGGCUAUCAGGUUAAAAAAAAUGAACUUAAAAAGCAAAUGAGUUAAUCUAGUAUUGCAAUACAUCGGCUAGUUAGUUUCUUUAUAAUAGUAUCACAUGUAAUACGAUUUCCGUCUUUUGACUUUCUUUAAUAGAGGUAAUGGCCCUCUUUAAUUUAUGAAGAACUGGUUAGUAAGCAGAAACGAUCAUCUAUCAAAGAUGGUUCAUGUCAGCUAUAAGAAGUAAGCUUGUAAUCCUUAACAAGAAUUCUUUUGGUUUAGUCUUUCCUAUUUAACCUUCAUUCGCCAAUGUUUGUUUCUAUUACUUCUAUAUAUAUUACAUGUUUGAGGCAAAGCAACGUUGCUACUCAAUAAAAAAUAAAAAAAUAAAAGUCUGAAAUUAUUAUUAUAAUGUGUAGAUGUGUUAAAAACAUUUUAGUGAGAUCCAUUGGAAGCAACAAACAAGAGUUGCUCCAUGCAAAGAUUUAUUGCGUAGAGUUGUUUGUAUUGAGAAAAAUAAAAAUAAAUAAUGUGUAUAUAUGGGUCCUAUUGAAAGCAACUAUUGUGAGUUUGCUAAAAUGGUGUGGUUUCCACAUUAGCCUAGAUGAGCAUGAAAUUAGUAUAGCCUUCAUGGAUUUUAAACUCUUAUAUUGAACCUAACCAAAUGUGUACUGUAAAACAUGACAAACUUUAUAAGUAUAGCCUCUUCUGUUUCUUUAUACUUUCAUCAGCUCACGCACAAGCACAACCAAUUGAGAUCUCUUUUCUCAUUCAAUUUUCCCUGCAUUUCAAGUAAAAUGUUGUUUUAUAUAUUUAUCAAUUAUUUAUAGACAGUAAGUUUUUUUAAUAUCUUAUAUCAAUUAUUUAUAGUCAUAUUUACCACUAUAGUCAUAUUUAUCACUAUAAACAGUAUGUUUUAUUUAUAGAUAAUUUUAUCAUUAUAAAUUAUUUAUUUUUAAUUAACCUUAAAUUAUUAUGCAGGUUAAAUAUGUUUUUACAUCGGUGCCUAUGUCACCCCGAUAUAGAAGUUCUCAUAUUCAACAUCGUUGCUUUCUGUAAAACGAUGUAGAAAGCACAGCAUACUACAUCAGUGUCUACGUCACCACUGAUGUAGAAGUUCCCAUAUUCAACAUCGUUGCUUUCUGGAAAAUGAUGUAGAAAACGCAACUUACUACAUCAGUGCCUACGUCAUCACUGAUGUAGAAGUUCCCAUAUUCAACAUCAUUGCUUUCUGUAAAACGAUGUAAAAAGCGCAGCUUACUACAUCGUUACUUAAUUUUAAAAUGAUGUAGAAAAUAAGAGAUCAACAUCGUUGCUUAAUUUAAAAAUGAUGUAGAAAAUCCGCCUUCAAAGAGCAGAACCAAGGUUUCUACAUCAGUCAUUAGUAUAGCACCGAUUUAGAAAAAAAACAGCUUACUACAAUGUUCGCUUAUGGACUGUUGUUGAAAUUUUUAAGUUUCAACAUCAUUAUAAUCAAAAACGGUCAUGCACCGUUGUUGAAGCGCGAUUCUGACCGAUGUACAACAUGCAUCUUCUAGUAGCGUUCUCUUUCUCUUGUUUCCCUUUUUUCUAAAAUGUGUACUCAAAUUUUUGUUAACUUGAUGUAAUUUGAAUUCUUAUCUAUAAUUCAAGUUCAUUUCUCUUAAAUUGAAUGUUUGUCUUUGUUUUAAUUUAAUGCCUUUAUAAAUUGGCAUUUGGUCACUUAUAGUGUGUUGAUCGUAUAUUCCUAUCAACAACUGCGAAAUUGAAAUAAGGAUUGAAUUUAAGAUAUAAUGUAACAAGGUUGGAGAUUCUAUAGGAAUAAAUAUCAACAAUUAUGAUAAUUUAGAUAUUCUUGAACCAAAUGAUUGCCCUAAUUGAGAAAUUCUAAAGUUUUAAAAUUUUCAAUUGUAGAAAAGAGUUUUUGAGUUAAGAUAUAUUCACCUUCAAUUACAAUAGUAAAAAAUAAAUUCAGUUUCCAAUUAUGCUUCUAGAACUUGAAUUGGAGUGAAAAUUUGAGUUGUACGUGUUAAGCUUGGGGUGAACUCGUAUUGUAACAAGACAUGUUUGAUUUUGGCUUAGCACUUUAAUCCUCUUAACAUAGUGCUUCAGCAAUUUUGGUACCCAAACUUUUAUGUUCAGGUUUGAUCCCAUAUUUUUCAAAAACAAUUUAAUGGUCGAAUAUAUAUUAUUAAAAUCAAGUUAUAUAUCACUUAUUUGGAGUUAGAUAAAUUUUUCAAGGCUUAAUUUUAUCUUUUUGUCUCAUUCAUUAUUUAAUUUAUUUAAUUUUGUCCUCCUAAUAAUAAAAUCUUUAAUUUGAUUGCUUAAUUCCAAAUUGAUUCAAUUUGAUCUUUUGGGUCCAAAUUCACUUGAUAUUGUUUAUUAAUAGUGGGAUGAGAUUGAAUCAAACAAAGGAACAAAUUAAAUUGUUUAUUAAAUUUUAAAAAACAAACAGUGAGAACAAGAAGUUUAUUAAGGGGCCAAAUUGCACCAUUUUAAAAAUUAAAGUACUAAAUUAAAUUGUUUAUUAAUAGAGGACCAAUGCUAAAUAAAGAAAAUAGCACGAAAAAAAAAUAAGGUCUUUUUUUUACUUUUAAAAAUUUUGAAAAUUUUAUUGAAUUCUAAAAUAUUCAAUUAACUUGCCUAAUUUUUUGUUUAUUCACUUUUUUUUUUGUUGAAGUUUGAAAACUUCAAAACUCUUUUUGAUCACAAACAUAUUUUAACUCUCAUAAAACAACACAACAAUGUUUCUAAAAUUGGACUUUUAUAAGUUAUUGAUAAAUCACUUUGUGAGUGAUAUUUUGUACAAACUUUUGUGUUAUUUUGUAUGCAUUUUCUUGAUAUAAUUUACAAUUGGACACUAGUUUUGUAUUCCAAAAGUAUAACCAUUCAAUUGAGUGAAAGAGUAGGAAAUUAUACAAAUUUAUGAAGAUUUAAGAACUUUACAUAACUUGAUUACUAUUGUGGUACAUUGAUCAUGGUCGUGGUAAUCAGAAUGAUCACAAUAAAGUGAUAAGAGUCCUUCCAAACUGCGUCAAGAUCCAACAAUAGCCAUGGUAAAUUGACCACGAUCAUGGUAAAUCAAGAGGCUCAUAGUCAAUUUAUAAUGGUUCAAGGCUUCAGCGUCACUUCUAACCACGAUUGUAGUGCUCCUUUUCGAGCAAAUAUCUUUAGGAAGCUAUAAAUAGGUUUCUAGACUAUGUAAAAAUCAUUUUUCAAUUAUUUUGAGUUUUAUUCUUAUCUUUUACGAAUUUGAGACAACCUUAAAAGCUUUUAAGAGCCGAAGAACUUAAACAACAUCUCUAGAAUGGAUUAUGAUCAUUGUUCCUACUUACUGGUAUGUUUAUGUUUAUUUUAUCUAGGAUUGCUAGUGUUGUUCCGAUCAUGAGGAGCUAGUCCUCCUAGUUCGAAGAUUAUUAGAUAACUUUUCAUUUGUACCAUUCUCCUCAUUUUUAAUGAAAUUUCUCAUUGAUUUUAUGUUAAUUAAUUCUCUUGUUUUUACUGUUUAUUUGAAACCAAUCAUUUUAAUACUUAAUCAAUUGCAUAAUACUAAUCAUGUAAUUGGUAGAUUUAGGUAGAGAAUGUUUUAUGUCACAUUGCAUGAUCAAACUCUUUGGGUAAUCUCCAAUACAUUAGUUAAUCUUUAAUUAAUCUUUCCUAUAAUGGAUUUUCUUUUGACUUAAAUUGAUAGAACCAAUGAUCAUUGGGAUAUUAAUUUAAGGCAAGAAGCAUCUUCUAACCUUGAUCAUAGACUGUAGUUGAUUUUGUGAAUGAGUAAUUAACUGGAGAAAGCAUUUUAUUACAACUAGGGUUGAAGGAAAAUUAGCACUAGUAAGUCAUAACCCCUAAUCACUCUUAUCAUCAAUGAACCCUUUCUUUAUAUUCGUAUAUUUGUUUACUUAUAAAUCCAAAACCCUAAAAAUAUUUAAAUUAUCUUUUUAAUUAUUUUAACUGUUAAUUUAAUAAACUUGACUAAUUGGGAAUACAACUCGUCAUUUGGGUUUGAUAUCCAUACUUUUGAAACCACUAUUAUGAUUGUGUAAGGUACACUUGAGGUAUAACAAACAUAUUGGACAUACAACAAUGGCAACAUGUAGCAUAUGCAUUUAUGGUUUUGGGAAUAAAAGAAGAAAUCUGAAAUGAAAACACUAUGAGUGUGUUUGGAUGAGGGAUUUUAAAAUUCUGAGGAAUUUUAAAUUCUAAGAAUUUCAAAUACCUCAAUUGAAAUUUUUUUAUUUUCAAAAUUUUGUGUUUGUAUAAAAAAGUUAAAAUUGAGGGUGAAAGAAAAUGAGUCACGAGUUCGAGAAUGCGAUUUCAGACUUUUAGGUGAAAAAGAGGAUGAAGGUUAUAAAAGAAAUACGCGAACUUUUUGAAAAAUUCUAAUGUAAGAAGAGAAUUUCAAUUUAACACUUUUUAGAAGGAAGUUAAAAUUCCACGUUUUUAGUGGUUUAAAAUUAUGUUUUAAAAUUCCAAAAAUUUAAAUUCUUAAAAAAAACAUCCAAACAAUGAAUUUUAUAUAAAAGAAAUUUAAAUUUUCUGAUAAAUUACUUUUCUUAGUUAAAAUUCUAUAUUAAAGAUAUAUAUAUUGAUAGAGAAAACAUGAAAGAAAACUGGAUUCGAGGCCAGCCUCCAGACAAAGCAAGAAAGAAAGCAAACUUAGCUUUUUUCAUAUCAUGUGUGCCUUACAAUUGCUUUAUUUAUACUAAUUCCUUGCUAACAGAAUUUGUCAUUUUGUGUCAAGGAAUAUUUUAGGAAAUCAUUGGCUAACAAUUUAUGAUUAUGCUUGUCUCCCUAAGGCCAACCAGCCAUCAUUUAGCAAUUCUUCAUUCCAGGUCAGCUUCCUUUCUUGCUUUUCCUUCUCAUACGUAGUCUCUGAGGUAAGAGGGCUUUGUGAUGGCCCUCUUUACUUUCUUGCUAUCUGUACCCUUGGUUUCUGUGUUUGUACCUCUGUUUUGUGUUCUCUAUUAACUUCCCCAGCUUUUGUAUCAUUCGUCAGCCCUCGUAAAAUUACCUUGUCCUCAAGGUGAUAAUCCUCAUAUAAUUGAUCCCAAUUCUCCCACGAGAUGUCAUCCAGGGAUAGCCCUUCCCAUUGCACCAACACUUCCCAAGGCCCUUGUUCUAAAGCUCGCCGAUAAUCUAAUAUGGCUAGCUAAGGGAGUAAUGACUGGUUGGUGUUGAACAAAUUGUUUUGGAAAGUGAACUUCCUGAAUAUGUUAUGGGGAGCCUUUGAAUGCUUUCAACCGGGAUCAGUGAAAAAUAGGAUGUAUGCGGACUUCUUUCGGAAAUUUCAAGCGGUAUGCCACGGGUCCUAUGCGUUCAAGAACUUGAAAUGGUCCGUAGAAUCUCUUAGCCAACUUGCCCAUGAUUGCUUGUGGUCCCUUAGCGGAGACUUUUCAGUGGGGCCUUAAUUUAAGCAUAACCCAAUCUCCUGGUUGGUGGAUCACCUCUCUUCAUUUAGCAUCUGCAGUUAUCUUUAUACGGUCUUGUGCUUUGAGAAGCUUCUUGCGAAUGACCUGAAAUGUUUCUUCUCUGUUGGUCAACAUUUCGUCAACUGCAUCCAAAGCGGAAGAACCCGCGAUAUAUUCAAGAAAAUUAAAGGAUUUGCGUCGGAAUGUGAUCUCAUAUAUGGAGUGGUGUCUGUUGCUGCAUUUCAUGAAGUGUUAUGAGACCACUCCACCCAGAGAAGAAACUUGCCCCAUUCCCUUGGCCAACAAUGAACAAAUGUGCGCAGACAUUGCUCUAUGACCCUGUUUAGCACCUUCGUUUGACCAUCACUUUGUGGGUGAUAAGUGGAGCUUAUCCUUAGCUGUGUGCCACUCCGACGAAACAACUCCUGCUAGAAUUUGCUAACGAACAGGGGGUCGCAGUCGGAGACCAGGCUGUGAGGGAGGCUGUGAAUCUUGCCCAUGAUUUCCAAGAACAACAAGGCUACCGCAUGGGCUGUGUGUGUCGCUAAAAGCAUGCCAAGAUGAACGCCUUUUGAAAAUUGAUCAACCACUACCAGUAUUAAUUGUGUUGCUGUGAUAUGGUGGGAGCCCGGUGAUGAAGUCCAGGGAUAAGUCUUCCCAAGGUCGAUGGGGAACUGGCAGAGGGCAUAGUAAUCCUGCUGCUCUAUGUGUCUCGUACUUAGCAUGCUGACAAUCAAUACUUUGCGAGACAAACUUCGUGACAUCUUCUCAAAGUCCUAACCAUUCAAAGUUUUCCGUCAAGCGAGCUAUCAUUUUCGCAAUCCCCAUGUGACCUCCCAUGGGUGUUGUAUGAUACUCCACCAGUAAUGUGGGAAUCAGGGGCAGGUCCUUUGGUAGCCAAAUUCGUCCCUUCUUGUGGAUCAAGUUAUGAACAAAAGUGAAUCUAGAGUGCUUGUUGGGGUCCGUCGUGAUUGCUUGUCAGAGAUGUCAAUACUCAGGAUGAUCCUCCAAUUGGUGGCGCAGUUCUUCAAAGAAAAGAGGGCACAGGACAUAAAGGCUCAUGUAGAAUGAAUUGGAACCAUGCGAGUGCCCUGCCUUCCAUGUAGAACGAAGCUAUGGUAAGUCUUUCAUUCUUUGGUAUGCCAUGGUAUUCAAAGAAUUGGUUGAUUUUGAAAAUCCAACCAAGUUGUUCGGUGCCAUCAAAACGAGGCACAUCUAAUUUCAUUCGGUGAUUGUUUGCAGGUACCGAUGGUGAUGGUGGAGGUGUUGGAGAAGAAGAUGACGAGAGGAUGGGAGGAGUUCAUCAAUUUUCUGAGUGAGUGAGUGCAUGGAUUCGCCGAGGGAUAGUUGAUGAUUGGUGAGUCUGAGUAAAACUUCAUCAAGCAUAUCGAAGGUACCCAUGGUGUGGACCGGAUGGAACGAUAACACCAAAAUUGAUAGAGAAAACUUGAAAGAAAACUAGAUUCGAGGCCAGCAACUCCAGACAAGGCAAGAAAGAAAGGAAACUUAGCUUUUUUUCGUAUCAUGUGUGCCUUACAAUUGCUUUAUUUAUACUAAUUCCUUGCUAACAGAAUUUGUCAUUUUGUGCCAAGGAAAAUUUUAGGAAAUCAUUGACUAACAAUUUAUGGUUACGCUUGUCUCCCUAAGGCCAACCAGCCAUCAUCUACAAAGGCAGACAAUUUUUGACAACUAGAAAACUCAAGAUUCCCUCAAGUUCUUUCUUUUGCGGCCCGUGAAAUGGUGGAUGAGUGGAUUUGAGCCAUCAAAAGGCAAGAUUCAUCAAAUUGAUUUUUUAAGCGAUAUAUAUAUAUAUAUAUAUAAUUUAGAUAUCUUCUCGGUCUUCCUAUAAUGGAAAACAUGAAUAAACUAAUAGGAAAUUGUAAUUCUACCUUAAUUAGUGAUUUUGAAUGAGAUUUGAUUAAGUAGUUAUGUUAAAUAUUUGGAAAACUCUUUUUAUUGUACAUAAUAAUUAUAUUGGGUUCAAAGAGAUUAUUUUUAAUGGAAAAUAUCUUUUCUUUGUUGAAUUAAGGCAUUGUUCUUCACUUCUCCCUUAAAAAAAUUGAAAAAAAGAAGAAGAAAAGUGCAUCCCCUUCAGCGUCCCCUGCCGGAGACAAUCAUAGAAGAAAGUCGAGCCACCUCUCUCUCUCUGGCGGCAAUAUAUAACAAUUAAAAGGAAAAUAUAAGCCAUUAGUAUUAUUCAGUAACAAUAAGAAUCAUUGAACCAGUCAACGCUUACUUUCGAAUAUAAUAUAUAUUGUGUGUAUUGUGUUGCAUAUUUUAUAACACAUCUUCAAUUAUUAACAUAUAAUAUCAUUCCUGUCUAAAGUCUUCUAUAGCACAUGAUGAUUAAAAAAAUGUCCGAGACUCACCCUAUAACAAUACUCAUAAUUUCUGUUGACAUUUCACAUACUCAACUCAUAGAUUCAAGGAGAGGAGAUGUAUGGUGAAAUUGAAAGGUUCAUCAAAGUAUGGAUUUCAGCCAUCUUAGGUUUAUGUUAUUGUUAUUACAUAGCUGCAAGAAUACCGAAGGGCUUCUUGAGACUUCUCUCCCUUCUCCCUAUUCUCUACCUCUUCAUCAUCCUUCCCUUGAACAUCUCUUCACCUAACUUAGUUGGAUACACUUCCUUCUUCCUUGUUCAACUUGGCAUUUUAAAGCUCCUACAUUUUUCCUUCAACAAAGGCCCUCUUGCCCUAUCACCCCCAAACAUUGUCCAUUUCAUAUCCAUAGCUUCCCUCCCCAUCACCCCAAAACAACAUCCACCAACCAAUCAAAAUAACACCACCAACACCCAAAAGCCAAAAUGGCUAUUGCCCUUAAAAUUGCUUAUUUUUGCAAUGAUCGCAUGUGUUUAUGAGUACAAUGAAUACUUCCACCCUCAUUUCAUAUUAGUCCUCUAUUGUCUUCACUUGUACCUUCGCUUAGAGCUUGUUUUUGCUCUUAUUCCAACCCCGGUUCAAACCCUUUUUGGCUUAGAGACAGAACCACACUUCAACGAACCCUACCUUUCAUCCUCACUUCAAGAUUUUUGGGGUCAUAGAUGAAACCUUAUGGUUAGACAUGGCAAGAAAAUCAAUACUAGUGGGUACCCGCCCGAAUCCGUCUUGACUUUGACAGGUAAUACCCGAGUUGACCGGAUAUGGGUUCGGGUUCGGGUUUUCUCCGAUAAUCAAAAGUCGGGUACAGGUACGGGUAUGGGAUUACUAGAUCCGUUCUGACCUUGCCCCGCCACUUAAAAUCUUUAAAUUUUUUGCAUAAUUUAAUCAAAAGGCAUAGAAUUUUUAUUACUAGUUAAUUUUAUUUUUGAAUUUUUACAUAAUUUAAUAUUAUUUUCUUAACGAUUUUUGUAGACACAUGCACUAUGAUAAAUUUAUAGAUAUAUAAGUGGUUAAAAAUAAAUGUUUAACAAUCAAUUUAUUUUUUCUAAAAUCAAAUUUUUAAUAUUUUUUUACAAAAAAAAAUUAUUUUUCUAAUUUGAAUUGGAUAUGGGACGGAGUCGGGGAUACCCGAUACCCGACAAGUACUCGAUGGGUACAGGGAUGGAAUAAUAAACUUUAACCCAUCGGGUAUCGGGUACGGGUAUGAGAAUAUGUUGGGGAGUCAGGAUAAGAGAUUGGGGAGACAAUACCCGUACCCGUUCUGUCUCAUUGCCAUGUCUACUUAUGGUUUCUUGUCUUCUACGCUCUACAGUAUACAACCACGUAAACUGUACAAUUAUGGGUUUAGUGGGUCCCUCGUGUGCCAAUCAGCUGCCAUGUUGGCCACGUUCCUUGUGUCUGGGCUUGUGCAUGAGUUAAUCUAUUAUCAUGUUACACGUGUACCUCCCACGUGGGAAGUUACGUGUUUUUUUGUGCUUCACGGUGUGUGCACGGUGGCGGAGGUGGCUGUUAAGAAGGUGGUUCUCCGUCGUGGAUGGCGGCUGCACCGUGCCGUGUCAGGGCCACUCGUGGUGGCAUUCUUGGCUAUCUCAGCGAAUUGGCUGUUUUUCCCUCAAUUGUUGAGGAAUGAAAUGGAUAGGAAGUCCAGUGAAGAGUAUGUAAUUUUGGUGGAUUUUGUUAAGUCUAGGAUAUACCAUUGAGAAUGUUUCACUCUUGAGAGUAAACAUUAAAGGAUGAGAGAGACUUAUAAUUGUAAUAUUUACCUUCAAGGGUAAAACAUUUUGUUUUUUUUUUUUAAGAAUUAUUUAAUUGUGAAUAAGGCAUAUAUGUUGAAUAUGUUGAAAAAUGAUGAGUGUGACUCAACAGCUAACAUCUGAAAAUGUGCAAGUCUAAAAACAUUAAAGUAUUUUAUGUUUUUAUUGGAUUUACGUGGGUGUAUAAAAAAAUAUAUGGGUGUAUGAGUUUAGGUUUGAAGGCAAAAAGAUCUUUAUUUAAAUAUUUGAAAAAAAAGAAACUUAAUUGCACAUAGUGUUUCAAAUGAAAGAUACACAUACAUGGUUUAAAAAAAAAUACCAUCUCUAUCUUGGAUUAAUGCAUUGUUCUUUCUUUCAAAAUUGGAAAAAAAAAUAGAUAAAGGAAAAGUGUGUCCCCCCUUGCAGCAAUAACAAUUAAUCUAAGGAAAAUAUCAUCCAUUAGGAGAUUUAUAAUUAAAGUGUGUACCCCCUUUAGCAAUAACAACUAGUUAGUAAUAAAUGAUUGAACUACUGUUACAGCUGGCUAAGUUUCCUUCUAGAUUAGUCAAAGGCAAGAUCGAGAGGCACAGAAGCGUGGCAAUUAAUUUGGGUAGCUAUAAUCUGCUGCCUGUAGAACUUCAGAAAUAAAAUUGUCUUAGAAGUGGUAAUUUGUCGUUUGAAGAUUGCUUGGAAUCUGUAAGAUUUAGAACAUGAUCUUGGUUGCAUGCCAGAAUAUUUAAAGGCUUCAGUUAUUCCUUCUUUGAGUGGUUAAACAGCCCAAUGAUGACUAUAAUGUUUUUUUUUUAUUAAAAUGGAUUAAAAGUUAAAAUUAUCAUAAUGGAUUCAUCAAGAAAGUAUUUAUUAAAAUAGAUUAUUUUUGUCAAUAGGAUUAUAGAAAAUGUUACCCUAACUGACACCUUAUGUUUUUUUGUGUAUUUUAUAGCACGAGCCACCAUCCUUGUAUACUCCAUUUUCGCCAAUGCUAAAUUUAUAUAUAAUGAAUAGAUCUUAUGACACAAUUUUACUCAAUUUAAUGAUGAUCAAGCUAAUACAAAAUACUUAUAAAAUUAAACUCUUGCCUUUACAACAAUUUAAAAUAAAUAUAAAUGUAUAAUUAAUUAUGAAAAAAAGAGAUAUGUAAGCUUAGUAACGAAGAAUAAAGUAAUAAGAGUAUGUAUUUGUAUUUCUUUUGAUGAUGAAGAAUAUUUUUUUGAGACAAAAUAAGACGUAUAAAUUUCAAUUUUUUAUAUAUAAUUUUUUGGUUGAGUGUCUUUCAGUAAACGAAAUCAUGUUUUAAGAUUUUAGUGUCAGCCUCAACUUUUUGGCAUCUAGAGUUGAAUAGGAACAUUCUUUAGUUGUUAUCACUUUGUCCUGAUUGUUUUGUGCUAGCAAAAUAAAUUUGAGGAAUUUAUGUCACUUGAAGUAUUUAAGCUUCCGGUAUGCAGGGAUAGAAAGUCUACUAAAAUCCAUCGGCAAGCUCCAGAAUUUGGAGACCUUGGAUAUAAGAGAGACAGGUGUGUCUGAGAUGCCAGAGGAGAUUAGUAAGCUUACUAAGCUACGUCAUCUUCUGAGUGACUAUAUAACUUCAAUUCAAUGGAAGGAUAUUGGAGGCAUGACAUCCCUACAAGAGAUACCUCCAGUGAUUAUAGAUGAUGAUGGAGUGGUCAUUGGAGAGGUUGGAAGGCUAAAGCAGUUAAGGGAACUGACAGUGAGAGAUUUUAAGGGAAAACACAAAGAGACUCUGUGUUCCUUGAUAAAUGAGAUGCCACUCUUGGAGAAACUACUUAUUGACUUGUACAUUAUGUCACCUAUGUCUACACUUAGGAAGCUUGUCCUAUGGGGGACUUUAACAAGGUUGCCAGAUUAUUGGACUUCACAGUUCCCAAAUCUUGUGCAACUGCGUUUGGGUGGCUCCAGGUUGACUAAUGAUGCAUUGAAAUCACUAAAAAAUAUGCCAAGGUUAAUGCACCUCUGUUUCGUUCUCAAUGCUUAUGAAGGUGAAACUUUGCAUUUUCAAUGUGGAGGGUUUCAGAAACUAAAGCAACUGUUCCUCCAAAGUUUGGAUAAGUUGAAGUCCAUCCUUAUCGACAGAGGAGCAUUGUGUUCUGUGGAAGAAAUUGGUUUAGAAUACCUCUCCCAACUCAAAACAGUUCCCUCUGGAAUUCAACACUUGGAGAAACUUAAAGAUCUCUUUAUCAGCAGCAUGUCAACUGAAUUUGAGCAGCGCAUUGCUCCCAAUGGAGGAGAUGUAACAUCUCAUUUUUUCGUAAAUAAAUUUAAAAAGCUUUUUAGUAAAAAAUAAAUAAAUAAAUAAAUAUAGAGUAAAUAAUAGGCUGAGAACCCUAGGUAUAAAUAGCUAUAUUAAGUUAGGUGCCUCCUCUUGGCCUCAUUUUCGUUUUUCCCUUUCUCCUCUUAAAAUCCUUUCUUUUUCCCGCAGCCCACCAAACCUAUCUCAGAAAAAUGACGAUCUCGGACUCAUUAACUGUUGGAUUGUCGUGACAUUUGAGCACCACGUUCGCAAUCCAAUUCCAAGAAUUUCAACCAUUGGGAAUUUCGAUAUCAUGUCUGAGCUAAGAGAAAUACCCCUCACAUUGUAGUCUUUUCUUUUCCCGCAGAAAUCCAGAGCUGUCUCGGUAAAACUACAAUCCCGGUUUCGUUAACCGUUGGAUUCUCGUGAAAGUUUGAUAUGUUGUGCAAAAUUCAAUUGCGCACACUUUCACCGUUGGGAUUUGCGAAAUAAUAUUUGUGUAGGGAGAAAAAGGAAUUACACAAAGAUAGUACAAAUGGAGGUUUCAAUAUCUUCUCAUUCUCUCUAACGUUUGGAAACUCUAUCAGAGCAACCAGAGGAAGAAAUUGAGGAAUCUUAGGAACUUGCUAGAGAUGCCUCUAUCGCUUUCGGAAACACGUGAGUCCGCUUAGAGGUAAAGGAUGAGUUAUUCACAAUUGGGGAUUAGUCAGAACAUGUAUAGAGAUCCCUAGAGUAUCAAUUAGAAUGAGUUUUUGGAUGUUUUCGUCAUUUUUUUUAUUCUAUCCUUAUGGUUAUAAUUGUGAAUUAUAUAUGUUUGACAAACCAAUUUUUGUGAAAUUGAUAUGCUAUUGUGUUGAGCGUGAACCCUAUAAAUCGAGCAUUUUUCUAAUUAACAUGAAUUGAUGAAAUAAAGUAAGGAGAAAUUUAGAGUGAGACAUUGAUUUUGUAUUUUCUCUUUUUCAUGCCUUUUAGGUUUUUUAUAUAUAAUUUAAAAAUUAAUAUCAUAAUUGAAAUUGACCAAAGUAUUCAUAUAAUUAUUUAGAAUUUACGCAUUGAAAGCUUACUUUAAAAUUUGUGAUUCAAUAUGAUGUAUGCUAGUUUAUAUAUAUAGAAGUAGUAAUUUAUAUUAAUAAUUUAUGUAAAUAAUAUUAUAGAGUUGUUAUAGUAUGAUUCCAAAAAAAUUAUUAAGUGUUGGCGUUUGAGAAUAUUAUGGUUAAAUUUGAUGAACAUGUGUAUGUUGUACCUUGUGAAUAUCAUUAGGAAUGUUAUGAGAUGGUUGAUGUGAUGUUAUGAGAUGUUAAAGUGUGGGCAUGAUAUUCGAUUGUGAAUAAGUGGAUGUGUUAAACGUGUUUGAAACAUGAGUGUGAGGUCAUGGUAUUGUAUAAUUCAUGAGCAGUGUCUUCGGAGUGUAGGUCUUGGGGGUCACUGGGUUUGAGUGCUCCUUUAAGCCUAUGCUGAUCCCAUAUGAUUGGAGCAUUCUCGCAAAAUAUUGUGACCCUGACUGGUCUCCUUAUGAUCUUACUUAGUGAGAGUGACGUGACAAACUCAUUGUGUGGUGUGUCUUGUUAUGUACUCCUAAGCGCCCCAGGGUGGUUUUUCACUGACAUGGUACCACAUUGUAUAUAGGAUUAACUCUUAGCAUAACUGUUGCAUACGCUUGCUAAUUGUUUAUUAUGAAAUUGAUGUGUUAUUAUAUCCUGAUUGAAGUGUGGGAUUCUUGUGUAAUGUGAUUGAUGAUUGAAAGUGAAUUUUGAAUGACAAAGUGGUGAAAUUACGUGAGCUAUGUUUAAGCAAGUUGUAUCUCAUUUAUAUAAUAUGUAUAUUUAAUUGUCUUGUUUCUCUAUUAGCUAGGAAUGUGAUAUAACUCACUCCCGGUGUGUUAUUGUGUUUGGAUCCUAUGAUGAUCUUGAACUUGUGUUCGGGGGAGCAGAUGAAUAGGUGGAUGACUAUGAAGAACCACAUGCUAGAGGACACGGGAACACAACGCUCUGAUAGGAUGUGACAUUAGGAUAUAGGUUUUAUAUUAAUAGUAUGAAGCUUAUACGACCUUGUUUGAGUCGAGAUUACUUUAUUAUUUAUUUGGACAAGUUUGAAUAUGAUGUAGAAGAAAAUAAAUGUGAGCUUUUUUCCCCUUUGGAAGACUUUUUUCGAAAAAAAAAUGUUUUAAAAAUACUUUUAAUUAAUAUUUAAAUUUUUAUUCUUUUAUUAGUAUAUAUGUAAUGGGUAGAGGGUGUCACAGGAGAAGACCACUGGAUCAUCCAAGAUGUGCCCCAUGUACGUAUUUGGAGCAGGGAUGCUGAAGAACCUUCGCAUAUAUUCGGCAGAAGUCAUCACUAAGAUGCAUCCAAAUUUGAAAAUAGAAGGUGCAUCUUUUUCACAUCUAUAACUUUGUAGAAUGACAUUCGUGGCCUUUUUCUUUUCUUCAAUAAAAAAUGCAACCAUUAUGUAAUUCCUAAAAUAAUUACUUUUGCCUCAUUUUCUCUUCUAGUAUUUGCUUCAUUUUUCUUUUUCUACAACAUCUCACGUACAAGUUAGGGAUAGAAUUGUCUAACAAGUAUAUGCCUACACCAACCAAAGUUAACGUUUCUUCAUUAUAAGAUUCUCACCAUUAUAAUCCUUUCUAUUAUUGUGCUCAGAAUUGGUAGACGUCGACCUCAACUGGAUUGAGUUUUUUAUUUCCAUGUUGAUAAAUACUUGAACAAUUUCAUUGUAUCAUUUUAAGAAGAAAUUAACUUGGUGUUUUUAUAGGGUCGUAAGCAUAUAUUUUGUGUAAAUAUUAUGGGUUUUUAAAGUACAAUUACGAUUGAAGCUCAAUAAUGUGGAUUUUUUUCAUAAAUUAGAUUGUGUUAAAUGUUCCUUACUUUUAUACUUUGAAGUUUGACCCACUUUGUACAACCAUGAAUUUUAGGAAAACACUUAGGGAAGAUUGUAAGAGGUGUUCCAAUUCGUUCCAAUCUUGUUGUUUUUUGAGUGUUAAUUAUUACACCCAUUUAGCGUUAUUAACACCAGCACAAUACGAAAAAGCUGAAAAUAGUGUUUCUAUAAAGGCAGACAAUUUUUGACAACUGGAAAACUCAGAUUCCCUCAAGUUCUUUCUUUUGCGGCCCAUGAAAUGGUGGAUGAGUGGAUUUGAGGCAUCAAAGUGCAAGAUUCAUCAAAUUAAUUUUUUAAGCUUCCUUCUUCUCUUUCUCUUGUUUAUGUUUUUUCUAAAAUGUGUACUUAAAUUUUUGUUAACUUGAUGUAAUUUGAAUUCUUAUCUAUAAUUCAAGUUCAUUUCUUUUAAAUUGAUUGUUUGUCUUUGUUUUAAUUUAAUGACUUUAUAAAUUGGCAUUUGGUCACUUAUAGUGCAUUGAUCGUAUAUUCCUAUCAACAACUGUGUGAAAUUGAAAUAAGAAUUGAAUUUAAGAUAUAUUGCAACGAGGUUGGAGAUUCUAUAGGAAUAAAUAUCAAUAAUUACAAUAAUUUAGAUAUUCUUGAACCUAAUGAUUGCCCUAAUUGAAAAAUGCUAAAAAUUUAGAAUUUUCAAUUGCCGAAAAGAGUUUUUGAGUUUAACAUAUAUUUGCCUUCAAUUAUAAUAGUAAAUAAUAAAUUUAGUUUCCAAUUAUGCUUCUAGAACUUGAAUUGGAGUACGUGAAAAUUUGGGUUGUACAUGUUAAGCUUGGGAUGAACUUGUAGUGUAACAAGACAUGUUUGAUUUUGGCUUUAGCACUUUAAUCCUCUUACCAUAGUGCUUCAGCAAUUUUGGUACCCAAACUUUUAUGUUCAGGUUUGAUCCCAUAUUUUUUCAAAAACAUUUAAUGGUUCAAUAUAUAUUAUUAAACUCAAUUUAUAUAUCACUUAUCUAGAUUAAGAUAAAUUUUUCAAGGCUUAAUUUUAUCUUUUUGUCUCAUUCAUUAUUUAUUUUAUUCAAUUUUGUCCUCCUAAUAAUAAAAUCUUUAAUUUGAUCGCUUAAUUCCAAAUCGAUUCAAUUUGAUCUCUUCGGUCCAAAUUCACUUAACAUUGUUUAUAAAUAGUGGGAUGAGAUUGAAUCAAAUAAAGGAACAAAUUAAAUUGUUUAUUAAAAUUGAAAAAACAGUGAGAACAAGAAGUUUAUUAAGGGGUCAAAUUGCACCCUUUUGAAAAUUAAAGUGCUAAGUUAAAUUGUUUAUUAAUAGAGGACCAAUGCUAAAUAAAUAAAUAGCAGGACAAAAAAGUAAGGUUUUUUUUACUUUCAAAAAAUUUGAAAAUUUUAUUGAAUUCUAAAAUAUUCAAUUAAUUUGCCUAGUGUUUUUUGUUUAUUCACUCUCCUUUUUUUCCUUUAAUCCUUGAUGUUUGAAAACUUCAAAACUCUUUUUCUUCACAAAUAUAUUUUAACUCUCAUAAAAAAACACAACAAUAUAAGUGCAUAUGAUGUAUGAAAAUUUUGAUGAUGCCAAAAAGGUUAAAGCUAUUCAACAUUGAUUCAAGUUAAGAUAAGAAAUCAAGAGAAACGAUUUACAAUAGACCUUUAUAUGUUAAAAGAAUCUCUUAAAAAGGUUGCAAAUAUUUGGCCUUAAAAGACUUAUUAAGCUUUUAAAUAUCUUAUAAAGUUUCUAAGUAAACAUUUCAUUUUGAAACAUAUGUAUUUCUCCUUGGUAAUCGAUUGCCAGAAGCAAAAAUGGUUUUAACGGCUUUCAGAAAAGUUUGAAUUUGAAAUUUAAAAGUUGCAAUUGAGUACCACUAUUGUAUAAUCGAUUACCAAUAACAAAAAAUUUUGAAAUUCAAACUGAAAAGGCAUAACACCUCAAAAUUAAUUGUAAUCGAUUACCACAUAUUUGUAAUCAAUUACUACCAGUGAGGAAAUUUUGAAAAUAACUCUGAAAAGUUACAACUAUUCACAAGUUUUUGAAAGGUCACAAAAGGCUUAUAAAUAUGUGACUUGUAUUUGAAAUUCUUCAGAGUUUUUCAGAACAUUCAUUGUCCUAUCCUCUCAUAAGAAAACCUUUGAUCAAACACUUGCAAAAUCAUUAAGGAUUCUUAUAAGUUCUUCAAGUUUUAUCAUUCUUCUCUAAAAGAGAGAAAAACAAUCUUCUGUACUUCAAAGCAAUCUAUUGUUAAUGAAGAGGCAAUGGGUCUCUUGAUUUGUAAAGUUUGCUUAACACAAGGGAAGGGUAUCCCUGAGUGGUUCAAAAGUUGUAAAGGGAUUUACAAGUUAGUGGAAAUCUCAAGUGGAUUACUUGAGGACUGAACGUAGGCACAGGGCGUGGCCGAACCAGUAUAAAACUGAAUUUGCAAUUCUCUCUUCCCUAAACUCUUUUACUUUAUUGCAGUUUAAUUUUACUUUGCACAUUUAAAGAAGCAUCAAGUAAAUUGUUCAUUAAUCAAUUGCAUAAUACUAAUCAUUUGCAUGUAAUUAGUAGAUUUAGAUAGAGAAUGUUUUAUGUCAAAUCGCAAGAUCAAACUCUUUGGGUAAUCUCCAAUAGAUUAUUUAAUCUUUAAUUAAUCUUUCCUAUAAUUGAUUUUCUUUUGACUUAAAUUGAAAGAUCCAUGAUCAUUGGGGUAUUGAUUUAGGCAAGAAGCAUCUUCUAACCUUGAUCAUAGACUUUAGUUCAUUUUGUGAAUUAGUAAUUAAUUGGAGAAAGAAUUUUAUUACAAUUAGGAUUGAGGGAAAAUUAAUACUAGUAAGUCAUAACCCCUGAUCGAUCACUCUUAUCAUGACUGAACCUUUUCUUUAUAUUCGUAUAUUUGUUUUUUUAUAAAACAAAAAUCGUAAAAAUAUUUAAACUAUCCUUUUAAUUACUUCAACUGUUAAUUUAAUAAACUUAACUAAUUGGGAAUACAACUCGUAAUUUGGGUUUGAUAUCCAUACUUUCGAAACCACUAUUAUUGCGUAAGGUACACUUAUCCCUAUGCAAGCCUAUCAUAUUUUGCACAUGAGAUAUAACAAACAUAUUGGACAUACAACGGUGGCAACGUGUAGCAUUUGCAUUUCUGGUUUUGGGAAUAAAAGAAGAAUCUGAAAUGAAAAGACUAAGGAGAUUUAUUUACCAGGAAAAAUUAUGGGUAAAGAACAAGAAUGCAAUGGUACAACUAUGAAUUUUCCUAUUAUAUCAGUACACAACAUGAAUGAUCACAAUUGUUGGAGUCCUAUAACUAGUGUUGGAUGAUCACAACAUGAAAAAAAAAAUACAACAAAUUUCUAGGAAUACAAAAAAAGAAAGUGGCAUUUAGGAAUUCCCUUUAAUCCAAGUAUGAUCUGAUGCCAGACAAAUUGUUUUGAUUUUUAUCAUAUGCGCAGUCUUUGCUAUCAAAUUGAUAAUAAUACUAACAACAGUUGAAUUUGUUGAUAUUGCUAUAAAUUUCUAGAAUAUUCUUAAAUAUAGUGUGUAUGAAUAUGGUAGAACAAUCUAGAACUAUAAUGUGUAUGAAUAUGGUAGAACAAUCUAGAACUAUAAGUGUAUGUAUAAGAUAGAAGAAUCUAGAACUAUCAUGAUACUAAUCUAUCAUGAAAACUCUAGAAAGACCUAAAGUAAUGUAGAAACAUUCACCACCAUUGAGAGGUUGGUGACUUGAGCCUAUAAAUAGACAAUUGGUAUGUUGUAAUUGAUCAUCCAAGAAAUGAAUGACAUAACCUUCUUUCUAAAACAAUUCUCUAAAACUAUCAACUAUCAUCUAAUCAACUACCAACAGUGGUAUCAGAGCUACGUUCAGUCAUACAUUGGGUGUAGUUAUAUUACCUACCUACCAUUCCAAAAUCCUUCCAACUACUUCAAAAUUUUCCUUUGUACUAUUAACCCACUCCAAUAAUAUUUUUUCUAAGCUAUGGAUAGCACUACUCAAUUGUCAACUAUUUUUGUCCCUAUCAAAAUUAUGAUUUUUGGCGUGUUAAAUGGAAACAUAUUUUUCAUCUCAAGAUUUAUGGGACAUAGUAGAAGAAGGCUUCACCGUUUCCGUGGAUACUUAAGGUCUUAAUGCAUCUCAAGAAAAAGAGUUGAAGAAAAAUAAACAGAAAAAUUCAAAGGCGUUGUUCGCCUUGCAAUUUUCCCAAGAAUUAUGGGAGCUAAGACUGCCAAAGAAGCGUGGAACACAUUGCAGGAGUAGUUUCAAGGAAGUGUUAAGGUACGUGCCGUUAAACUUCAAUCUCUAAUAAGAGAUUUUGAACUAUUGAAGAUGAAGGAGUUUGAGACAGUUAAAGAUUACUAUUCUAAAGUUAAAGAAAUAGUUAAUCAAAUGAGAGCUUUUGGGGAAGAUAUUUUUGACAAGAAAAUUGUUGAGAAAGUUCUAAUUACUAUGCCCCAAAAGUUUGACCCAAUCGUGACAACGAUUGAGAAAAACAAAGAUCUGUCCACUCUAUCAGAGACAGAAUUUGUGGGCUCUCUUGAAGCAUAUGAGUAAAGACUGUAUAGACAUAAAGAAGAUACACUUGAAAAUGCCUUCCAGUCAAAGUUUAAAUUUUAGCCCCAAAACAAAAAAAAAAAUAGAGGAAAGAAAAAUUAUGGAGAAACUUCCAGAAGAAGAGAAGGUUCUAGGAAUUUCCUUAAGAACAAAACAGAUAAAAAUCCUCCAUGCAAUAUAUGCAAAAGGCAAGGACACGCAGAGAAAAAUUGUUGGUUCCGUAAUAUGCCACAAUGCAACCAUUGCAAGAAGUUCGGGCACGUAGAGAAAAAUUGUCGCAACAAAAAUAGGCAUCAAGCCAAUAUCGCAUAGGAGCAUGAUCAAGAACAAUGUACGUUCUAUGCCACUCAAGACUCAAUAAAAGAAAAGGGAGGAAGCUGGUACUUGGAUAGUGGAUGUAGGAAUCACAUGGCCAAGGAUGAGACUAUUUUCAAAAGCAUUGACGAGUCUGUCAAAGUCAAAGUUCGACUGGAAAAUGGAAGUGUGGUUGAAUCAAAAGGCAAAUGCACUGUCAUGGUGGAGACAGAUAAAGGUACACGACAAGUAAAGAUGAAUAAGAGCAAUAAAAACUUCCCUCUAAAUUUAAAAUAUGCCACAAACAUUGUCAUGAAGGUACAAGUUGAUGAUUCCUGGCUAUGGCAUAAAAGAUUUGGCCACUUCAACACACAUGCCUCGAAGUUGUUACAGGAGAAGAACAUGAUGAGAGAUCUUCCAAGCAUAAAGGAGAACAAUGAAGUGUGUGAAGGAUGUCUCCUUGGUAAGCAACACCAAUUUCCUUUCUCAACAAGUGGAGCAUGGAGAGCGAAAGAUCUAUUGGAGCUGAUACAUACGAACGUCUAUGGACCAAUGAGGGCGCCAUCACAUGAGAACAACAGGUACUUCAUACUCUUCAUUGAUGACUUCUCUAGAAUGACAUGGGUAUAUUUUCUAAAAGAAAAAUCAGAAGUCUUUGGAGUAUUCAAAAAGUUCAAGGCCCUUGCUGAAAAUCAAAGUGGAAAACGGAUAAAAGUACUAAGAAGUGAUUGCGGCAAAGAGUACACCUCUGCCAGUUUGAAAGAUUUUGUGAGGAUGAAGGCAUUGAGCAAAAACUUACAGUCGCAUAUUCUCCUCAACAAAAUAGAGUGUUCGAGAGAAAGAAUCACAUAGUUAUGGAAAUGGCUAGAUCGAUGCUCAAGGAGAAGGGACUACCUAACACAUUCUGGGCUGAAGCAGUCUACACUGCUGUUUACAUACUCAACAGAUGUCCAACUAAGAUUGUAAAAGAUAAGACUCCAAUUGGCGCUUGGAACGGGAAGAAGCCAUCAGCAAAGCACCUAAGGGUCUUUGGAUCUAUAUGCUACAUUCAUAUUCCAAACGUGAAGAGGCACAAGCUUGAAGACAAGACUAUACGAGGUAUCUUCCUUGGGUAUAGCAAUAUCUCUAAGGGCUACCGUGUCUACAACUUGCAAACUAAGAAACUCGUCAUCAGUCGAGAUAUUGAAGUUGAUGAGUAUGCUUCUUGGAAUUGGGAUGAAGAAAAAGUGGAGAAGAACGUUCUUAUACCCGCUCAACUACCUCAUGAAGAAGCUGAGGAAGAAGACCCAGGUGAACCACCUUCACCUCCACCACAACAACAAGAUCAAGAACUAUCAUCACCAGAGUCUACUCCAAGACGAGUAAGAUCUUUGGUGGACAUAUAUCAAAACCUGUAACUUGGCCAUACUUGAACCUGGAAGCUUUGAAGAAGCGUCAAAGCAGGAAGUAUGGGUCAAGGCAAUGGAAGAAGAGAUACAGAUGAUCGAGAAAAACAACACAUGGGAGUUAGUAAAUCGUCCCCAUGGAAAAGAUAUCAUUGGGGUUAAGUGGGUCUAUAAGACAAAGCUCAACCCUGAUGGCACCAUACAGAAACACAAGGCGUGGCUAGUAGCUAAGGGUUACUCACAGCAACCUGGAAUUGACUACAAUGAUACAUUUGCACCAGUAGAUCGUCUUGAUACCAUAAGAGCUCUAAUAGCUCUUGCGUCACAAAAAGGAUGGAGUAUCCAUCAACUAGAUGUCAAAUCCGCCUUCCUUAACGGCGUACUUGAAGAAGAGAUUUAUGUGGAGCAGCCAGAAGGAUUCGUGUCUGAAGGCAAAGAAAGCAAAGUGUUAAGACAAAGAAAAGCACUCUACGAUUUGAAGCAAGCACCUCGAGCAUGGUAUAGUAGAAUCGAUCAGUAUUUCAUGGAUCGAGGAUUCAAGAGGAGCAAGAGUGAGCCUACACUUUACAUCAAGUCUCAAGCUACAUGACCUGACAUAAUGUAUGCUACAAGUCUUCUAUCAAGAUUCAUGCAAAGCCCAAGUUAAAUACACUUUGGAGCCGGAAAAAGAAUUUUGAGUGAUUGGGCAAGUUCGGCAGAUGACAUGAAGAGUACCUUUGGCUAUGCUUUCUCACUAGGAUCGGGAAUGUUCUCUUAGGCAUCGAAGAAGCAAGCUACAGUAGCACAAUCAACAGCAGAAACAGAGUACGUGGUAGCCGCGGAAACAACGAGUCAAGCUAUAUGGCUUUGAGACAUUUGCACCAGUAGCUCGUCUUGAUACCAUAAGAGCUCUAAUAGCUCUUGCGUCACAAAAAGGAUGGAGUAUCCAUCAACUAGAUGUCAAAUCCGCCUUCCUUAACAACGUACUUGAAGAAGAGAUCUAUGUGGAGCAGCCACAAGGAUUCUUAUCUGAAGGCAAAGAAAGCAAAGUGUUAAGACUAAGAAAAGCACUCUACGGUUUGAAGCAAGCACCUCGAGCAUGGUAUAGCAGAAUCGAUCAGUAUUUCAUGGGUCGAGGAUUCAGUACACUCUCUUACUCUCUCUAUAUGUAGAUGAUCUUAUCUGCACGGGGAACAAUACUAAGAUGAUGAUGGAGUUUAAAGAAGACAUGAUGAAGACCUUUGAGAUGACUGACCUUGGUUUGAUGAGUUACUUCCUCGGCAUAGAGGUAAGUCAGAGAAAUAAAGGGAUAUUCAUCUCGCAAAAGAAAUACAUAGAAGGCUUACUUAAGAAAUUCAAGAUGUAUGGUUGCAAACCUGUUGCUACUUCACUCAUAACAAAUGAGAAACUACAGAAGAAUGAUGGAGCACCAGAAGCUGAUGCAUCCAAAUGCCGAAGUCUAAUUGGAAGCCUCCUAUAUUUGACAGCUACACGGCCUAACAUAAUGUAUGCUACAAGUCUUCUAUCAAGAUUCAUGCAAAGCCCAAGUCAAAUACACUUUGGAGCAAGAAAAAGAAUUUUGAGAUAUCUACAAGGAACAAAAGAUUUCGGUAUAUGGUAUACUAUCGAAACCAACUUAGAAUUACUUGGCUACACUGACAGUGAUUGGGCAGGUUCGGCAGAUGACAUGAAGAGUACCUCUGGCUAUGCUUUCUCACUAGGAUCGGGAAUGUUCUCUUGGGCUUCGAAGAAGCAAGCUACAGUAGCACAAUCAACAGCAGAAGCAGAGUACGUGGCAGCCACUGAAGCAACGAGUGAAGCUAUAUGGCUUCGUAGGAUACUUGAAGAUAUGAGAGAAAAACAAGAAGAGCCUACUAAAAUCAAUUGCGACAACAAAUCAACAAUUGCAAUGGCGAAGAAUUCAGUUCAUCACAGCAGAACAAAACACAUAGCAAUCAAGUAUCACUUUAUCAGAGAAGUUGAAGCAACUAAAGAGAUCAAACUUGACUACUGCAGAACAGAAGAUCAAAUUGCAGACAUAUUCACGAAGGCGUUGCCGAGACCAAGAUUUGAAGAAUUACGAGCUAUGCUCGGAGUCACAAAAAUUUGCAUCAAGGAGGAGAGUUGAAAUUGCUACAAAUUUCUAGAAUAUUCUUAAAUAUAAUAUGUAUGAAAAUGGUAGAAUAUCCUAGAACUAUAGUGUGUAUGAAUAUGGUAGAACAAUCUAGAACUAUAAGUGUAUGUAUAAGAUAGAAGAAUCUAGAACUAUCAUGAUACUAAUCUAUCAUGAAAACUCUAGAAAGACCUAAAGUAAUGUAAAAACAUUCACCACCAUUGAGAGGUUGGUGACUUGAGCCUACAAAAAGGCAAUUGGUAUGUUGUAAUUGAUCAUCCAAAAAAUCAAUGACAUAGCCUUCUUUCUAAAACAAUUCUCUAAAACUAUCAACUAUCAACUAUUAUCUAACCAACUAUCAACAGGUUUGAAGAAUUGGCUAAUUUGGUUUCUUUUGCACUUUUCACUAGUGCUAGAGAUCCUUCUACUUUUCAAGAGGUUAUGAACAACCAUGAGAAAGACAAUAUGGUGAAGGAAAUGAAGUCUUUGCAGAAGAAUAAGACAUAGGAGCGAGUUGAGCUUCCUGCAGGCAACAAAACCAUAGGAUAUGCUAAUGGGUGUACAAGAGGAAACCUCUAGUAUCAAAAAAAGAAUGGGAAAAGUUCAAUGCUCGCCUAUUAGCAAAGGGGUAUGCACAAUAGAAGGGGAUUGAUUAUGAUGAGAUUUCCUCCUCAAUCGUAAGACACACUUCUAUUAAGGCAGUGCUAGCCUCGGUAGCCAAUCGUGACAUGCACUUGGAGCAAAUGGAUGUGAAGAUAACCUUUCUUGACAAUGAUGUAGAGCAGCAAAUUUACAUGAAGCAACCCGAGAGGUUUAGUAAAGGUGGAUUGGAUCGGCUGAUUUGUAAGUUGAAGAGGUCUAUGUAUGGAUUGAAGCAAUCUCCAAUGCAAUUGUAUGGAAGAAAUUAGAGAGUCAAUACAUGUCAAAACCCUUAAGGUUUGAGGUUAAGGUGUGGUGUCAAAGACACUUAUGUGGUUGCUCAAGGCUCACUAGUGCAAAUCUCCUUGAUGUUAACCGCCUCGGUUUUCACAAAAAUUGGUAUCAGAGUCAAUGGUUUGAUGUGGUGACCGGGUCAAACGAGUAAAAUGAUGAUGGUUGAACCAUGUACAUAGGGAUCCCUUAUAUUGAAAGUCUUCCUGACAAGUGGGUCCAUGCAUGGAGGCUAGGAAGCAGGUCUUGCAUGUGUUGUGGCAGCACAAGGUACUAGAGCAUGUUGGUGGAAAUGGUUAGGCGAGCUAAAGGUAGUCACGAUUAAGUUCUAAGGGCCAUCAUUGAAUACUUUUAGGUUGACAAUUACUUUCAUUCGAGGAGGAGACUAUGAUGCAAAAGAGACUCACAUUUAAGGAGAAGAUUGUUGGAGUACAAGUGUGAGGAAAAGUAUCACAUUGGAUACAAAUGAAAAGAUUGAAUACCAUAUAAGUGGGGACAAGACCCAUAAAUUUGAACCUUAAGGUUUUGGAUUAAAGUGUGAUGUCAAACUCACUUAUGAGGUUGCUCGAGGCCCAUUGGUUUAAAUAUCCCCGGUGUUUACCCUCUCGAUUUCCCAACUAUAGAUGAACGAAGGCAAAUAUAUAAAUAAAUAAGUUGUAGGACAAAAAAUUAAUUAAGUUUUUUUUUUAAAUUUCUAAUUUUGAAAAUUUUAUUGAAUUUGAAAAUUUUCAAUUGAACUUGCCCAGAUUUUGUUUGUUCACUCUUUUUUUUCCUAUUAAUCCUUGAUGUUUGAGAACUUCACCACUCUUUCUGAUAACAAAAAUAUUUUGACUCGCAUAAUACCACACAACAAUGUUUUCUGAAAUGGGACUGUUAUAAUUUAUAUAUAACAAACAUAUUGGACUAACAUAUGGUGGGUCUGCCACGUCUGAAUCAUAUUGCAUUUAGCAAAAAGUUUUGGCAACAUAUAGUGGCAUUUGCAUUUCUGUUCUGGGAAUAAUAGAAGAGAUCUAAGGAGAUCUAUUUACCAGGAAAAACACCAUAAGGAACAAUAAUGCAAUGGUACAACAAUCAAUUUACCUAUUAUAUCAGUACACAACAUGAAUGAUCACAAUUGUUGCAGUUCUAUGACAAGUGUUGGAUGGAUGAUUACAACAUGGAAAAAAAUACAAUGAAAUUAUGACAACAAGGACUUCCAUAACAACUUCGAGUGUCAUGCAUGGAUCACAAUCCUACACUGUAGAAGAAUUGCUGAAGGAUAUGUUGCACAAGCUAUGCAAAGAAAAAUUGGAGACACCUCUUCAUAAUGAUUCAUUGAUAGAUGAAGUGAGAAACCACUUGCGCCAAAAGAGGUAUGUUGUCCUGUUUCAUGACGUAUGGGAUAAAAAGUUUUUGGAUGGUAUUGAUUUUGCUAUAAUUGAUAAAAAUUCGGACACAGAGGUAUCAAUCACAACUUUGGACACAGAGGUUGCGGAGUUUUGCCAGAUAACAUCCUUCAUUAUGGUGUAUAAGCUAGAACCUUUAAGUGACGAAAAAUCUUUGGAAUCGUUAUGAUGUGGAAAGGCAUUUUUUUCGGGUUUUGGUGGAUGCUGUCCAAAAGAAUAUGAAGACGUAGGUCUUGAAAUGGUUAGAAAGUGUGAACGUUUACCUCUAGCAAUUGUUGCAUUGGUGGUCUUUUAUAUAGCAAAUGUCAAAGUGCACUUGAAUGGACAGGUUUAGUCAAAAUCUAUGUUCGGAGUUGAAGAGGAAUUCUGAGUUAAUUAGUAUUUAAAAAGAAAAAUUGGUUUGAGUUAUGAUGAUUUUCUGUUCAAUCUCAGAAACAUGUUUAUAGUAUUUUAGAAUGUAUCCGGAAGACCAUGAAGUUAAAUCUGGAAGAUUGAUUACGCAGUGGAUAGCUGAAGGGUUUGUCAAACAUGAAAAUGGAAGAACUUUAGAAGAAGUUGCACAACAACAUUUAAUGAAGUUGAUCACUACAAGUUUGGUGCAAGUAUCUUCAUUUACCAUAGAUGACAAAGUUAAAGGAUGUUGUGUUCAUGACUUAAUACAUGAAAUGAUCCUUGGAAAAAUCAAGGAUACAUGGUUUUGUCUGUAUAUUGAUGAGCAUAAUCAAUUGGCGUCAAGUGCGAUCGUUAGACGCUUAACAAUAGGAUCAGAUUCCAAUGAUUUAAUUGAAAAUACUGAAAGAUCACGCAUUCGGUCAGUUCUAAUUUUCACAAAGCAAAAGUUAC